RNAcentral lists this long non-coding RNA (218480 nucleotides) under Ananas comosus (pineapple). Lineage: Eukaryota; Viridiplantae; Streptophyta; Magnoliopsida; Poales; Bromeliaceae. The record is from RNAcentral.
UUUGAUUUGAAACCUCUAAAUAACUCUUUUAUAUAUAACAACGAAUACAAAACUCAACAAUAAUAUAUAUAUAUAUAUAUAUAGAGUCCGGCUAUGGUACUUGUAGAAGUACCAAGCACUUGGUGCUUGUAAAUAUUUUAUCCUUAGAUCUAUGUUUUUGAUCAUUUUUAUCCAUUAAAUUGUACUAUUCAACCAACCACCCACUCAACCCUAGGGAGCCCACAUUAUCCUAACCGCACAUCCUUUAAUCCAAGGGCUGAAAACUUACAAGCACUAAUGACUUGGUACUUUUAAAAGUAUAGGAGCUCAAUUCUAUAUAUAUAUAUAUAUAUCUAUAUAUAUAUAUAUAGAGUGAGGUUACUAUGCUAUCGGAAGCACGGAGCCUUUCGUGCUUCCAGCUCGUUUUCGAUGUUGCGACUUUCGAAUCGUCGAUCGGUUCCGUUAAACUUGAUCUAGAGUAUUUGAAGUAUCUAGAAAAUAAAUUUUAUGAUUUUACGAUAUCAUUUGCCUAGUGAACGAAGGGGUUCAAAAUCAACGGCUGAAAAUAAAAAUCUUAUAAAAUGUAAUAAUAUGACAUUAAAAUUUUAAAUCAAAGAUAUUGAUCUUGUUUUAUAUAGUAUAAAGAAUUUUCUAUCAAAAUUUCACGUGAUUUGGAUAUUUCUACACCGUUAAACUUGCAAACGGCUUACUACGGCCAUUGAAAUUUGUUGAUUUUGAGCCCAUUUGAUCACUAGGCAAAUGAUAUCGAAAAAUAAUAAAAUUUAUUUUCUAGGUACUCCAAAUACUCUAGAUCAAGUUUAACGGAGCCGAUCGACGAUUCGAAAGUCGCAACAUCGAAAACGAGCUGGAAGCACGGAAGGCUCCGUGCUUCCGAUAGCAUAGUAGCCUCACUCUAUAUAUAUAUAUAUAUAUGUGUGAAGAUAAAAAGUUUAGAUAUAGUAUGUGGGUCGAGAUGUGCUAUAUAUUAUCCUAAAAAUAAGAUUGCCUCUUCACGUGUGAGACUCCAGUAAUUAUUUCUAACAAUACAAUGACGACGAGUUAUCCGUCGGCCCGUCUCCAAGGUAGUGGAGAAGCUCAAGUGAAGGUGAAUCGAACCGGGUAGCUAAGACUGCACGCCGCUGCUGCUGCCCCAUGCCCGCCCGACCAUGCCUGGCUUGUGCCGUGCGUACGUGCAUGUGUUUAAUAGAUGGCACCACUCUGAUCAUUAUCACCCAACCAACUAGUUUGAAUGUAAUGGAGUAUACAAGGCGCUACUACUAAUGUCUUGAAUUUUUCAUUAUUUGGAACUAAAUUCAUAUAUAAUAAAUUAUGCACGGACUCUCAGGUACAGCUUUGUUUAAUUUGGUCUACCCAUGAGACCCAUAGGCUAAAAUAAAGUUUUAACUCACACUUUUAAAAUAAAUACCAACAAAAAUAGAAACACGCACUAGCGGUGGACAUUAUUUGUUUCAAUUCUCUUUUUCCCUUUUUUUUAAAGCGAAUAUUCGAGAUUCUACUUUUGUCUCCAUUCUUUUGAUUAUAUUAUUUGGAGCUGUUAAAAUAUUGAUUCUGCGAUCUAUUGCAAAUGUCAAAUAAAUAUGAAUGCCCAUCUCAGCGCCUUAGGUUUAUUUUUCAAUUCAUGAGCUGUAGGAAAUAGGAUUGAGAUUUGGAGCCUAAAAGCAGAAGCUACAAUUUACAUGUUGAGAUUCUCCCUAGAGAGAGAAGUUGUUGCGGGGAUCUUAAUAAAAUGCUUUUUCAAAUAGCAGUACGUAAGAGCACGUUAUUAAACAGUAUUAUACAAAAGUACUUACUUGGACCGGUCCACCCGACUAACUUUGUACUUUUGCACCGACCGUCCCUAGAGCAAGUGGCAAAGAACUUGGUGGUUGUUAUCCGAGACCCAAGUUCGAAUCUUAGUUGAUUCAGAUUUUUAACUAAGUUUAUUUCUAAAUGAAAUAAACGAAGCGGGUAGCGUGCUACCUAUCUCUCAAAAAAAAAAAAAAAAAGUUUGUACGUUUGCUUUCACACCUGCAGUCACUUUUAGCACAACAUUCCCAGAGUCUCUAUUAAGAAAUAGAAAUAAAAUUUUAGGCCUCAAUAUAGUAGCUUGAAACUUUUGAUUCAGCUCUAGAGAGAAACUGUUGGGAUCUUCAUCCUUGCGAUGUAGCUUUUAGGUUUUCCUCUCUUCUUAUCACAUAAUAAGAAUGCAAUGUAUCAAUGCUAUUGUCUCACAAUGAAAUCUUGUUAUUUGGAUUUUCUUUGUGGUGCCGAAAUUCUUAUUUAUCUCUGUAUAAAUGCAGGCUGGUUACCGACAUAUAGAUUGUGCCCGACUAUACAAGAAUGAGAAAGAGGUAAUUGUGGUUAUCGCGCUUUCAUUGAUACUGAUGCUUUUUUCCUUUGGAUUGUAACACCAUUUAUUGCAAUAGAAUUGCCGAUAUACUAUUGUAUAUUUGUUAUGUUAGGUAUGAUUAUGGAAUUUGGAAAUUUUCAAGAACCAGGAUUCAGGAAUUUAAAGAAAAAUCUGCACGAUCUUUGUUACUUUCAGCAUAUUUGUUGUCUAAAACAGGUCUAAGUUUAUCUCUGCCACUUCUGAUCUUAAAGCUGCAGCUUUUGCUUCCGCAAAGAAGUUAAGAGAAUUCGCGUUUAAAACAAUCGGAGAGAUCAGAUAGCCAACAAUAAACAUGUUUAUGCAGUGGGAUUCAUUUCAAGUAUCAGCUUGUUUUCUUAAGUGUACCUAGCCUUUUAUUUUAGUUCCAGUUCUUAAAUCUUACUAUAAACUAGUUUCACUAACCGCGGUACAACUAAAAUCUCCACUGCUGUAAUGAACUUUCCGUAUUCAUAGAUUGGCGACGCUCUAAAGAGCCUGUUUGAUGAUGGUGUAAUCAAGCGUGAAGAUCUGUUUAUCACCUCGAAACUUUGGUAGGUUUCUUUUCUUGGUUUAACAGACUAAAUAGUGUAGCACUUUCAUUCAUGUUUAAGAAAAACUAACUUUUCAGUUUUGCCGCUCUUUUUACUAAACAUUUUCUUAAAAGAAUGAACAUCUUAUUUUGCAGGUGCAGCGAUCUUGCCCCAGAAGAUGUACCGGAUGCAUUGGAUGCAACUUUAGCGGAUUUACAGCUCGACUAUAUAGAUCUUUAUCUUGUAAGUUUGUAUCCAUGGUUACAGCUCUGCUGAGUGCUAUUUCUUUGAGUCUGGUUGCGUAUCUGUUUGCGUUAAAUGAACCGGUUGCGUAUUUCUAUCAGCUCGAGUUUUUGGAAUUAAUGGUUAGCACCAACGAUCCAACAAUGUGAAGGAAUAACCAUGAUAGUUGUUUUAUCUUUUAUUACCAUGGGAGUUGUGAAUGCUAUUUUAGAAUCAAUGACUCUGCAAUAGUCGUAGCAACUUGGUAGCUUCAUUCUAACAUGUCAUUCCUAAUGUAAUGUGUGAGGAUUGUUAAUAUUAAGCUUUUCAGAAUAAUGGAAUUUAGAACUAGUACUUUCUUAAGGAGGCUUACACUGGAAAAAGAUGCAUAUAUGAUCUAAAAUUCUACUCCACUCUAAUCAGCAUUCAGCACUUGAAAAACAUUCUCCUCUCGAGAUGUACGCAUCAACAUUUUCUCUACUAUUUUAGAGAGAUCGCUGCGCUUUCCUCGCAGUUUCGUUCUUACUAAUCAUUCUGUUAUGUGUCAAAGAUUCACUGGCCUUUUCGGAUGAAGAAGGGAACUAGUGAUUUUAUCCCCGAAAACUUUCUCGAGCUCGAUAUGCGCGCCACGUGGACGGCAAUGGAAGAACUAUACGAUUCCGGUAAAGCUCAUGCGAUCGGAGUGAGUAAUUUUUCUUCCAAGAAAUUGGGGGAUUUGCUUUCCACAGCACGCGUGCCUCCCGCCGUGAAUCAAGUGGAGUGCCACCCUUACUGGCAACAAGCUAAGCUCAGAUCAUUUUGCCAAUCGCAGGGUGUUCAUAUCUCUGUGAGUGUUUUCAUAUACUCAUUUGGCUUAUUCCAGUGAUCUUUUUUUUGGUUAUUAUUUAAAAAUUGGUGGAUAUCCACUUUAGCCACAGAUUUUGUAGUAUCAAGUAACCGACCACUAUAAGACUUCGCGAUUCAUAAGUUUUGAGUGGUGAACUUAUAGACUUGAGUGAUAGAUGCAUUGUUCAAAGGUACUCUACUUUAGUUCCUAACAGUGCGCCGAUCAUUCAAAAAUUGUGCUUGGUAGUCCUAUAGUGGAAGGGCAAUUUAUGGUUCAAAAUUAGCAUAUUUUCUCUUUUGUUCUUGAUUGUCAAUUUAUUUUCCGACGGUCGUUCCUACAGGCAUAUAGACCAUUAGGUCAACCAGGGUCGACGCAGAAAACCAAAAUCUUAACAAACCCCAUCCUACAAACAGCAGCAGAGAGUCUGGGCAAAACUCCCGCGCAAAUAGCUCUUCGCUGGGGCCUUCAGAUGGGUCAAAGUGUGCUUCCCAAGAGCACAAACGAGUCGAGGAUGAAGGAGAAUUUGGAUCUGUUUGAUUGGUCGAUUCCUGAAGACUUGCUUGCCGAGAUCAGUGAAAUCGAACAGGCAAGUCGCAGCAUUGUUUUUGCGCAACAAUCUGAAUGAUCUGAACAUUUAUGUUUUAAGCUAGGAUGAGUGAUUUUAAGUUUUCAAGUAACGAAAAUAGAUAACUGCAGCUGUGCAUUUCUAUACUUGUUCAUUUUUUAGAAUGAACAGAGAAAAAUGCAGUAGUGGAGACCUUUUAUCACGAGUUUUGAAAAUUUAUCGUGAUAUCGGAAUAGAGUGGAAGUAAAGUCCUAUGUUUUAUGGUUAUUUUCAAUUACAUUUUAGCGGUAUAUUUGUUACUAUACCAUGUAGUAUUGUUGGUUUCUCAUCCACUUGCCAAAGUACCCCUUUUUUUUGCUUCCCACUAUGCACUACGAUUUAAACAGAUAGAAAAUAGGAGUCAGGAGUAUUAUGACAUUUGCAUUAUCAAAUAUUAGUAUAUUAUGUGUCAUGAAAACAAACUUUUUAAUUACAGCAAAUUUCGGUUUUGGAUGGUUUGUAUAAGUUCAUUUGACUGUGAUCUGCAGGUUAAGCUAGUUCGGGGAGAUUGGUUUAUCCACCCUCAGAGCAUUUACAAAAGUGUCGAGGAGCUCUGGGAUGGCGAAAUCUAAGCACUUAGAUGAAUUGUUUUUAGUUAAAGUAAAAUAUUAAUGUGUGUUGCGUUUUUCAUAAAGGAGUACCACUUCUCCCUUUUCGGACGAUUGUUGUUUCUCACAGUUACCAUGUACACUUCCUUGUUGGUUUUAAUUGAAUUUAUAUGCAAUAUGUAUCAACUUUCUCAUAUAUUUCAUGUGUUUAAGUGAGUUGCAUGAUCCAGACACGUUUUUUAUGAUGAUCAAGUGUUGUAUAUGAGAUCUUAAAUUUUCGUCUACUUUUACAAGUUGCUUUAAAGUUCUCAGAACAUGCAUAUCUUGUUUCCCUCAGAACAUAACACUGUUUUGACUUCUCAGAACUGACCUACUCUCUCGGGAAUGGCCGUGUAGUAAGGUUUUGGAGUGAUAUCUGGUUAGACCAACCCCCCCUGAGCACUCUCUUCCCAUGAGUAUACGACAAGGUGGUAAACAAGAAUCUCCGGGUUUCUGACUGCUGGGGUAGGAAUGGAUGGAGGUGGCGUAAAAUUUUGGCAGGGUUUAAUCCUACCUCUCUUGUCGAAUUGGAUUCGAUUAGAAUCCUUAAAGAGCUGCUCUCGGAGACGUCGAUCUACAAUGGACCGGACAAGGCCGUUUGGAGAUGGACACGGUCUGAUAAAUUUACGGUCAAAUCUCUUUAUAUCUUCCUGCAAGACGGGGGGCCCACAAUAGCUUUUUCGUCCAACUGUGGAAGAUUAAAGUACCCUUGAAAGUUAAGAUUUUUGUGUGGCUUGUGCUACUCAAAAAGAUAUUCACAGUGGACAACCUACGUAAGAGGGGCUGGGGUGGUUACGAAAGGUGUGUUUUCUGCCUCGAGGCUAGUGAGACGGUGGACCACCUUUUCUCGGAGUGCUAUAGUACUAAGACGCUGUUAAGUAGGUUUCUACCAAACAAGCAGUUCAUCUCUAACUGUACGUCAGUUAAUCUACUCUGGGAGGAUAGUAGGCGUAAAGAAGGUACCUUAGGAUUUAGGGAACUUGCUUCUAUCGCCGCGACGUGGUGGACGGUCUGGUUGGAACGAAACAAAAGAAUUUUUGAGAAUUCUAGACGCCCUAUUUCCCACCUAGCGUUUGAAUCCCGCUCACUCAGAGAUAUGUGGGCUCUUGUUCUCUAGUUUUUUUUUUUUUUUUUUUUUUUUUUUUUUUUUUUUUUUUUUUUUUUUUUUUUUUUUUUCAAGGCCCAUUUGCCUCAGUUUGCAGCUCAAUUCACUUUCUGAUUGAAUGAAGUGGUAGCAUGCUACCUUUUCUCAAAAAAAAGAACUAAAAAACUAAUUCAAUAAAGAACAUGAUAAUGUAGGAGGAUCAAAUCAUGAAAUAAAUAGACAUAUAAUAAAAUCUCUUCCUUUUUAUUGUCAAAGCAAGUCCUUAUAAAAACUGGAGAGAUGAAAUGAAUGGCACAAUAAUACAUAUAAAGGCCCAUUUCAUUAGCCCAAGUAAUCCUCUUACUACCUUAAAACAAACUUUACAAAAAAGCAUCAACUUAAGCCCACAAAAGCCCAUGGAUAUUAGGCCGAGUUUACUUUGGGCUGGGCCCAUAUUUUAGAAAAUCCCCCGGGCGCGUACCACGUACUACUAGACCUUUUUUUUAAAUUUUUUUUUUCCAUAUUGUUUUAGUAAUAUAUUGCUUUAAAAAGGAUCCUUACGUGGAGAAUUGAAAAUGAGCUACAUAACAACAAAAAUAAAUUAUACGCCGUAUUUUUUAUACGAAUUUUCCGUCGAAAUCAAAGAGGAUUCGGAUUUUGAGUUUUUGGCCUGAUGCAAUUUUGGAUAUGAAUUUUCAAAAUCCGCCAAAUUCGGGAUCAGGUUCUAAGUUCGGAUUUCAGAUUCGAAUUUUCAAGUCAGUCCCGAAUCCGACCCGUCGAAAUCUCUAGUAGCAAGGAUUCUGACAGGGCGGGUCCGUGGGCACAAAGACGUGUCUUUUUUUUUUUUCGACAAAUAGGAACUAAUUUGAGGCGGAUUGAUUUUUAUUUUAUUUUUUAUUUUCACUUAUUACUCCAAACUAAUUGGAGUAAAUUUUUUUUGACAGAUCAGGAAGGGCCAAGAAAAAAAAGAUGUCCGCACCCCUCGCUCCAUCUUUUUAGCGAAUUGGAACAGAUUUGAAAAAAAAAUUUCUAAAUUUUGACCCCCACUUACUGCCCCAUUCGACACGGAUCUGGCAAAGUAAAUCCAAGAAUACAACUCAGGAUAAUAUAAUAUGGUAUAAUAACCCACACUAUCAUUGAAAGGCUAACUCAAAAUAUUGUGAUAUACCCAACUGCAAAAGAGGUGAAUCUAUAGAUUCUAUACAGAUGACAAGAAACAGAACAAAAAAGAAAAAAUAAAAAUGUAACUGUUCAUCAUUUCACAAUGUUAAGAAAGGAAAAUUGGAUUAGAUUAUAUUAGGUUAAUAGACUAACAAAAAUUGCUGUUCACUAGAGCAGCACUAGAACACUAAAAAGAACCAAGAAAAAAAAAAAGAGAAAAAAAGAAAAAAAAAACUGGAUAAUACAGGAAUAAAUCAUGUUGAGAGGGCAUAUAGUGUGCCAUUAAAAUAGACAGACACCUCAGCCCUGAAUGAGGGCUCAGAAUUCUGAGCCUUCCAAAUUGCCGCAGCAACCCUUCUCCUGUUUCCAGAGCCAGAUUCCCCGGUUCACGCCUGAUGAUUUAUGAAAAUUAAAAAGAAAAAAAUAAUUACGAAGGGGAGGCACUCGACGAAAGAAUCGAGUGGACUAAUUCAAAUAGUUGUGUAGUUGGAGAAUAAGUUCAUCAGGUUGUCCAGAGCUUCAGGAUAGAAUUUCCGCGCAAAUAGAUAACAUGGUCUCUUCAUCCCAUUCCACAAGCAGGGUUUCCGCAUCACCACUUUCUGCAACAAAAACCAGAAAAAAAAAAAAAAAAGAGCCAGUUCUUCAAUAUAUAUUUAAAGUAUUUCAUGGUUACAACCAAAAAAAUUAUAAAUAUAAUGUAUGAUACCAACUGAACAUAGCAUAAAUGGUAACACAAAUAUCACUGCUGGUCUGUUUGAGGAAAAUUCUCAGAAGCAGCAGCAAAUUUGAUAAUUUUUGGACUAUGCUUAUGUAACGUAACGUCCUAUUACUAGGCUUUGUACUGAUAUGUGUGAAGAGGCAUUGAUGUUUUAUACCCAAUUAUCUUAUUAGAUUUGUAAACUAGUAGAUGGUUCGAUCACCGCAUCCAAUAAAAAGGGUAGAAGAAACUGUUCCACUUGAUAUAUCAUGGAAUGUGAACAUUAAGGAUCAGUUUGGAUGUUGAAACAAGUUAUCCUGUAAUAAUAACUUGUGCAAUGUGCGGAUAUAUUUGUGAUCGCACCACUUAAAAUAAACGAGGCCUUUAUGGCAAUGAGAAACAUAACCAUUACUUAAGUAAGAGCAUAGAGAUCAAUACGAGCAGAAAGGAAUUGCUAUGCAUACCUUUUCAUCGCUUGUAACAUGAAAACUCUCAUCAAUAGACUGCCGCAACACAAAAUCAGAAACUCCAAGUUAAAACCACAUAAAAUGGAGAAUACAACAAAUAUAGAGAGUAGCGGAGAGGUAAACAUACUGUUAUAUUCUUCAGGAGCUCAAAAGUGACAUCCUUAGCCCGAUAUGCCUUUGGAUGCCACUUUCCUUCUGACCAAUCAACAUGUGUCACUGACCAAUUGGCAAUUCCAGUUGGAUCAAUCAUCUGCACGUUUAAGUUCAUUAAAUUAGCAAGCGAAUUAAAGAAAGAAAUAGCAUAUAAAAGGGUCUGAAAGGUUUUAAUUUGCUUACAUAAAAUAGGGUUGGCAAAUAAUGCUCAUCAGCAUAGCAAUUGCGUCGUCCCUCCAUCCCUGGCUGUGAAUAAACAGAAGAAAAGCAAUAUCACCACAUGUUUUUGUAAUAGUAACCCCCAUUGACGAUUUCAAAACAGUUCAGCUUCUUCUAGCCAAAAAAUAGAGUUGUUCUACUUUUGUCUGGCAAAAACAACAUUACGGUCCAGCAAUCAUUCUUUUACAGUUAUACAACAUAUUUAAGCUUGUCGCUUUUACACUACCUUUGGUAUUUAAGUUAGGUUCUUUAAGAUUGUGCGAAGGAAUUGAAAGAUAUACAGCUGUACAAUUACCUUGCAAUAAAGCUUGAACUUUGUGUAGUAAAGACUGUCUGCCAGAAUCACCAAAGCAUGUUGCCGCUUGAUUGAGAACCACUGCAAUAUACAGACUCAAAAAUGUUUGAUACUAUCUUUUCUCAAAUUGCAAAAACAAGAGUCUGUCAAACAAUGGAGGCUCCUACUUAAGCAAAAUGACACUUAAUCUCUUUCGAAAAGUAAAGCCUCGAACAUUUAGUAUGGACUAAUUGUUGACAUAACCAAAGUGCCUGUUUAUGGCCUCCUCGUAUGGCCUUGCUGUUACCAUAUUUACUAUGGCUUCAUUGUUAACAUGAACCGACAACAAAUUGAUGCAAGGUAUUGGAAAAGGCAAACCUUAUUCUGAUUGUUAACAUAAGCCAAAAACAUCACCAAUUAUAAUUAGUCACUAGCUUAUGAACAGAAGCUAACACUUUUUUGCCUUCCUCAUAAAAACACCGUCAGUCAUUUUAUGCAUUUUGUAAGAAAAAAGUUACCUGUGCUCCCUUUCUAAAGUCGUCCUCCUCAAUCUCAGGUAGCAUGUGCUUAGAAUACCUGCCAUUGCCAUGUGGGCCAGGAUCCUGAAAACUGACAAUGAAGGCAGAUAACAUUAACAAGAUGAAACAAGGAAAUUUUCUUAAACAAUCAGUGAAAUUUUCUUAUCAGAUAGACAGCAACAGGUAGCAAUCUGUUACACCAAGAAGAUUCUCCUGAGAGUGUCAUCAUGGCUUCACAUCGGUCUUUUUGGUUUGAUAAGUGAUGCCUAAGAUUGUACCUUAAAUGGAACUAAAAAUAGAUUCGGCAGUAUAGUGUCUUACCAGUCAAUAAAGCUGAUAUUGGUUCCCAUCAGAUAAUUAUAUACAUAAUCGAAAUUAUGAAGCGGAACACAGCUGCCAUACAAACACAUUGGUAUUUAGUACACUAAUGCAAAGAAUCAAAAGAAAUUUCAAAAUACAGCAGAGUUGCUCAGUACCUGUCAGAAAGCAACACAAAAUGCUGGUUAUCACUGUCCUGGAGCGCAUUCGCCAGGAGUCUCUUUUCUGCAUCAACCAUCGAUACCUUCCCCCAUACCACCUGUAUAAAUAAACUUUUGAGUUCCAAAUAUAGUUUCGAAGAAGUAACAAGUGGAUAAAACUAGUCAAGCAGUAUAAAAAUUAUUGAGAAUAACAGGUAGCAAAUUUGCUAGGGAACUAACUAUCACAGAUUGACUAGCACAUUUCAUGUCUAUCCAUACAUAAGAAUAGGUUAGUCUAUCUAGCAGUACCUCUUAUGCACAAAUAGAAACAAGGGAAACCUCUGGGCAUAUAGAAAAAUGUGAAAUUAGAUAAAAAUCAAUAAGGAUAAAAGAAAGGUCACUCCUAAAGGGCCUCUGAUGUUACGGUAGUUUUGACAGGGUUCAUUCCUGAAGCCCCUCCACAAUAAAUUGCUGUUCUUCAACAUAAUUUUUUUCAACUAUAAUCAUUUAUAGUACAGGCUUAGAUACCACGAUCAGUAUAUGGACUGACAUACAACAACAGUUAAAAGAACAUACAAAAUAGAUAUCAAGUCGAUCUAAAAAAAAAAAAAAAUUGCAGGGUCAAACAUCAUCACAUAAGUUGUUAUGCCCACUCAUCAUAUAACUAACUUUCCCUAUUAUAUAACACAAUUAAAAAAAAUACUUUGUGAAUAUUGAUAAUGACUUAAAUCAGUCCAAUUACUGGUUAUGAUAAGUAACACAUUUCCAUGUUCAUCUCCUUCAUAUAUUAUGUUGAUAAAAAAGUCGAUCCUUCAUUCACAUGCGCAGGAAAAAAAAAUAGUGAGAUAUCUAAGAGAGACAGUACCUUCUCACUGCGAAUUUCUCGAUCACUAAAUAGAGGACUAACAUGUACAGGCUUUUCCCUUGACGCAUGAAUAUAAAUGGAGUAUCUUCCCUGAUGUCCCUAUAAAUACAAGUAGUAAACAUGUCAACAUACAGAAGUUUUACCUCACAAGAAAAGGCUUUAGUAAAACAUUGGCAGUACCAAUUUACCCACCUUCCCACAAAAUAUAGCAGCGUUGUUGCCAAGAGUGAUCAAAUUUUUUGUUAAAGAAAUUUCCUUUUUAACAUUAUCUUUUUAUGAUUAUUUUUGUUUGUGAAAGGGUUAAUUUGUAAGCAUAAUAAAGGUCUACAAUAAAGUUUGAAUAAAUAAAUAAAGAUGACAUAUUUUCACUCUUAGCUCACUUUUACCAACAACUAAGCCAUUAUAUAUCCACUUUAUACCCCGUCUGAAACAUAAUAUCACUGUUGACCCACUUUGGUACUAUUCAAUGUUCACCAUCUUUUCCUUAAUGGAACAAGUUGUUUUAGUCCUCAACAACUGAAGAUACAUGGCCUUUUUUUUUUUUUGAGAUAAAGGUAGCAUGCUACUGCUUCAUUCAUAGGGUAGGUGAAUUUAGCAUCGAUGGGAAACAACUGGGCUUCGGAAAAAAAAAAAAAAAAACAAAAUCCACUUAGCUAAACGCAAUAAGAGUCCCACAUGUUGUACAGAUCUCGUAGGUCUGCCAUCACCUGUCUCGCAGUGCACUUAAGAUACGUGGCCUUUGGAAGCAAAGAUCAUGUACUUUCAACAAAACUCUAUUUCUUCUCCGAAUAUGGGUACACUGUUCGGAAAGAGACUCCUGAAAGUCUACAAGCUGUUGCAGGGUUCUAGGCAAUACUCAAAUGCCUUAAAAAAUUCUUUCUAUCAUCUAAGCCAACAUUCAUACAUUGACAAACAAGUAACAAGUUCAAAUUUGAACCUUACCUGAAAAAAUUUCGCCCACAAUCUCUCAAACGGCAAUGUACCAGGAGUCAAGAACAUGAAAGCAAUUUUAGGAUUCUUCGACUGAACUGUAGGCAUAGCAAUAAGGUCACUAAAGACGACACGAGAAGCAAUCUCGCCAUCUGUUAGUACCCGCAAACGCUUAGCAGGAAGCCAAUCCUUGAAAGGACUGCAAACACUUGAAGCGAAGAAGUAGCAAGCAGAGUAACGCCGAGGUGGGUACACAUAAGCCCCAAUCAAUGUUACGCAGACCAAAGAAAUUAAGACGAUUAUCCACGUGGGUCGUCUAGAAGCAGCCCUGUGGCGGGGAGCCGGCAUGAUCGUCAUGUCCCUAAUGGCGAGUUCCCAUGUUUACGGUAUUUUCAUCUCAUACUUUUCUUUGCAAAAACCUCACCACCAUCAGCCACCAUUACUCUCUCCUUACUAUCAGCUUUAACGAUCAUCCACGAUGAGGUUAGACAACAACGAACAUUGCAAAGAGUGAAAAAUGCUAUGCUCUGAGUGUGAUUUCGCUGCAACAGCAAAAAAAAAAGAUAUAAUCCACACAGUUACAUACCAAAAAAGCAAAAAUUUGUCUUUUUCUUAAGCUAUGAUGGAAAAAAAGCCAAACCGAGAGAAUAAACCACAAUAAUAAGUAAUACUACAUUGUACUUCAAAAAAACAUUAGUAUGAGAACAAGGCUAAGCCCGUAGACAAAUCAUUAUAUUGUUCCAUCUACAAGCAAAAAUAUUUCAUUUUGGAAUACAAUGGAUCAGCAUUUCCUUUCAAAUAACUAGCUAUCCCUAAUGGAUUUUCUUCUUCGAAAUCCACAAAAGCUAUAUAAGCUUUCUCCAAUUACCAACUCAACUCCAUUUGCGAGAUUUUUUAGCUACAGAACCUCAAAUUACACAUCAAACCCCAUAAGAAUAGAAGAUUUAAUCACCAACACAAACAGAACAACAAGCAUCAACGAUUCCUGCGCUUUCCAGAGAGGAAAAAUUAGGAGGAAGAAAAAAAUAAUCACCAAAAACUAUAUAAAUUGUACUCUAAACAGAUCAAAUACGCACUUAAUCGCAUCAAAACAGGAAUCAAAUGCGAACUAAAAGGAGAUCGAUCGAUUACCUGUACGAAGUGAGCCGUAGAGUAGCUCGAAGAUCGGGGAUCUGCGAUGAAGACGAAGAGAGAGAGAGAGAGAGAGAGAGAGAGAGAGAGAGAGAGAGGUGAGUGAGAUCCGUUAGGGUAGGAGGGAAAGGGGAGACGUUGAUAAAAUAUGUACAAAUGGAGGGGAUUUUUGUGUAAAAAAGGAGAGAGAGAGAGAGAGAGAGAGAGAAGGGGAAUUGGAAGAGGUUAUGCUGUAGAGAGAGAAUAUUAGGGAAAAAAAAAAGAGAAGGAAAUAGUAAAAUGUAUGGAUUGUCGCUGUACAGUAUUAGUGUUAUGGUUGAGUACCUGUACUGUACAUAUAUUUGUCUUUUAGUUGUUAUGUACGUCAAAAGAAGUGUAACUAGUUUAUUUAUUUAUUUAUAAAAUGGCUCACUUAUUAUCCCUUUUACAAUAAAAAUUAGAAAAACUUCAAAUACCGUAUCUAUAAUUUUGCACUUUUUUAUUUUAGUACUCUGUGAUUGGUAUCAAUUUAGUACCAUGUGAUUUUAUUUUUUUCGUUAAAUCAGUGACAAAGUUAAAACUAAAGGAUACUAAAAUGAAUAUUCGAUAAAUCUAGAUGGAUUAUCUAGAGUUUUUUGUAUAUAAUUUAACGAAAUAUUAACGGAGGAGCUGACGAAAAGAGAAAAAUAAAAUCACAUGGUACUAACUUAUAUAUUUUAAAUCAGAGGAUACUAAAAUGAGAAAGUUCAAAACCAUGGAGUUGAUAUUUGAAGUUUAUCCUAAAAAUUAUAAAUUUUUUAAGAUAGUCCGAAUUGGAGGCUAAACUGUGAUAUAUAUAUAUAUAUAUAUAUAUAUAUAUAUAUAUAUAUAUAUAUGGAGUAGGGCUAGAAUACUUUUACAAGUAUCACCCAAGUGAUACUUGUGUGUUUUUAGCCCUUGGAUGGAGAGAUGUGAGGUUGAGAUGAUGGUGGUAGGUGGUGGUAGGUGGAAUAGUGUUUGAUCCAAAGGCUAUUUGUAUUCAAAAAGUAGAUCCAAUGGCUAAAAACGUGAUAGCAACAUGGGGAUGAUACUUGUAAAAGUAUCCUAGAUCAACUCUAUAUGUAUAUAUAUAUAAAAUUGAGGGACUGCUUGGUGAAAAGUAUAGGAUUGAAUUGUAAUAUUGAUAUUGUACAGGGUAUGCGCACACUCUUUAGUUUUUAGAGGCGUAUUAAUGCUAGGUAUUUUUAGCGCGCUCCCUCCGUUUCUUUCAUCUCCCUCUACAAUGCUCGUAUAGGAAUUAUCGGGUGGACCGAGUGUGCCACAUCAUCAUAACUGCAGUGUUAAAGAGCGUGGUACCGGGAUAUAAUACUUGAGUCCUUCCGUUGCUGAAGCUCUUCAUUUACCCAGUCUAGGAAACACGGUGCACGGAAAAUUAUUUAUUUAUUGUAUAUUUCAUGCUGUUGGGAUCAGUAGUUGCAAAAACUAUUUUUUUAAAAAAAAAAAUACGAAAACAAAAUAUUCACCUGUGAAAAAUAGGGUGGAACUGAGCAGAACUGAAUUAUGACCAAUUUUAAUUCAGUUAAUUAGAUUUGAGAAUUUUAAUUUUACUAAAUUUUUCUAAUUUAUUUGAUUUAAAAGGUAAGCUAGUGAAAUUAUUUUUAAGAAAAGAUUAGAUAACUAAAUCAGAAAUAGGAUAUUAUUUAGAUAAAUUUUAUACAUUUUCACCUUCCCUAAAUGUAUUAUAACAUGUUGCCAUCAAAAUAACCUCCUUAUCUUAAGCUCAUUAUUUUUAUUUUAUAUCCAUUAAAUGCCUAAAAAUAUAAUGUUUGGCAUUAUCUUAAUAAUUUAGUCAUUAUAUUUAGCCAUAAUGGAUAGGAAGCAUAUUAUAAUANUAUAUAUAUAUAUAUAUAUAUAUAUAUGAGUAGGGUUAUUAUAUUUUUGGGAAAACUUCAAAACACCCCCCUGUGGUUUCUAACUUUCUCACUUUAGUACCCUGUGGUUUAAAGUGUAUCAAUUUACUCCCCUGUGAUUUUAUUUUUAUCUUUUCCAUAGCUUUUCUCUUAAUAUUUCGUUAAAUUAUAUACAAAAAAACAUCAAAUAUCCAUCUAGAUUUACCGAAUAUUUACUUUAGUACCCUUUAAUUUUAAUUUUGUCACUGAUUUAAGGAAAAAAAAUAAUAAAAUUGAUAAAAAAAGAGAAAAACGAAACUAUAGGGGGGCAAGUUGAUACACUCUAAACAACAGGAUACUAAAGUGAGAAAAUGCGAAACCACGGGGGGGUUUCUGAAGUUAUCCCUAUAUUUUUAUGAGUAUAGAGUAUAUGAGUAUAGAGUCCUUCGUACUCAUAAGUUGUUUUUUAUGAUCCACAUCGUUAAACAUGAUCUAGAAUAUUUGAAAUUUAUAGAAAAUAAAUUUCGUAACUUUUCGAAAUCAUAAUAAAGUCCAUCAAGCGGGUAUAAAAUGAAUGAUUAAAAUCGAAUGACGUUCUAAAAAUAGAUGAUCGGAUCCUUUAAUUUAAGACCGGAGUCAUUAAUCUUUAUUUAGAUGGUGAAUAAAAUUUUCUAUUAANAUAUAUAUAUAUAGAAUUAUGCUACUAUACUAUUAAUAGUACUAAGCCUUUGGUACUCUUGAGUUUUGGGCCGUUGGAUAAAAGGAUGCGCGGUUAGGAUGAUAGUGGUCUCCGGUUAAAUUGAUAGUGGUCCCCUAGGGUUGAGUGGAUGGUUGGUUUAAUAGUAUAAUCUAACGGGUGGAAAUGAUCAAAGGGUAGAUCUAACGGUAGAAAACUCAAUAGUAUCAAGGGCUUAGUACUAUCGAUAGUAUAGUAGCCGGACUCUAUAUAUAAUUUGAAUGCUCUAAAUAAUAUUUAGCCGUAUGGAUUAUCGAUUCGAAAGUUCUAUUAUCAAAAUCGACUUAUGAGUAUGAAGAGAAUCGUACUUAUAAAAGUAUAUGAACCGGACUCUAUUUUACAGCCACUGAUAGAUGCCACUCAUCAGCAAACAGGACCCUUAGGCAAAUCUGAUUUGGUAUUAAUGUUUAAUAAUAAUAAUAAUAAUAAUAAUAAUAAUAAUAAUAAUAAUAGCCCUCUUAGCUGCCUAGUUUUAAUUAACGGUAUUCUCAGCCUUUAAAUUUAAUUAAAUUGCGAUUAGCCCAUACGUUAGAAUGUUGAGAGAGAGAGAGAGAGAGAGUGAAAGAACGUUCUAGGGAUUUGUGGCACGUGUCUUUCCAGAAAUGUCCUUGGCCAGAAAUGUCCUUGGCAAACAUUUUGCAAGUGGCAACAUUCUCAUAGGAAUGCAAUUUGGGUGGGGAUCCAUUUCUUUAGCGGGUCGGAGCUUAUCCCAACGGAUUAACUUUUAUUAUAAUUUUUGAUCAGAAAAGAGCGUAAAAAGGAUAAAAAGGAAGAGCACAUCGAAAACAAAAGAUAACAUCCUAUAAUUACUCGCAAGUAACACAGAAAAAGCUCUUCCUGUGGUGGCGUUUCUCUUUCACUCAUAGAAAGGGUUAAAAAGAGACAUAACCCAUUAGCCCAUUACUAACUGUCGCCCUAACCUUUCAAGAUAAUGACACAAAGCUUAUAAAAGAAAAAAAAAAAAAGAAAAAAAAGAAAAGAAAAGAAUUGUACCAUACUAGUUAGGUGUAGUUCUUCAAAGUUUGAAGCUAAAUAUUUAAUUUUCCAAAAACGUCUAGUUCGUCGCUUUAAUCCUAAUCACCUAGUUAGAAAAAAGAAAAAAAAAAAAAAAGUGCAUACGUACAUUAGCGCACCAUAAACCGAUUGACCAAUCGAUUGACCCGCAACCAAUCUUUUACUUGGUGAUCUAAUUUUUAAAUCGAGAAAAUAUGGCAACUCAACAACAAAGGGAUUGAAAUAUGAGAUGGGAGAAGUGACAAAUAGACAAACACAAUGAUACACCGGGCGCAGGCAAAUGAAUUUCCCCAAAAGUUUGAAUAUAAGUACCGAAUUUGAAAGUUUGAAAAUGAAGCGAAACGGUUUAUAGUUCAACAGUGCAAUUUUUUCAAAUAUAAAUAUGAAUCUAUUUAUGCUGCGGUUUUUUAAGAACCAACUGUGCAAAAGCAGUGCAUAGAUCAGAAAUUAAAUAAAAUGGAUCUUACACAGAAACAAGGGAGUAAACAAACAAUUGUUGGUUUCAGAUAUAGCAAAAGAGUUGCCGCUACAAAGGUAUGGAGCGCGGUGUUUGAUUAAUUAACAAUGCGCGUCCACCUCUUAUUGCAAGAUGGAAUAUAUAAAUCACAACCUAGUCAUCCGAAAUACUACACGAAAAACACGGAGGCCGAUAUAUCAAACAAUCGAAUGUUCAAAGGCAUUCAAAACUUCUAAAAACACACAGACCGCGCUGUGGUGUAAAACAUACGGGCAUGAUGAGAUUUGGAAGACAACAAAAAUGGGCAUUUGUGUUUUCACCUGGUAGGUGUACUGCCUAUUUACCGCAUUUCAUCCUCGAGGUUGCGGAAUGCAACGGUGAGGUCGUCGUAUAGUUUCUUGAACUUCGCAACCAAAGCCUCCUCGCCUUCUGCAGGGUCUUCGAAUUUCUGGGACCUGUAAAGGUGAAGAACAUGCACUCAAGCUUCAAGGAAUUGAUUUCAAAACCCAAGAAAAAAGAGCAAGCAAGCAUUUCGGGCCAAUCAUUAGACUCAAUUUUUCACCCUCUGCAACCAAAUUCAACUAUCUUAAGUUUCGUUAACUAAGAAAAUUAUACGAAGACCCUCGUACUAUUUGUCUAUUUCCUCAAAAUUUAGGUGGAUCCCAGAAUAAUAAGGUUUAAAGUUCUACUUAGGGAUAAAUCAGACAUGAAUAUGGGCCAUUGUUGACUUACACUAGACGGUAGAAAAGGUCACCCAACCGGUGUUUGAUGACACUGUAUGUUAUUUUCUGGCCAUCAGGACCUGCUGCCCGCUCCACCGCCUACAAAUGAAUCAAAAAUAGGGAAAAAAAUUCAUUGUUCUUAUGUGAAACAGGAAUCCAAAUAAGAAAACCAUAAUCCAAGAAUUUACCUGAUUUGCCAGAGUGUGGAAAUGGAUAAUGUUGCGCAUCAUCCAUACAGAUUUGUAGAAUGGGCAAAAUUUAUCGUAUCUGUUACAAUUGUUGAAGGUUUUAAGUUGAAAUUGACAAAAGCUCCACAUAUAACAGCAAGAAAUUAGUUAUGAUGAGUAACACUUACGGAGUAAAAGCAUUUUGUGCCAAGUAAUCCUCUCUAAGAAGCUUUGCAGUCUCCAGGGUAACUUUAUCAGUUUCCGCCAAUGCAUCUUUACCGACAAGCUGAGGUCAAAAUAAUAGUUCAAAAACCCCACUGAGUUUGCAUUAUACAAACUAAAAGAUAACAAACCAUAUUAAGGUUUAAAUCCGCACAAUUAUAACUUAAUUACACUACAUUAAUCAAAACUUACUGAUGGUACCAUGUGAAGAUAAAUUUAGAAAAAGGGAAAAACAGAUCAAAGGUUUGCAAUGAGUUCGGUAAGUGGGAAAAAGACAGCAGAUUCCAUACACUGGGAAAAGAUAUGAUAAAGAGUGCUGCACAACAUGAUGGGUUAUUCGAAAAUACGAAAUUUCCGUUCAAUCAUUGGAAAAUAUGAACUUUUCAUUUAUAAACUUAAAAACUAAAUGUUCAUAAAAGAAACGAGGAUUGAAAUUUAAAGGAUUUUGAAGAGAACAAAUAAAGUACAAUGCCAAAAAAAAUUACCUGGACAAUUUCAUUUAGAUCAUCUUCUCUUUGCAACACUUCACGAGCUUUUGUUCUAAUUUCAAUAAAAUCCGGAUCAAAUUUCUCAUAGAAUGAUUCCAGGGCCUACAGAGCAGUAAAUCAUUGAGUUACUUGAAUGAAUUCCACAGAAAAGAAAAAUUGCCAGUAAUAAACCCAGAAAAAAAGUACUUAUAACAUAAAUCUUAGGCAUCACAUCAGUUAUAAAAAAACAAAACAAAACAAGCAAUAAUGCAGUGUCCAUGUUAGUGCAUGUUCUUCCCACGAAUCAAACUGAUCAAAGCUCUCAAACUUGGAGAGUAAAGACAGCUCGACAUAGCAGUAACCUCAAUACACAACACCAAAUCAACAACAUAAAACUGGAUUUCCAAGUGCCAUUUAGUGAUCCAAAUUAAGAUAUGAUAUGAAACAUAAAAGAAGUAAUAAACUAUUUCCACAUUGAAUUGGAGUUCAAAAGAAAAGCAUAAAGGAAACCUUUGAGUAUUUUGAGUAAGAAAUAAGCCAAUUCACUGAUGGGAAAUGUUUCCUCUGAGCGAGUUUCUUAUCCAGCCCCCAGAAGACCUGCAAACAAGUUACUAGGGCAAGGGUUUAUCCAGCAGUUGGUUAUCAAUAAAGGAUACCAGUAUUAGUAACAGAAAUUAUCAUUAAGGUUCCUUUACCUGCACUAUACCAAGAGUUGCAGAAGUUACAGGAUCUGAAAAAUCACCUCCAGGAGGAGAAACAGCACCGACAAUGGUCACGCUGCCGGUUCUGUCCGGAGUGCCAAGACAUUUCACUUUGCCAGCACGUUCAUAGAACGACGCUAAACGGGCAGCCAAAUAUGCAGGAUAACCACUAUCUGCUGGCAUUUCAGCCUGAAGAGAUCACAUUUUUAUCAUUAAAUUUCAUAUUGCAACCAUUUAGAAAUUAGACAAUUUCUAUGUUUCACAAGAUUUUCAGGAGAGAGUGCCAUUUUGUUGCACAAGGCUUGGAUGAUGAUGAUGACUACUUUAUUUCAAGAUUAUAAAGUUGAAAAUGGAAAGGGAUAGACCAGGAAAUCUGUUUAAUUAUAAACGUCUCUCAGUGAGUGAGCCUAGUAAUUAUGAUCUUGAAUAUAAGUUAAUUUCUUUUAAUUGAUAGCCUUGCAAAAACACCAAGUACAUGGAUUUACAAAAUAUUCAUAAGACUAAUUUGUCUAUGCAAUAAACUUCCACUAUGUGAUAUCCUAAUGACCUAUCAUAUUUUCCUUCAUUAAGUAUUUAAUCGUAUUUUCUAUCUUGAUGAUGUAUUCAGCAAUUUCCGGGGCUUGGUACUCAGCUAAACUGCAUGUAUAGAUCAAUGAAGUUAUAAGAGAAUACUCAAAGUGAGACAAGAAUAUGACGGCCCAAGACGACAUUGUCAAGUAAUUUCAAAUAAUUUGGAGAAAAAAAGCAUUAGAAGUUGUAAAUGUUACUUAGGAAACAGAAGACUGAAAAGAGUAGAGUUCGUACCAGUCGUCCAGAAAUUUCACGUAAAGCUUCAGCCCAACGAGAGGUGGAGUCAGCCAUCAUACUAACAUUGUAGCCCAUAUCACGGAAGUAUUCAGCAAUUGUAAUGCCUGAAAACAUUUAAAUAACUAAUUUAAGAAAUGGAGUUUAAUUUAAAACUGGCACUUUUCCAAAAGGUGACAAUAAUUCGUACCUGUAUAUAUAGAGGCCUCACGAGCAGCCACAGGCAUGUUGGAAGUGUUAGCCACCAGUGUAGUUCGCUUCAUGACAGACUCCUCACGCCCAUCAGGUAAAGUCAUUGUCAAUUGGGGGAAGUCCAUGAGGACCUGGACAAAGUUUGAUGCAGAUUAUUACAUAUCAAAAGAUAAAGAGGAAUAAGCAAACAGAAAACUGAAGCAAACCUCAGCCAUCUCAUUUCCUCUCUCUCCACAGCCCACGUAUACAACAGUGUCUGAGUUAGAAUACUGUAGAAGGCGAUAAGCAUAAGUAGAAGAUAAAAGGCAACAGCAGCAGCCAGAAGACAACAUGAAAAGAAGAGGACAAUUUGUUGGUCAGUAAAAUAGUUACCUUUGAAAGCGCCUGACUAAUGACAGUCUUCCCACAACCAAAAGCUCCAGGAAUAGCACAAGUUCCUCCCAGAACAGAUGGGAAGAGGGCAUCAAGAACCCGCUGAAAAUAGUUUGAACACUUGAGUAUUGAAACCAUAAUGGACCAAAAAGAAAAGGAUAUUCUAUUCCAAUAUUUCUUUAUUAAUAAUUACCUGUCCUGUUAAAAGGGGUGUAUCGGCAGCAAGCUUUGCAGCUACAGGCCUUGGUGUACGUACAGGCCAUGUCUGCAAAAGAAGCAAGACAAUUUCAGAAUUAUGCAUCAAAAGGAAUUUGCACUUAAGAGAUAAGAAUACAACUCGUUAUAAACCUGAAGCAUAGUAAACUGUUUUUUGACACCUUGAAAUUCCAAUUCAAGUACAGUAUCCUGCACAUAAGGCAACAGAAAGGAUAUAGAAUUCGAAUAAGAGGAAGAAGUUCAAACCAUAUAAAGUGAAGAGAACUUAAGUUCAAAUUAUAAGUCCUUACAGACCUUGAGGGCAUAUUGACCAGCUGGUGCAACAUAAGUUAUUUUCCCCAUCGAUCCCGGAGGAAGUGUAACAUAGUGUUUCAUCAACGUAUUCUCAUAGACAGUCUGUUAACAUAAUGAAUGAAUACAGUCAGCUAUCUAGAGAUGAGAUAUAAUUUUAGGAGAUUCUCUACAAUAUUUUGCAACAACAUUCAUCAGCCAUUAUACAACAAUUGAAUGUAGCAAUAUAACUUACCGCAUAUAAAUCUCCACCAGUGAGAAGGUCUCCAACAGCUGAAAUAACCAUAAACAUCAAACUCUCAAAUUUAAGAAAGCAGAUUCAAUCAAAGUUUCAAAGUUAAGAAAUCAGAUUCAAAGAAUAAAAUCAGGAAUUUUGGAUCAUUGGUGUUCAAAUUAUUUGAUUUCCUUACCUAGCUUUUUUGGCUCAAAUUCCCACAAAAUAUCUUUGUCAAGGGCAGGCACUGAAACUCCACGAGGGAUGUAGACAUCACCAGACUUCAAAGCAAUAGUUUUUAAUGGGCGCUGCAUUGGAAAGAUCAAAGAAACAUCCUGGUCAGAAUAAUAUAGUCUCAAAUUCCGAAAGGUCAAGUAGAUGAACCAUCAAAAAUAAAGAAAGCACAAUUAUACAAAGUUUAAUACAUGAAAUUGUCCCUGAAGUAAAGUGAAAAAUAAUUACAACAAUAUAUAAUGAAGAAAACAAGCUUUUGUAAGCAUCACACAAAAUAUUAACAAACCUGAAUCCCAUCAAAAAUGUUGCCCAAAAUCCCAGGUCCCAACUCCACUGACAGAGGCUGCAGAGGGAAAAACCAUUGUGUAAAGGGAACCUACAUAAUUGGUAUGCAAUGUUUCAUGUACUUAAAAACAAUACUUUAUGAUAUACCUUUCGAGUUCUUAAAACAGGAUCAUUAACCGUCAAGCCAGCAGUUUCUUCAUACACUGAAAUUCAAGAGCAACAAUAUGUACCAUGAAUUCCAAAUUCUUUUGUACUAAGCCAGAAGGAAACAAGCAGUAAAAAGUGGAAUAAUGGCAUGGACUCGAGUAAUCUUUCAGGGUAUGAUAAAUAAGUUUCUCAUUGUUUACCCUGAAUAGUAGCUGAAUCUCCCUCAAGACGAAUAAUCUCUCCAAUAAGAUUAUCAUGACCGACACGAACAAGUUCAUACAUGGCAGCACCUCCCAUUCCAUCUGCCACGACGACUGGCCCAGAAACCUGAAAGUUUCCAGGAAAGUAAAAGGUCAAACAACUAAUUCAUUCCAGCGCAGUUAUCAAAGAAUAACACAAGUUGCAAUUAGAAAAUGAAGAAAAUCACAUAUCUAGUUAAAGCCCCAAUUCAGGAGUCAAAGAUGUAUUCGUCGCAGAACAUAAUCGCAUCUAAGUUGCUGCUAAAGAAGUAGAAACUAAAAAGACAAUAAAGGAUGAAGGUGGCAAUUAUACAAAAGUGGUGCUGUACAAGGACAAUGGCAGUAAGCAAACAAAAUAUGCAACUGAAUGAAGCCCCACAGAAUAACACUUUGCAGCUUAUAACAGAAAAGUGCAUUAGGUUCACUAUGUGCUAAAAACUGAGCUAACUUUAAGUAAGAGAAUCCUAAAUUUUGGGAGACCUGCUCUGCUCUCUAGAGCCAUGUCCACAUUUCUGAGUAGGGCAAGCACAUUUGCUUCCCACUUGCUUCUAUUGAAAAUGAUCCACAAUGAAGAAUUUUUUUUAUAAAUAAUCCUAUCAAUUUUUAUAAUUGUAAAAAUAGUUUUUUUAAAAAAAUAAUUAUAAAAAUAAACCUCUAAAUGCGGUGAAUGAUUCACCGCAUUCAUAACUUCUCAUUAGAAGUAGAAAAAGAAUAAAAGCGGUCGCUUUUAAAAGCGGUGAACCAUUCACCGCUUUUAUAGCACUAUAUUUACAAAUAAAUAUUUAACAGGUCUAUUUUUAAAAUAAAAUUUUAGAAAAAGACUAUUGCACUAAAAAAUCCCACAAUGAACCUUAGGAUGAUUAAUAUUCCAGCUAAUAAUAAAACAAAGGAGCCUGACCACAAGUUCGAAAAACCUUAAAUCUAUCACAAUGGAUUGUCUUAUUUGGCAAUGAUUAUAGUACAAACUGGUAUAUCAUAACAUGUAACUCAAAGUCCUCUAAUUGAUAUAUUGCAACGGCGUGAGAAUAUUUCCACUAGUAGAUCAUAUCUAAGAAGGUAACACAAUUUAAGUUUCACAAUCAAGCAUAGAGCAUUAGAACACCUCCCCCCCCUACCCCCCCAUCCCCCCUUCCCCCCCCCCAAUCCCCAAUCAAAGAAAAAAAAAACCACUCAAAUCCAAUGUAGUGGAAAUCCACUGUAGUGAAUUGUCUUAUACAAUCAGCGUAAAGUCAACUCUAAUUACUUUAGCAAAACCCUCUCCACCGAUCAGAAGAGGAAUAAAACAGUCUCAUUGCUUCCUUUUUCCAAAAACACAAAAUUUAGUUAGCCGUAUCUUAGUGUAGAUAGCACCUAAGGUUUCCAGCGGUCAAAGUCUAAGUGUAGAGCUCUCUCAACUAGAACACGAUCAAUCAAACCUAAAACAGCUAUAAAUAAAGGUGGAUCCCAAAUAGUUCCAUCUUAAUCUCAAAUCUCACAUGGGAAACAACACAAUCAUCGAUCAAAUGGAAGCGAACGAGCAUCAUCGGGAUACAAUAGUUGAGAUACGGAUAGCUCAAGAGCGAUACCUUACGGACGUAUCCGUACUCGCUCUCCUUCUCCGAGUCCUCGAAGGUCGUGAGGCGAUCGCCGUACGCCAUGGCCGAUGGGGAUCGGAGGAUCGCGGCGAGGAAGGGUGAGAUCGGAACCCUAGGUUCCGAAUCGGAGAUCGGAUCGGAGGAGAGGGGAUCAGGGACGAGGGUUUUGGUGGUGGAGAUAGAGGACGAGGACGAGAUCUAGAUGAGGAGAGAGAGCGAGAGAGAGAGAGAGAGAGGGGGGGGGAAUGAGACCAAAAAUGGAGGGAUGAGGAGGGUGCCACGAAUAAGGGAGAGAGAUGUGGUACACGGAAAUAACGCUAUGCGAGAGAGCGAUCGCAUCAGAUAAAAUUAAUUAAUUAAUUAAUUAAUUAAUUAAUCAGAAAAUAAAAAUGUAUGAAUAUGCCCCCCAUCUAUAGGAUAUUUUGAAAUUCCUCCCUCGAAGGUGAAAAUGUUUUAGAUUUGGAGUUAAGAAUUAGAACGCUUAUAAAAUUAUUACUUACAUAUUUUUAAUUUUUCACCCAUGAAUAUACUAUUUUCACCUACCCUCGCUAAACUCCAAGCAUCAAAGUGCUACAAAGGGUGAAGCACAUAAAUAGUAAUAUUUUUAUAGGGAAAAUUUCCUCUAUACCCUUCUAAAAGCAUCUGAUUUCAUAAAUGACCCUUUAAAAAUUGAAAUAUCAUGUAUACCCCUCAAAUUUAAAAAACUUUCAAAAAUACCCCUGCCAUCAAAUCCCCAUCCAUAUUAAAAUUAAUAAUAUUUAUAUUCCAACUUUACCCCUCUUAAUUAUUCAUUGGUCAAUUAAUAAUUCUAUUUUAUAAAUACCCUUUUUUAUAUUUCAAAAUUAAUUAAAUUCUAUCUAGACUAAAAAUUUAGUAAAAUUCAAUUGAUUUUAGUUUGAAAAAUUAUUCAUUUUAAUUAAAUAAAUAUUUCUAUUUGGAAUAAAUUAUAGUUAAAUUAAAUUUCAUUUUGCUUUAAUGUCAGAAUGAGAAGAUAAUUUAUUUUAGUUAUAUCUACUUUUUUUACUACAUCAAUUGUAAAGUAAUAAAUUUUUUUUAUUUGACUACUUAAUAUAGAGAAAAUUUGUUAUUAUGAAUACAUUACAACUAAGAGUAUUAGUAUAAAAUCUGACCUCAAAUAAAAAAAAUAGUUAUAUUAUGAAAAACAAACUAAAUUUUUGUAAUCAACGGACUUUACAUAAACCAAUAAUUGUUUUAAAUAAUAAAUUGAAAAAAAUUUAGAAAAUGAAAAUUUUUCACAAAUUAAGAUAAUUAUUCCAUUAAAUUUAAUACCUUUGACUAAUUUUCAGUUGAAACUAGCAAAAAUUCAUUUAAUAGUUAAUUAUUAUUAGCUAAUUAACCUAUUAAUUGAAUUUCUUUAUUAAUUGAUUAUAAUAUUUGAAAUCUAAAUGGAUAAAGAAAAUUUAAAAAAAUAUGGACCACAUACAUUUAUAUGCCCCUCAACAGUUGAGGGUAUUUUUGAAACAACGUAAAUAUUUGUAGGGGCAAUUUUGAUAUUUCAAAUUAUGUAAGGCAUCUACGAUAAUUUUGAACUUUUCAGGAGUACGAAUAAAAUUGCCCCAUUUUUAUAAGUAUUCCAGCAUAAUACUAAUAUCUAGCUUAAUGAUAAAUUAUUUUGAUCGAAUCGUGCUAUAUACACCGAUUCAGUGAGCCGAAUAGGCUCGAUGAAUAGCAGACAUAUAGUAUGAGAGAGAGCACAGUUUGUUGCAUGAGCCUCCCCUCAUCUAACAAGGAGCACCAAUUUAGCAUGCUCAAAUGGGAAAAAAUAUAUAUUUUUUGAUCCAACUAUCUAUUUUUUAAAAAAAAAUUAACUUUAUUAUCUAAACAUUUUAAUUCAUAUGACUUGAGUUAUUUAAUAGCUUUUCACUUCAAAGAUUGAAUAUAUAGUUUAUCUUAAUAGAUUUGUUUAGAUUAUCCAAUGUUUAUGUCAUUUGUUUUUAAUAGCUUCGAUAAAAAAAAAUUUACAUAUUUUACAUUACUAUAUUUUUAUAAAAACAGUAAUGUAUCCGAAUCUAUACAAGAUAAUCAUCAAAUAUUUUAAAUCAAGUAUCUUUAAAUUUUAGAUUCCCCAUGUUAAAAACUAGUACGAGUCAGACCAGAAUAUGUCAUAAUUCAGGCAAAUUUCCUUCUUUUUCACUUUUGUUUUUUUAUAUAUAAUUCAACUUUUAAUUGUUACCAUUUUGAUUAUUUUUAUCAAAUUAAUCAAAAAAGUUUAUUAAAUCUACUAAUAACUUUUAAAUUUAAUGUUUAAUUACUUCUGUUAACAAACGAUCAACAACUGAUAAAAUUAUUAAUUUAAGGAAUUUCUAGUUUACUCUUGGUUUAUUUUAAAUUAAAAAGAAAAUUAGAAAUUGAAGUUAAGGACCUGUAUGAAAUUGUACACAGUUGGGGGGGUUUCUGGUAACAAAACACAAUGAGUAAACUCCUUCUCUUAAUUGGUGAUUCAGAUCAUGUGCAAGCCUUAAUACAGGGGCAAAGAUUGUGUGGACAUAGUAUCCACAUUAACAAUUUUGGAGAUGCACUGGAUAGGCGCCACGUGGCUCACAGAACACUCAUCUCACCGUCCCUUUUUCUUUCUUAAAAUAAUAUGAUUUUUUUUUAGAGAAAAAAAAGUAGAGGAAGAAAAAGGGGAAUAAACGCCUGCGAGCCACGUGACACCCAUCGAGAACGUCUCCAAAGAUAUUAAUUUGGACACUAUGGCAGCAUUUGGUUAGGGGAUAGGAAUAGAAAUAUACCCUUAUCCCCCUUUUAUUCCAAAAUGCUAAUUUUUUAUCCGAGAAUAGCAAUUCUUAGUUAUCCCCACCAACACUUUCAUUUUCUAUAUAAAAUUAUUUAAAAUUAUUCUUAUUCCCGAAAACAACCCAAUUUUAAUCUAAACAUUAUUUUUCUUAUUCUCAUACUUAUAUCUAUUUAAUACUUAUAUCUAUUUAUGUAAUAGCUAAUUCUUGCUUAUAUCCGUACCAAACGGUACCUAUGUUCAUAAAAUUUUGCCCUUAAUACAGCAAACAGAGAUAAUGUGAAGAGCCGGUGGAAGAAUAUGUCUGCUUCGAAUCAUUUACCGCCACGUGUAAUCGAUCAGAUGCGUUUCAACACUACGCUCGCCAACAAUGGAAACACAUCCAACCGUAAAUUUUUCCCUUUUAGCGCCACUAAACUCUUUAAACCCGUAAACCGUACAUCCAUUAAAAAAUUAGCAAAAAAUUAGAAAAAGAAAAUCUCAAUAAACGUGAUUCGUGAUCCGCCAUAUCUGGAUCAGCAAACAGCCGUAGCAAAGGGGUAUUUUUUUCUUAUACAAAAACAACCGUAAUUGAAAAAACGCAUAAAUACUUCAACAUUUUUAGACCUUCUAAAUAGUCAAAAUAGAUACUCUCUACUUAUCACAUUACCAAACUAAGAUACAGACACGUAAACCUGCCACCAAUUUGAGUAAUUUAAGUAAAACUCGCUAAAGAAACAUAAAAUACAUGCAGUUCUAACCCAGCAAAUACGCAGAUAAACAGCUACUCAUCCGUGAAACAGUAAUCAACAAAGCCAACGAAGUCGGAAACGUAAAGAGGCACAACAAGUGUGCAUCUCUAACUUCAAAGGCGUGUUAGUUUAUGGAGGCAUCUAUUCACUGUACGUGUGUUCUUUAUAUUCCCUGAAAGGGCUCAUUCAAAGCUCCGCAGCCGUGCAUUUGUAUAUAUCGUACUGUAGCUUCGAAUCGAUUACAUGCCCUGAAAAAGAAAAUUUCUGUCAUUGUUUAUCUAAGGAAAUAACAAGAUAACUCUUAGCAUGCUACUGCUUAGUGGAUAAUAAGAUUAACUCUCAAAUCACAAAAAACAUAAUCUUCAACCACGACUGUUCAUGUCGAAUGAAAGCAACAUACGUGGAUGGCUAUUCAAAACGUUAAAUAUUGACAGAGGUUAAGAUUAGAUUAACUUAAUGCGAGUUUCUUAAUGUAAGCCUGCAAACUAGAAAUCUAUUCGAGCUGGUUUACUGUGUAAACUGGAUUCUGCAGACAUUCAAAUCAGGACAUCAUAUGGAACAGUCAGAAACUACGGUGAAGAACUUUGUGAAAAACCUGGAAAAAAAAAGAACAUCAAGGCGACAUAAUGUAGAAUCAGCUCAGACAUAAUGUAAAACUGAAAUCAGACAACUUGAUUCACUAGUGAGGAGAGGGAAAUUUCACUUAAAAUGCAAGUGUAGGCUUCGUUUGCUAUCGCUUAUGUUUGUUUGUUUGUUCCAAACUUAAAAUUCCUGUUCGGCUGAUGGAUUCUCUGCUCUUGUUAUUGCUGGUUGGUUUACAAACUAUUUCUUUAAGAAAAAAAAGCAAGGAAAUUUGCUACCAGUGUGUAGAUUGCACAUAAUUCGCCAUUUGACAACGCAUUCAAAUAUUCAAUUACCCAUAAUUUUGAGUUUGGAAAAAACAAAAGAAUCACCGUAAUAGAUACUAAACAAGGAUUUUAAUUUUAUUUUCCUUUUUAUGUGGCAAGUAAAUAGAUUUUCAACUCAUUUUUAUGUACCUUUAGAAGACAACUUGCUGGCCAUCAACUUGCUGGCCAUCAUAAGUUAUCGAGAAAAAAACAGAAUCAUAAUUGCCAGUCACAAGGAUGUUCAAUUACUAAUUGUACAGCAAUCAUACCUCCACAUAAACAUUCUUCUUAUCAACAUGCCUGCGCUUGUGCCUACGUGAUGGAUGGUUCGGACUACUCAUUUUUCCAGUUCUCCUUAUUCUUUUGCUGCAAUAUAUAAGUAUAACCAAUUAUGAUAUUUUCAUUCUUGGAAAGGGAGGGAAAGAUUAAAUAAGAAAAGCAAAGGAAAUGCUGAUCAACCGGUAAAUAACAGAAAAUAUUUUGUAUAGACAUAAAAGAGUCGAGGCAGACAAAGCAAUGCCCUGCAAUGAUGUGAUAAAGAAAGCCUUAGAUCGAAAUAAGACAUGAUAUUCAUUGUGAAAUCUAAGAAUAGAAAAGCAAAAAAAAUAAAAAAUAAAUAAAUCAUAACUUAUACCAUGCACCACCCCAGCAUUUUAGUUGCAAGAGGUUUUGUCAAUUCAUGCUUCUUCAGGUUCUCCUGGACAGCGUUGUGAACCUAUAAAUUGAAAAAUAAACAUUUCAGAUGUUUAGUUUGUGAACAUGCAGAGAUAGUCUACAGAAAGGUAUUAACUUCGCCAGUAACCCCGACCUUUUCCAACUGAAAUUGGUCAAUUUGGACAAAACGAAGCCAACAACUUCCGACUUGACUAGUUCUGCCCAAAUUUUAUAGAUAGAUUGAAACCCCUCUUUUCUAGGAAAAGAAUAUAUGCCCUGUAAUUUAUGCUUUCUGAGCUUGUUUUGUGCCAUUUGGGCCAAAAGUACGAAUUUUCAAAUAGAAGACUCCAGAUGCUUACAUAUUGAACUUUUUUUGCGGGAAAAAACAUAAAAAUAUUACAUCUCAGACAUUCAGGAAAAAAAUACACGUGUAUAACAGAUAUGUUAUAUUUUUCCAGCUUUGCUCAGUACUUGAGAUCUGGCAUCACAAAUUUGAAGAUGAAAGAUCAAGAGAGAUAUAUAAAAAUUGGAUACCUGGUGACGAUAUGAACUUGCUGUUUCUAAGAACUUCUGGAAAGACAAAACUACAUGCUUCUUGUAGGGCUCAAAGGCGAGGUGGACUUGUGCAACAUGAGGGCCAGUGAUUGUAGAAAUUUUGUUGAUGUGAGGCUCGGAUAAUUUCUUAGCUUCCUACAAAGGAAAGUUCAAAGAAGUAAAUAAACAAUUAACCGGUGGAAAACUAAAAGCGGUAGAGAGAUGCAGCUAAGUAAUUGCAUAAUAAAGCAAACCUUUAUUACCGCUAAGAUACCUGCACAAAUGGAUCUAUUUUUUCUUUUAAGUUGAUAAUAUGUUGGUUAAUGGUACUUCUGCAGGCUCCGUAUGCCUCAACUGUUUUACCAGAUGUCAUUCGAACAUAGUGCUCAGCAAAAUUUGCUAUGGUCAUGCAGUGAUCUCUGAUUGUAGGGAUCCAUACCUUCAAAAUAGGCCAAGACAAGGUACAAAACCAUGAGAUCCAUGCAUUACAAAAGAAUGUCCAGAAUUGAGAAGGAAGAAUAACAACUAUAUAUUGCACAUUAUGGUCAAAACAUACUGCACUAACAUGGACAUGGAGUAAUUAAGAGGAAAAGCUCACAGUUUUAGCUGCAUUAAGGUGUGGUUCCAUCCAUUUCCUUGACUGGGCUGCUUUCUCAGCAACCUGACAUAGGUUUGAGAUCCAAAUUUCCACUAAAUAAAGAUAUCAAGAUAUGAUGUUUCAAGCAUCUAUUCAAAUUACAACCUUUUCAUCCUAUAUGAUGCUAAAUUAUGUUAUCUAAAUCUGCAAAAGAUGCACCUUUUGCAGGCAAAAAUCAAUAGCAGGUCUUCCAUGUCUAUCCCAUCUAGUUGAUGCAAGAUCCUGCAAGAGGAAUUUAUAAAUAGAUGAGAGCAAGCACAUGUUUAAGUUUUUUUUAUGAAAAGAGUUUCAAAUGUACCUGAAAAUACACUACAUGCAUCACCAGCCAAUGUGGUAACCACACCCUAUAAAACUGAAAAAGAACAAUGGAAAUCUUCCUAACUAAGCAAGCUAAACAUAAGUUAAUAAAAAAAUUUUAAACCAAAUAAAACAACAAAAGAAUAAUGAUAAAGAAACAAACAUGUUGAAAGCACAUAAUAGCAUUCAAGACAGGUGAUUAUAUAAGCCAUCUAUCCCCAGCCUUAGUGGGCAAUGAGGGUUCCAAAUCAAAGAUUUCCACUCGUACCCUUAUUAAGGUUACAAACACCAGAAAACAACCAGAUAUGAAAACCAGAAAAGUUCAAACGAUAAGCAAGAUAAUAGAAGAAGAGAAGGAAAGAGAAAUACUGAAGGAAAGAUGCAUCACAGAUGGAUAUACGCCUUCUAGAAGAAGAGGAAAAUAAAAUUUCUAAGGACAUCAACCAAAAGUAAACUCACUGUUAUUGGCAUGUCUGUGGUAUUCCAUUGCUCCUAUUUUCUUUUCUUACUAGUCAUUUUUUUUUAGAGAGAGAAAGAUAGCAUGCUAUCUGCUUUGUUUAUUUUUUUUUAGAAAUAAACUUAGCUGAAAAUGUGAAACAACUAGGCUUUGUUUUCUUAUUGGUCUUGAGAUCCAAUUUCCAUGGUGCAAAUAAAUUUACUUCUUUCGGUGCAGAAGAAGAACUUCAGGAAAACAAUACAUCACCAAUGACUUUCCUACAUCAUAUCUGUUCCCAAAUAAAUAGAAAGAACCAAGCACAAGGAUCAUGCAGUGAAUUGGCAGUUCUACUCACAGCCAUUGAUCAGGGCUGAAAACUAAAUGCAAUUAUUUUUCCACUGAAUGCAACUAAACCUAAAUCAAAAUAGCCAGAUAUAACGCUCAUAUUUUACCUCCGUCAACUCCUUUGCUUUUGUUCUAGCUUCUCGUUGUGCUCCCAUUAAAUCCUUCUGCAAAAGAGUAAGAGUGGCACUAAAUUGCACGUAAGGAAAAAGGGGAGAUCCUUUUUACCAACCCACAGACCUCUGCUACUUGGAGAGAAUGUUCAAUAUCAUGAAUUUUUGCCCUUUGUUCACCAUUUGUCUUUUCAACCUAGAAAAAGAAGCAAAUCACGAGUAAAGAAGAUAUUACCAUAAGCAAUACUAUAACACAAAAAAAGGGAAUUAUUUCUAGACAAGCAUCUCUCCUAACAAUUUAUAGAUGGGAGAUAAAGUAGACAAGCCAAAAAUUCUACAAACAACAAUUCACAAUUCAUAUAUGUACUAAACAUCAGGGAGGGAAAAAAAACUUAUAUAUGUACUUACUUUUUCUAAUUUUCUGAUCAAUUUAUUUACUUCCUUCUCUGCUUCACUACCCCGAACCUCAAAAGCUUCUCUUCUCUUUCUUUUAAUCUCUAAUUCGCUUUGAAGCUUCGCAAUCUAGUAACAAAUUAACGAUCACAACCACAAUCAUUCAUUACAAAACAAAUUGCACUUUCUCCCGUACCCGGUUCUGAAGUUCUUCAUUGUGUGCGUGCACCUUUCGCACCGCUUCCUCGUCUUCCAUAACUCCUUUCUCCUACCAAAUAAUACCAAAGUUCAUAGAUCAAAUACAUUGCUUAAUCUCAGAUGAAUCGAAAGAAUAGGCACAGCAUUUUCACCUGAAGCAACGCUAUCUCACUGAUUAACGAACCAAUGUAAGCUGAUUUCUCCUUAAUUGCAUCUUCCAAAUGCCUGAUUUGAUCAUUCUUUCUCUUGAGCUCAUUUAUUCUUUCCAAAGCAGUGGAUUCUACAUAUAGGAAUAGUAGAACUCAUUGUUGUAACCCAAGUAACAAAUGUUCGCAUUUUUUUAAUACCUAAAUGUUGCUAAAAUCCAAAUUAAAGAUAUAAAACAUCAAUCAAGAGAGAUUAAGCUCGCACAUCAAGUAUGGAACCACAAAUUAACUAAUAAAUCACAGUUGCUUAUGAAGCAUAUACAAACAACUCCAAUCACAUCAAUUUUACAGAAGCAGUGAACUCUUACAUGAAUAAAUAGUAGAAUUUAUUAUUAUAAUCCAAAUUAACAAAUUUGUACCUAAAAAGUUGCUAAAAUUCGGAUUAAAGGGAUGAAACACGAAGAAGUUGAGAUUAAGAUCUCGUACUUAAAAAUAAAACAAGGCGAGAAAUUUGGACUCACCUAGGGAUUCGAUCUUCGAUUUAAGCUUCUCGAUUUCCUGUUUUGGCUUCAAAUCGAAGGCCUCUGAGUCGAUCGCGUCGCCUAUCUCGUAUUUAAUACCUAAAAAGUUGGUAAAAUCGAGAUUGAGAUACCGUAUUUAAAAAUAAAACAAUGCGAGAAAAUUGAGCUCACCUAGAGUUUCAAUCUUCGAUUUAAGCUUCUCGAUUUCCUGCUCUGGCUUCAAAUCCAAGGCUUCUGAAUCGAUCGCGUCCCCUAUCUCGUAUUUAAUACCUAAAAGGUUGCUAAAAUUCGAAUUAAAGAGAUGAAACACGAAAAAGUUGAAAUUAACACGUCGUAUUUAAAAAUAAACAAGGCGAGAAAUUUGAGCUCACCUAGGGUUUCGAUCUUCGAUUUGAGCUUCUCUAUUUCCUGAUUUGGCUUCAAAUCCAAGGCCUCUGUAUCAAUCACGUCGCCUAUCACCGCAUCGCAUCGGUCGCAACAGAGCAAUACGAAGAGUAGAAUCAGAACCACAAGAAGCUUCGAAUCCGCCAUUUUCGAAGGGGAACCUCUUCUACUUUUCGCUUUUCGAGAGGAGAGGGAGAGGAGAGGAGAACGCGGGAGAAUGAGGGGGAAGAGUUUUAUUUAUUUAUUUAUAUAUAUAUAUAUAUAUAUAUAUAUAUAUAUAUAUAUAUGUUUUUUUAAAAAGAAAAAGUGUAAAUUGUGUCGACACGUUUCGGAGCGGAAGGAACGUUCGCGUGACACGUGUGUUACCACACGAGGAUGUGCUGAGGUUUUGUCGUGGCCAAGAUCUGACCGUUGAUUCACUGUGAGUGAAGGGUUGAGAAUAAUCCCCCGGCCCGGGUAGAUCAGCGGUGGACCGUGAUGAUCCAACGCGAGCAAGCGCCGCACGCAUCUUCGUAGUAAUUUAGUUUAAAUUUAGGGAAAACUUCAAAUAUCACCCGGUGGUUUCAUAUUUUUUUACUUUAGUACUCAAUAGUUUAAAGUGUAUCAAUUUAGUACUCUGUGGUUUUGCACUUUCUCACUUUAAUAUACCCUGCGAUUUAAAGUGCAUCAAUUUAGUACCUUGUUGUUUCAUUUUUCUCUUUUCGUCGAUUUUUCUGUUAAUAUUUUCAUUAAAUUAUGCACAAAAAACUUCAGAUAUCCUACCUAGGUUUAUCGAAUAUUUACUUUAGUACUCUUUAGUUUUAACUUUAUCAUUAAUUUUUUUUCCCUCCGUUAAUAUUUCGUUAAAUUAUAUACAAAAAACUUCAGAUACCCUACAUAAAUUUAUCAAUAUUCACUUUAGUACCCUUUAAUUUUAACUUUGUUCACUAAUUUAACAAAAAAAUUAGUGAAAUGAAUAAUAAAAAGAAAAAAAUAAACCACAGAGUACUAACUUGAUACACUUUAAACCACAUGAUACUAAAGUGAGAAAGUGUGAAACCAUAGGGAUUAACUUGAUAUACUUUAAAUCAAAGAGUACUAAAGUGAAAAAGUAUGAAACUACUGGGAAGGUAUUUGAAAUUUACCCUUAAAUUUAUUAUAUUUAAGAGAGAAAAAAAUAAAAAAGUGAAAAGGAAGGAAAAGGGAAAAUCGUGCCGAGCCAGUGAGCCACUGGGCUGGUUAGGUUGUUUGAUACACCUGCUCAACGCGUAAGCUGGAUUUGAAUUCAAAAUUUUAUUUUUUUUAUAUUAAAUAAAUAUAUUUUAAGAGUUAAAUUUAAUAUUGUCAGAUCAAUUAUAUUAUAUUUAGUCAUAAUUUAGUUUUUUUUAAUUAGGACGAUAUUAUUAUUAGUUCUCAUACUGAUCAUUCUUAGAGCAAGUGACAAAGCACUUGGUGGUUGGUAUCCGAGAUCAAAGUUCGAUUUCUAGUUGAUUCACAUUAUCAACUAAGUCUAUUUUUAAAUAAAAUAAACGAAGUGGGUAGCAUGCUCUUUAUCUCUCAAAAAAAAAAAAAUUUUUAUAUAGAUAUGUGUGCGUAUAUGACUCAUACCUUUGAAUUUAUACUGGUAUGUAUAAAAACUUUGAGAAUAUUUUAUAAAAAGUAAUAUUUAAAUAAUGCAAUUAGGAAAAAAAAAAGGGUAUAACAUAAUAAUUUUUUUAAUCUUACUUGUUGUAUUAGAAGCAGAAAAUUUAUUGAAAUUUUUAUCUUUGAAAUGUAAAACAUUAUUCCUGUUUUUAAUUGUAGCGCAAGUUUAUGUUUUUUUUUAAAAAAAUUAAACCAAGAAGAAUCAAGUAUGCAACAAUUCGGACGAAGAAAUAUUAUCAAUUGCACUUUAAAAUAUACUUGGUCAUUGUGUAUAAUAUACGAGUACGAUUAUUAUACAUGGUACUCAGUUUAAGCUUAAUUUAGUUGCUCCAAAAGAUAGCUUUGGUUUAUCGUAAAAAAAAAGAAAAGAAAUAUAAGUCUUUUUUCUAAAUAACAAGUCUAAAAAUCGAAAACACUGUAUAUUUUCAUUUAUUUGGAACCUUUUUUGAGAAACUAAAAUAACAUUUUUUUGAUUAAAAAACUAAUUUUCAGAAUAUUUUUAAAAAAACCAAAGGACAAAAAUUUGGUGGAGAUAGUUCUCAAAUAUAAUAUUUUGGGGAUUGUCCAGAUUGGUGCUACGUGGCAAGUCGAAUUAAUAUCAACCACCCAACAAAAAUAAAAUUUUUAAAUAUUUUUUGGACAGUUGAGAUGGAUACAGAUUGCCACGUGGCGCCAAUCCGAACAAUCUCCAAGCUAUUAUAUCUAGAAAAAUUUUUGUCCAAAAUGAAACGCCCCGCACUCCCUAAUUAUUGCCAGAAUUGAGCUCCUAUAUUUUUAAAAGUAUCAAGUUAUUGGUGCUUGUAAAUUUUUGAUCAUUGGAUUAAGAGAUGUGUGGUUAGGAUAAUAUGGGACCCUUAGAGUUUAGUAGGUGGUUGGUUAAAUAGUAUGAUUUAAUGGAUAAAAAAGAUCAAAAAAAUAAAUUUAAUGGUAAAAAAUUUAUAAACACCGAGUGCUUGAUGUUUUUACAAGUAUCACAGCCGGAUGCCAAAUACGGCAUUAAUUUAUUGAUAGUGACAAAAUGACCAUUCCACCCUCAAGCGGGUGUUCGCUUCCUGCAGCAAAUGGCGCGAAAUUAAAACGCUUUUUAAAAGAUCGAAACGCCCCCAUUUUAAAUUUUGAAAGAGAAAACCCCUCAUCAUCCCCGGAAACUAUUCAUCUCCCGCACUCUAUCUCCCUCUCUCUCUCGAUCUCGAUCUCGAUCUCGAUCUCCAUCAUCGUUGCCUCUUCGGAUUCACGACGAAGAAGGCGAAGGAGAGGAGGCGCUAGUGUUUCGCUUCGAUCGUCCUCACCCCGAAGGUUUCCAAAUCUCUCCACCGCACCUCUCAAAUCCAUCACCAUCUCCUCUUUUUCUACGUUUGAAUACCUCUAUGAAUGGAUUACUAUUAGAUUAUAGAUCAUGAGAUCAUUCAAAGCAUGGCCUCACGGAUUAUUUAUGCAAUCGUAAGUUAUAGAUCUCACUAAUGGAGCUAUUUGAUGAUCGGAUACUGGUAGAUUAAAAUGUAUGAAGAUCCCUUCAACUUUAGAUUGCUUUGAUUUAAGUUACUCCAAUCAAAUGAAUUAGGAAUUUUGUGAAAAUUAAUGGUGAUUAAUGGUUUUACCUGCUUUUUAGCUGAUGUAUAUGCUGAUUCCAUUAACGGUUAAACACUUGACAGCAACAGAGGUGUUUAAGUUAAAUGAGUCACCAAUUCAAAUGGCGCAAUAGGAAUCCAAAGUUUUUCUACUUUUAUAAAAGUGAUAGAGUUCAAAUUGAUCUUAAUGUUCGUAGGUUACUGGAUUAAUAUCUAGCUACUUUCUUUAGGAAUAGGGAGGCAUUAUUUAGGCAAAGUUGAGACAUCCCUGUAGUUUAUGAAUGAAAUUAUAUAUAUGUAUGCUUUUAGGUAUCUAUAGAUGAACGUAAAAUUGAGAAAGUGCUAUACCUUGCAUCAAGACUCAUUGCUGCUAUUGACAGCAACCAGCAGCUAUUUUAUCUCCCAAGUUUGAGCAGAGUUUUCACCAACUAACAGCCUGGGACUUGCAUGAGCCUUGCAUGAGAAGAGGAGAGUCAAAUUUAGCUAAGGACAACCUGCCGGCAGAUUGAAAAUCUUGUUAGAGAUUAUGCCGGCAAGUCAUCCUUGGCUGAAUUCCAUUCUCUGCUCCUUCACGUAAGGCGGCCAUAACAAAAAUCUCAUUCUCGUGUUAUUGACUGAAUGAUCGGAGAAAUCUUAAACUCUCCUUUAUUAUCUCUUGCCUUCAAUUCAUGAAUAAUAAUGUCCCUAUAUAUAUAUGAUUAUAAUGUUAAUGAGUUGCUUGCCAUGUUCUCUUUCAAAGACACCAGCAUCAUGAAAAGCAACAGAAAUCUCUGGAUUCUUAUUCAUCAUGCUUGACAAAAUUUCGAAAAGGGAUGUGCUAUUUACUGAUUCCCAAUCUGCAACUCUGACCAUACCGCCCGCAAUAUUUCUUCGUAUGGAAAGAUCUUUCAUUCUGAAAUGUAGAUCUAUGGGCGAUGUUCUUUUAAAGGGGGGGGCGAUAACACCAAAGGGAGGGCUGGGUUGAAAUUAUUUGAAGAAUAAGUAGCAUAAAGUUUUAUUGUAUGGUUGCACAAAGAGAAUCGUAGAGUGGAGAAUGAGAUGCAGGAGGGUCCGUUCUUAGCACAUUAUGUGGUAAAUAGAACCUACAAAAGAUUUUUGUAUUUGUUAAAGGCACUUAUUCUGUGAAAAAUGUGGUUGAUAUGCCUUUAGCUUCUCGUUCAUUUGAUUGAAUUGGGUCAAUCUUUCUCAUGCUAUUUUGUUGGCCAUCGUGAGUUGUCUUCAAUGCUACAUGUUUGUUCAGGCGUUUUCCUAGUUUCUUUCCAUUUCCUCUUAAUUAAUAAAUAGCGUACUGAUCUAAUCCCUUUUAGUGUCGUAAGGGAUUAUGCUGGAUUUGGAUUGAUAAACAUCCCAUUGGUGAAUUCAUUUCAAAUUGUUUUAUGAUUUGGUCUGUUUGGACUUUGGUCUUUCUUCUGCUUUUGAUAGACACUAAUAGACAGUGAAAUAGCUUCUUUAAAUGGCGCACUGAUUCUAGGCAACUGCAUGCAGAUUACAGCAAUACAAAAUACUUAUUCUUUGCUAAUUCAUGUUGAUUUUUAUGUUCAUAGGCUACCGAACUAGUGAUUUAGCAUAUGGAUAUUUGCUCAUGGCAUUUCGAGACACUUUUAGAGUCUCAGAGGAUUGAACAACUAAUUGAACUUGAAUCUAAUUAUCCAAAAUCACAAAUCAUGGGAUUGUCUGGGAAAUGCGAAUUAUAUUGCUCGGUACUAAAUUUAUUAACUGUUUUGCUAUUGUAAUUUGUAAGGAAUAAAAUUAGAUAAGCAAAAAGCAAAGCGAACAAACUAAAGUAUAGUGGAGAAUAUGGUGUAACUAAAAUAAAUACAUAGCUUUUCUCAGUAGAAGGGCCUUUAAAGGAGUGAAGCACAUUCACAUUGCGUGUAGUGAACUAUUGAAUCGGAGAAGUUUGUACAGAAGUGCAGACAGACUUUUUUCUCCCUCCCCUUUUCAAGAUAGGUAAUAUACUGACUGAAGGAUACUCAGCAGCAACAUUGUGUGUAAAGAAUUUACAGUACAGUUUGGAAUGCAUAUUCUUCUGAAAUUCCAAUGUGGUGAAUACUUAGACUAUUGGAGUCAAUAUGGUCAUUUGCAAGGCUAAACUUAUUAUCUGUUAUUGGAUGCUAAGCUAACCAGCAUUCAUCUUAUUCAUAGUUACAGAAAAUCUCCAAGAUUUGUACCGCACAAGCUAAAUUCCACUCUGUGGUAAUGACCAAUUGGUGAUUCCAGGAUUUCUGUAAAUUUACCAUGUUUUCCUUUCUUUUGUUUUCUUUUUGAUAAAGUUACAUAGGCUAAGGCGUGUAACUUAACUGAAUUAAAUGGAUUUCGCAUGUGAAGUUAUUAAAUAAUUACUUGUAUUCUAAUAUGAAUUUUGAGCAACAGUAGGCCAAACCAAGUAUAACAUUAACAUAUUGGAAUGUCGAAAAAAUAGCUCACUGGAAUCAUACAAACAAAAAUUGAACACACAUUUUCCCCUUGCAGACUAAAUCUUGAUGUCUUAAUUAGUUUACUUCAUUACAUAAUUAAACUAUUUAGAGUGAGGAUUAAAAUGAUGAAAUGCUUUAUUAUUGCAGAAUGUUGACAUGUUGAGUGGAGGAACAUUGCUUUUUUUGGGAUCACAUUACCUAAUUGAUUUUUUGGCAAAAUUUGUUAGCAUAGAAACAUAAAAUGUUCAAUGGCUCAAGUUCAGACAAAAUGUCAAAAAUUCGUUUGAGGAUUCCUAGAAUUGUCUGAAGUAGGGUAUUUAAGUGCCUUAAUGCUAGGUAAAGACAGCAAUACAUGCAGGACAAAGAAAUGGAAUAUCAAAUGCAGAAAAGUUGGUUUAUUAAAUGCUCAUUUAUGCUGUUUGAAUACCUCAAAAAUUUAACGCAUAAAAAAAAAGUCCUAAAGCAUGUGCUGUAAAUUCUUCUUUUUUUUUAUUACGAAUAAACAAUAUAAAUUACUAACUCUUAGUGCAGGGAAUAUUGACUUUAAACUACACUUUCUGUCUAUUUCAUAAUUUGGAUAUUCUGUUGUCAAUUCAAUAGUGAAAACUUCGAAAGUUGCACGUCUCUAAUCUUAUGUAUUUAAUCAGAAAUUCCUAGCAUGAUCUGAUUUUAUGGACUGGAUCAAAUAAAAUAAAUUUUCUUAUAUGUAUCUGUAGAUUUUAUUUCCAAGGAGGUAAACUACAAAUGUGAUGUAUUUUGGGGAGUUAUCUGCAUUUAUUAGCUAUAAGAUGACAAGCAUACGUGACUCUGCAUUAUAAUAUGUCAUCUACAGAUAAUUUUUGUGGAUGGGAAGUGUAAUUAUAUUUAUGUCAAAUAUCACCUUGUAAUUUUGAUUUGAUUAGUGCCCUUAAUCCAAAACUGAGGAUUAUAAAUUUCGAAUUAUUUCAUGACCUCAUACAGAAAGUUGUUAAUUUAAAAAUUCAGCAUACUUUCCAUCAUGUUUAAAAAUUCUAUGAUAAGAUCUUCAUUUCAGUGUUGCAGAGUGACCAGAAAUAAGUAAAACUUAAAACAUUGCCUGUUCUGAUUAGAAUUUGGUGGCUUUUCGUGUUCUAUAUGAAGAUGAAGGAAGGUCAAAAACUAAAACUGCCAUCUCAACGAAAUAUGGGAUGAUGUUAGGUGUUUCUCUUGCAAACUAGAAUCUUGUCUAUCUUUUUGAAGAUGAAGAAAGGUCGAAAUCUAAAAUUGCCAUCUCAAAGAAAUAUGGGAUGAUGUUAGGUGUUUCUCUUGCAAACUAGAAUCUUGACUAUUUUUAUGAUUAACGGUGUAAGUGGUACUAAUAGAAGAACACUGUUCUAAGAAAAGAAAGAGUAUGAACCUUAGGUUUCCAAUGAUGCUCCUACUGUAUCAUGAGGUAUCUAUCUUUUUGUUGUAAUCAUGAUCUUCAGUAUCUUACAUUAUAUGAUAUAGAUGUAAUGUCUGCAUUUGAUGUUUGCAUGCAUGCAUGCGCUGGACAACUCAAUGCACAACCUAGGCAAAAGAAGCUAUAACUUCCCCGAGAUUGAGAGAGACGUCCCUUAUUUUGCAAAUGAUAUGCCUAGUAGCAUGCCUGCCAUGGGAUGGUGGGAAAUUUCCUGUGAGAGUAUCAUGCUAUUAGGAAUUAAAAAUACCUUUUGUUCUCAUACUUAUUACAGUGCCUCCAUUGGAAAAUUCUAUUUACUUGCACAAACACCAUCACCCACUUGAAAAUCAACAAUCACAUGAACAUGCCUUGCUCUGUCUCUUUCUCUGUACCUCAUAAUAGUGCAGUACCUCUUACUAGUUGGCAGAUAUCCUAGAUCUGCGUUCAUAUUGUAUGGUUUUUGGAAUUUUUUUUCUUUAAAUGAUAUUUCCAGUAUGUAAUAUCAUCCUUUACCCUGCAGGUAAAAUCAGAUGCCAACAUUGAUCUUUUGCUGAAAGAUCGACAAUUGCGGUCAGGCCGGACAGACCAAGAAAAACAGUAUGUAGUGUUACUGCCAUCUGUCUUGCUACAUCUGUCCAAUGCUCAUGUAGGCCCAGUUGAGGUCAUUGCUUUAAAGACAUAGAUAAAACUGUUGAAUUAGACUCCCAAAUAGACUUCAAUAAUGUGUCAAAAUCAUAAGUUACUAAUGAAAAUUACGAUCAGUAAUUUUUGCUUCCUCAUAACUGGAAUGCUAGGUUUCCUAUAUGUUGGCGUGUUUUCUUGCAUAUAUGAAAGUAUAUACAAUAAAAUUAUGAGAAUGUAGACGAGAAAGUGGAAAGAGAAUAAACCAAUCAAGAGUUUAUUUUCUUCUUUUUCUCUUUGAUAUAUCUGCACAAUUGAUGAGAAAAUCAUUUAUCUUCUCUUCUCCCCCCUAUUUUCUCUUGUCUACUCUGCAUUCUCUCCAAUGCAAACAAACACAAAAGAGAUGCACAGUAAUUACCUUUUGGUACGUACCAAUAUCAUGCAACUAAUGUAAUACUAAUACUUUGGCAGCAGGAGCAGAAACGGUCCAAGUCAUGCAAAAGCCUUACGUGAGGAGAAGAGAGUGAUACGUAGCCAAGGACAAACUCGCCGUCAAAUGCAAUGGAGUUAUACAAUACAUAUGUCUAUACAUACGUACGUACGCAUGUCUGUGCGUAUGUCGGUAUGCAUUUGUUCCUCUUAGGCCAAUGCCGGCAAGUCAUCCUUGGCUGCAUUCCACUCUCUGACCGUUCACGCACGGCCGUCGAUGAACAACUUCGGCGAGGUAAGACCAUCAUCUCUUCAAUCUUCUGCUGCUUCAUUCAUUCAUCGAUGUUGGUAUAUCUCUCACUCUCUCUAUAUAUAGGUAGGAGUAGACUAUAGUAGUGGUUUUGCUUGUCUAUGUGACUGUUUAAUUUUGGUUGGCCAUGGAUGGUAGAAGGAAUAAUAAGAUCUCUUUUAUUAUUCUAUGUAGGAAUUCCACAAGAUAGGAUUAAAAAAUGGGAUAUGUGGUGCCAAUUCAAACUUUUCCUAUUUGGGUUGGAGAUGAUGAGGGCAAAAAAAAAAAACAAAAUAAUUGGGCCCCUAUUUCCUUUUUCUAUAGUGGAGGUGUAGAGAAUGGAGAUGUCCACCUCUUAGAGGAAGUUGCCAUAUUUUGAAAUUUUUGCUAGUUUUGUUGUGGGAAGAGAAUUUACAUUUAAAGGAGAAAUGUGGUAGUAGACUAGUAGAGGUUGCUUUUGUGGCUUAUGAUUUAAAUUAAGCAAUUUAAAAUGAGAAUCUGCAAUUAGAAUAGUAGGCCUUUGCCUUUUAUAGCUAUUCAUUUUGGUUUCCUUUUUUACUUGACCAAAGUGGCAGUUGUUUUUUCCUUUCAUACCUUGUGGAUUCAAACUUACUUAGGUAGCGUUUUGUGGACCAAUAACUUUCUCUUUUUUUAUGGAUCCGAGCUAUCAUUAGGUCAUUUAGACAAAUUUUUAUUAUUCUUCACUUAUUUUAUGCUGAUUUUGGUUUAAUUUGCAAGUCUCCAUGCUGCAUUAAGAAAUCCACCAAAAAAAAAAAAGCAUUGAUCAUCCCUAUAAUUUCCAAAGUUUUUUGGGUUCUAUGGUAGUUCCAGACUCUUUUUCGAUCUUUCAAAACAUAAAAAAUAAAAAUACAAAUACAAAUCUGUACAAUUGCUAUUAUAUAUGCCACGUGUUUUGAGAAAAUGCUGCUACAUAACAGCAUUGAAUAUCUGCUCUUUUUUACUUAUUAUUUUAUCGAACGAAUAUAACCCUGAUUAUUCAGGUCGUCACAACUUUUACUAAAUUGGCAUUUCGUAAACUUGCUUUUUCCACAAGCAUUUUUCUUGUUGUUUUUUAUUUUAUUUAUGAGUGAGCGGUCAUUAACCGGUCGUAACCAAGAAAUUUGGGCCCUAUGGGCUUGGUUAGUGUGAAGGGCAUCAAAUUAUUCUAGUGGACUUUUUUUCUUAAAAAAUUCUAGUGGAAUUUGACAAAAGGCCAUCUAGGUGAGUAAAUUUAAAUUAUUUCCUUGCAAAGGACAUUUCGUACUUUUUUGGUUGGUACUUAUAAAGAUGGGAUAAUUUUAUACAGCUCCCUGUAAACAUAUCGAAUAACAGAUAUAUUUCUAUAAAAAUUAAGUUUUAUAUUUAUCCCUAAAAAAUUUCUAUUAGUUUGUUAAGUGUCCGUUAGAAAAAUAUAGUUAAACACAUGUAAAAUACUUAAAUCUCGAUUAGUGAGUGAAGUACUUUGACCUUUCUAUCCUUUUGAUAUUAUACCUUAUUCUCUCAAUCAAAAUUCUACUAAUAGGACCUCAUUUUCUUCUUCCUCUUCCUUAUUUUCUCUUCCCUUCGUGUUAGUUUCGAAUUUGUAACUAGGGUUUCUUCAUCCUCAUUCAUCCAUAAUGCUUGUUGUUUCUCCCCAUGUCGAGCGUCGGAUAAUUAGUAUUAGAUAGGUAAAGAUGAUAAGGAGCGAGAGAGAGGUAGAAAAAAGAUUACAACAAUAGUGUAUUAGGUUAAUUUUUAUAGAGAAAGAAGAUGAUUAUUGAAAUUUUUUUAAAAGGACAUUUCUGCAUUAUUCUAGUUCUUGGAGGAACAUAUUUAUGAUGGCAAAUUAACAUUUCAUUUAUUUUUUGUUAAAAAAUAAUCAGUAAAUUAACGGUAACAAACUAAAAGAAAAAAUAUGAAUAUUAUUGAAUUUUGAAAGAAUAGAUUUGAAAACUUAAACUUUAUGAAAAUAUAUUUGUUAUUCAAUAUAUUUAUAGAGAGCUGUAUGGAAUUAUCCCUAUAAAGAUAAUAUAUAAUAAUAUUGGUGACUCUAUACGCAGCAAAUUGGGGUCAGUGGGCUUAGAAUUUUACGGGCCCUUUUGUUUUUGGGUGACAGAAUUGGAUUCCAAACUAAAAGCAUUGUGUGCUUCCCCCAGUGUCAUUUCGAAACGUGUCCGUUUGACCUCCAUUACGUAACGGAAUUUCUUGGAAAUUUAUACUCACAUGAAAUGAAAGAUUCAUGCUAUUUAUCUAUCAAGUAAGACGCCUGCUAGUUCAAUUUCCCCAGUAUCUUAUCACUUUGAUAAGAUUUUUUGUGCUCAACUACGUUUUGUUCCGAUAAUAUUUAGAAUCUUUGUUUAUCACUAACAUAGAUUUUUUUUUUUGAGAGAAAGAUAGCAUAUUGUAUGUUAUCCGUUUCGCUUAUUUUUUUUAAAAAAAUAAACUUAAUUAGAAAUAUGAAUCAACUAGGAUUCCAAUCUGAAACUUCGAGUAUCAAUUACUAAAUUUUUUACCACUUGCGCUAGAGAUGGAUUGCGUUUGGCUGGGUCAUCCUAAAAAUCACACUACUCCUGACCUUUCAAAUAACCUACCAGCAGGCUAUAAAUCCAAUUAGCUCGGUUACUGAUAGAUUGCGUUCCUUUCCAUCUAUUCAUCUAUUCCAGACCAAAUUCACAUCAUCGCCCAAAUCUCCUGACUGGACAUUUUCUAAGGUCAUCACUAUAAGAAAUUUGAAAAACACACACUGAGUAAAUAAGUGGUCGACAGUUUUCUCUUCAGUCUCACACAGCACACAGAUCGUGUUGCUAAGCCAUCAUCUCUUAAGGAGAUUAUGUGCAGUAAGAGGCCUCUUUUUGAGGACGAGCCAGCAAAAUACUUUCACUUUUAAUAAUAUUCGAAAUCUCCAAAUCUUGCUAGUACGGACAUCUCUCGUGCCGCUGUCGGACAACGCAGGAUAUAAAUUGAACACAUUUUAUUCCGUUCUUUUGGCGGAUCAGAAGGGAUUCGAAAUUAGUUAAUUUUUAUCAUAUUUUUAUAUUUAUUUGUCACUCUAUUCAGAACGGAUUGAUGCGAGAGUGAAUAUUUGGUAAAUUUUUACGGAUUGAAAUGGAUCAAAGAUAGAAUAGAGUCAUUCUUUUCCUGCUCUAUCUCCUUAGCAAAUUGGGAUGGGCUUUUUUUUCCUUUUUUUUUGUCUUUUAUUUAUCUCUUCGUUCAGGGCAGGUUGGGAAUCGCACAGAAUAUUUAGAAUAUUAGGGAUUGCAUUUUCGAUUUUCAAAUAAAAAAAUUCUAGUUUGUAGGUUGAAUAGGCGGUUGAUUUAUUUGCUAUUUGGGAUGCAAAACAAGUUGGGUUUAACGGACCGUCCCUAGAGCAAGUGGCAAAGAGCUUGGUGGUUGGUACCCGAGGUCUCAAGUUCGAAUCCUAGUUGAUUCACAUUUUCAGCUAAAUUUAUUUCUAAAUGAAAUAAACGAAGCGGAUAGCGUGUUAUCUAUCUCUCUAGAAGAAAGCAUUAUUGUUAUCGGCAGACUAGAAAUAGUUACAAGAAAGCACUUUUAGCUUUGUCUCUUUUUUCUUUUUCUUUUUUUUUAAAACAACNAAAAAAAAAAAAAAAAAAAAAGAAGCUGGGUUUAAGCUCGGGCUGUAUAAAGAUGCCACAAUUUCCGCAAAGACAUUGAGAAGCAUUUUGUUUUUGAGAGAAUAGGUAGCACGCUACCUGCUUCAUUCAUUGGAAGGAUAAAUUAGACUAUAAGAGUGAGGCAACCAGGACCUCAAAGGUUUAAAAAAAAUAAAAAAAAUAAAAAAUAAAAAAUAAAAAAUAAAAAAAAAUAAAAAAAAACUACUACCGAAUUUCUUCCCAAGAGGCGAUUAGAAGAAAGCAUUAUUGUUAUCGGCAGACUAGAAAUAGUUACAAGAAAGCACUUUUAGCUUUGUCUCUUUUUUCUUUUUCUUUUUUUUUAAAACAACUCUAAAUGAAUAUUAAUUUAUAAAGAAUUAGAGCACAACAAGCUCCUGCGAGGCUUUAAUUUUUUAUUUUUUUAAGAAAAGUAGUAUAUUAUCCGUUUCGUUUAUUUUUUAAAAAUAAUAAAUUUAGUUAGAAAUGUGAAGCAAUUAAGUUUCGAAUUUAAAAUCUCGAGUACUAAUCACCAAUUCCUUUGUCACUUACGUUAGGGACAGUCGGUUAGCACUAGGUAAUAAUUAUUUUUACAAAAUUUGACAAAAGAGAAUACUUUUGUUGUAAUGAAAAUUAGAAAUAAAAUUUAAGGCUCCUAAAUAGAAAGUCUAAUUUGACAAAAAGAAUAUUUUAGUUGUAAUGAGUAACUAUUUUUGGUCCGCUACCUUCUACAAAUCCAAUGGUAUCAUAUCAGAAAUACAGAAAUUUGUUGUAAACUAGACCGGGUAAAAAGACGAGGAAUUAGGUUACAAGCUAACUCGAUAUUUGCAGGAUAGCCAUCCAUUUAUGAAAUUAAAGCUGCUCAAAAUUUCUUGUAUACCAAAACAUUGGUAGUCUAUCGUCAAUAUGCUUGGACCGAUUAUUUCGAGCACAGGUAGUAAAGAGCUUGGUGAUUGAUACUGGAAGUAUAAGCUCUAAUCUAUUUAUAUUUUUAAUUAAAUUUAUUUUUAAAAAAAACCAAACGAAGCGGAUACACUCCUUUCUCUCUUUCAAAAAAAAAAAAGAAAAAAAAAAAGGAACGUGGUGAGACCUGGGUGAGUUUUGGGUUCCCACACCAAUGAUCUAACAAGUUUGUAGCCGUGUUCUUUAAACUCAGGUUUGAUUUAGAAAUCGUCUUAAAUGUGCCGGCCCAAAUGUUUGAUAAUACCCAAUAUUUACCUGUCAUGAUAAUGGGCCGUUUCGUCCUUGUUUCCAUGGAGUUAUAAGGACUGGGUUUAAGGAGCCUUUGGGCAGCUCGUUAAUAGGAAAAAAAAUAAAAAAAUUAUAAAAAGAUCCUUCUUUCUAUAUUCUUAAUUAAAGGCCGUACAAAAAGUAGUUUAUUCUUUUUUUUUUUUUUUUUCGAGAGAUAGGUAGUAUGCUAUCCGUUUAGUUUAUUUCAUUUAGCUAGAAAUAUGAAUCAAGUAGGAUUCGAACCUAGGUCUCGGGUACUAACCAUUAAGUCAUUUGCUACUUGCUCUAGGAAUGGUCGGCAAAAGUAGUUUAUCCUACUAGCCCAUUUCUAUUGGAAUGGAUGGAAAUAGCAGCUCCGAGAUUAAGGUAGAUUUUUGUAAGAGGGUGGUUGGUAUCCGAAGUUCUAAGUUUGAAUUUUAGUUGAUUCAUAUUUUCAGCUAAAUUUAUUUUUAAAAUGAAAUAAAUGAAAUGUCUAGUAUGUUACCUAUCAUUUUUUUUAAAAAAAAAGAGGGUGCAAAUUUGAAACCAAAAAAAGAAAAAGAAAAAAAGAGUGGGUGCAGAUUCAAAUAUCAUAGGAUAGCUUUUCUCAAUCCAAAUACAAUCUACAAAUCAAAUUCCAAUACUAUCUACGAAUCAAAUUCAAUAUCUUAUGUUUCACAUUUUUACUAUGGACAUGAUAUGGCUCAAUUUCCAAAAAGCGAAUCCUAGUUAUUUGCAUUACAGAUGUAUUUGAUUGAUAAGGAAUCCUAGUUAUCGAGUUCAACAUCAUGAAUGGUGUCAGGUCGCUGGUUUAUUUGAGACAAACAUAGGAAAAAUUUGAACGGAGGGAGAGCGUCCCAUUUUCCUCUAUCCCUUCUAAAUUUACCAUCCUAUACACUAUUGAGAUUCAGACGAAUAACUUUUAAAUGGAAACAGAUAUAACUUUUAAAUGGAAACAGAUAUUUAAGAUUCGGGUGCGGAGUAAAUUACAUGGCUCAAUUAAAGCGUCUCAUUUGAGUUUUCGUCAAGACGCUCUACAGUGAAGUCGUACUCGAUAAAUACUGUAGACAAUUUUUGUACAGUAAAUUAUCAUAUAUAAGAAUAAUAAUAUAUUAAUAAUAAGAAUUGAGCUAGAAUAUUCUUAAAAUCAUUAAGCUUUUGUUUGGUUCGGGAUUAACGGGUGGAAUAAUCCUUUAACCUCCAUAUUAUCUCCAAACACUUUCAAAAAUGGGUGGGUUAGCUAAUCUUACCUAAGGGAUAGCCCAUUUUGGGUGGGGUUAGCUAACCCCACCUAAUCCCACCAAAUCCCAAUCAAACAUUAUUUUCUAUUCAUAAAAAUUCACUAUCCUUCUUAUCCCACCUACUCCAAUCAAAUACUAUUUUUCACUAUUAUGGAUUAACUCCAACCCCCAAUCAAAUACAAAAAUACUCUAACUCCACCUUAAUCCUGAACUUAAUCCUAUUUCUGGAAUAAUUAGUUUUUCCUUAACCCCGAACCAAACGGUAGCUAAGGGUAAGGGGUUGGUGCUUUUAGGUUUGUAGUCUUUGGAUGGAGUAACGGAGGGAUAGGAUGAUGGCGGUAGGUGGUGAUAGGUGGAAUAGUAUUUGAUCCAAAGACUAUUAGUAGUCAAAUUGUAGAUCUAAAGAUUAUAAACCUAGAAGCAUCAAGAGAGGUGCUUCCAGGUGUAUUCUAGCUCAACUUUUAAUAAUAAUAUAUUUUUUGGGAAAAUCAGAUAAUAUUUAUCUACGACUAAGGCGUAGUUUGGUAUUGAGGUCUAUCUGACGCUAUUAGAUAAAAUGGAGUUAGGAUAAAAGUACAUAGGAUAUAUUUUUGCAUUCUCCGAUGGAACUGUAGAAAAUAUAUCGUAAUUGACUUAUCGUGAUAUUCUGAACGUAAUAUUACGUAUGAAAAUAAAUAUACUAUUUUUUUAUCGUACUUUCUCACCGUACGUAACGCAAUUUUUUCUGUAAUCCCAAACAAAACCUAAAUCUGGAAAAGUCGAACAAUACCAAGUCGGCAUUGGAGUGUUUGAGCCGAAUCUCUCUUUUGGACACUUUUUGGGCCAGCUAAAGUAUCACCCUUUUGAAAUUCUAUAUCUGUGCAACUCUCCAAACCAAAAAUCUUUAUUAACCACCGACCGUUCCUAACGCAAGUGGUAAAGAACUUGAUGGUUGGUACCCGAGAUCCUAAGUUCGAAUCGUGGUUGAUUCAUAUUUCUAACUAAGUUUAUUUCUCUAAAUGAAAUAAACAAAACAGCUAGCAUGCUAUCUAUCUCUCAAAAAAAAAAAAAUCUUUUUAACCCUUUCCAAUUCCAUAUUAUAUAUUAGAUCCUUAGCUUUUAUGAAAAAAAUAAAUGCACAAAAAAUUAUGCGAGUGAACGAAUGCUUUGUUUACAUCAUUGUAGUCCUCAAGCAAACUAGGGUUUGUGUUUUAAGCAUGGUAGCAAAAACUGUUAUAUUUUGUGCAGUUCUGAUUUGCACGAAAUUUUUACGCAUUUGUUAAUCUCACCAUCCAUAAAAAUACAGUAGGUUAGGAAUUUCUUGUGCAUUGGAAUUCAAAAUAUCUACACUUAUCCUUCCUCGAGGACUACAGCUCCAGGAGGGAAAUUCACCAUCAUCAAACAAAACUGAAAAAGAAAAAAACAUAAUUAACCACACACCAAUAGAGCUAAAACACUCCUUUUCUUUGUUACUAAGACAGUGACAAAGCAGAUAAAACAGUGUAGAUUUUUAAAUGACGUUUUUUUUAAAAAAAAUUGAAAGCCUCCUCAAAUAGCUUCAUCCACUUAGUAAAAUCUCCCAUUUAUCAUCAGCUUAAUUUUCCCUACAUAACAUUCCUUUUGUGCUCGUUCUCUCUGUUUCUCUUCUUUUCCUUCCAUUUUUUUGUUAAAAUAAAGAAAUAUUUUCAAAUACUAUCUAUGUAGUUUCGCAUUUUCUCACUUUAGUACCCUGUGAUUUAAAGUGUAUCAAUUUAGUACUAGGUGAUUUUUUUUUCUUUUUAUUAUCUAUUUCAUUAAUUUUUUUUUUCGUUAAAUCAGUGACAAAGUUAAAAUUAAAGGGUAUUGAAGUGAAUAUUCGAUAAAUUUAGAUGUGGUAUCUGAAGUUUUUUUUAAUAUAAUUUAACAAAAUAUUAACGGAGGAGCUGACUAAAAAAAAAAUUGAAACCACGGAAUACUAACUUAAUACAUUUUAAACCACAGAACAUUACAAUAAGAAAGUGCGAAAUUAUAGAGGUGGUAUUUAAAGUUUAUACUAAAAUAUAUACGAGAAUAAGCAUAUUCGUAGUACAAAGAAGACCACUAAAGUUUCUUCUCACAGCAUGUCUCCUCUCUAGCAAAGCUUUGUGCCAACAAUAAUAACUUGAUAAAGAAGCAUAGAAUCCUUUCAACUGUUUUUUCUGUUCCCUACGUUUUUCUCUUACUUCUCCUUAGAAAUGUGCUUUCCUUGUAAUACUAGUGAACACAUAUCCCUAUUCAAAUGCAUCAUGUACCACAACAUGGUACUGCAAAAUUCUCCUGGGUCUUGUGCAGCACCAUACCACCAAUUCAAACCCAAAGAGCUCCUAGAUAGAUUUCAAACAUAUGGGCUGUUCUUCGUCGAAGGUAAAUGAUAAUGACGACGACGACGCCGUCCGAAUUUGCAGGGAUAGGAGGAAUUUCAUCAAACAAGCCAUCGAGCAAAGAAACCGAUUUGCUUUUUCCCACGUCGCGUAUAUUCAUUCCCUUCUUCGAGUCUCCUUUGCUCUUUGUUAUUUCUUCGAAGGCGAUGAGCGCCGCCAUUUCUUGAAUUUCGAUACGAGCAUCCCAUCUAAACCUGCGGAAAUUUUGGUCCCUGAAAAAAUGAUGCUUGCUAAACAAUCCGAGGGGAUCUCUCUCACUGUGAAUUGCUUGAGAUCAGUAGGAAAUCCAUUAAUCACUAUGGAGCAAUGGUGGCCUCAAUCUCCGGAAACCAUUAGACUCGAAUCUUAUUACCCUAUUGAUCUUCGAGAACCUGAUACGAGAACGAACCCGCCAUUCUUUUCGUCUCCUUACAUUGCACAAAACUACUUACAAGAACCGCCUCAGUGGGACUUCUGGAACCCUUUUUCACCAACAGAUGGAUAUGGAUAUACCUUUCAGAGUACUCCCGACCGUUUGAUUACUGAUGAAGGGCUAAGGCAGGCUCGGGAAGACGAGGGAGUUCCUGAUCUGGAAGAAGAGGCAGAAGAAGAUAACAAGAAGAUCGAGAGCUCUCCGGUUUACUCGAGGAGCAACAGCAAAGCUAUCGAUAAUGGAGAGCCCUGUGAAGCGGAAAACAAAACGGAGGAUGCAAAUGAAGGACAGGAAUUGAAUACACAUCCAAUAAACAGAUCGAAUGCCUCAGAGGAACGAAGAACGGUGGAGGUAAAUAACGAGCGGAGGAGGAUCGUUGGAAGUGCGCAAGUCGGCGAAGAAGAAACUCGUGGAUUCGUAGUAUAUGUUAAUAGUAGACCGACGAGCAUGGCGGAGGUCAUGAAGGAUCUCGAGAGCGAAUUUGCGAAAAUUUGUGAUUCUUCUAGCGAGGUCUCUGUACUGCUAGAGACAACAAGAACAACGGAACGAUUCCCAAACUUACCUCGAGGUAUGCUCAUCAUGCUUACCUAUGUUUCGGUUUAAAACUUGCACAUAUUUCGUCAUUUGUUUUUCCUUUUUUCCGGAAGGAGAUUUUGUAUAUGUUUGCAUUGGCGAAACUCUAUCGGCGAAAAACAGCCUAAUGUUUCAUAUCAUUUCAUGAACUCUACCUAGAAUAUAGUUGCUCUUCUCUAGAGUUUCAAACUCCGCGACUUUGUUCUACUAAUCACUAUCCCUGCUCGUUCAAGCUUCUACUUCUCCAAACAACAUUGGCAACGAGAGCGGUGGCGAUAACACGGAGGAAUCUUUGGAGAUAUUCAAGAGCCACAAAUCAACAUUGGAUAGGUUGUACAUGUGGGAGAAGAAGCUGUACGAGGAAGUGAAGGUAUUUCACUUCAAUAUUUGAACAAGAAACUACUACCUCAAAUAAGAUCAGAUAUUUUGCGCUUAAUUUCUAGAUCUUAGAACACAAAGUACUAAAGAAAGAAAAAAGAAAAUCUUCUGAAUGCAGUUAGAGGAACAAAUACGGUACGCGUACGAGAAGAAAUGCAUGCAGUUGAAGAAGCAGGACGAGAACGGAGCAGAACCUUCUGCCGUCGACAAGACGAGGGCGGCGAUAAGAGAUCUGCAAACUAAGCUGAGAGUUUCGAUAAGCGCGAUCGAGUAUAUAUCGGAACGAAUCGAAGUUCUGCGAGACGAGGAGCUGCACCCGCAACUUGUGGAGCUGAUAAAAGGGUACUUUCUAAAUGGCUCUCUACUUACUAAUUUGAAAAGAAGAAAAAGAUUUUCUUUUAUGUUGUUUAAUUUCUUUUUCUAGUUUGGUUAGAUUUUUAACACACCCAAGUUUGCAUUUGAACACACAAACAUGAAAUGUUGUCUGUGAAGUGUUAGGUGUUCCAAGAGACAGAGCUGUUUGUGCAGAAAAUAAUAGUUGAGAGUUGAGACCUGCUUUUUUUUUUCUUUUUUUUUUUUGUAAAUUGCAUAGCAGUCCCCGAACUUUGAGCGCAGUUUCAUUUUGGUCCUCAAAUACUUUGGAUAUUAAAGGCCUUAAACUUUUGAACUUUUUUAAUAAAUUUUCAAUGUAGUCCUGGAACUUUUCACAAAAUUUCAUACAUUGGUACGUACGUGCACAGAUGCGUUGGGUUGUAGACUUGUAGGCAAUGGUUCAUACUCCGAACUGUAAAAAAUUCACAAACUUGAAAGUCGAGGACCAAAAUGAGAAUGCGCUAAAGCUUGGGGACCAAAUGUAAAAAACAAAAAAAGUUUGUUGUGCGCACGAUUUAGUUGGGGCGGGCGCAGGUUAGCGCGGAUGUGGCGAGCCAUGGCGGAGUCGCACCGGAUCCAGAGGCGCACGUUAGACGAGGCCAAGCUCCUCCUCUCCUCCUCCGCCGCCGCGAGAGAGGCGGCGCCGCCGCGGCGAACCCACCGCGCCGCCGCCGUGCUCGCGGCGGAGCUCCGCGUCCUGCGCGCCUCCCUCGCGUCCUGGGUCGGCGCCCAGCGCGCCUACGCCGCCGCCCUCGCCGGGUGGAUCUCCCGCUGCGCUCCGCCGCCGCUCCCCGGCCCGGUGCCGGCGCCGCUGCCGCCGCCGCCGGUGUACGGGAUGUGCGUGGCGUUGGCGCGGGUGGUCGAGGGGGUGAGGGAGGAGGCGGCGGCGGAGGCGAUCGAGUCCUUCGCUGCGGCGGCGGCGAAGGCGGCGGCUGAGGGGCGGAGGCGGCGGAGGGGGGAGGAGACGGAGGUGGCGGAGGGGGAAGGGGAGAGGGCGGUGGCGGCGGGUGCGGCGGAGGCCGUGGGUGCGGCGGCGGAGCUCGCGGGGGCGGCGGCGGAGGGUUUCGAGGAUUUGGUGAGGGCACUCCAACAGGAGGAAGAGGAGGAGGAGGAGGAGAACGAAAGGGCGGAGGAGGAGCGAACUCUGGUGAUGUGAAUUUAGUUUAAAAUCUUUCUAUGAUGGGUUUUAAUUCUGAUUAUUACAUAUUCCAACGGAUUCAAAAUUUGAUUUGUAAAUAUUUAUCUCAAAAGUAAUAUAUAGAUAUAUAUAUAGAGUCGGCUGAUAUGCUUAUAAAAGCACGGAACCCUCCAUGUCACGGAGCCCUCCGUGUUUUUAAGUUGUUUUCGAUGUUCGGACUUUUGAAUCGACGACCGGUUCCGUUAGAGUUGAUCUAGAGUAUUUGAAGUAUUUAGAAAAUAAAUUUUGUGAUUUUUCGAUAUUAUUUGCCUAGUGAUCGAAGGGGCUCAAAAUAAAUAAUUUUAAUGACCGUGGUGAGCCGGUUGCAAGUUUAACGGUGUAGAAAUAUUCAAAUUACAUGAAAUUUUGAUAGAAAAUUCUUUAUACCAUAUAAAACAAGAUCAAUAACUUUGAUCUAAAAUUUUAAUGUCAUAUCCUUAUAUUUUGUAAGAUUUUUAUUUUCAGUCGUUGAUUUUGAGCCACUUCGAUCACUAGGCAAAUGAUAUCGAAAAAUCUUAAAAUUUAUUUUCUACAUACUUCAAAUACUUUAGAUUAAAUCUAACAGAGCCGAUGGUCGAUUUAAAAGUCCGAACAUCGAAAACAAAGUAAAAGCAUGGAGCCUUCCGUACUUCCAAAAGCAUCCUAGCUGCACUCUAUAUAUAUAUAUACAUAUAACAAAAAAAUAAGCUGCUAUAAAACACCCUCCAACGUAGAACUUUCGUUGUGAAACAAUAAUUUUCUGUCAAUUUUUGGCAACAUUGAAAACUUAAAAAACAUCUUUUAUUUUGCUCGCCGCUUCAGUAAAGAUAAUUAAAGUACUAAACUAAAAUGGGCACAGAGGCAACCGCCCAAUUGCAGUGAUCUAAUUUGACUUAAAACAGCUUUUCUGAUCGUCCGCGACGUAUAAAGCUAAGAGUUUUUCAAUGAAUUCAAAGUUUCAAACAGCUCUACUCAAAUAAAGCUGAAACUCCACCUAAGCAAACAAGCCCUUAUUAAGAGUCUUCUAAGUUCUUACAGCUGGACAAGAACAGAGAAUCCUCUAGACAAUGAAAGUAAAAUACGGAGACCAUCAUUGUCCAAGUGCGGCGACAGCAGUUUAAAUUUUAAGCUCCCUACAUAAUACCAGAUCGAAAUUUUGUUGGAGCUGCCUCUACAUUGUCCCCGAGCGAGCUUCCCACUGCCAAAUGUCGGCGCCGCAGCUCGUAACUUCGCUAGCAAUCCUGUUCUCCAAGCUCUCCAAGCUUGUGAUGCUUUGGAUCGGCGAGUUUUGGUUGAGUCUCGACCUCAUUUCCUCGAUGUUGUUGUCCAUCCGCGCGUUGUCUACUUGUCCGGUGUUCGUCAUUCCGAUAUAACACGGGUCAUCUGCUUGAAAAUCCAAGUUCGGAAGCACUUCUGAGGAAGCUCGACACGGGUGCCGAGUAUUUAGAAUCUGCGGGGAUCCUAUAUGGCUUUGGAGGAGAUGAUCUAUGCUACAUGUUAAAGCACCUCUAGUAACCAUAUCUUCUGCCAUCUUUACCUGCAGCAUAUUCGGGAAAUUUAUGCAUCCACUCUUUCGUCAAAAUAUUGCCGGUUAGAAAGAAAAAUUAACUUGCCGAUUUAGUCCCAGUGACUAGAAUGACCUAGAAAUAGGUACCUUUACUCUCAAAGCUUCCACAUCUGACUUGAGAAUUCGAUUCUCCGUGACAGAAUCAGUGAAUUGAUGGUUGGCAUCCGUCAACUGUUUAUACAGAGAUGCGUUAUCUCCUCUAAGCCGGUCGACCUGGUAAAAUAGACUAAGGUGAAUCCGCAUAUGUAAUGGAACUUUUAAAUUUCUUCUCGAGUUUUGACAUAACUGCGGAUUUAUCAGAGAACACAGAUAGAUUCGACGGAGUAAAAGAAAGCAACUGGUGUAACAGAAAGAGAACAUAAUGUCAGUUUCCAUGUAUAUUGGUAGACUUCCAUCGAUCAGCCUUCAACCUAGAAUCAUCUUUCCAGAAGUUGGUGCGGGAGAGCGAACAGAGCGACGACAGCUAUAAAGCUAAUCGAGGCAUGUAAAAUACAUAAUCGACCAUCUUGAAUGCAGUUUAGUUAGGCUCAUUCAAAUGAAGAGCAACAGCCAAAUAACUCUUUAGACAUGCCAUGAUAAGCGGGGAAGAGAUGACAUGUUUGGCUCCCUUUAUUCGGAUAGCCGCAUAAAAAUUAAUGUCAUUCUGGAGCGUAUAACCUUGUUUACAAAUGUAUUAAGAAGAUAAUCAUAAAUUGGGCGUGAAAUUAGAAAAAAUUAUAAACUUACACUGACCGAAAGAUCGUACCUGCGUCUCGAGAUCGGCCAAAUGGGCUUGCUUUCUCUUUCUUGAACGUCUCGCUGACUCCCGAUUGGACACCAUCCUUGAAAUAAACAAUAGGGAGCGGGAUAGAGUGUUUUAACAUAGGGAUUUGUUCGUCAACUCUCAAGAUCAGAAGACUCAAUGGUCACUUGACGCGUUAAGUUGCAGAGGUACAGCAAAUUAUACAAAAGUACUACGCAGUUUGUUGGGCAUGCUUUCAAAAGUUAACGAGCAUUUGAAGUAUGUAAUUUUGUAUUGUACGGAAACACAAAAUUAGCAAUGUUCUUAGGUUGGAUGGAAGGAUCCAGAAAGAAGAUUAUUGGUUAAGACAUCUUCUCUUAAUGCUUUCCUGGAAAAAGCCAAUUAAAAGCAUGGCUGUACCUUCUCAUGCGCUUUAUAUCAACAACAUUCGCACUCUGUUCGCAUGCCCCAAGUUCUUCCAGUGAUUCGUCAUCCGACUGCUCAGAACCACUCGUUCCUCCGAGAGCUUGAUUCUCUUUCCCAUUGGGUUUGUGAGGUGAAGUUGGACUCAGCGCUAUCAAAGAUUUAGAAAAAUGAGAGCAUUAGAAGUCAGAGAAAAAUGACUUUCAUACCUUGAAAAGGUGUGCCUCAGGCGCGUACCUUGGAGCCUAAAAGCAAAGACUCCGCCUUGGCAUAGGUGGAAGAUGCAAAUCAGAAUAUGCGAAGCUAAGAUGCAGAAUAGGUGCUAAAAGCUAGGAUUUGUAUGUCUAAGUCAAGAGGUUUACAGAAACAGCUUUCUGAUGCCCAUACAAACGGCUAAGAUGCGGGCUUUAGAUAAUUUUUGGGUUUUUAGCACUCUCCAUACCCAAUUUGUAUCAUUUAAGUGAUUUUCUGGUUGUGUUAUACUUUUGAAUCUUUCUUGUGAUAUCUUUAUGCAGGUCAUUUCAAAGAGUAUUUUUACGUUUCUGAUAAUCUGUGCAAAUGUGUGCCUCAUCUGUAGCGCCUUGCACCUGGGUGCGGCUUUGACUACUUUGCUUCCAUCAAAGUCAAUGGGAAGGACUCGGACGAUUACGCUAAUGUUUUAGAAAUUUACUUGGCACGAUGAAAGUUUCAAGUACAAAACCACCAAAAAAAAAAAAGUGCGAGUAUGCUAUUUAAUUAGAAUGAAUUAUGCUAGAUCAAAACCAUACUUGAGAUGCUAAUUAUAACGUUCAAUCGAGAAAACUUAGCACUAGUUACCAGAAGAAGAAUUAAGAAAUUAGUUAUAAAUUCAUCUACCACAGAUAGAGGAUGGGGAUUCGAUUGUUGCAGAAACACUCGAAUGUCGCAGGUUAAGGUUAUGAGACCAAAGUUGGUUGUUGAUGCUCCCGCUUAUCGAAUCCUGCUCAAAGUUUGAAUAUCAUCAAACAAAAAACCAAAGCAAGAAAAAAAAAUAAAAAAAUUAUUUGUCUAUGCCAGCUGCAACAAGUUCAUGAAAAAUUAGGAAUAAGGCUUUUCACUGUGAUUAUACUACACCUAACUCAGAAUUAUCUCUUCUUAUAAUAUGAUGUUCAAUUUAUUCCUUUUUUCGGACAUAAAUUAUUUCCGUCCACCCUUUGUGCCAGUUUCAAAAUGCGUUAUAGAGUAUUUGUGUUUUUACCAAUAUAAAAUGGAAAUAAGUGUUUAUGCUUCUCAAGUUAGCUACAUGCAUGCAAAAAUUAGAAUUUUAUCUAAACAUGAAAAACGUGAAAUUACAGGGACAUUAGCUAGAAAGUAAAAGGAUCAGAAAACCAGCUCAAUAUCCGGCAGUUGGUUUGGGCCGUCAGACACAUUCUCAGUUAAUCACGACCGUCCAUAAAUUGAACGGCCGUGAUCGGAACGUGUGGUGACCGUACCAAGGGCAAGUGUCCAGUUAUUAAUUCUCCUCAUCAAUAUAUAGCUUGUAAAUAGAAGGGACAAUUGAAUGUCCUUGCAUUGUGUAAGAAAUGGUAUUAUGGUAGUGAGAAAAUAUAGUUUCAAAGUAAUACAAAAUAAGAGCUAGGCUCCUAUGCUUUCGAAAGUACGGAAGCCUCCGUACUUGUAAGUUGUUUUCAAUGAUGAGACAUCCGAUUCGGCAAUCGGUUCUAUUAGACAUAAUUUACGUUAUUAGAACUACCUAGAAACCAAAUUUCAUAAUUUUUUGACUUCGUUUGUCUAGUAAACUAAUAGCCUCAAAAUGAAUGGCUGAAAAUAAAAAUCUCAUAAAAAACGGUGAUAAAGGACUCGAAUUUCAAAUCGAAAGUAUUGGAAUUGCUAUUGAUGUUAAGUAGAUUUUUCUAUUAAAUUUUCAUUUAAUUUGGAUACUUCUACACCGUUGAACUUAAAAACGUGCUACAUCGGCCGUUAAAAUAGUCAUUUUUGAAACCUUUUGAUCGCUUGGUAAAUGAUGUCAAAAAAUUAUAAAAUUUGGUUUCUAAAUAGUUCCAGUAGGGUAGAUUAUACUUAAUGGAGCCGAUCGUCGAAUCGGAUUUCCUAUCAUCGAAAACAACUUACGAGCACGGAGGUCUCCGUACUUUCGAAAGUAUAGGAGACUUACUCUACAAAAUAAUUAAUCUCUAAAUUUUGUUUAAUAUAGCUGCUAUAUUUUUACAUCUGUAGAUAACAAAUUUACGUGAUAGAUUAUUCAUGCAGAUGACAAAAUACUAGCAAUCUACAUCUCUAAUAAUUUAUUUAAAAAAAUAAAAAUUUGACAACAAAACUUUUUAUCAUGUAAGCUAACCAGCUACGUAAAAAAAAAAAAAAUUCCAUCACAUGUAGUUACAUAAUAUAUUAAAUUUAAAAUAAAUACAACAUCGAGAUUAGCAAAUCAUGCCUAAAAAAUUUUCUUUUUCUCCUAGAAAAAAAGGUGCUAAAUCUAAGUUCUCAAAAUUUAUCUAUUUAUUUAUUUACUUACUUUUUUACUUUAAAAAAUUUACUACAGAUCGAACACUUCUCGCUAUACUUAAUUAUCUCAAAUCAAACACUUCUCACUUCACUGAUUCACACAGGCCAAACAAAUGAGUAAUCAAUCGCAUCAAGUUUGAAACUACAAUUCCGAACUAUAUCGCUUAGCUACUACCGAUCAAACAAAACCCUAAAAGCCGCGAUUCCGUAAAACCCACACAAUUAAGGAGUUCGAUCGCGAGCUUACCCGAUCGGCGCCGAAGCCGAACCCUAGAUCGCCGCCGCAAACGUUGGCGAAGGGUACGGCGGCGCCGCCUCUGCCGCCGCCGCGGGGCUUGUUCUCCGACGAGGGGCGGAGGAGGAGCUCCUCCCCGCCCUCCUGCGGCUGCAGCAGCGCCUCGAGGACCAGCUCCGACAACGACUUCUUCAUCCCCGCGCCGAUCUCGUCGCCGACUCCUCCUCCUCCUCCUCUCCCCGCGGAGGGAUUCGGCGUCGCCUUCUCCAUUAGUAGACUAGGGUUUCGGGGUUUGCGGUGUUCGGGGGUGUUCGGGGGGAACGCAAAAAGACGAACGUGCGGCGAGCUGCGGGAGUGGAAAAAAAAAAAAAGAAAGAAAAGAAGCAGAAGUAGGCCGCGAAAAGAGACAAGCCUGUGCAUUUGCCAUUUGCGUUUCUUACAAUUACGGAAAUGCCCAUUCCCCGUUAUAUAUUAUGUUAAUCUUUUAAUCAUAUCUAUAUUAAUACUUAUAUAUAGGAUUAUAUACUAGUAUAAUAUAGGCAUUGUUCGUAUAUAUAUAUAAUUUGAAAGGCUUUUAUAGAUUUCUAAUUUUGUGUAAAUUUUUUUAAAUAUAAUAGAUAAGAUAUAGUUCAUAAAAUUUGCACAUUACGUAUAAUUCUAUACACAAAAAAAUUUUACGUAUAAAAUAAUUUCUUUAUUUAUUUAAAAUGAGCUUUAUUCAGACGAUUCAUAACGUAGUGAAUUAUAGAAAAAUAAAAUUCAAAAUAUCCGCUGAAAAAAGGUAAAACUAUUGUGCUUAAUCUUUUCAUGUGUACAUAAACUCAAACAAUACCGAAAAAUAUUAAAAUUAUGUAUUAAAAUUACGUUUUAUUAUCAAAUACUUGAUCGUUGGUAUCCGAAACCCAAGUUCGAAUCCUAGUUGAUUCACAUUUCCAGCUAAGUUUAUUUCUAAAUGAAAUAAACGAAGCGGGUAGCGUGCUACCUAUCUCUCAAAAAAAAAAAAAAAAAAAAAACUUAGCUAGCAAUGUAAAUCAACUAGGAUUCGAAUUUCGGACCUCGGAUACCAACCACCGAGUCCGUUGCCACUUGCGGUAGGGAUAGUCGGUAACAAUUUUUAAUUGAUGAAAGAAAAAUUUGCUAUAGAAAGGGUGAGGAUUUGGUGGUAAAUAUGGGGACGUAGGAGGGGUAAUUUGGGAAAUUCACUGGGCGGGAAAAUGGAGGUUGAUUUGGAUCCGCACCGGUCGUGUAAAGCUGGGUGUCAUAUGAACACCACGUACGAAAGCGCCCCCUUUCCUUCUUUUUCUCUUGUUUCUUUUUUAAUUUUCCAUCCCCUUCCACGUCACCCGCUCCCCGGAUCCGCUGCUCGGUACGAUACACACUUUUUCAAGACUACGCCACGUGUUGUAAUAUUAUUGGUCAGCUCCUGCCCCUUGUUGGAUUUGACCAAUGGGACGUGGAGGAAUGUAUGAAUUUGUGUGGGAGAGGAAACAAGUGAUGUAGAUGAUGGUGAGGUGACGUCAGUGCCCCUAGCAUUUCUCUUUCUCUAUUAUUGAGUGCGUAACAAUAAUAAAAUUAUUAUUAUUAUUAUUAUUAUUAUUAUUAUUAUGGGUAAACUUUAAUAAACUUUAAUUAACUCUAUUAUUCGUAUUUUUUUCUGUGAUUUAAAGUAUAUUCAUUUAGUGUCAUGUGAUUUUUUUUUAUCAGCUAUUUUUAUUAAUAUUUUUAUUAAAUUAUAUGCAAAAAAAUUGCAGAUAUUCUAUCUAAGUUUAUUGAAUAGUUGCUUUAAUACAUUUUAAUUUUAACUUUGUCACUGAUUUACUGAAAAAAAUUAGUGGAGGAAACAAUAAAAAGAGAAAAAUGAAACCAUGUGGUAGUAAAUUGAUACACUUCAACUACAUAGUACUAGAAUAAAAAAGUGCGAAAUCAUAGGAAUGGUAUUUGAAGUUUUCUCUAUUAUUAUUAUUAUUAUUAUAAGUAUGUUUGCGUGAAAUACGGUAGGGUGCUUUUCUUUUUUUCAAGUGUAAAUUACACUUUGAUCCACAAAUGUUUUUUUAUUCAAAAGUUUUAAAUUAUUACAAUUUAAUUUUUUUGAUUAAAUAUUAAUAAAUUAUUAAUAUAAAAAUGAUGUUGUAUCUUAAUUAUUUUUACAUUAUCAGUUGCGAUAUUAUUACAACACUUUUAUAUUAUUAAUUUAUCAACAUUGUGUUAGAAAUUUUGGUUUUGAAAUUUAAUUGUAAAAGUUCAAAAAAUUUGAGUAAAGAAUUAAAGUAAAUUAAAAUUUAAGGACUAAAAUAACGCAGUCCAUAGGUUGAAGACCAAAACAAUAAAUUACCCCUCUUUUAUUGAAUAUAAUAAAUUGUCACGUGAGAUAAUUUUUUAACAGAAAAUUAUUGGUAUUGGUUACAGCCACAUGAGAACAAUGUAUAUAAUAAUAGUACUAGUGCUUUUGGGUGAAUUUUAUUAAUUUUUAGUGUACUUGUUUAGUUAAAAUUUAUUUCUUUAUACUUUUUACUGAAAAAGAACUGCAUCACUUUAUGUUUUUAUUAUAUUUUUCUUUUAUAACUCAAUAAUGUUAGAUGAUUCUCAUUUAUAAAUUGGAUCUUAUUCUUUAUUUGGAGCUUCUCGUUGGACUAAACAGGAUCUAAACUCUCUCAUAAACAAUAAAUAUUAGCAAUUUUUUGUAGUAAUGAUUCAUGGUUUAAUUUGUACUUAAACUUAGAUUGUAAUUAUGAAUAUCUCUUCAUCUUUUUAGUCCAGUUAAUAAUUAACCCUUUUUUGGUUCUUCUGUUUGUUUGCAAUUUUAGAUCUAUUUGAACUAAACAUGAACUUAAAAGCCCAAAAAUUAAAAUAAAUUAAUACUCUGAUUAAUUUGCUGAGAUUAUAGAACUGAACAAGUGUGACAAAGAUUGAAAAUGAAACAAAGUCGAGUUCUAAAACUUGUUGAAAAUUUUGAUCACUUAUGAAAAAUUUUACUCAUUUUGUUUGUUCACUAAAAUAGAGCUAGGCUAGUAUACUAUCAGUAGCACGGAGGCCUCCGUGCUACCAAGUUACUUUCAAUGAUGCGGCUUCCAAAUCGACGAUCGGCUCCGUUAGACUUGAUCUACACUAUUAAAAGUAUUUAGAAACUAAAUUUUAUAAUUAUUCGACAUUAUUUAGAUAGUGAUCAAAAGUCUAAAAAGUGACUAUUUUAAUGGUCGAUAUGAUGCGUUUGUGAAUUUAACGGUAUAAAAUAAUUCAAAUCCGAUGAAACCUUUAUAAAAAAAUUCUUUUCACUAUUUAGAAUAAGAUCAGUAUCUCUGAUCUUAAAUUCAAGUCUUUUAUCAUUAUUUUUUAUGAGAUUUUUAUUUUCAGCCGUUCAGUUUUUCAGUUUUAGACCAUUCGUUUGAUGAGUAAACGAUGUCGAAAAACUAUAAAAUUUAGUUUCUGAAUACUUUCAAUAGUAUAGAUCAAGUCUAACGAAGCCGAUCGUCGAUUUAGAAGCUACAUCAUUGAAAACAACUUGGCAGCACGGAGGGCUCCGUGCUACCGAUAGUAUACCAGCCUAACUCACUAAAAUGUUUCAUACUUCAAAAGUAAUGUGGGACAAUUAUAUAGAGAUAGGAGUUUAAGAUACUGAAAUUAUGUACUAGCAAAGCCUCCAAGCUUUUCCUCCUUCCAUGUUAAAUUUCUUAAGCCUUCCGAAAAACAUAACCAAAAUGAGGAUCAAUUUUCCUUUCGCGCUCCAUUUUCCGACGAAACCAUACGAAAAAUCUCUGCAGUAUGUAUCUUGCUUCAGUAAUCUUCUGCAGCUGUAGCCGAACGAGUAUCCGACAUUUCCGUACGCACUGCAACAUUAUUGUUGAUCAGAAAAACAAAAAAAAAAGAUAUGAAAUUGCCAAAAAUGAAACUUUUAUGAGUCUUGAAUAGUUUCUCAUGUUGUUGACUCAUUAUUUAUUCCUGUUUCUAAAUUGUACAAAACUUGGUAAUUUAUGAUAAUGUGGUUAAUUUGCGAUCUUUAUAUCAAAUCAGGGCAAUUAACAUUACAUUGUACCACAAAUUAUGUAUUUCAAUAAUCCCCGCCAAAAUUUGAAUUCUCUGAAAAUGUCUUAGAUGACUCUGCAUCAUUAGAUAGGAUGUGUUAAAACUAAGAUCUCGCAUUGAACAUAUACAACUUGCCUGAUCACUUCAAAGACUAUGUUGAAGACAUUGAAGUUCAACGGGUCCGCGGACAUCGCGCGCUUUUCGGUAAUGCAAAUUAGAACAACAAAGAUUACCAAAUAAGAGAUCUGAGAGAAAACCAAAUUGUCCACUGUUCUGUUGCUUUUGCUGUUCUCCUCUUUUUCAUCUUCCGAACCCUGUUCGUCGUCGCUCACGGGGAGAAACGAAGUAUACGGAGGAAGGUACCUGCGAAAUAGUCGAUCUUAGAGAUAUUACGCUCGAAAUUCGCAUUGAAUUCGGUACGGUUCGAGAGAACUUACAUCAUGGCUACGUACAACACUAGGACUGCCGAAGAAAGGGUCGAUAAAUCGACGACGGAUUCGCCGGCAUGUCGUGAAUUCACCGACUGAAAAAGCGCUGCUGCUAUUUUCUGACGACAGCUCAUUCCUGCCAGUCCGUCAGAAUUCCACUCCAAGGCGCAGAAGAAUGCGCUUUGCACCGAAAUGAAGCCCAAAACUGUCGAAGCCAAGUACACGGAUUGCCGAUGGGGGAGCAAAUGUUUGUAUCCCGUCGCGCUCGGAUGCUCGAGAAUGUAGCUGUAUCCUUCUCUUCCUGUGAACUUCUUCAUGACCCAUAUGGCGAGUCUCAAGAACGGCGGAAACAGAGUGUUCCCUGCUAGGAUUUGAGGAAUGAUCAGCAACAGAAGCAUGGAGUUGUUCUUAAACGGCAUCAUGUUCUCGUUCACGGGAGUGAAGCCGCAGUUUCCGAACGAGGAAACGGCCGUGAAAAUGGAGAACGUGGAGAUGUCGAUGCCUUUGCUUCGCAGUAUGUCGCCCGCACUCGAUACGAGGAUGAGAUACAGCGAGAUAAGUAGAGAGCCACUGACAUUUACUAGUGUGAGAUAGCCGAGUACGACGUAGCCCAAAGACGCGACAGCCUCAUGCUUCAGAUGAUCGAAAUUCAGGGAAUCGGCGGAUUCGAUAUCUGCGCAAAGUGGUUUGGAUCUUUUAUUGAUCGACUUCUCUUUCGCGAGUCUUAACUUCGUGAAUUGUAGGCUGAUCAUCGAAGUGAAGACCUCGCCGCCGAUCAGCAUUAAAAUGAUUAAGACCCAAAGCUGAGGGUUCGAAAAAUCCUCCAUUUCGACCGUCCCCAUGCUCGAAACAGUUAAAGCAGAGACGGCGGUAAAGAAUAAAUCUAAGCCAUUCGGACUAUUGGUUUCAUUACUUGACUUUAGAGUCUUCAGAGCUAGAAAGCCACCAAAUGAGACUGAGGUGAAGUAAAGAAACUGGAGUAGGAAGAGAUUACGCUGCAAGAAUCGGUAGGAGCACUUCGCACGAUCUCGAGCAAGUAUGGUAGAAGAAAAUAGUUUCGCUGGUAUGUACGAAUGCGGAUACUGAAACUUUUCAACAAAUGCGGUAAGAGUAGUAUGCAUUUUGCUUGGCGAAAAUGGUUUUGGAGAGUUGAACUUGGAACUUGCUUAAGUGACAUUUAUAGUACACAUUAGCCCUACUCAAAAUAGUUUUGUUGAUCUCUAGAUUUGUUCCCUGUAGGGAAUUGUUGCAGGAUCUGCAUAAAAAGUAUGGAAUAUGAAAAGGAUGGGGAAAGUGAUGUAUAAUUGAUUAGUGAUGUUCACUAUAUAUAGUGGCGAAUAAUGUGAAAUUAUUGAGACAGGAAUUAGUUCUCUUCAGGUGCAACUACAAAUGGUGUCACUAAGGUGGUUCCUUUACUGUAAUGUUCUGCGAAAGUACUACACGCAAGUGAAAAACUAUUGUGAGGCAAAAACUGAGAGUCAUAUUUGGUCAUCUGAGAACAUGAACCCCUUUCUGAUGACUAUUCUUCAGUGUUCUAUUGAUUUCGCAUUCUCUUCUUUAAUCUUUUUGCUUAAAAGUCGUAGGAUUUGAUACGAUUCGCUGUCACGUCUUGAUUACAUCGCAUUAGUAAUCUACCAAUUUUCCUGAUCAUUCAAAGUACGAAUUUGCUUUAAAACGAAAUCGUGCCAUUGAGAUAUGUUGCUUCAACUUGGUGAUUUGUUCUUGUUUCCUGAUUGCGUGUCGAACAUGGUUAACAAACAGCUAUUUCAUUUCUACAAGCUUAAGCUGUUAGUGCACAGUAUUUUUUUUUUUUUCACACCAACAAAUCUGACAGCAUGAGAUUUGGGAUAAGGCAGACUUUAUAAGCGGCAUACAAAUUUUGCUCAUUCAUCAAAUAUGNUUUUUUUUUUUUUUGAUAUUUUAUAUUGAGUAUCAUAGAUAUGUAGACCUUUAUACUCAUCCAUAGCUGUUUUUGUAUUUAUGGUUUCACAAAUAACACAUAAAUAGAAAGAUGCCACCUUUUGUAAUGCCAUUCUACAAAUCUCAGCAUUGACAUGUUGCAUCUCAUGCAAGAUACGCGAGUCUCUUCAUCAAAACAGAGAGAUGCUGGUUGCGAAAAGAAAGCUUAUUCCAUGGACCAGAAUCUUAAAGAAAUUGUGAUUUGGUUCCGAUUUGAAGAGCAUUGGAGAAGCUCUCUUUAGCAGCUUCUUAAGCAAUAUGUGAAAAACUGUUCCCAUAAUGUUUCUUAUUACAUCAAUUUUCCGUCCUAAACACAAACAGUUUUGUGAUGUUUAUUUAGUUUCAGUUCUUCGUGCCCACGGCUUAAUGACUAAUAUAUAUUUACAUUCUACAUGAUUUACCUGAUCCUGCCACGCAUUAAUUUGAGCGAAAAUGUUAUGUUUAGUGAUCUUGGAAAAACCCAAAUAUAUAUUAUUGGACCGGGCUUGAGCUUCGACUUUGCGUAGAAAUGAUUGGAUGCACAACCAAUAUUAAUAACUUUUAGAGUACAAAUAUAACCAAUAUUAAGCUGUUAGAGAAUGAUAUUUAUAUAUUUUUAUAUUUAAUAGUUUCUUAUGCAUAUUCCUUAAAAAGUAGAACAACUACGCAGAUAAACAACUGGAAAACACUCCAUGCACUUUCUAAUCAAAGCAAGCAUAUCCUUCACGCCCCCGAUGGUGCUUCCGUUGCACGAGCAUUCAUUUCUCAUCUGACUCUAUCCUAAAUCUAUUAACAAAAAGAAAAAGGCUCCACUGAAUCGAAUAACUCGGGUUUAAAUUUAGUUCAGAUCGGUCGAGAUCAGUUUAGCUUCCAACCCGAGCCCCCAGACAUGCUGAACAUCUUGAGCCUUCCGAAUAGCAUGACCGCCAUGAGAGUUAGCUUACCUUUGCUGCUCCACUUCCCCGAGAAGCCGAUCCAUUCGUCUCUACAAAACCCGUCGGGCUUCAGCUGCCGCUUGCAGCUGUAGCCGGUCGAGAAGCCCACAUUCCCAUAUGCACUACCAUGAUCAAUUUAUAGCUCUAAAUUAGGGCGUAAUAACAACGAUAAGUUGUGUCACGGAAAAGUAGUGCUUAUUUGGCCUGACUUUUUAAAUAAUAAAUUCUCGAAAAGAAAAGAUAUCUAUUGACCAAGCAAGAUACCGGUCUCGAAGCAUCAAAUUAUAAAUGAGUUAAAAAAGAAAAUUUCUUAGGAAAAAAAGACCUAAAAUGCAAAGUUCAAAUUAAGUUUAGAAAAUAGAGUUCUGAGACUGAAAUUGAAAUUAUAUAAUAGUUUAAGCACUUGAUUGAAUGUAACAAAUCAAAGUUUCAAGUGGAUCAGUAUAUUUGUGAAGCAAUAGUUAUUAAAAUACUUACCAAAAUUGAUAAAAUAUAAUAAUAAUACUUGGGACUAAAAUAAAUUUGUACCUUACUACCUCCACAACAAUGUUUAACACAUUGUAGUUAAGGGGAUCUUUGGAGAGCCCUCUUUUCUCGGUGAUGCAAAUGAUAAUGACAAAAAUGGCUAAGUACGUGACCUGUGAAAACAUUAGCCUUUGCAAAAUGCUUGUCCUCUUCUCGUUGUUUCGAUCUCUCGAAUGCUUAUUAUGAUCAUCGCCGUCGAGCGGAAGGAAAUAAGUGUACGGUGGUAGAUACCUGAGAAAGAACCAAAAAAAAAGAAAAAAAAAAAGCUUACUGUUAGCACUCUUCGAUAGCCAUAACACGACUAGGGUGCAUGUUUGACCUGACUUAUGAAACAAGCUGAGAAAUAAAAAAAAUAGAUAUUUGAUAAAUAGGGAGCCAAAUGAGUUUGAAGUUCAAAAGCAAAAGCUUCGUGUAACUGCGUCACCCAAAAAGCAUUUAAGUUUAAUUUAAUUUCAUCAUUAUUUUGGCACUGGAAGAGUGAAGUUUAAAGUGCUUUUUGAUGCUCUUUGGAGCUCUAAAGCAUCGAAUCGUCUACUUAAAGACGUCGAUUGCAUUACCGAAUUAGAUCUGUUAACUCUUCUCAAGCAGUACAUAUACAGAAGCUCAAGUUAGAUCAAACAGUUCUAGUUAAUUUGUAGAUAGACCAAACUAAUGAAUAAAAUACACUCAACGGGCUAUAUAUCUAGAUUUAGACUCAUCAGAAUCCGCUAACGAAACCAAGUAAUUGAACCACUAAUUCAAGUAGUAAAAACCUAAACAAGUAACAUUACUGGUUUAUUGUUGCUUCAAUUGUUACUAAUACUAAUAAUAACUAAUAAGGAGAGUAUAUAUAGUAGAGAAGGUUUAUACAUCAUCACCACAUAUAGCACCAACAUAGCCGAGGAGAGUGUGGAGAGAUCCAAAAUCAUCUCCCCCGAGUGGCGCGAGUUCACCGACAUGAAAAGUGCGCCGACAAGCUUCUCAUAUGAACUCAUCCCCUCCAACCCCUCAACUCUCCACUCCGAGAAGCAAAAAGCAAGUAACUGCACCACGAUAAGCCCCACCACAGUGAGACCCAAAAGCGAGGUAUGAAGCUUCGGAAACAAGUGAUCAUAUCCAAUCUCUCCAUGUUUCCUCAAUAUGUAUCCAAACUCUUCUUUCUUAGUGCACUUUUCCAGUACCCACACAGCCGAUCGCAAGAACGCGGGGUACAACGUGUUCCCCGCGAGGAUUUGUGGCAUGACCAGCAGCAGAAGCCCCGGAUUUUUCUUGAACACGAUCAUGUUCUCGUUCGUUGGGAGGAAGCCGCAGUUCCCGAAGGACGAGACGGUGGUGAAGACAGCAAAGGUGUGUCGGCUUAUCGCUUUGCGCGAAAGCACUUCUCCUGCACUAGGGUUUAGGGUUAUGUACCAUAAUAUGAGUAUGUAGCCUGUGAAAUGGACUAGCAUGAGAUAACCCAAUACUAUAAACCCUAGGUAUCUUAUAGAAUUGUAUCUUAAGUGAUCCGAAGUUAUUGAGGGAGUAGUAACAGUGGGCUUUAUUGAUUCAAGCUCAACUUGGUCGUUGGAGGUGAGUUCCAUAGUUGCACUAUUAUGUGAUGUUUCCUUUUUGGGUAAUUUUAUCUUCAUGAAGUGGAGACCAAGCAUGGAAACAAAGACCUCUCCACCAAGUAGCAUCAAAAGGGUGAAUACUAAGAGUUGGGAGGUGGAGAAGCUCUCCAUCUCAACCACAUCCAUGCUGGAGAGCGAGGUUGCGGAGAGCGACAUGAAGAAGAGGUCCAAGUCCGCGGGCCUAUCGACCGCCAAUGCUCUUCUCCUCAUAGGGAGUGAUCUUAGAAGGAUGAAGCCGAUGCAGGAGACGAAGAUGAAGUAGAAGAGUUGGAUCCAAAAUGGGUGCACGCGAUGGAGCGCGAAUCGGUAGAGAGAGCUAAGUAGGUGCAAUGGAGUGUGAAGAUGAAGUGGUGAUCUUUUCUGAGGAGGAGAGGUUUCCAUGUUUAGUACUGUGAAGGUGGAUUAGUAGGGAGUGUAUAGUGGAUGUAGAUAUAGAAAUAUUUGGGGUAGUGUAGGAUGGGUGGAAAUUUAUGAGGAACUAUGUUAUAUAUAGGGAGAGGUAUGAGUAGUAUUGUAGUAAGUUGAGUUUUCUUUUUUGGGUUGGGGUGGGGGUUGUAAUUUUUUGUGCCGUUGAUAAAAAGAUAGAAAAAAAAUACACAAUAUAAACUAGUAUUUCCACGCAAUUACUAUUCAAAAAGUUAGCAGACAAUCUAAAUUAACCAAAUGUAAAAGAAAAAAAAACAACUGAGCAGUUGUCUAAAACAAAUUAAAACAGAGACACUAAUUUUAUAACAUAUUAAAAGAUUCUGAGUUUGAGUAACAGAUUUUUAGUAUAAUUAAUUUUAUUUUUUUUUAAUUCAAGUUCUUGUCACGUGCCUAUUCAAAAAUUUUGAGCCCACAAUCAAGUGCUAAGUAGUGAGAGAAAAUAAUUGUUUCGCAAAAUCUUUAUUUUAUAAUAAUUUUGGAGUGAAUUUUUUUUUUUACUUCGUUACUCUUUCUUCUUAAUUAAAAUUCUUUUAUAUAUAUAUAUAUAUAUUGCAGGUAGGGGUGAAAAUCUAGCUUGCUUUUCGCGAGUCAGCUUGUGUUCGGCUCUAAAUGAGGUCCAGAUCGAAUCGCUCGUUUAGUAAACGAGCCGAAUACGAGCUAAAUUUUUAAACUUAUUUAAUAAACAAGCCAAACAUGAGCUGGCGUCAACUCGCUUGUUCGGCUCGAUAACAGCUCGAAUACAUAUAUUUUAUAUUAUAUAAUAUAUUUAAUUUAUAUUUAUAUAUAUUUGUAUGUAUAAAUAAAUAAUUAUAUAUAAUAUAUAUUUUUAUUAUUUAAUUUUUAGUAAAAGAAAUAUAAAGCCGAGCUCAAUUAUAUGAUGCUGGAUUAACCAAUCAUCUUAUAAAUUCCUAUGUUGAAGAACUAUUCAAAGCAAUAAUGUGACAGUGUUAGAAUCUAAUCAAAAGGAAUCAUGUGACUGUUUUAAAAUGUGGUUGAGAAAUUGUACAAAACAUGCAUUACAUGAUCAAAAGAAGGCUUAUUGAUCAUACAAAAAUAACCAAACUUAUUCUCCUUGUCAAUUUUAAGACUUAUUCUUCUCCUCAAGGAAUAAAAAGCAACAAUAAAACAGGUUCUUAUUCUCCUCGUCAAUUUUAUUCUGAUUUAUGCUUGCUUCAAAUGAUAACAACCCUGAUAUAGCAUAGCAGUAGCUUCCCCUCCCUACGUUAUAUUCCUAGUUACUUUUAUAUAUAUAUAUAUAUAUAUAUAUAUAUAUAUAUAUAUAUAUAUAUAUAUAUANAUACUUUCCUUAAAUCUCUUGUUAUCCCCGUAAUAUAUAUAUCCUCUGUAUAUAUAUAUAUAUAUAUAUAUAUUUUCACUCAAAUAUCCUUCUCUUUAUUUUCUCUGAAAAUGACUAACUAACCUAUUUAAUAGGAAAAAAAAAUAUAAUAUUAAGCAUCAACUUUUCUAAAGCGGUUCUCGGAAAAACAAACAGAUAUGUUAUUUGCCUACUGAAACACUUUAUUAAAAUGCAAGGAAAAGUCUACAAUAAAAGUUAUUUUAUGAAAAAAUUUCAGAAGAUUAAGUACAGAUCCUUCGAAUUCGUGGUACCCAAAUAGAUGUUUCGAAUUUUGAGAACCGUUGGAUCAAGGGCCUCACUAAUUAGAACACUUAAUCUCAUAUUUAAUUACCAGAAACUCUAGUUCAAGUGGCUAAGAUUUUUCUCAUUAUUUAAGUAUCUGGUACUAUGGCCACAAGAACCUUUUUUUUUUUUUUUUUUUUUUUGGUGCUUUCAUAAUGUGCCACCAAAUGCAUGCCAACUUAACCUCCAAAUUCUCCCCUCUUUAGCGCUUGAUGUAAGUGGGAGAAGCACUUAUACUUAGUGGGGGGUUUUUUUGCAUUUGGCCCUCUUAUAAUUUUUUUUUACAAAUUAUUUCACAAAAUUUAUAAUUAUAAAACUGACUCUAUCUUUGUCACGAAAGCGUCACAAAGCCGCCAUGUCAAAUGCAUAGCCAAAAAAAAAUUAAAUAAUAGGUGUAAAUUAUGAUGGAUAUGAAAAUUAAAACUUGGACUCAAAAUCAACUCUGAAAAUAAUUGAAGAACAAUCUUAAUACAAGCAUAGUUAAAAUAAUAGUAUAAUUCUUUGUGGAUGGUCAAAUGCAUAUAUUAUAUUAUCUUGUUGAAAGGGAAAAAGAAAACAAAAAAGAGUUAACCAAAGUAAUCAUGCAUCACUAAUAUGUCAAAUGUACUAAACUAAUUGACCACAUAAUAAAUAAGUAGCAACAAGUAGAAAUGCUUGAUGAUGUGAUCACAAGUUGUUGGCAUUCGGUUAAAUCGAAUCGGGUACGCCCAUAAGCGGGUUCGAUCCGACGGAUAUUAUGUUAUCUAAUUGGAUUGGAAUUAAUCUCGCUUUCAAAUUGGAAAGUUAGUUAGAGAUAAAUCCUAGUCAUAUUAGGAUAACAAUUAAUAACCGAUUUGGCCUUAUCUCUAACGCCAUAAGGAUUUUAGAAUCCCUUAUAAAUAUGCGGGCGAUCCCACAUAACGUAAUAUACGGAAAGAACGUAAAAAGAGAGAGAAUAAGAAAAUAAUAGAGAGAAACCACAUCCUCCAUUGACCUAUUAUUCUAAGAGGAACUUGAACGGUGGAUUUGCGAUCGCGCUCGUUUGUAGUUCGAUCCACCGCGAGUUCGUGGAGCGUGAGAAGACAUUCAAGCACGAUCCGAGGACACGUGAAUCAAUCUAAACGAUCCGGGCUCAUCGUGUUCUUGCGCAAAUCGCUUCCGCAAAAGGUACGAACCAAUACUUCCGCUGCGUUCUACACAAGUAACCUAAUGAUUAUUAUAAUUAUUAUUAUUAUUUAUGUUCUUACACAAAGUGUCAUAACAAACUAUACUUAAGUCCUCAUCAAGGGUAUAUAUACCUUAUAUGGAGAAUGAAUUGUGUUAGCCACAUUGAAGAGAUAAUAAAGGAAAAGAAGCAAUAUAAAAUAGCAAAAGCCCAAGUCGGUGGGUGGGUGAUAAUGUUCAUUAUUUACCCCAAAUUUUUUCUUUUCUUUUUUUUUUGUAGCCAAAGAUUCUCCUCUUGUGUUUAAAGGUGCCUUUAACUUAUUGGUUUUUGGAAGAACAUUUUUAAUAUCUUCUUAGAUCUGCAAAAUAACGCUUUGCUUACGACCUCGACAGAUUAUGCUUACGUUUGCCUCAUCCCGAAAAAGGAAGGAGCGAGUAAAGUCGAACACUUCCGACCGAUAAGCCUCAUAAAUGAAAUUUAGAAGAUCAUAUCGAAAGUGCUGGCGAACAGACUUGCGGCCAUUUUACCGACGAUAAUAUCUCCGGCCCAGUCGGCCUUUUUGAAAGGUCGUCUACUAGCUGACUCCUUCGUUACUGCAAGUGAACUCCUUAAUUGGUUUGCUAAAUCCGGUAAGAAGUGUGGCGGCAUUAAAGUUGACUUCGAGAAAGCCUACGACAAUGUGAGAUGGAACUUCCUGCAUGGCAUAAUGAGGUGGCUUGUGUUCAAUGAGACAUGGUGGUCAUGGAUUGAACAAUGUAUUUGCGAUGCCAAAAUUGCUAUAUUGGUAAACGGAACGCCGACAAUGUGGUUCAAAACUAGGAAAGGGCUGAGACAGGGAGACUCGCUUUCCCCCUACCUUUUCAUCCUGGUGGCCGAUUGUCUGGCCAGGAUCACGGAAGCAGCUAGGAAGAAUAACCUGAUUCAAGGAAUCGGCCCUUCGGCAAAUUGUCAGACAGUACUUCUUCAGUAUGCAGACGAUACUUUAUUUUUCUCGAACCCAAAGAAGGGUGCAAUGCGGAAUCUGCUGUUCCUCUGGAAGAUAUUUGAAUGGGCCUCAGGCCUCAAGAUAAAUACGAAUAAGACGGAACUAAUCUACUUGGGACCCAAUGUUAGUAGAGCUAGUAGACUCGCCGAUAUUUUGGGAUGUAGAGUAGGCAAGCUACAAUUUCGGUACUUGGGACUGACUCUCCACACCAGAACCCUUCGGAAGGAAGAUUGGGUCCCGAUUAUUAAUCGUAUUGAGGCACGCAUAGAGGGUUGGAAGGCAAAACUCCUCUCUCACGGGGGUAGACUGAUCCUGGUCAACUCGGUACUUUCGAACCUACCGCUAUUCUACUUCAGUAUAUUCAAAGCGCCGCAAUCGGUGCUGAACCGUAUAGAAGGCUUGAGAAGAUCGUUUUUCUGGAAAGGUAGUUCGAAAAUUACUGGGGGUUCAUGUCUGGUGAGUUGGAAACUAAUCUGUAGAAGCAAAAAAGAAUGGGGACUAGGGGUCAAAGACAUGGAAGCAAUGAAUACAGCUCUACUAACCAAAUGGUCGUGGCGCUUCUUCAAAGAGCCGAAUCAGCUAUGGGGGAGGUUGAUUAAAUCUUUAUAUUACACCAGAAGAAGGCCGUUAUAUGAGGGAAGAGCCUUCCGACUCCACUCCCAGUGGUGGAGAAGUGUGGUGAGAUGUCGAGAAGUGUUCAAAUGUGGUGUUUCGUACGUGCUCGGCAAUGGGAAAAAUAUCAGGCUGUGGUCAGAUAUUUGGAUUGAAGAAACCGCUCUCAGCACUAGAUUUCCAGGUAUUCAUUCCAGUAUUGUCAACAAGGAGGCCACAAUUUCAAAAUGCUGGAAUGAUAAAGGGUGGAGAUGGCAUCUUAUAACUAGAACCCGUAUUGCGAAUACAGACAUCGACGCCCGCCAGCAGAGGACUUUGCUCAAAAAUCUGAUUGCUCAGUAUAGCCCAUCGGAUACACCAGAUACAAUUAAGUGGAGAUGGACUAUGGAUCAAAUCUUUACGGUCAAAUUGCUUUACGAGUUCAUCACUAAUGCAGGGCAGAGAGACUCCGUGUACGUUCACCUCUGGAGGCUCAGAAUUCCGGCAAAAAUCAAAAUUUUCAUUUGGAUCCUUCUCCGCAAGAGAUUGCUUACCGUAGACAGAAUUAUCCGAAGAGGGGGUCACGUCGAUCAGUAUUGCAAUUUUUGUGCUAUAAUAGCAGAAACCUGUGAUCACCUUUUUCGGGAAUGUGUAUUCGUCAGAUACCUUCUACUUUGUACGGGAGUUGUAGACAUAAGCGAAUCGGAAGUAGGGGGUGUCAGGAGGAUAUGGGCUGAAUUAGGUAACAUCCACAAUGCCGAGUUGAGAGCAAAAAGUCUAACCCGAUUGGCGGCAAUCUGGUGGGUGGUAUGGACAGAGCGAAACAACAGGAUCUUCCGUGAGGGGAACCCUAAUGCUAUCCGGGCUCUUGAACGAGUCACUUCUUUGAUCACAGAUUGGAUCGAGGUCAGGUAACCAGUUCUUCGGACUGAGGUGUUUCUGCCUUUCGUAUCUUAUUUGUAAUGGUAGCUAUAGGGUAGUCUAGAUUUUCUUUUGCAUUUUUUUGUAAUCGUUGGAUUCGCUUCGGAGGCCCUGGCUGCCUCCAAUAUGUAAGCCUAGUUCAUUUUGCUUAAUGAAUGAAGCAGGUAGCAAGCUACCUAUUUCUCAAAAAAAAAAAAAAAAAAAAAAAAAACUUAUUGGUUUUUGGAAAAGGCUGGUUUUUAAACGUGAUUUAGGUUAUUUGAAUAAGGUCCUAUGAUAUAGACCAUACCUAAAUUCAUUGAAGGCUAAAUUGGAAAUUUCCUCUCAUGUUUUCUAUACAAUUUGCAUAGGACGAGUGCAUGGAUUAGGUACUCCCUAGAAGCGCAAAUUAAUUAAUUAGGGGUCCACAUCAAAUUUUCUAGUAAAUCAAUAAAAGACAAACAAUACACGUAUGCUACGCAAGUAUAAAAAAUGUACCGUACAGGCGUACAGCGGUACAGAAACAUAAAAAAAAUAUUUUUUCUUGUGUUGUUGUGUAUCUUACAAAAAAAAAUUACCACGAAGAAAUAAUUUUUCUGUUUUUAUUAAAUAAUCAAACCCAAAAAGAAAAAAAAAAGAAAAGAAAAGAAAGUGGGGCCCCAGGCAGGCCGGGCUGGCCCGCGCUCCUGCUGCAGCCAGGUGGGGCCUGCAGGCCCGCUGCUGCCUGGCCGGACCCACUCGCCCGGUGCAGGGCCGGGCGGAUGCCACCUUAGGGUUUAUCCGGGCCCUUCGCCCGCCCGGUCUGCCCGGGAUGGAAAUUGAAAUUAUAUAUAUAUAUAUAUAUAUAUAUAUAUAUAUAUAUAUAUAUAUAUAUAUAUAUAUAUNAAAAAGUAGAUCCAAUGACUUAAAACCUAAUAGCACCAUGAUGGUGAUACUUGUAAAAAUAUCAUAGCUCAACUCUAUAUAUAUAUAUAUAUAUAUAUAUAUAUAUAUAUAUAGUCCGGCUGGGAUAUUAUCGAUAGCACCAAGAAUUUGGUGAUAUCGAGUUUUCCACGUUAGAUUUAAUCGUUUGAUUAUUUUUAUUCGUUAGAUUAUACUAUUCAACCAACCACCCACUCAACCCUAGGGGGCCCACAUCAUCCUAGGGGUGGCAAUCCAGCUCGUUGUUCGCGAGCUCGUGCUUGGCUCGAAAUCAGCUUGAGAUCGAAUCGCUCGUUUAGUAAACAAGCUGAACACGAACUGAAUUUCUCGGCUUAUUUAAUAAACGAGCCGAACACGAGCUGGGGUCAGCUCGCUCGUGUUCGGCUCGAUAAUAGCUCGAAUACAUAUAUUUUAUAUUUAUAUAAUUUAUUUAAUUUAUAUUUUUAUAUGUAAAUAAAUAAUUAUAUAUAAUAUAUAUUUUUAUUAUUUAAUUUUUAGCAAACUAAAAAUAUAAAUGCGAGCUUAAUUAUAAAAAGACUCAUUUAUAUGUAAAGUUUCAACUAUUAGAUCAAAAUCUAGUGGAUAAGAUUUUAUAAAUUUAUUUUAUAUAUAUAUUUAAUCUAAUCUNGGCUCGUUUACCGAACACGAGCCGGCCCCAGCUCGUUUGUGUUCGGCUCGUUUACACCCCUACAUUAUCCUAACCACACAUUUCUCAAUCGAAAGGCUAAAAAACUAAUAGCAUCAAUAGUUUGGUGCUAUUGAUAGUAUUCCAGCCUAUAUAUAUAUAUAUAGCAGUGCUACUGUGCUAUUAGGAGCACAACAAUUCUUGUGCUACUAAUUUUCUAACCACCCAUCAAGUUUGAGAGAACCCGUGAGCCUUGUUUUUAAAAAAACGAAAAGGUGUCAUAUAGGCUAAGUAAAUGUGAAGGGCCCAAAUGUGUUCUAUGGAUUGGGCUUAUAAUUUCGUGGGCUCAUACCAUCCCAAUUAAACGAACUAUUAUGGCCCAUCCAAUGACCGCAUAUUUAUUGUAGUCUUAUUUAGUUAAUUAUUGUACUUAAUUAUCCUGUCGUAACUAUAUUUGCUAUGUGGUUAGAAGCUCCUCUAAAUAGUCAAUUAGAAUAUAUAUAUAUAUAUAUAUAUAUAUAUAUAUAUAUAUAUAUAUAGUUCGCUUACUGUACUAUUGAAGUGCUUGAUACUAUCGAAUUUUUCGUUGUUAGAUCUAUCACUUUGACCAUUUUCACCAUUAGAUCAUACUAUUCAACCGACCAUCUAGUUAAUCCUAGAGAACUUCUAUCAUCCUAAUCGCAUAUCUCUUCAUUCAGGCGUUGAAAACUUAAUAACACCAAGUGCUGAUACUAUUGAUAGUAUAAUAGUCUAAUUAUAUACAUAUAUAUUGCAAGAUUAGUAGAAAUAGAAAAUUAGUACGGGCCCUCGCAAAUUUUCAAAUUGCCGGAUUUAGUGUACCGUUUUUCUAAAUAUUUUUCAAAAGAAUGAUAUGUGAAGGUUACGACUCUAUUUUUACACUCAUAUGUACUUUCAAUUAGUUGGAAUUAAUACAUGUUCCUACAGUGCGUCAACAAAAUUAUUGACUAGCGAAAUAUAAAUGCGCCUUAAAGGAUAAGAAAGCCAUUUGAAUUCCUUUUUUCUUAUUAUUUUUACACUAAAACACAAAGAAGUCAUUUAAUUUUAUGUAUUUUUUAUUCUAUUUUCGAGGCUAAGUACUGAGCACAAUUUAAGGUGCUUCGAGAAAGAUGGUUGCAUCUUUGACUAAAAUGGUCAUCUUCUAAAAAUCACAUGCAAUCAAGCUGAAGCAUGAGAACCACCCAAUUUUUUUUUAAAAAAAAAAACACAUAAAAUAUAUCAAAUAGCUAACCAAGGGCAUGUGCAUUCCUUUAGAUCCAAACUACCCACUAAAAAAAAAAAUAAAAAAAAUAAAAAAUCACAGGAAUUUUUGAAAGAUGAGAAGAGGAACUUAGGCUUUGACUAACUGUUACUAACUAAAAUAACUGUCAAUGGCCCACUGUCCAAAGUUUUCACAUCACAUUGUUGCAGAGGUUAAAAAAAAAAAAAAAAAUUUAAGUCACUAAGUAUUAAAAAUGCGAAUAUAUUUAUGUUACCCUUUAUUAUAAAAAGGGAAGUGGAAGAAGCUAUAUAUAGAUUAGCAGCCAAUGACCCUUCAAUUAAGGAGUUUGUAUUUUCAAACUAGAGUUCAUAUGAAGGUGUUUGAUUCAAACUAGUUGGCUCAACCCGACUCGAUCGAUUGAACACAAUUUCUUCAAAUUGAUAUGCUGAGUAUAUACAAAUUGAGUACAAGUCAAUCGUUGGCGGAUCAGAUUCAGAUAAGAUCGUUAAUUUUAUCUUUCUUACUUGACAGGUUAAUAUUGAAUCGAGAAGGUAUAAUAAAACCAACUUAUAUUACAAAAACCUAUAAUUCGAAAAAUUUUAUAUCUAUUUAUCUGAGUUCGGAGAGCGAGUUCGAUCAGUCCAAUCAAUGAAUGGUGCGAGUCAAAAACUACUAACAACUUGUUAACAUGCAAUAGGUCUUUUUUUUUUAAUAAUUCUUUUAUCAUGAACAAGAUAAUUUUAUAUUUAUAGCACCACCAAAGAGUACAUAAGUUAGUUGCUAAAAAAAAUAAUUUGGUGGUGAGUGUUUCUGCUUCACCUGAUGCCCAAAGAUUGCAUUUGUACCUAGAGGCAAACAAAUAAUAUAAACUUACUUAAAAAAAAAAUAAACAAAUAAAAAAUAAAAAAAGAAACAAAUAAUAGAAGAGAAUCUCAAUCAUAAGCUCACUACUAGAGCCUGAUAAUGUUCAAGGGACAUCACAUGACUUAGCAGAAAUUCCCACUAGGGUUCUCUUAAACAAAAAUUUCCUUACAACAUGUCCCACUUAGGAAGUGCUUAAAUAAAAAGCUCUUAUUGUUAAGUAAUGAGAAAAUGAUAAGUUGAGAUAAUUAUAUUGCUAAUCCCAUAUGCAGCUUAUUUUUUAAGCCCUAAGUUACCUUAUACGAUGCACCACCACAAAUUUAGCGUUUUGACCUAAGUUUAGGGCCAUAGCUAGGUACUUAAACCGUUCGCCUCGUUCGAGUUGAUUCGUACCCCGUAAGUUGUUUCUUUUAUCACUAGAGUAGACUGAGAGAAAUGAGUAUCGUAGCGAGAUUGUUGCUGAUGAGUAAUAUUUUAAUGCAAUACCUAAAUUGGAUAGUAAGUGUGAAAAAAAAUUGAGGAGGUGACACAAAAUGCCGUAGCAUUAUCGUAGAGGAUUAAUGUAGACAAUGUUGGAGAGAUGAUUAGAGUCUUGUAUAAAUCAAUGAUAUCAUAUAUAUCUAUUAGAGUUUAUUUUACAGGAGCUUCGAGAAUUUAGAUUUUGGCUUAUAGUACGUAUGGAUAGUACGUUACACCCUUGAGUUAUAAAAGAUAAUAAAAAGGCAUUUUCAUGCUUAAUUAGCAACUUAUUUACCUUAAUUAGUAACAAUUUUUUUGGAAUUUCCAAGAAAAGAUAAUGAAAAAGGAUGGAGUUAUUAUAAAUAACAAGAUUAAUAGCACAUAGAAUUUGGUCAAAUUAAAGGUCAAAAUCCAAGUGUUUAGAGUACAAUGUAGCAGCUCACUGAUCAUUAAUUCAGACUCUGACCAAAGUACAGGUAUAAUUUAAGUUUUUUUUGGGGACAAAAUAAUUAAACAGAGAAACAUGUGAUUAGGUCUAAAUAAGCAGCUCUGAUCUAAGAUUUUAUGCAUAUUUUGUAUGAACCUUCCAGAGUAAAGAAAAACUAAUUUGACUCACUUCAUUCAAGUAAAAUGUUUGUAUUUCGAUUUCAACACAAAAUUUUGGAAAGAUAAUUAGAGAUUAUUUGGCUCUAUUGUAGAUUAGUUAUAGUAUUGUUCAAUAAAAUACUACUGGAUCAGAAGUACUAUUACGAGAAGCACAGAAUUAAGAUUCUUUUAACACUUUCUGUCUGUAAUAAAUUUUUUAAAAAAAUUAACAUUGGAGCUACUAAUUUCGGGCCUCAAAAUGAGAAGUUCUAAGUUUCAUUAAUUGUCAAAUAUAUUACAAAUAACUGCAGUUGAAAACCAUAUAAGAAACAAGUCGAACAUAACUAAAAAAUUUCUAUGCAAAAACUUCACCAUUCAAAUAUUUCCAAUUGUUAGCAAAACUUUUUUAACACAAAUUUUAAGAGGAAAAGAAUCAUUGUACAUGAGAAAACAAUGUGUUCCUUGAAGCUAAAAAAUAAUAAUAAUUAUACCUAAAAAAAAAAAGAAAAAAAGAUUGAUGUAGAAGUUUUUUAUUAUUUUUUUAAUAAUACCUAAAAAAAAUAAAAAACAGCAUAACAACUACAGUUCCUGUGAUAAGUACUGUACGAAUUAAAAUGAUUGAUUUAAUGGAAACACAUGAAAAGUUGAUAUACUAAUGAUUCCCAAAUCUUAAUAAUUAUACAGCAUAUUAAAUAUUAAAGUCAAUUAUGCUCAAACUACCAAAUGAUUAGAAGUUAGAACAAACUAAAUGGGCUCUUGUAGCAAUAAUAGUAAACCUUUUUUUUUUUUGUGAAACUUAAUAAUUGUGCAACAAAAUAUAAUAUAUUUAAAAAGACUAAAUUACAGAAAAUCUUUCUGUUAAAACUCGAUUUUUCACUUUCACCAUUGUCAUUUAAAAAUCUACACUUUGCUCCCUUAUAAAAUGAAAAAUAUUCACAGGGGUACGGUGUGAACUGUGAUGAUAAAAUGACUAUUUUGCCUCUCACCAUUUUGCCCCUCAUCAUGUUCACAGAAGAGAAGGCUGAGGGUAUUUUUGACAUAAAAAAAUAUAUAAUAAUAUUUCAUAAACGGAAUCCUAACGGAUUACUAACGGUAGGGGACGAAGUGAACAUUUUUCGUUUAACAAGAGGACAAAGUGUAGGUUUUUAAAUGACAGGAGAAAAACGUGAAAAAUUGGAUUUUGACAGAAAAGUUUUAUAUAAUUUAGCAAUUUAAAAAUUUGUACAUUAUGGUGCUUCACAUGCAAAACUUGCUCCCUAUCACCUGCCACGUUCUCUCAAGCAUCAAAUCCAUCUCUCCUUUGUUUUUUUUUAUAGGGUUAAAAUUUAUCCCACUUAUCCUUUUUGUACCUGCAAACAUGCAUAGCACAAUGUGGUUGGUUUUAUAGAAAAGAAUAAAUCAAGUUAUUUCUCUUAUUUGAUUAGUCUAAGUAGAAGAGCAAGUAAAAGAACCUGAAAAUGGCUUGUAUAGUUAAAUUGGAUUAUAUAAUUGAGAUAACAUUUUUAUUAUUGUUUCAAUCAACCUUUUAGAUUUUGUUGUUCCACAUAUAAUCUUUAAGUUGUUUCAAUUAUUAUUACAUAUCAAAAUAAAUUAUUAUAAGUUAUAGAUAUGUACUGACAUAUUGAUAUGUAACACACAAAUUAACUAGGUGAUAUUACAUGAUUAACUCAUCAGUGAAAAUAGAGAGUAUCCAAAGCAUUUUUUAAUUAUUUAUUAUUAUCAUUAAUAUUGAUUUUAUAUUUUAUUUAUUUCUAUAAUCAAUAGCUAUUAUUUUUUUUCUAAGUUGAAUAAUCUAAAGUUUAUCGUAAAAUUAAAUUUUCUCUUCAAUAUAUUAUGUGGUCCCCACGAUGUAGAGAUUCAAAUUUUCUUUUUUUUUACUUCUUGGAAUUAAUGCAAACGCAGAAACUCAAAUUCAGUGUUUUUAAUUUUGCCACUGUUACAAAAUAUUGGAAAUAUACUUAUAUAUUGUCAAAUAGAUAAAAUUCUAAUAAUACUAUUUAAAUAAUAUUUUAUCAAACAGUAUUAUACCCAAAGAUAAACAUAAAUAAGUCCUAAUCUUAUGAAAUAGCAUGCAUGUUGCAUUAACCUAGGAAAAUUGAACUCUUCCUCAAAAUAAUGUGAGCAACAACUCUAACUUCCUAAAGCAAAUGAUAAAAGAUUAUGAUUGGCACUCAAAAUUUUAAAUUUUAAAUUUAAUUACUUCAUAUUUUUCAGCUAAAUUUAUUUUUUUUAAAAAAUAAACAAACCGCCAUUCUCCCAUGAUGCAAUUUUACUUUUCGCCGUAUAAUACACUGAAAACAAGAAGAUCAUAGCACAAGCCCAAGUAACUUAAAAAUGUUAAAAAUAGGAAUAUAUAUAUAUAUAUAUAUAUAUAUAGAGUAGAGCUACUGUGCUAUUAGGAGCACAGUACUCCUUGUGCUCCUAACUUUCUAACCACCCAUCAAGUUUGAUGGGCGGUUAGAAUAAGAGAGGGAGGAGAUAUUGGGGAGAAAUUGAGUGUUUCAAUUUCUCAUCUCCUUAAAUUUCUCUUCAAUAUCUCCUCUCUAUCUCAUUCUAAUCAUCCAUCAAACUUGAUGGGUGGUUAGAAAGUUAGGAGCACAAGGGGUGCUGUGCUCCUAAUAGCACAGUAGCUCUACUCUAUAUAUAUAUAUAUAUAUAUAUAUNNNNNUAUAUAUAUAUAUAUAUAUAUAUAUAGGCUGGAGCUACUAUACUCUUAUGAGUAUAGACUCUCUUAUACUCAUAAAUUUUUAACUGUUGAUUGAUGGGAUGCGUGGUUAGGAUGAUGGUGGUCCCCACUUAGAAUUAUAGUGGUUCUCUAGGGUUGAGUGGGUAAUUUGUUGAAUAGUAUGAUAUAACGGGUGAAAAUGAUUAAUGGAAUAAAUCUAACGACCGAAAACUUAUGAGUAUAACGGAGCCAAAUACUCAUAAAAAUAUAAUAGCCGGACUCAUAUAUAUAUAUAUAUAUAUAUAUAUAUAUAUAUAGCAACAUAAGCAAUUACAACCAACAUAAAAUAACAAUCUCCCCUAUAAAAAAAUACUAAUAAACAAAUCAUAUCGUCGACCGUCCCUAAAACAAGUGGCAAAAGACUUGAUCCUUAAUACCCAAGGUCUCAAAUUCAAAUUCUACUUGAUUCAUAUUUUUAGCUAAGUUUAUUUCUAAAUAAAAUAAAAAUAAACGAAACGCGUAGUAUGCUACCCCUCUCUCUCUCUCUCUCUCUCUCAAAAAAAAAAAAAAAAAAAAAAAAAAAAAAAAAAAAAACCCCCCAAAAAAAAAAAAAAAAAAAANNCCCCCCCCCCCCCAUGGAGUACUCCAACUCCAAAAAGCCCAACAAGAUAACAGAGAUAGUGAGGCUCCAGCAAAUGCUGAAGAAGUGGAAGAAGCUCUCUGUUUCCCCAAGACCCAGCAGCAGCAGCAGCAGCAGCAGCAGCAGCAGCAGAGGCAUCAAGUUCCUCAAAAGAACCCUCUCAUUCACAGACACCAUCAACACUGCUCCUGCUUCUGCUGCUGCAGCAGCAGCAUCUGUGGAUGUGCCCAAGGGUUAUCUUGCUGUGUGCGUUGGGGAGGAGAUGCAGAGGUACGUGAUCCCAACAGAGUACCUGGGCCACAGGGCCUUUGAGGCGCUUCUCCGGGAAGCAGAAGAGGAGUUUGGGUUCCAGCAAGAAGGGGUGCUGAGGAUCCCCUGCGAGGUGGGGGUGUUCGAGAGCAUACUCACUGUGGUCGAGAAAACCAAGGAUGGCUGUUGGUACUACUGCUCCUCUGAGUCUUCUGAGUUUGCUUACAACCACUUCUCUCCUGAUAACCCACUGUGUAGGUAAAAGUAAUAAUAAUAACUAAUAAGAGAGAGAGAGAGAGAGAGAGAGAGAGAGAGAGGGGUUGGAGAGGGAUGAGUAAUGCAUGCAUGCAUCUCCCCCCACCCAAGGUUUAUGUGUUUCCAUUAAUGUUUUUCUUUUUCUUUCUUUUUUUCUAGUUCCAGAAAUUUAUUCUGUGGUGUAAUGCAUUUGCAGUUACUAUCUUAUUUUGAUGUCUUAUUAUGUAAUGUUAUUUUUUAUCUUUAAUUUUGGAGAAUAAUAUUGUCUACGCAAAAAGAUUCAGAAUAUUUUUAGAUGCAAUGUAUAUAUUCCAACAAUAUCAGUUAUUGUUUUAAUCAAGGAUUUAAGUGUUGUGCCACGAAAUCGUGCCGGAAAUUUGUCGGUAUGAUACGGUACGAUAUAUGUCGGACCGUGCCAAUAUAUAAUAGUAUAAAAUUUUUAUUUUCUUAGCAACAAAAUAUUUUAACUGUUUAUUAUGUAUUGAGAAAAUUACUUACUAAUUUAAAGAAUAGAGAAUUUUAAGCUGUGCAAUCAACACGAAUGUCAUAUCGUGCCGAUAUUUUGUUGGCACGAUACGGCACGAUAAAGACGGUCCGUACUGAUGGGCACUUAAAUUUUUAGUUUUAACGAUAUUAAUUCUCUUAUUUUUAUGAGAAUAUUUUGUUAAACAAAAUUUCGUUGUAUUAUUAUAUGACAACACUUAUUUUGCCAAAUAAAAUGCGACAUUUUAAGCUACAGGAUCAUAAAUUACAAAUGCAAUAAACCAUUGAAAGUUUUUUGAAGUCUUUUUUCCUCCUCUUUUCUUUCUUAAUUUGCUUGGUGUUCUUUUGUGAAGAGGCAAGGUGUCCUCUUGUUUCAUUUUGUUUCAUUUUGUUGUUUUUUUUUAUUAUUAUUUUGGGCGCUUAUGAGCCCUUAAGAGCUGUAUUAUCUCAGCUUUGCAUGGCACCUUUUGAUCCAAUAAUGAGUUUAUUUUAGAAUUGGUGCGCAUCUAAACUUUCGCAUAGUUAAUAAAAGACGAUCUAAGAUGACCAAACAAAUAUUACCGCAUAAGUAUAUAAGCAUUCUGUCUAUGUGGCGAAGACCGGGCAUGCAAAGUCAUAAUCGAGAUUCGUAAAUACUGUAUCUAUACGCUUUAAAUAAAGUAGUUGCCUUAUUUUUAUCGAUUCGAGUUUUUUAAAAUUAUACUUUGCGCCAACGACCAAUAAGUGGUAUCUGAGUAGAUUACGGGUUUGAUUUUCGCAUGUUGCAAUUUAUAUAAAUGCUGGGGAUAUCGCGACAAUCGAGCCCACGGGUUUCAAUUGUUAGAAAUAGAUUAGUAAUAGGCUCACAAUAAUAUAUUCACAAAAAAGGGCCUAAAUUGCAAAUUUGUGGCUCAAAACAAUUUGGGCCGAACCCGAGUUCGUAGAUUCAAACCCAUAAUGAAUUAUUGCUUCGAUCCGGUCCACCACGUUGAAUUAAAAUUUUGCAAUUUUAAUAAUAUAAAAUUUUAAAAUUUAGCAGGAUUUUUUUAUUUAUACAUUAAUGUAAGGAAAAGGCUUGUGUGUUAUUUAUGGGAAAAGUGCGAAAAUAGUAUAAAAUUAAAGAAUCAAACCACCUUUUUGGAAAAUAUUAUGAUUCAAUGAACAACUAAGUGAGUCUAAUUACGUUAAUCCAAUUAAUCCCUUUUCUUUAAUUUUAUAUGUCCAAUUAAACAUGGUCCGAGUCAAUAGUCAACGGUCUUGAUUAACCGGUUAAUCUAUUUGGGUUCGAGUCAAAUGUGUACAAAAUUUGAAAUAAGUUCAAUUCAAUGGCCGAAUUUUGCCUCGAAAUUUCAUCUUAAUUUCACAACAAAUGCUCCCAAAUUUAAAUUUUUUUAAUUUAGAGGGACUUUUUUUUAUUUCAUUUGUGGUGGGACAAUUAAAAUUGCAACAUACUAAAAUGUAUUGUGGAUUACAUGAUAAUGCCUCUCAAAUUUUUUGCUAAAUCAAAUCCAACUUAUUUAAGCCUUUUCUUUAUUUUAUUCUUGUGUUCAAAAUAUUUUUUUCCCUAAUUUGUUGCUUGGAAAAUUAAAGUAUUUUAGACUGAAAUUGAUAUGGGUCAAAUGUUUCUGAUGUAUUUAGAGCCAAUAAUAAUGGGUGUUAAUUAAUUAUCUAAUUAAGAGCAAUUUUUUAUACAAGGACUUGGUCUUUAUGAGGGCUCAUUUGAUAUUGAAGGUCCCCUAACACUACUGGUGGGGAAAAAAAAAAAAAAAUGAUACGGAAACGUAGAGAUAUACUUAGUUUAUUUUUUGAUGGGACUAUAAAAAUUAUAUCUUAAUUGAACUAGUAUGAUCUACUAUGUGUAUUAUUAUUUAUAGAAAACAAAUCGAAUUUUUUUAACAAUCUCCUUCGCAUAUAUAAUUGAAUCAGAUAAAUUAUGUCAGGCGUAUUAUUAUAUAGAAUUAAGCGGGCUCGGGAUUUUGAUAUAUAUUGAAAAAAAUUAGUGUGACAUAAUACAAAUGGAGGAAUGGUCAUAACAAAGAUAUUAUGUGCAAUUACGUUUUGGAUAUGCUACAUAUUUAAAUAGUUUUACACAUUGGAUGUGUUUAAAUCUACUAUAUCCAAAUAUCGUUGUGUGUAAAGUAAUAGAAAUAAUCAAUAACCAAAUAAUAGCUUAACUAUGCACACUUGAAUCAUAAUUUACUUUUAAUUAUUUCCUGUCAUACGUAUUUGACUACAUCCUUGUUAUAUACAUCAUAAAUGAAUAAUGGACAUAUCAUAUGUUCAAAUUUAGUAAGGAAAGAUCAAUUUAGUACAAAAUUUAGCUAUAAUGGAAUUUCCCUCUAAUUUCCAUACAUUAGCUUAAAAAUGCUAAAAUCAUAUUUGGAAGUUGUAUCACCUUGAUCUAUGAUUUAAUAAAUUGGUAGUGAUACCGAUCGUCCCUAAAGUAAGUGGCAAAGGGCUUGGUGGUUGGUACCCGAGACCCAGGUUCGAAUCCUAGUUGAUUCACAUUUCCAGCUAAGUUUAUUUCUAAAUGAAAUAAACGAAAUGGAUAGCGUGCUACCUAUCUCUCAAAAAAUAAAUAAAUAAAUAAAUAAAUUGGUAGUGAUUCCAAUUUCACUGUGGAAGUCUCCCUGCAAGAAAUAUUAUGUGGAGAGACUCCCUACAGUGACACAGAGAUCGCCACCGUCGAUCAGUUCAUCAACUCGAAUCUUGAAACAUAAAAAUUAUAAUGAUGCCUAUCUCAUCAUGGAGGGUCUUGUAGAUUAAGACAAUGGUCAAGAAUAUGUGUUGCAUUUUAAUUGGCCAAACAGAAUGCAUCUACCAAUAGUAUCUUACUUAAGGUUGAAUGAAAAAAAAAUAUUUUUUCAGCUAAGUGGAGUAAACUACAAAUCCAAGUUGUUUCCUUGUGCUAAUUAAAUUUUUUGUGACUUGAUUGACUUUCUAAGAACAUGUGGCAACUUCUCCAUCAAUUUACUUUAUGUCACUAUAUCACCCAUUGACUUCUGUUUUGCUAAGGCAUUGAAGAUAAUUUUGAAGUAAUUAUACAAGGAGUUUUGAGCACUUCAAGAGUUAGAAUUAGGGUUUUAUUUUGAGAUGGCACAAGUUCUAGGAAUUAGCAUAAAGAGGAGAUGGAAGUGUUAACUAUUUUGCACUGUGGGACCUGAUUGCAACAAUCUAAAUAGUAUAAGCAAAAUAAUUACAGCAAAUUAAAGUUCGAAGACCAAAAUGCCAUGCGCCUCAUAGUUUGAAGACCAAAGUACAAUUUAGCCUAAAUAUUUGACUAUGCCCUUGUUACAUGCACUAUAAAAGAAUAAUGAAUAUAUAUAUCACAUGUCCUAAUUCACGAAGGAAAUAUCAAUUUAGCACUAAAUUUAGCUAAUAUUUUAAGGGAAUUUUCCUCUAAUUUUCUUUCAUAAGCUUAAAAAUGCCAAAAUCAUAUUUAGAAGCUAUAUCGCCUUGUUCUAUGGCCUAACAAAUCGGUAGUGAUUCCAAUCUCACAAUAGGAACCUCUCUAUAAGAAAGAUUCUAUAAAAAAAGGGUUACAACUGUCGAUCAGUCCAUCAACUUAAAUCUUGAAGUAUAAAAAUAAUGAUGAUAUUUAUAUCACCGUAGAGAGUCUUCCUUGUAUGUUAAGAGGUGGGUCAGCGGUGUAUGUUGCAUUUUAAUUGGCGCAACAAAAUUUGAUCCUCAAUAAUACCUUAAUACAUGUGGAAAUAAAAAAAUAUAUAUUCCAAUUUAAGUGGAGUAAACUACAAAUCCAAGUUGUUUCCUUGUGCUAACUAAAUAUUUUGUGAUUUGGUUGACUUUCCAAGAACAUGCAGGAACUUUUCCAUCCAUUUACUUUAUUUCACUAUAACCCCCAUUGACUUCUCUUUUGCUAAGUCAUUGGAGAUAAAUUUGGAGUAUUUAUACAAGGAGUUUUGAGCAUCUUAAGAGUUAGAAUUAGGGUUUCAUUUUGAGAUGGCACAAGUUCUAGCAAUUAGCAUGAAGAGGAGAGUGGAAGUAGUUCAUGGGGAGCUCUUUAGUUUCUCCCUCCUUAAUGUGCCCAAAAAGCUCAAAACAUUGGUUGUGCACAUCUCUUCUAUUUUUUCUUACUUAAUUGGUUUGUACUUUGUAGGAUACAAAUUAAGUUGUUUUUCUACUUUUGUGGUUCCAAUUCUUAGUUGAGUUUUAUGUACUUUGAAUUCAUAUACUUAAUUGAGGAACAAUUCAUGUAUUUUUUUUUUCCUCCUUAGUGAGAUAAAACUAGAAAAAAAGUGAAAGAAAAAAAUAUUGAUAUAUUCUACUCAUGUGAGCUACAAUAAACAAAAAAAAGCUCUUCUUUUGCAUUCAAAAAUUGCUCUUUUCUAGUAAUUAUGGGUUAUAUAUUAACUGCUUUAUCUUUUUAAGGAUGCCAUGAAUUUGUCGCCUUUUGCCGAAACCUUGCUUGAUUAUGGCUUGAGCGAAGAGAUCGAAGUUAACAUGCACUCAGAUCAGGUUCCUGAUAUCAAGAGUAUGUUAUUGCCCUCUUCUUUUUUCAAUUUUAAUGCAUAUUGUGAAGGGAAAAAAAGACUUUUUUUUUAAAAAAAAAACCUUAGUAUAUGUUCCCUCUUUUUGUAAGCAUAUUGAAAGUUAACUGUACCAUACAUAUCAUAUGUUAGGUAGUUAAUUGUGACCUCUCCAUGCAAAAAUGUGUAAAAACAAACUUAAUCUUAUAUUCCCACUUUUUCUUUCUUUUUUUAAUAAAAAUGUAUAUAAUCUUCACGGCAGCACCACAAGAAGCUUAGUUUGGAGAAUUAAAUUGUACACUAAGUGAUUUAGAUUCAAUUGAAAAACUGAAUUCAAACAUAGCUAACUAUUUUGGCACUUUUGCGCUUAUUUUUCGACCUAAUAGUAGUCGAGGAAGAGGAGAUCGACGAAGCAGAAAAUAUGCACUAUUUCGAGGUCCCCUACUUUAUGGCAGAAGAAGCAGAAGCUGCAGAAAUGGAAAUGGAAGACGAGCGCGAGGAAUUCGAGGAACACAACAAUACACUUCAGGCUCCUAUAUUUUGGACAGGUCAUAAAGAAGAAGCAUCUUUUCUUUUCUUUUGAAUUCACUAACUAACCAUGCUAAAGUUUUGAUGAUUUUAUUGUGGUAAAUUUGAGCAGGUUUUUUCUGAGGGAGGAGAAACUUGUUUGAUUGGGAGGGAAGGGAAAUGAAAUGCCUAUUACAUGGAAAGGGAGAUGAAAAACUUAAGUAGGAUUUUGUGUUUAAUAUAGCCUGAAAAUAAUGUGUGUGAUUUUUGUUGCAAAAUUUGUUCAAUUAAGUAGUUUUAGUAUGCACUAUUUCAGUGUCAGUACUAAGAUUGUAAGAAGCAUCUCUAAUAUUAGAUUCAGUGUUUGUAACACAUGCUAGUAAUGAAAUUUUACUUUCUAAUAUUGUUUUCAGAACUAGUAUAAUUUUAUUUCUGUUUCAAUUAACUAGUACUUGAGAAUAGUCAUAAUAUAUAUUCAGCUUUUUCAAAGAAAUUCAUGGCCAACUAAUUAUUUCCUGGAUAAAUAUUGACAAAAAAAAGGGAGAUGCCAUAUUCCAUGUAUUUAAUGUUUUAUACAUCCUAUUUUUCGCACCGAAAUGAGACUCAAUAUUAAACUCAUCAUAUAUUGGAGGAGAGUAUCUUUAUACUGCCUAAGAUUAUGACAACACCAACACAAAAAAUUUAAAAAAAAGGACAAAAGCACUUGUAUAUAACUGGCGAAGGGGAUUUCCGGUACCGAGAAGCUGCUCAAAGGUUUUAAGAACAACAAAUAAAUGGCUUCCUCCUUUACAUGAUCAAACCUCUGAAAAACCUUCAGUAUAACUAUCAUUGUGUACAGCGCGAAAAUGAGUUCCUUUGUUACGAGACUGAGUCGUCAUGCUCCGAAAAUGAAGGGGGAAAACUGCGUCGAACUCUCAACUAGUAUUCUUCCCUAAGCAUAUUUGUGAAGUUAGAACUUAAUCCCCUCUCUAAUGAGAACUUUGGCUAUUGGAAUUAUCACCGAUUAGACGAAUGCGUCAUAGCGGCAUCAAUCUCCUGAAACGAACUUCUUUUCUGCGUAAUAUCUUUCUUCGCUUGCAUUCUUCUUCAAGUUCCGUUUCUGCAUAGAUUAUAGUAUAAGAAUAUAGGUCAAUAUAAGUAACAUGGAAAAUUAUGCGUACCAAAAUAACAGAGUAAUGGGCGCAGCACCUCGUAAGUUUCGUAGUUGUCGAUAAUUCUUCUCGCUACUGACAUCGAAGUUGUGUUUCUCGGGCUCUCAAUCGUUCGGAAAAUUCCCAUACUCUUGGGCGUGGCAUAAGGGUCGAUAUCACUCUGAGACAGAGAAACACUGUUAUUUUGAUAAAACAUGGAGAAACGCAAGCGAUUUCUGAGAAAGAUAAAAAAAGUCUCGAGCCCUUGCUAUUACCAACAGACUAGAGAAGCAAGAGGCUUACUUUAGAAUUGCACUCCACGACUGUCCCGUGCACAACCAGCGAUAUGUUGAACGUAGCAAUCUGCCCAUUUUUAUUUCAGAAAAGGAAAAUCACAAAUGAUUUUACAAGUUCCAAGUAAUUAUAAUCUUCAUAAAUUUGUGAAUUUUCAGGUGUAAAAGAACUAAGCAAUAAAGAAUGAUUAAAUAGAAGAGAGAGUAUCAAUUAUGCGGCAUUAACAGAUACUGACCAUGUCUCUUGAAACUUCCCAAGGAGCGCCAAUUAUGACCUCGUCAACAUAUCGGCACGCAAGUACACUGAGGCUGCGCUCAUGGAGAUGCAUAAUAGGAUGACACCCUCUCCUUUGACUGUGUAAAAUAAUAAUAUACUAAGAUAUGAAUACCAAUUUGAUAAGUAACAUCUUUGAGGGAUAUAUAAGAUUAAAUAGGUAAGAGAAAGUACCUGAUAGUUUGGUCGUUAUGAACACCUACAAGUAGGAAGUCUCCAAGUUGUCUAGCACUUCUUAGGAUCUGCAUAUGUGGAAAUAAGAUACUGAGCCACGAAAUAAGGAAAGAAAAGUUGGCACGUAAUUAACGACAGCGUAAUCUAAUCAGAAGUGUUGGAAACAUGAUCUGAGCUGAGGUAAUAGCUGUCACACACAGCGCCUACUGCAAAUGAAAACUCAGCAAAGUGCACAUGUACAUAGAAUAUUCCAUCUUUUUUUUUCUAAGAUUAUCGAGAACGAGAAUUAUAUUCAUCAACUGCUUCAAGGCCAUACAAUUGAGAGAAGAAAAAGAAAUGAAACCACUAGAAGCAGAAUAAAAGAAGCGAAUCAGUUAUUAGCCGAGGUAGUAGCUGCAAACAAGGAUCAAAAUGACAACUCAGUGUAUAUACCUCAACAUGACCGGCAUGGAAAAGGUCAAAAGCACCAUCGAUGUACACCACACGAGCACCUGGUAAAGGCCCCUGCAGCAUGCAAUAAAAGAGGUGUUCAUUGAAGUAUCAUACAAAGUUUACAAUAGUGCUAGGCCUUGAGGCGGUGGUAGUUCUUAUACUUGAAGCGAAAGCAUAUACACUUUUAUUGGAGUUCAACAUAAAAGUCAUCAAUUGAAUCAUGAAGGGUCAUACCUUCCCAUUUGAAAAUUGCACGAUACGGCGAGAUGUAGGAAGAAAAUGAGAUAAUUGAGAUUUUGGAGAAUCAUUAGCUUCAGCUAGAGUCUUCUCGUCAGCAUCGCCUUGUUCGCAGCCAGAAGAAUUUCUACUGGUCCUAUCGCCGUCCAUAUGCUUCAAUGAAGAUAAUAUUCUGGCUAGAUAAAACAACAUUACCCUAUAAGACAUAAUAUGCAAACAAAAAUUAAAGAAUCAACUUAGACAUUGCUUCCAAAGGUCUCAGUAGCAUAGUCCCUCCAAUGUAUUAGGAGUCUCCAAUUUGGUUCCUCAACAUUUCAGUUGUUCUUUUGCAAUCUUACACUUCCUAUUGAAUUUCUGUGUUGAAUUAUUGGAUGGAAAUGUUCAUGUGAUCACCACAUCGAAUCAUGUGGAUAUUCUCAUCCAAGGUUGAUCGAGGACCCUUGGAGCAAUUUACUCGAGUUUAUAGCUCAAGAAAACCACCGCCAAAAGAACAAUACAAAUCAUUAAUAUUCGCGAUUGCUAAUUUUCAAUGUGACAGGGCCAUAGUAGCCUACCAACUAUAUUGGUGCUCGAGACACCUUCGGUGCGCUUGAUUUGCUUGUAACGCCCCACCUUCUUCGCCAGACCAUAUGCAUCGGUUCCGUCAGGUAAUAGGCACGGAUCGUCACCGUGUAUGAUAUAGUCGAUAUUGUACUUAUUGAAGAGCGUGUUCAUGAACUCUUCUGUGAUUUCGUACGGAGCGUUCGUAAUAACCUCGUCCACCCACUUAAGCCCGCUAACAAGGAUCAACCUAGCAAUAGCUUCACAUUAGAUUUAUAAAGUACACAAAAUUCAUUGCUUUGAUCUUUGCUUGGAGUAUGAAUUACACACUCAAACUGAUUAAAUUGGAACAAUAAGACAACUAAAUUGAUUAGACCGUAAAGGUGCUUUUCGAAUUCCUUUACAGCGAAGUUAUGUGGAAACAUUUUAACUAAAUAUUUGAUCUUUUACUUAAAAAUACCUCUCCUCCAUGGAUAGAACAGGAGGACCCUUAUUCGCUACGAUCUCCUCGUCGCUGACGACGCCAACCACCAAUACAUCGCCCAACGACUUUGCCUGCCGCAACGCAUUCGCGUGGCCGUAAUGCAUGAGAUCGAAGCACCCGUCCAUGUACACCCUCACCGGCCUCUUCCCGCGCUUCUUCUUGUGCAAAAUCCCCAAAUCCGGCCAAUAGAACGGCUGGAACGGAAUCGGGAUCCCGCUGAAAUAGCUUGUGGAUAAGCCGAGAACGGCGGCGAGGAUCAUAAUACCUCCAAGGCCGAACAAUUGGGGAGAGUUUACUCCCUCCCAAAUCCAAUUGUUGGUCUCAAACUCCAUAGAAAUCAUUGUAUUUAAUAAGGGAACAAGGUUUCGAUACUCGAAUCUGCAAAAACCCAAUACAUGAUUCACAAAUUAAACCUCCAAAAGAUAAGGAAAACCUUGAGAUUUGAACAUGGGUAACAGAAAAAUUAAUCACAAAACCACUAUUGUAUACUUUAGUGAGCAGUUUUAAUGAAAAAAAAAAAAAAACAUAGGGGAAAUGUCAUCAAAAUGGCAUUUUUGUUGAACUAAACUAUUAAAAAAAAAAAGUGCAUUUAAAGUUUAUAAGAACUUAAUACAACCAAAAUCAGAGCCCAUUUCCACACCAAAAGCUAGAUCUUGGAAUUUUACAACAAAAUUAAGCAUUUGGGUAUCCCAAUCCACUAAAAUAUGAGACGAAACAUGCCAUGCGAAUCAUAAUUUAAGCAAAAAAUAAGGCAAUAAUUAGGAAAUAAUCAUAUUACGAACCAUUCAUAACAAAACGAAAUAGGGAAUGAUAGGAAAAAGAAAAAAAAAACAAAAAAAAGAAAAACAAAAUUUGAGGAAAUGAGAGAUGGGGUGUUCGCAACGUACCGAGAGUAGAUCGAGAUCUCGGAUCAAAAUGUGUUUUUGGGUUUGUUUUAAUAGCGAGAUCUCUCUCUCUCUCUCUCUCUCUUCUAUUUCCCUCGAUUCUCUCUCUUCGCUUCGUCACAAAGGAAGCGUGGGAUCGCCUCCGCCCCUGCGGUCUACUCUGUGGGCCCCACCAAGGAAGAGAAACGCGACCGUCGUGGUAUCGUGGAAGGUGGGGCCCUCCGUGUGGACCGUUGAGGAACUAUUGCGUGGCCCGGGUCCUGUAGACCGGAUUUAGCCACCUUUAACGUCCACACCCUGAAAAAAAACCAUUAUUUUAGGUCCGCAUUGGUUGUGGGCUUGUGGAUAGGUUUUUAAUUAUUACUAUUAUUAUUAUUAUUAUUGACCUGCUUGCAGUCUGAUCAAAUCGAAUAUUAAUAAAUAUUUCUUCAAAACAUGGGCGAUGAAAAAUUAUAUAAAUAAUUUAUCCUAUAUUCUCAUAUACAAUAAAAAUAUAUAUAUAAAAAAAGACAACAGUUACUUAUGUUAUAUAAUAUUUAGAGAAUUUAUAGUUUUCAUGUUUAAAAUUACUAAUUUUUCCUUUCUUCUACGUGAUUUUUUUAACACGGUAAAAUCUCGUUAUUACAUUCAAUGCUUGCGCAUUAUCCCACGUCAAUUAUUUUGAAAAUAUAAAAUACAUCUACAGGGUCUAUAGACCAUGGUUCACACAAUAAUUUCGUCGGUCGACGUUUUGGUGGACAACACGACAUCCCACGUCCUCGGGUUGAAUGCAUCCGAGCCGUCGGAUGACGAUCGGACGGCCCGUAGGACAGGGUGAACAAAGAGCUCACCUUAUAUUCUGGAGAUCUCCUGCUUCUAGAAGUACACGUGGCUCGUCUGGGUUGGGAGAUUUGCGAAUAAAUAUAGGUAGGGAUCGCAUUCCGAGGUUGGGUCACACAUUGAGGACACCUCAUUUCUCCCACAAGCCAUGUGUGGUGUGGGAGAAAAAAACAUGUGAAACCGCACGCUUAUUUAUGCUCUCUCAAAUCUCAAUUAUAAUGAUCACGAACAAUUGAACAUUUGUAUCAAUUAAUAUUAAAAUCAAUACAAUUAAUAACAUAUAUAUCUUGUUUUGAAAGAGAUAUUAACUGAUUUUUUUUUUUCUAUCAAAUCUAGGUAAAGAUAAAUCAUUCCAACACAAAAAUAGCAACACACACCGUGCAAUAAUUAACGUACAAAAUUGAGUCACUACUAUAUUAGAGUACCCUGCACUAUAAGCCCUUCAUUCGGGGUUUUGCGAGGGCUUUAACCACAACCACCAACCAACUAGAGGCCACGUAACAUAUCGGUAAUCAAAAGAUACAUCAAUGAAGGAAGAGAUCUUCGAAAAGUUGGUUUUUACGACCCGAUAAAGAAUCAAACUUGUUCCUACUAUUCUACCGAUAUGUAACUCACACACACAAGAUCAACAUCUCAUUUUCGCGACCUGAUAUUUUAGGGUUUAGAACUUCUUUCACCUUUUCAGGCCAUUGGAAACUUUGUACACUUUCCAUCAUCUACGGUGCGCACAGCACCGCCAUAGGAUGCCCCACAGGAAAAGGCAUUUCAACUAAACAUACAUUACAUACAUUUUCCUUCACUCUUAUGGCACGCAUGGCACCGCCAUAAGAUGCCCCACAGGAAAUGGCAUUUCAACUAAACAUGCAUUGCAUCAAAAAAGAAACCACAUACACUUCAUCACCUGUUACAAGUAUCACUGCAUAUCAUCAUCAAAUAAAAGGCUUUUGUUCCACAAAUUUCACAAGCAGCGGAAAAGAAACAGUGUGUGUUCGACGAAAGAUAAAGUUUGCUGCUCUUAUGAGCUCAUUGGCUCAGGACUGCUUGAAGAAAGUAAAUCGAGCAACGAGUUGUGCGGCUCGAGCUCUUCGUGCCAAAGCGGCAAUGAAUCGCCCGUGUAGCAGUUCCUCGUAAUGCCAGAUUCGUUAAUCUGCACAAAAUUAAUAAAAAAAUUAUAAGCACUUGGAGAAAUAAUACGGAGUAAAUUAGAAUGAUUUCUUGACCCUGAACAAAAUCAUUAGGCAUGAGAUGCAGAUGCUCUAUAUUGCAAACUAUGGCACUAAAUGAUUUAUAAUUGUAUUGGAGGUACUUGUUCCAGAGAUUUUUCAUUGGAAAUAAAAGCGCAAUGGAUACAAAAAUAAAUAAGGCACUCACAAUAACUGUACGGACAACACCUCCGCUAGCGCCAUCGCGAGCUAUGGCAAGAGAGACUGCUUUCACCACUAACUCCUGCACAAUGAUCAACCCAAAAGGCAACAGUUAGUAAAAUUCCCAGCUGAAAAAUGCAUACUAUUUAAACCUUUUUCCUAAAACAUUUGGCUCAAGGCAAUCUAAUCUCAGAAAAGCAUGCAGACUUUAUGACAGUCUUGUUUCUUAAUAUUAAUAAUAAUCUCCAUAGUGGCAUGAGAAGUUCUCUUGUGGUUUUAUUUUAUUUUGUUUAAUCCUCCGUAGAGCCUCUUCCCUCCACAAAAUUUGACCAAAAAAAGCUGGACCAGUAGCAUCUAUAGUUUACCUUCAAAACUCAAUUAGACUAAACUACUAAAGGUUGUUUUGUACUUUUGUUCAAUAAUAUGUUUAAUGAGGAUGAAAAUAAUAGUUUUAUAGAUGUAUGUUAGUCAAAGAAUCGUCAUGACCGUGUUCUAAGGAAUCAGAGUAAUUCGGAGAAAUAAAAUUAAUCAUCCUCUGAAAAGAUGAACAACAAUAAUACUGUGCCAGAAUAUAAACAUCAAAAGUCUCAUCGUAGUAGCUUACUUAUGAGGAACUACAUCCAGGUUAAGUAAUCUAGAAUUAUGUGUCAUAUGACACUCGUCAAAAGAAAAAAGUAAAGAAAGCUAGAGAGCUAUGAUGAUGUACCUCAGCUUCAUCUUUGCUCAUCCCUUCCUUCCAUGCUUGAUCAAAGAAACCAUACAAGUAGCUGGAACCAGAUCCUGUGAAUUACAAUAUGAACAAGAAGUUCACAGUUCAAACCAGACAAAUGAUCUCAAUUAACACACGGAGCCAAAAAAUAAAAGAUAAAAUCACCAUUAGAUUGCAUAUAAAAGAGUUCCUUUGUUUAAAAAUCAUUCUUAAACUGAAUUGCACUCUUCCAAUCAUCAUAUUUAAAGAGAACUAAUACGGAUAUCAGCAAAUAACAAGUGUAUACUAUAAAAGCGGGGAAAAAGUGCCAUAUCAUGCACCUCCAAUGGCAAAAGGCUGCCUCACAAUUGUUCCACCAAGGGGCACAGAGUAUAUUUGACCUCCUUCAUACUUGUCCCAUCCACCAACAAUCAGGCCAGUUUCGAGCAUAUUCUGAAAAGUUCAUAAUAAAAAUUUACACAGCAUCAAGUAGAAAAAGGAACAUACUCACAACAGUGGAAAAGACACCAAGGGUAAGUGAGUUGUUUUACACUCAUUCUACGCAUUAUCUGUACAAGAUAUUAGGUCCUAGUAAUGAAACAAGGAACAUUAAGUCAAGAAAAACAGGAUAAGGAUGAGAUGGUCCCUUCAUAUAAUAUUCAACAAAAUUAGGCUUUCUAAUGCAACAUACAAUUUAUAUCCUAUUGCUUGCUUUUGUCAUUGGCUAUCUUUUUAUUGGUUUCUGACUAGUGACUUGAGGAAUGCCCGGUGGAGUUGUUGUACACUCAAUUUGUAAGUUAAUUAUUAAAUUGUUCAAUUGACAGCAUAAGUUCUGGAAGUCUGUCUAACUAGUUUUGCCAAGACAUAUAAAGGGGUUUCUGUGACUAAGGACCAUUUGGUUCCCUUGAUAAUAACACUUUGGACAGGCCAAUAGUCAAAUACAAAUUUGGCUUUAAUUUCAAGAUGGAGUUCAUUUAGUACCAGGAAAAAUGGCAAGCACACUUUAAGAAUUUCAAAUUCACAAACCAAGAUACUAAAUGUCAGAAAGAAUUGAAAAAAAAAAAAUAUUACCUUGUUUUGGUAAGAUAGCAACCUAAUUAAGUUGGCUGCAACUUUGACAGUGGCAGGUUGUCCUAGUUGAAUUCUGCAAAAUCAAUUAUAGCAGAUGACAUGGUAAGAAAUAAGUAAGAAUCAAGACUCCAACUAUUACAUAUCAUACAAUUUUACAUCAGAACACAUCGAUCCCAUGAAUCAAAAUAAGUAAUAUCCGAAAUACAAGAAAGAGGCAGAUUAGCAACGAUCUUGUAAUUGUGGCGACUUCCAACUUUUAAAUAUUCUGCAGUCAACCCUGGCCUAGUCAUGGUGAUGAUCCGGAAUUAUUAGAACUUGAUUCUACCCACACAAAAAAAAAAAAAAAGAAUACAAAUAUAACAAUUGGACAUAAGAUCAACUCAUAAACACUCAAAUAGACUCAAAACUCUCCAAAUAUGAAAAUUUUUCCCAUCAAAUCAUCAAGAUAAAAUUGCAUACACCAAUCGCCCAACAGACGGCACCUUUACAAAAGAAAAUUGUAUUGCACACAACUUAUAUGCAACUAUCGCACAUUCUAGACAAUGGCAUUCAGCUUUAAACACAAAGUUCCAUGAGCAAGAAUACUGUACUAUAAUAAGAGGCAUAAGUUGCCUCUUUCAGCAAAAAAAGCUUCAAUUACUAUACAUUGCUAAAGCCCAUCAUCAGUUAAAUAAUCAAAUUUCAUGCACGAUGCAUACCGAUGUAUUCAGUAUUCACCAGAGCUCAGACAAGAAGAAAAGAAACACAAAAGAUUCCUCAAAUUGGAAAGCAAAAUGAGAAAAUUGGCUUACGUAUGUUGGUUAAGGAAGUAACGAACGUAAUCCGAAACAACUUGGGAAUCAGCAGCCUGUUACGAAAUCAAAACUUAUUAAUACAAAGGUGCUGCAAACUAAAGUCAUCUCGAACCAAAGAAAUUCACCAACUCAGUGUGAACUACAAAGAUAGCCUACAGGCGCACUAUUCUACUUAUCCCACUGUUACAGUGUAUGAUGGUCCUUUAUGAGCCUUCAAAACUCACAGAAGGCCCACCUAAAUUCCACCAAUUUGUUCUCUGUCCAUAUUUACAGCGAACACACAACUCAUGCGGCCCACCAAGAAUUAGGACAUUAUACUUCAAAACUAGUAAAACACACGACAAAAUGCUUUACAACCCACUAAAACACCUCCAAAAGAGCUUUCCCCACAGCUGCUAGAGUGAAUUCCAUAACUUUUUUACGUUAACAACAAAAUCUCAAACUUAAAAGCAAGUCAAAACUUAAAUCUUGCUGCUAUGAAAACAAACAGUUCUGAACUAAGAUAUCAACAGAUUUAGAAGAAUACAUGUACUAGUCAUUUUGAGCCGGGAUUUUCAACUCAACUAAUAAAACUAAUCCACCUAAUAACAUAAUCACAGAGAGUAAUUACCGAUCCAGAGCGGCAAACGUAGACAUUAUCAGUGAGCUGCGUGAUCUUAUCCGAAGCCCUAUUAGCGACAUACAUCCCUACACAAAAACCACCGAACAAAUCGAUUACAGCAACGAAAUAGCAUCAAAUGAGAGGGAUCUCACAGUAUUAUCUAGGGAUCUGAUCUUAGAUCUAGAUGAAGAUGAUGAAGAUGGUGAUGAUAAUAGAGAGAGAGAGAGAGAGAGAGAGAGAGAGAGAGAGGGACCUGUGCUGGUUCGGGAGUCGGCCCCGAGGACGACGCCGCCAUUGUAGGUGACGCCAAUGAUGGUGGUGCCCGUGGAGAUGGGUGCUUUCAGAUCGGGAUCCAUGGCGACGAGGGUUUGGGAGUGGAGCGGGGAGAGAGAGAGAGAGGAAGAAGAACCCUAGAGAGAGGAAAUGUCGUGGUUUUUUUAUAUAAUUUUUUUGUCACUUUUGGUUGGGGACUUUAUAUAGUGUCGAGAUUUGUCGACCCCUUUCGCAAGCAAGUAGCUUUGGUUGGGUCCGGCCCAUAAAAGCCCAAUUCAACCCAAUAACCUUAUGGGCCUAAAUAUAAUAAAAAAAUAAAGGAGUGCGGAUAUACAUAAAUAUAUAUAUUUAUAGAGAGAGAGAGAGAGAGAGAGUGUUGACCUCAAGCACUUUUAAAAGCAAAGGACUAUUUGUGCUUAUAAUUUUUUAGCCAAAGGAUCGCCUCAAGAUCCGUGUGGCAGUUUUAACGAUGUGUCCCGUUAAGUUUUUUUUACUAAUAUUGUACGGAUUUUGAGGCGAUCAAACGGUUAAAAAAUUACAAAUAUAGAUAUUCUUGUGCUUUUAAAAAUGCAUAAGCUCAAUAUAUAUAUAUAGGCUACUAUACUUUCGAAAGUAGGAAGGCAUCUAUGUUUUAAAAUUAAUUUCAAUAAUGGAGAAAUCCAAUGCGGUGAUCAGCUUCAUUAAAUAUGAUUAAUAGUGUUGGAACUAUCAACAAACCAAAUUUCAUAAUUUUUUGACUCCGUUUGCCUAGUAACGGAUAACCUAAAAAUGAAUAUUUGAAAAUAAAAGUCUUAUAAAUAAUAAUAAUAAAUAAAUAAAUUUUAAAUCAGAAAUAUUUUGCUUUUAAUGAUAAGUAGAAUGUUCUAUUAAAAUUUUACCUAAUUUAAAUUAUUCUACACCAUUAAACAUAUAGACGUACCACUUUGAUCAUUAAAAUAGUAAAUUUUACCUAAUAUAUAACUCAUGAGUCUACUCCAAAAUAGCCUAUUUCUAAACAUUUCUAUCAUUUAUACAUAUUUGAAUCAAGUAUGGUAAAAAGGAAAAACGAGUAACAUCAACGGAUAUCUAUUGAUUUCGAGCACCAAAGCUAAUCUUAGAGUCCAUUUUAGCUAGACUUGUCCAGUGAGUUGCAGAUGCCUAUUCGAUGUGGGCUAAGUAAUAUGAAAGAACAUAGCCUUUCUGAAUUGGUUGCGUGCUGGUGGAUCAUUGGGAAGGCCAGGAAUGACCUGAUUUAUCGAAACAUCCAACUAGAUGCUCUAUUGGCUGUGCACGGGUUGGAGGAGCUGCUGAAAUCCCGGGAUCUACUCGUCCAAACAGUUAGAAGCCCUACCACCACGUGAUUUUUUUUUUUUUUUGUUACUCGACUGCCACGUCUUUUUCUUGAGACUCUGGUUGCCUCACCCCUGUAGUCUAAUUCAUCCUUUCAAUAAAUGAAGCAGAUAGCGUGCUACCUAUUCUAUAAAAAAAAACAAAUAUAACUUGACACUUCUAAUUUGACUAUAGAAAAAUUGGUGAGCGAAUUUAUCAGAUAAAAAGUACUAUAUAAAUAAAUAGUUUCAAUACUUUCAUUUAUAUGUAUCGUACAAAUUUGAUGAGUCAUACCGCGUGGAGUAACAAAAAAAAAAAAAAUUAAACUCAAUCUCUUCAAACAAAAAAAAAUUUAGCACUAACUCCAAUAGCAUGUUUUCGAGUCUAAUAUUUUUUUUACAUCAAACAAUUUUUUUCUUUUUUUUUUUUUCCCUGUGUGUACGUGAAAGACGCGUAGUACUCUCUAAAACAAGUCCCCAAAAGAAUCGAAUGGUGGGAUGUCCAACAUAGAUAUUAAGUAAUUUAAAUUCCUAGAAUUAUUUAAUUUAAUCUCAUGUCUCCAUUUUUUUUUCGUCCAGAUAUUAAAAAAAAAAAAAUUUGAAUAUAAAUAUUAAGAACAUAAAAAGAAAAAUCAAAAAAUGGGCCACAACCGACGAUCGAANGGAUCUGCCAAAGCUUUGGCCUGGUCAUGUCCUAAAUAAUUUGGACCAAAUUUUUUAAAUUUUUUGAUAAUUGGGAGCUUGAUUCCUACAGAAAGUUUUCCACCGAGGACUCCCCUAACACGCUACCUACACAGGAGCCUAACUACUGGGAUUCGACAAGUUUACUCUUGGGCAUAUUUAGUUCAUACUUGGGAUAGAAAUGAUGAAUAAAAUUAGAUUAUUUAGUUCAUUAUUGUAACAGAAACCAUAAUGGACAUCUUAGAAUUUUAGAAAAUAUUUUGGUUAAGAGAGGGGAGAAUGCCGAAGGAAGAGAAGAGAGGGUGUUUAUAAGAGAGGGCCUUUAGUUGUUUUCUUUGGAAUGCGUCAAUCUGGAAUUCAAAACCAGAUUAGAUCAUUUUCAUUCCAGAGUAGAUUGAAAAUCAGAAUCCGAUUCAUGUAAAACAAACAACAACUAUCAAAAUCAAUGAAUCUCAUUUUGGAUUCUAGAGCUUAAAAUAAGUGAACUAAAUAAGCCUUUGAAAUUGAAUGUUAUAUUUUGAAACAUAUAAUAAACACUUUGGUUAUUAAAUCAAUUUAAUCUUGGGCUGAUCUAAGCCUACAUUAAGAUGGGCUUUGAUUUGGAUUUACAUAGCUAAAAAUCAUAUCCUGGUUAAAUUGGAUCUUCUACAUUGAUUCCUCCUCUAAGUUAUGUUGCUAUUAAAAGGGAUCAAAUAUUUGAUUUUAAAUUACACGAAACCUGCAAUUCUCUCUAAAACUCUCAUGAUCCAAAAUCACAACAAGUUACAGUGAAAUGCAUGGAAGAUCUUAAAUACUUUGCAAUUCAAUGCGGCAACGAGAAAACAAUGGCUCUUUCAUGACAAGUUGCAUAAUCCGUGAAUUACAUUACAUCAGCCUCUCGUACACACUCGCAGGUUAGAUAUCUCGAAAAUAAGCUAAACAAAUGUGAGAAUAAAUCAUCAUCAAGGAACGCCUAAAAGGCACUCCCAAGGAUGAUACUAUGAAUCAAAAUCAAUGUUGAUCAAAUUAGGGGAAAUGUAUCAUCAGCAGAGUGAAUAUAGAUUGAUAUUCCUGAUCUUCAUUAGUCGGCAGCAACUGCAGUUUCUUGAAGAGGUAAAAGAUGAGCGAAGGGCUUCGAUGGGGAGCUCGGAGGAAUAAGAUUCGCGCCCGGCUUUUCCUCCAGACUCUCGAGAACCUUCCUCACCUCCUCUGCGAGCUCCGUCACGUAAUCAUCUUCGUGGCCUGCAUGCAUUGUAUUCAAAUAAGUAUGGUUGUGGUCACAAGAGCAGAUAUGAUGGUAGCUUCUUUCUUAACCAAUCUUCGUCAUAGUCUAAUCUUUUUCAAAAUUAAACAAACUAAUUUUGGAUCAACUAUAUGAGUUGAGAAAUUGCAAAAAAUGUAGCGAAAGCUCCAAUGUACGCAUGGUUAGGUACCUAUAUUGCGCAAUGCCUUUUCUAACAGAAAUAGAUAGUCCCGAUUGUUUCCGCAAGGGCCUUUUGCAGUAGCAAUUUGCCUGAAAUACAGAAGAUGAGUUGAGUUAGGCGAAUGAAAAAGGCAUUGAAAAAAAAAUAAUGAUUAAAAUUUGUGAGAAGAAAAGGGAAUACAUUGCCAUAUCCUCCAAAGAAGCAGGACCAAGAUAGUACUUAUUGGAUUCUUUAUCAGGUGUGGAUGUGAACCUAUAAAAGUGAUCAACAUUUUGUUAGUCGCAAAACAAAUAUAUGAAUGUACAAGUUCCGUAUAAGAAUAAACAUUUGUUCUGGUGUAAGUUAGAGGUCUUACACUAGAACUCCUGUAACAGCUGGUUCAAGAGUAUCUCCUUCCUGAAUAAAGCAAGCCAUAGAAGCGAAUAAGGAGAAAUGGAUAAGCAUCAAAAUGUGGUAUAAUCUUAAGUAAAACCUGAAAGAAAGCUACAAGAAAUCGGGAACCGACAAACCUUGUAGAAGUUCACAAUUGUUUUCUGAUCGUAUUCGCACUCUCUUCUCUCCAAAUACUGCAAAAGCGACAGAGAAUUAAUUCUCAAUGGUCAUAAAUUUGCUUCUUCUGCGAGUGAAAUUCCAUCAUUCGCGAGAUAGUUAAAUACCUGCAUUGCUGCUUUCUCUCUUUCCUCGUUACCUCGAACGCAAUAUGCAGCACCCCACUGAAAAAACAAGUAACUUUUAAUAAAGAUUCUUGCAAACAAAAGGGAAAAGCUAAUAAACACCCAUAUUUCACAAAUGUAUUAUUACUUCCAUGGUGGUUCGGUUGAUGAAGUUCAAUUUACAAUUCAAGUCGAUUACGCUUAUACUUCAGUGAAUAUAAAAAUUAUAUAAAUUUGUUCAAAAACAAAUUUAGACACUCCUCUUUCUAUAAGUAGGAUAAAACCCUGUUUGCUACAAAAAGAAAAAACACUCUUUUUAGAGUGGAUUUUACUUAUUUAUGUGAGACAUAAACACAAACAGCUUGUAUGCACUCUCUACAGUAAACAGUAAAGGUAAAAUUUUGCUUACACAAACUGUUCCAUCCUUAGCCUCCACCGUGCAGGUCCGAGCCGGGUUCUCCGGUGUCCCACGGUGAUCAAUGCAAGCUGAAAAACAAAAGGAAAAAAAGGAAAAGUAUGUUAUCAUCUGCAUGCUAUAAAUCAUUAUAAGCGCACAAAAUCAACAUAAAAUUUCUUUACAAGAAACACCCUACCGAGAUCGAAAACACGUCGAUAGCCCUUGAUGAACCCCACUAUCCUCUCGUCAAAGUCAAACCCUGGAUUCCAUAUCAAUGACCCAUACGAAAAAACCCAAAGCACCAUCCUGGUCCUUUUUUUUCCCCUGCAUUUAAAAAUAUAGAGUCCAAAUUACAUUGUUAGAAUCAUCAAAACCAUGCCAUUAUUUUUUCUGAUUGAUAAAAUUUCCCUUCCGAAAGCGAAUAAAUCCAUGAUAAAAUCCAAGAAUUAGAAUCCAAAUUACACUCCUAGAUUCAUCAAAAUCAUGCCUUGAUUUCUUUUUAAUUACUAAAACUUCAAUCUCAUCCCCAGGAGUAUAAAUCGAUGAUAAAAUUUAAAAUUUAUACAGAGCUUACAAUCAUAAUGAGCUAAAAAAUCGAAUGAAUAUAACACUUUCGCUCAAAGCUCGGGGAUUAACACUAAAAAAUAUGAACGGCAAAAAAAAAAAUCAAAUUUAAUUCGGCGAUCACCGAUCUGCAGAAACAGGCCAAAAAAUCCUCGAAUGGGAAGUUGAAAUCGCGAAAAAUGAAGACAAUUUAGGGAAAAAAAAAACAACAGGGAAAAAUUGAGGGGAAAAAAAAUUUGGGGGGGAAAUGGAGUCGCCGAAACCCUAAUCCACGAAUUUGGGUUGGGGGGGAGGGGUUUUGGAUUAGAAAUUUGAAGGGCUCGGACUCGGAGUCGUCGUGGGGGGGGAACGACUCUGAUAGGGUUUAUAUAGCGGGAGGAAGGGGACGGGUACAACGCCAUACGCGUGAGAUUUUUGCCUCGAGGUUCAAUGAACCUGGACGGGAUCCCGCCGCACCGUUGCGUACAGGGGUUGGUGCGUUUUAAUUAGGCAAAACUUCAAAUACCCUCCUUUGGUUUCUCACGUUCUUACUUUAGUAUUCUUUAGUUUAAAAUAUAUCAAAUUAGUACCAUGUGGUUUCGUACUUUCUCACUUUAGUACCAUGUGGUUUAAAGUGUAUCAAGUUAGUAUUCUAUGAUUUUAUUUUUGUAUCAAGUUAGUACCAUAUGGUUUUAUUUUUUUCUUUUUAUUAUCCAUUUCAAGGCAUUUUUAUCGCUAAAUCAGUGACAAAGUUAAAACUAAAGGAUGAAUAUUCGAUAAACUUAGCUAGUAUAUCUGAAGUUUUUUUAUAUAUAAUUUAACAAAAUAUUAAACCACAUAGUACUAAAGUGAGAAAGUGUGAAACCAUAGGGUACCAACUUGAUACACUUUAAACCAUAGGGUAUUAAAGUGAGAAAGUGCGAAACCACAGGAUACUAACUUGAUAUAUUUUAAACCGUAGGGUACUGAAGCGAGAAAGUGUGAAACCAGGGAGGUAUUUGAAAUUUUUCCUUUUAAUUAAUAGGAAUUUUUAUUUAUUUUGUUUUUCUAGAAAACACGAAAAUUUGGACAAAGUAAAAUAAGGACGCCUCGAUUGUAACGCCCAAGUGCACCUUCCCCCUCCGCGUAGUUAUUGCGAUUUUAAUUAGGAUUAGGUUCAAUUACUACACAAUUAUCGAUACAAUAAAUCUGGUCAAAUAAUGUAAAAAUUUUAAAAAUAUUUUCUAAAAUUAAUUUGCAAAAUUGAUAGUAUUAAAUGAUUUUUUUUUUGAUUUAUUGAAUUUGGAUAAAUUUAAUUAUGAAAAUAGUGGUCUGAAUUAUACUACUAUACUAUCGAUAAUACCAAACGUUUGGUGCCAUCGAGUUUUCGACCGUUGGAUGAUAAAAUGUGCGGGGGUUGAGUGAGUGGAUGGUUGGUUGAAUAGUAUAAUUUAAUAAAUGAAAAUGACCAAAAAAGUAAAUUUAACGAGAGAAAACUCGAUAGUACUAUCGAUAGUAUAAUAGCCGGACUCAUAGUGGUCUUAUUAAUUAGAUGGUGUUAUUAACUGAACUUAUGAUUUACUAUUGACAUUAAAACUUGAAUUUUAUGGACUUCCACUGCCGCGUAGUUAUUGGGAUUUUAAUUAGGAUUUAGUUAAGUUACUAUAUGUAGUAGAUACAAUGAAUCUGGUCAGAAUUUACGAGAUUUCAAAAGAUAAUAUCUAACAUGAUUUUUUAUAUUUUCUUUGGAAAUUGAUGUUAUUUUGGUUAUUAAUAAUUAGUUUUUUUGGAGAUUUAUUGAACUUGAACAAAUUUAAUUAUGAAAUGCGGCCUGAUUUGCUGAAUCAACUCGUCUAUAUUUAUUAAUGAUAUUAAUAAUCUUAUUAAAUGGAUGGUGUUACUGUGUGAGUUUAGCUUUUACUAUGUACAAUACAAAUUGAAUUUUAUAAAAUUUUAUUAGUAAAUAGUGAUCGAAUUUAAUAAAUUUAUGAACACGAGUAAAAAUACAAUUCUUUCUGGAAGUGUCCUUAUUGCUCUUCCAAAAUAUGUGUGAUAAGUACAUGUGAUAAGAAUAGUUUUAUUUGUUGAUUUGUUCCACGCACAUGCUUUAAUAAUAUUAUUAUUAUAUCGAUGUACCAUCACAUCAGUAAUUUAUGAAGAUAAUACUUUAGGUCAAAACUGACCGUCCCUAACGUAAGUGGCAAAAAAUUUGAUGGUUAAUAUCCUGAGAUCCCGAGUUCGAAUCCUAAUUGAUCCAUAUUUUCAGCUAAGUUUAUUUUUAAAUGAAAUAAACGAAGCGGAUAACAUGCUACCUACCUCUUAAAAAAAUAAAAAAAUAUUUUAGGCCCAAAGUAUUUUUCAUGGAGAGAGGUAUAUUAAAUAAAGCUCUUUUAUUCUGUUUUCAACUAUAUAUGAAGUGAGAGAUAAUAAUUCUACACUCAAUUAGGACUGUCAAUGAGUCGAAUACAAACUGACUCAUUUAAAUAUCGAGCUGAAAAAUCUAACAAAUGUUCGACUUGUUUUAUUAAUAUGCUGAACACAAGCUGACUUGCGAACAACAAAUUAAAUUCUCAGCCCUCCUACUAAAUAAAAAAUUGAAAAAAAUUAAAAAUUAAAAUUUUAAUCUAAUAAUUAAAAUUUAUAAAAUAUAAGUCUCUUUAAAAUAUUUGGGUUGUCAAUAUAAUUGAGUUAUAUCGGGCCAAACGCGAGCGAUCCGAACCCAGCAGUAUUUGGCUUGUUAAGAAUUCGAGCUAAAAAUUUCAACUUCCGUCCUACAUGUUUAUUAAAUAAGCGAUCGGUUUUGACCUCCCUCGCAAACAGCGAGCUAAAUUGCCUGUGUGUACACCAAAUAAAAGAAGAGUAAUGUUUUACUUAUGUACACCAUUUUAAUUAUAUGUUAACACAAAGCGUUUUAAACCGACCGUCCCUAGCGUAAGUGGCAAAGAGCUUAAUACUUGGUACCCGAGGUCCCAAGUUCGAAUUCUAGUUGAUUUAUAUUUCUAGCUAAGUUUAUUUAUAAAUAAAAUAAACGAAGCGGGUAACAAUGCUAUCUAUUUCUAAAAAAUAAAAUAAAAAGCAUUUUAAUUGAGAGACUGUUUCAACUUACAAGGACAAAGAUCUAAUUUAAGGUGAGAAUAAAAACUACAAGAAAGAAUCAUGACGCCUAGGUCAAAAAUUAUACUUGAAUUAAUCAACGGUCACUAUUAUUUAUUUGACUUGUAUAAUGGCUCUUAAUUAGUUCAAAAUUCCAAUUACUAACUCUGCCAAGGUCAAAACCAACAUUUUCUCUUCACUCCAAAGGGCAAAACAAUAAAAAAAAAAAAAAAGAAAAAAAGAAAAGGAAAAAGACAACUUUUUCCAGCACAUAAAAAAAAAGAAGUAUUCACAGUCACAUUCAUGGCCAUAGUUGACAUGUUUAUUAUUUUUUAAAAAAAUAAAGAAAAAAAUUUGAUGAAACAACUUAACUUUAAAUAAAAGUCAACGUAGAUUCAGUGGCCCACGUGGACGUUGAAAUAUAUGGAUCACCACGUGCUAUAGUAUUUUAUUUUAUUUUAUUUUAUCUUAUUUUUUAUGAACAAACGAAGAGAAUCUAGAUGACUCUAAAUCAAAAGGGCAAUGGCCCAAACUAGAAGCUAAAGAAUUUUAUUUAUUUAUUUAUUUGUUCUGUUAAUAUGAAAACGAGUAUUAAAAAUAUCGGUUCUCAUUUUAAUACAUUAUAAUAUGCAAAAAGAUGUAUGAAACUUUAAUACUAUUUAAAAUUCGGUUAUAAGUUGAGUUUUCGAUUGAACAACACAAAUGAGGUUCGAAUAUAACCCGGCACAAUAGAGACCGAACCUAUUGGCGUAUUCUAGUUAGAUUCGAGUCUGGUUUGAUCAAAUUUGUUUUCGCUGUACCCGAAUUUCGACCCGUAAGUGUGGUUUACACUUCAACUGCAUGUUGGAGUGUCACAGAUCAGAGCAAAACCUCGCCCUAGCCGAAUUCUGGCCGGGCAUGAUUUCGAGUUGUGUUAAUAUUGUUUAGCACAGAUCAAAUACGUAUCUGAAUCUAGCCACAAAAGAUCUGAAUCAGAUCGGACUGCAAUAAAUUGAAGAUCUAAAGAACUUGGAUCCAUUCCAGAUUUUCUUGAGCUUAAAUUUUGAUACCCGGUUUUGGAUGGUCUGAUUCGAUCCGCUAAAAAGAAAACCCUCAUGCGGAGGAUAUCGAACAUCGGGCUUGAUUUGUUGGCCAUAGAUAUGGGCCCCGAUGGAGAUCCAAUCCGACAAUUUGGGUCUUAAAUGGGCCCAGUAAUUGUGUUUGAUGUGCCACUCAUAUGUAAUUUUAUGGCAUUUUGCAUAUUUCUAGGAUUUGGUUCACAUAUUAGACAAACAAAUAUUUAAUUAAAAAAAACUAAAAUAAAAGCUUAAUAUCAUUUGAAUGAUUAAUUUUCUAAUGGAUUUCAAAUCAUAAAAAUUACAAGGAAAAUGCAAUGAAUUUUAGACAAUUUGAGAUCGAGAAAUAUGAUCACUCCACACCACAAAAAUUAAAGUAUUAAAUUUGAGGCUUCUAUUUCCAAUAACAAGGAGAAGUUAUUGGGAUAUUUUAUUAGUUAAAAAGAUUUUGGUAAAUUAUUAAGAUCUCACACUUUAAGGGGGAAAAAAUGAUAAAUAUAAAUAAAAGAGUGGGCCUUUAUAAUAUGCCAAGUCAUUACAUUUGGAAUCAAUCAUUUUCAACAAACCUAUCAUCUCAAUCACAUAUAUUAACUAAUUUUUUUUUAUUUGAUGCUGUAUAUAGACUAUAUAUUAAGCUUUUACCAUCAAAGAACAUAUCAAAUUUUUUGUAAAAAAAAAAAAAAAAUCCAACAAAAGAUGCACAUCCUUAUUCGCUGCGAAUUCAUUUUUGAAUUUGUUGGAAUGCCACAACGGAGUGCUUGGCAAUGUGCAAGCUGAAUUGCCCGCCCUUCUCCGCCACGUCGACCUUCUCCGUCCCCAGCGGCGGCCGCAUCUCAAACCCGGCCACGAGCCGCCCGAUCACGAUCCCCAGAAUCGGCAGCGCCAGCACGAUCCCUGGGCAGCUCCGCCGGCCCAUGCCGAAUGGCAGGAACCUAAAAUCCACCCUCCCGCCCCCCACCGCCGCGUCCACCACCCCCUCCUCCUCGAGGAACCGCUCCGGCCGGAACUCCUCCGGUGAUUGCCACAACUCCGGAUUGUUCGCUAGCCACCACGCAUUCACCACUACCUGCCAGAUAUAAAAAUAUUAAAACACAGUUCUCUAUAUAAGUUUUAGUUUUCUAGAAAAAGUAAAAAAUCAAAGGUAAACUUCAAAUUGCUCUCCUGUUGUUUAUUUUAUUUUUACUUGGCCACUGAGUAGUUCAAAAAGUCUUACUUUUGCUCUUCCGUGGGCCUGUGGUUUAACUCUUUUUCAUUUUGCCACUUCAUGGCUUCUUAAAAUUUUUUUACUUUGUCCUCUUUUUUCGUAUAGAAUUUUUUGAUGAAACAAAAAUUAAACCACAUUGAGUUAAAGUGAAAUUUUGUAAAUCGCAGAAUGGCAAAAUAAAAUAAGCUAAACCACAUAGAAGCAAUUCGAAGUUUAUAUCCCAAAAAACCAACCAUUUCACAUCGUAUCACGGAGCUAAGAUGUCGUUUUCGGGGCACUGAAUAGAUGCUUCGGAUUCAAAGUGCCCUAAUUACUAUUUAGGGCUUUUAGAGAAUCAUUAGGGCGCUUCGAAUUCAGAGCAUCUAUUCGUGCUCCGAGUUCAGAAAUACUAAAUCAUCAUUCUCUGAUAGUUUAAGCUUAAAUUUAGAGAGAAAUUAUGCUGUCGCAUUACCUUGGAACCCGCGGGAAUAGUAUAACCGCCGAGCUUCGCCUCCUCGAGGUUCAUGUGGGGGACUAGAAGUGGAAUAGGGGUGUGAAGCCGAAGAGUUUCUUUGAUAACUGCUUGUAGGUAAGGAAGUUUGUGGAGAUUCGACUCCGACACCGGCUCGCCGCCGAGGGCUUCGUCGAGCUCGAGCCGGAGCUUGGUUUGGACCGCGGGGUGGUUCACUAACUCCGCAAUAGCCCACUCCAUGGACCACAAUGUGGUCUCUAUCGCUGCGCAAAUUUUUUUAAAAAAUAGGGACCUAAUUGUUAUACAUGAUAGAAAAAACUUUGAAAAAGGACGAAAUUGAAAUCAGAAUCAAAAUUUAGAAACUAAAUUUGUAUAAUACUCAUAUUUGUACCUGCGACGUUGAUGUUUUCUACGAUGUAAGUUACGUUGUCGGCGGUGAUCUCUCCGUUCUUCUCGGCUUCUAGGAUGUGAUCGAUCGCACACUGUGGCCUGUGCUUGUCUCCGUUUGCCACCAUGAUGUUUCUAGUAAUAGAGAAGUAAGAAAAAGUUUUAGUGAGAAUUAGAUUCUCUAAAGUUUUGUAAAUUCUCAACAUUUCUAUUUUCAGCUUCAGUUAUUUGAAAGAAAUUAUUUCUUAAUAAAAAAAGUCAAGAGCUUCUACUUUCUUCAGAAAUUUUAUUAAAUUUGAUUACUAUUUACUGAUUGAAUUUGACGGGAUUCGUAAAAUAAUAUUCAUAUAUAUAUGUCAAGAAUAACUCAAAAUUGAGGCUAUAAUUAAUAAAGAGAUUAGUUUAAUUACCUUCUUUUCUCCACAUAGUAGUUGUUGAAGAAUGCCAACCUCUUACUUUGCAAAUCCUUGCACUUAUUCAAAUAACCCCUCAAAAAUGGUCUAAGUAUAGGAAUAAAAUCCCCAUAGUUAUACUCAAAGCUUUGUGCUAAUCGGCUCCGCUCCGAAUUGAACUUCGUCGCCUCGACGAAGAAAGGAUCCUCCAUGGACUCAAACUUCAUGUCAAACAUCAUCCUAUACAUGACAUUGUAAAGCAUCAAUUGCAACCUCUUCCUUAUCACCACCCCUUCGAUUUUAGCCGUCCGAUCCGAUCGCAGGUCGCUCGCAACGAGCUCCAUCUCCUCCUCCCAUGUCUCCUUGUAUUGUUGCACCACUUUGUUUGUGAAGAAUGGCAGGGUCAUCACGCGGCGCAUCUUGCGCCAGUGAUCGCCGUAGACGGUGAAGACCAUGUCUUGGCCGUUGCCCGUGAAGAUGUCGAACACGACGUUUCGAGGGCGGGAGCCGAACUCGACCCCUUGGGUGUGGAGGACUUCUUUGGCGAGGGUCGGCUCCGAGACGACUACGAGGUUUCGCAAGCCGAGUUUGAGGAGGAAGACGGGGCCGUAUUUGCAGGAGAGGUCGGCAAGGAAGCGGUGAUUGAGGUCGUUGCCGACUUGGAGCCAGUUGCCGAAUACGGGGAGGGAGGGGGGGCCAGGAGGGGUGGUGGAGUAGCUGGAUUUGUAGAAGAAGAUAAUGGAGAGGGAGAGGAGCAAGAGGAGGAGGAGGAGGAGAGGAGUGGAGAGGGAAAUAGAAAAAAUGGAGAAAGAGAUUAGGGUUAGGGGGAGGAUGAUGGAGAGAGAGAGUUUCUUGAGAGGUAUGGUCAUUUUUUGGAUUGUGUUAGUGUUGUAGUGAGAGAGAGAGAGAUAAGUAGAUAGUGUUAUAGUAGAGAGAAAGAGAAAGAGGUAUCUAGUAUGGUAGAGAGAGAGAAAGAGGUGAUAGUUCUAUGGUUUUGAGAUAGUGCAUUGGUGAUAUAUAUAUAUAUAUAUAUGUAGAGAGAGAGAGAGAGAGAGAGAGAGAGAGAGAGAGAGAGAGAGAGAGAGAGAGAUUGCAUGAAGCUAGAGAGAGAGAUGUUGUUUGAAUCUCUAGUAAGGGGUACUAAUUUGACUUGGGCACUGCCAAAAGCAAGUCAAAGAACUCGGGUUUGAAAUGGACAUGUACAAGGGUUGGUGGGGAUGUUCACAUGCAUGCAUGGUUGGUGAGUGUCUACAAUUGGAUGGUUUAACCCAAUGUUUUAGUUAAUCAUUUGGCUUGGUCAACUUUUCAUUCUACUUUAACCAAAAGGAUCCUACUUUAUUAGUUUAAUUAGUUACCUAUAUAUUGUGUAAUCACUCAAAUGUGUAUGUAGGGUUUUUAUUGUUAAUGGACUAAUUAAGUGGUGUUAGCAUAUAUGGCUAUGGGUUUGUAGAGUUUGCAAUUUUGGAGCCUUCAAAUGGAGAAAUUGUUGCUUGGGCAUGGUCCUAUUGUCUCAUCAGUGAAAUGAACCACUAAAUACAAACACUUAAAUGAAAAAAUAUAUAAUAUAUUUUUAUAUAUUAUGCGGAAUAUUUUUACAUAUUAUUUUCGCAUAACGCUGAAAAUUCUGUAAGAGUAACUUUGGAAGGAGUUGCAUUAUAGUUUAAUUUUGUUGUUCAUUACACUCUUUCUCGAAAAAAAACAAUGACAGUUCUGAAUCAAAUUUCAAACUCUAAAGUGUGUGUCGGAGUCUGUGUGCAGAAAAAAUAAUUGAAUAUGUAAAAUUUGAUCCUUUCUCAUCGACUUAUCAUCUAAUAUAGUGUUAAGAUUCAGCCAAAACCUUCGAGAUUAAAAUAGACAGUUAAAAUUUUGAAAAUAAUGUAGAGUCUAUGUACAAUUCAUCAGCAUGUUUUUACGAGAUUUUCCUGAAAAGCUUGUCAACAAAGUCGUCCUCGUCUGCAGACCUGUUAUAAAAAAGAAAAAAAAGAAAGUUAUGUAUUGCCGGUGACUUGGUAGACCGGGUCCAAGCAAUGAACUUUUCUAUAAAAUGGGUGGGGAUUAAGUGGUAAUUAUAAUUGUUAAUGGGGUUUUCCCACAAAGUUUCAGGCGUCGUCUAAAAUGUCAUGCUAAAUUGAGAGGGGGAAGUGGGAGUAGGUGGGUGUGCACGUGCCUAAAUUAUAAUUUGACCAUUCUCAAAAGUGAAAACACACGUGGGAUUUUUUUUUUUUUAAUCUUUUAUUAGGGAUUUUCUUAUUUUAUUUUUUUUCACAAAUUCGACUCCAAUCAAAUUUGAUAUGGUUUGAUUUGAUUGUAUAAAUAAAUUUAUUUAGUUUUAGAGCUAAUAAAAAAAUCAUAAAUGAUGGCUACAUUGCAUUUUAGUUUGUAAAUUUUAAUUUAUUUUUAUUUAUGAGUGAUAUGUCAAUAAUACGAUAUCUUUGUCAAUAUUGUUGGCUAUAAUCUUCUUAUAUUGCAGUCGUACUCGCGACACUUUGCUAUCAUUCAGUCAAUUAAGUUAUAAAGAUAUAAUUACAAUAAUUUAUAAAUUUUAAAAAAAAAUAUAAUAAAUUAAUAUUUGAGAAUUAAAUUAUCACGCACUGUAAUAAAUUUAGAGUAUGGGAAAAAUCUUACCGUACACAAUUUGGUCUUUUUCCUGAAGCGUCCAAUUUAUCGUAAAUAGACUCAGAAAUGAUUCUUUUACGAUGCGUGUAUAUCUACAUUACGGUUCGAAUCGACAGUUCAAUUAAUUCAACAUUGCAAAAUACAUCGGCUUGUUCGGGAAUUAGUCCAUGUACUUAGCUCUCGAGAAAAAAUAAAAGCUUUGAAUAAAACGAGUGCGCUUCGUCGAGAAGCUUCUCGACGAAGAUUUUACUUAAAAUAAAAUAGUUUGAUGAGCUGUAUGAUUUAUUUUUUUAAAAAAACUAUUCAAAUUUAAAAGUUUUUAUAAAAUCUCAGUAUUAUUUCGAAGGACAGAUUUAAAGAUAGCUCAAUAAAUAAGAAUAAGAUGCUCCUUGUUUAAUUUUUUUAAAAAUUUUUUGGGUCUAAUUUGAGCAAUUUAAUUAUUUAGGCAUUGGGGUGGGAACACAAUUAGCUGUUUAUUUGGAACCAUCCGUACCAUCUGGUCAACGUCUGGUCAACGUUGAGAAAAUAGUUGACUUUUCUUUGGGUCUCUCGACCAAUAGAAUGCAGCCAACUCAGCAAUUGUACCUCUGCCGACGUGUUUUUUGUUUUUUUUUUCGAUUUAUAGUGGGAUAGUAGAAAAAAAGGAAAAAAAGGAAAAAAAAAAAAGUUUCUUAUAUUGCCACAAAUUUUCGUUUCUUUUUUUUUUCAAAAAAAAAAAAAUCUGAAAUAGCUGUAAAAUGGCAUGAAAAUGCAAGGUAAAAGCACCUGCAUUAUUUUUGAAAAAUCAUAAUGAGCUCAAACGCACUGUUAAAAAACCAUACAUAUGGAGGAAUUAAAUCUCUGACCUCUUGAUAAUUGGAAUACCUACAAAUUGUACUAAAUAGUAACGAUCGACAAAUUAUAUAGUCAAUUAUCUACAUUAGUCAAAAUUUUACUAGAAUAUAUAAUAUUUACAAAUGAAAUACAAGUAUUUUAUUAGAAUGUAUAAUAUUUACAAAUGAAAUACAAAUAUGUACAGCUACUUCUCAAAGUAUCCGCUUCGUUUAUUUCUUUUAGAAAUAAACUUAGUUGGAAAUGUGAAUCUUGGAUACCAACCACCAAACUCUUUGGCCUUUGCCAUUUGCACCAAGGACGGUUGGUGAGAACAGAGGAGUUAUUGUGACCAUAAGAAUACCAAGCAAGCACAUAGGCUUAUGGGCCCUAGUGGGCCUAAUGACCACAACAAAGUUCGGGUCAAAUUUGAUUCGAUUCGGCGGAAUUCAACGCCUCGAUUUCACGAAUACUCCCAAUACGGACCUAUGUACCACUAGCCCGUUUGGCCCAGCUGUGCAAUGACACUCUAGGAUUCAGAUAAUCCUAUAUAUGAGAUAUAAUAAAGGUAAAUCUCUUAAUCUCACUAUAGUAUUUUAUAUGGUAGAUGGAUUCAAGAACUUAAGAGAGUUAAGCCCGAUAGGUUUAGAAUAGUUCUACAAUAGAUGAUUCUCUGAAAAGUGAGGCGUCAUAUGUACUCCACCCCCCAAUUUGCGAAUGCACUGCAUAGCAUCCUGCGAAAGCGCCAAUUCCAGAGGAGCUAUUGCAGGCUAUAGUAUUCUGCUGCGGUGGGCAGCACCACCGCACGGCAAAAUGAAGCCUAGAAUAGGCUUGGUUUCGGCGGUGGUUGGCCACGCACACCGCACCGCACCACACCGCACCGCACCGCACCGCAAAGCAGGGCCAAACAGAGCCUAUACAUAUGUACAUAACUUGGUUACGCAAUAAUGCUCUGGAGAAGUACUAAAGGGUCUUGUGUUUGCACUUUGUACUACAAUAUUCGAAUGUACUACUAUAACGAAAGGACAUUCGUGCAAAUGAUAUAUGGCAAUCUCUAAAUGCCAUAUGAUAAAUGCAACAAUUCAUUUAUUCAUUCACCACUAAACCUUUGUUUAGAAUUGCGGAGAAGUAUGGUAGAAAAAUAUUUUAUUUAUUUUCGCAUUCUGCGUACCACAAUGAGUCGAUUAGAAUAUGUUUUCUACGGUCUCAUCAAAAAAGGCAAAAGUAUAUCUUUAUACAUGCUUUUUUCCUAACUCUAUUUUACUAAGGCAGCUUCUGCUUCUAGCUGCAGUACAAAGCUAGUGGACAGAGGAAAAGAGCUGUUUCCGCUUAUCCAAACAAUUAAUUUGUUAUAUUAUAACAAAUUAUACUGUAUAUAAGCUCUAGUUAAGCCAAACAGGCCCUAAAUUACGAACGCAAUUAACAUAGAGCAAUGCUUAACAAAAACAAAAUGCAGCAACAGAGAGAGCAAUAAUAAUGUGCUAAGAAGAUGCAGAAUAGAUAAAGUCAAAAGACUUAUUAUGUUUUUUUCUGCUUUAUGCAAGUUUUAAUAAGUCACCAUUUCUUACAUUCUGAUCUCUCAAGGGCUUUCACCUUUAAAAAUGAUAUGGAUUCAAAUAAUAGGCUAAGACCCUCUCCAUUUCUCUCUCUCUCUCUAUAUAUAUAGACUCCUAUGAUGCCGCCGAUACCAAUUUAUUUUCCUCCGGUACCCUUUUUUAUCUCUUAUUAUUAUUAUUUUUUUAUUUUUGUAAAUUUUCUCUAUGAAAAUUGGCUUAUUUCUAUAUGAUUAAGCAACUGCAACACCAGAAGAAAACAGCUUCACAGGAGCAGAGCAGGGUGAGUUUUCAUACGACUUCAUCGCCAUUGAUCCGCAGUUCUCCCAGCAUUCGUCCGUCAGCAUCUGUUGGCAUCGGCAUUCCGCGCUACAGAAGGCUUUCUCACCUCUGUGGGAACAAAACAACAACAACAACAACAAAAAAGGUUUAGUUAGCAUCGGCAGAUUAAUCGAAAGAACCGUGAAAAGAUAUUUGUGCCAACAGAAUUUUAAAGCAUAGAAAGGAAAUAUUCCCGUAACUACGACUCAGUCCAGCUAUGAUUUGACUCGCAGAGGGAACGAUUUUAAAGUACAAAGUAUGAGAGAUGUACUCAAUGUUGUUUAUAGUAAAUAGAUAAAGAUGACAAAUUAAUGCAUAAGGUGUCCAGUAAAGCCGCAUAGAAGUUGAACACUUCUUAAGAAAUAGAAGGUUUACUAAAUUUAUUCUUAAGGCGCGCGAACUAAAACAAUCUAAACACAAAACAUAGACAAUUGAGCAACAGCAUUUUCUCAAUUUGCUCUGGCUAUUUAUACAAAGAGUCUAAAAUAUCCAUAUUCCGUGGUGAGUCCUGAUUUAGCUACUACUUGAUACAGCUAAACCAAAAAAAAACCGACAAAUAAUUUGCAACCAAAAUGAGAACCAAAAAUUAAAAUAUAAAAGCAUGAAAGUGAGACCAGCAUCUAAAUUGAACAAUUUGAUGAGCCCAAGCAAAUGCAAGCUGUACUAGUUCAACAAAGCUAAAUGAAGAAUAUGCUCUUUCCAUAGAUACAGUCACAGAGAAGAAAAGAGGCUCUCAAGGAUUUGCCAAAUUUGGUGGCUGAGGGAGUAGUAAUAUGGGGACUUGAAGACAAAGUUAAUAUUUGAUUGAUACAUAUUGAAGGAUUUAAUGGUUAUUAAGAGAAUAUAAUAAUUAAUAGACAAAUUCAUAAGCCCCUCUUAGCCCUAAUAUGCAUACUUUAGGGCUAGAUGAUGAUAACGGAGCGGACUAUGUAAAUAGCCUGAAUCUUUUUCGUAAAUUAUAAAAAAGUAGGCGUCUCUGGGAUUUCCCUGAAUAAACCCAAAAACAUAAUGUUAUAUUCAAAUCGAAAAGAACCAAAGUAAUAAAUAAAGGAUUUGAGCUCAACCUCUUUAAGGAAAGAGAGUGAAAUGAUUACUGAAAUCAAGCUCCUUUAGUUCGGGAAAAAAUCGACAGCAGAGACAUUGGUAAAGUAAAUCCCUUUGCAUGAGUAAUUACUGAUUAGUCCAAAGAUCUUAGCGUGACUGAGCUGAUUAGAAAGCUAGUUGCGCACUUUAUUUACAACAAGCACAAGCAAGGUUAAGUGGGAAAAAAGAAAUCUAGAAGUGACAAAAUAAACAUGGUUUUCGUAUUGAAGUACAAGUCAACUUAGUUCGAUUAAAUUUUGAAUAAUUAAACUGUGAAAUGUGACUCAUUUCUGACUCAUUUAAACAUGUCUUGAGGAGUAUUUCGAUGAAACGAAAUUAAACGCUUUUAGCAAAUAGAAAAGUUUUAAAGUAGAAGACAUUGGCCAAUCAAAGAACUCUCUGUAAAUUAUUCUGCGUUUAUGGAAAGUUUAAAAAUUUAAUUGAUGUCUUUAAUCUGUUGGAAAAUAAAUUAUCAGAAAUUACGAGAAUCGCAAUAAAAACUGCAAAGAUUAUGACAAAUUAAUAAUUAUUUGCCAAUUAAUGGUGCUAUAUCACAACUAAAGAGUCCAAAUUAGGUACAAAAUGUCAAAAUCUAUUCCAUUAAAGAACUAGAUUGAGCACGUCCAAAAUCUAUUUUUUUAAAAAAAAACAAAUACCAAUAAUAUUUUGUUGUCAAAAUAUGUAUCAACAGAAUUAUAAUUUAAAUAACUAGCCUAAUCAAAAUUACUAAUUCAAGUGAAAAAUUUAAACAGAGUAAAAGGAAAAAAAAAACAUAGACAAACAGUUACAAGUACAUGCAUGCACUAAUAUAGAAACAAAACAAAAAAAAGGGAGUAACAUACACAAACACAAGCAUGCAAACAAAUGUACAUAUGCCCAAGUAUGUAUGUACACAAGUGAUGGUACUCACAUGCAACAUAUAUGCCCGGAACAAAUGCAUGGAUGAUGCAUCUGCCUAACACAUAUGUGAGAAAAAGGUGCUCAUGUAUGCAUGCAUGCAUGCCCAUCAUGGAGGCAUCGAUAGUGUCCAUGCAUGUAACACAUACAUACAUACAUACAUACAUAUAUAAACAUAACAUGUGUGUAUGCGGAUGCACAUACAUGCGCUGAAACGCCUAGUAACGGUAGAUACAGAGAAAUGAAGCUCAUGAUAUAUUUAAAUUUAAAAAUUGAAAUUGAAGUUAAAAUAAUCAAAGGAGAAGAUCGAACGACUCGUCAAUCAUAAUAAUGAGCCAAAAUAGAUGGACGAAAAUUUUAGAAAGUAAAGUGAAAUACUUUUUAAAUUUAAACGAAAUUAUUUUCAAUUUUUGGUAUACCUGUACAUGUAAACAUCGAGCCCAUCGAGCUUCUGGUUGCAGAGGUAGCACUUGCUCAGGAAAUCGCCGGGAGGCGGCGGCGGCGGCGGAGCUUCGCCGUCGUCGGAGGUGGCGCCGCCGGCGAGGUGGUCGUCGACGUCGUCGUAGAAGGCGCCGACGUAGCCGUCCCCGAAGUAGACCCUCUUCCGCACCCUGUUCCCGCCCACGUGCGAGAUCACGCACGUGUAGCUCUCCGAGAGCUCCAUCUCCUCCCUCGUCCUCGCCCUCUUCGCAGCCCCCGCCGCCGCCGCCGCCGCCGCUGCCGCGCGGCCGAUCGGGAUCGGCUCCGCCCUCGCCAUCGCCGCCGCCGUCGCCGCCCCGGGCUUCCUCACCACCGCUCCUCCUCCUCCCCCUCCGCCUCCGCCGCAGCUCAUCGCGGCGACGAUCCCGAGCCCCACGGCCCCUGCAUCGAAGCUCCUCGGCGAUCGCGCCGGCGCCGGCGCCGGCGCCGCCGCUUCGCCGAAGCCGACGAUGAUUGAGAGCCUGAGCAAGGAGGAGGUCGCCCCCGCCGCGCUUUUGUAGGCCGCGUCAUCGCGCGUCGCCCCCCCGAUUUUAGGGUUACUCGCUUCGAGAUAUCGCAGCAUCUCCUCCACCCUCUGGAGAGAGAGAAAGAAGAGAGAAAGAAGAGAGAAAGAGUAGAGAGAGAGAGAAUGAGCCUAUUUCUCACUCCCCCUUAUACACAUAUAUAUACUCCCCCGUUCACAAUAUAUGGAAGGUGCUGUAGAGAGAGAGAGAGAGGGGAUGAGAGAGAGAGAGUGAGAGAUGAGAGAGAAAGUAGAGAGAGAGAGGGGGGAUAGGAAGAGACACCUCUCUCUCUCUCCUCUCUCUCUCUCUCUCUCUCCUCGCUCUUCACACACACUCUCUCUCUCUCUAUCUCACUUUAAAUGGUUGAGAUGAGAGAGAAUAUAAAGCACAAAUGGGAAAUGGGAAAUGGGAAAUGGGAAAAUGGGGUAUUUUUAUUUUACUUUAAAUAAUUAAAAAAUUGAGAGGGUGCAUUAUACAUAGGUUUCUUUUUUUUUUUAUUUUUGUUAUUAUUUUUCUAAAAUGUGUCAGGAGAAUAUACUAUAUAAUUAAUUAAUUAAUUAUUGGGAGGGGCAUAUGGUGCAUGAAUUUUAUACUAAGAAUUUGUAUGUAUGCAUACUUGUGUAUACAAUAUUAUAUUACUUUACUGGGUUUAUGCAUGUGCAUUGAAAUAUAUUAUUGAAUAUGUUUCCGUUCCUAUAAAGUGUAUUUUAUUCUUAUGAUGAUGAUUAACACCAAUUUGUCCUCUCAUUGGUCCAUUGCUUUAUUUUAUUAUUAAAAUAAAUACAUAAUCAGAAUUUGUUAAAACUAGUAAAGUAGAUUACAAUUUUUUAUUUUUGGAUAACUUGAAUACCAUUUUUUUUUUGAGUUAAAUUGUUCUUGCAUCUCCUUUGCUCAUAAGCGAUAUGCUAAAAUACGGCUUUUCGGUUGUAUAUACAGUGGAGAUUCGCUACAUAAAUUUAUAUUUGUCGUAUACGAGCAGUGUAUCUAUCUGAUCGCUGAAAUCACGGAAGAAAAUCUUCUGAUAAGAUGCGCAUGGCAGAAGCACUUAAUAAUAACGUUAUGACGUAAUAUCGGAAUUAAGACAGCUGCGUAAUUAAUAUUUGUCGCAAUUCAAUUUCUUUUCAGCUGCGUAAAUCACUAUUAUGAGUAAAAUAAUUUUUUGCACAAAUACGUGUUUUCUUAUUAAUUAGAGAGAUAAUAUUUUGUGAGACUGUUGGCUUAAAUAAAAAAAAUUGACAUAAGUAUCUUGCUUAAUUUCUCAAUAUAUUAUGUGUUUUUUUAAUAGUUCCAAUGCAAUUAAAUGAAUAAAUCCAUAAAAAUACCCAAGAGCCAUUAAUCUCUCCUGCAAUGUGAUAUAAAUCAUUGUAGUAAAAUUUUCUAGUAUUCUUUUUUUUUUUUUUUCAGAGAGACAGAAUAGUAAAUGCUAUCAUUUUAUUUAUUUAAAUUUUAAAAAUAAAUUUAGUUAAAAUUAUAAAGCAAUUAGGUAUGAUUCUUGACCCAAAAAAAAAAAAAGUAAUCCUAUGUGUAGCUCAAACUAAUAUUCUCAUUUGUUAAAAAAAAAAAAAGAAGAAAGAGAGAGAGAGAGAGAGAGAGAGAGAGAGGAAAAAAAAUCCAAAAUAAUAGUCACUUUAUGUAAGACAUAAUUUUUUUUAUAUUUUUAAAGUGGAUAAUCAAGCUCAAAAGUGAAAAAGUUACACUUUCAAAAUUAUUCUUUGGAGCCAAAUCUUAAUUAAACAAGUAGUACCAAUGUGAGGUACAUAAUUUUUUGAAUUUGUUCUACUCCUCAAUUGUAAAGAUAAUAAAUACACUUCCUUUCCCUAUAUGUUCAUACAUGCAACAUUGUUUUAAUAUCCAAUAUUGUGAGAAAUGUAUGUAGCAAAAAAAAUAAAAUAAAUAUGCAUUAGUUAGUUUGUUAUCUCCCAAAAUUGGAACUUUUUAAUGAGGACUUAAUUGUUCCAUUUAUGAAGUAAACUCCUAUUGCCAAAGAAUGUAAACACCUUGAAAAGAGUUGAAUUCAAUUAGAACCAAAAUAACUCGUGUUGGAGUAUCUACAAAAAUGUUAUUUAAAUAGAGCUGUUUAAAACAGCAACGACAACUUUUUUUCAUAUCUCAAUUAAAAUGUUCUGUUUCUGUAGGCUAAAAGCUCAAUUUAACGACUGGCUAUCACAAAAUCUUUGAGCAUUAUAUUUAGAUACUAAACGCUAAAUUUUAAAAGAAUUUUUAUUUAAUAUGACAAUAAUGUUACAAGUAAACUUAAAAAAAGGGAAUGUUUUGAGUUGUUGCUAUAACAAUAAAUGCUUAUAGUGAUUUUUGUCACCACAUUGCAAUGAUCAAAAGGAAAGAUUCUUGUAAAAUUAUUGUAGUAUUUAUGUGUUUCUCUCUUUUAUUUAGACACACACAAGGGGGGAAAAAAAAAGUCAUAUCUCAAUUAUGGCCCCAACAACUAGAAUCUUAAUAAUUGUAAAUUUAAUCAAUGUACUUAAAUAAUUAUUUGCUAUGUUAUGGUUUCAAUUGAUAAGUAGAAAUCAAACACACAAUUCAUUAAAAAAAAAAAAACCUUCAUGGGAUGCUAUAUUUUCACUACUAACUUGUGAUUCUAUAGUAGGAAGUGUAUUUCCUAAUUUUUAAAAUAAUUAAAAACAUGACAUUGAUAUUUAGUUAUGAUGCAAAAUUGUAUUAACUAUUAAGAAAAGGCUCCAUUUAUCAUCCUACAAGAAUUUAUUUAUUAUAUAUUGAAUCUGAUUAUUAUUUACUAGAUAAUUUUUUUUUUUAUCAAUAAAACUAGCUAGUAACAUUAAUAUUAUUAUAAAAAAAUUAACAAUUUAAAUCUCUUAUUUUAAUUAUUAAAUCAAAUAAGGCCAAAUUGGAGAAAAGGUCUCCUCCUCACGCAUUCCUCAUGAAUUAGCUUUAUGNUUAAUAAUUAAAAUAAGAGAUUUAAAUUGUUAAUUUAUUUAUUAUAUAUUGAAUCUGAUUAUUAUUUACUAGAUAAUUUUUUUUUUUAUCAAUAAAACUAGCUAGUAACAUUAAUAUUAUUAUAAAAAAAUUAACAAUUUAAAUCUCUUAUUUUAAUUAUUAAAUCAAAUAAGGCCAAAUUGGAGAAAAGGUCUCCUCCUCACGCAUUCCUCAUGAAUUAGCUUUAUGAAAAGUGAAGAGAAAACCAUGUACUGUAAUUUGUUUUUUUUUUUUGCUACAUCUUUUUCGUGAUGUAACACUUAAUCAAUUAUUGUAUUCCAUUGUGCUCCUCUUGAAAACAAUGGAGAUAAAAGAAUAUACAUUAUUUGCCCGAAUAUUGACGCAAUCUUCUAAAGGAAAUUAGUAAUUGACACAACCAAGUUCUCCUCUAGCCGCAAACUAAUUAAGAUGCUCUCAUCUCAAGUGGCAAAUACAAGUCUUAUCAUAUUGAUCUAAUUUUAUGAUCUUAUAAUUUAGAUUAGUAAGUUAAUUACGUAGAAAUACUAUUUAACUAAAGCUGUUUACAAAAAUGCUAAUAAUAUUUUUAAAAAAUUAAUGUUGGCUUAAAUAGGUCAGUAUUAUGUCCUGUGACAGAAGAUCAGAUUGGGCCGAGUCGAAAUUGGGUUUGACAGAUUUAUGUUCAAAGCGUGAGGUUGGUUGGACUGAAUCAUAAUUAAGAUCCGGAGGCGCUGUAUCUGUACGCUUUAAGUGAAUUGAUUAUAUAUUUUUAACAGUUCGAAUUUUUGAAAUUAAUAAUUAGUGCUAAUAAUUUGACAAUUAAUCAUUCUGUCUACAAACUUAUUUUUUAAAACAGAGUAGUUUUACGACGUCGAGUCCCUCAUCCUCGAACCGAUAGCUUGGCCGACGAGAAUUAAAAUUUAAUCUUAUAUUUUGUUAUGAACAAAUUAACUUUUAUAUAUAUAAUUUGAUAUGAAAUGAUACAAAAAUAGUCUUAAUUUUUUUAAUAAUUAAAGCAACAGAUAAAUAGAGAUUAAAUUAUAGAAUUAGCACUUGUAAUGAACUGAAUCCAAAAAUCUUAUACAAACGACUCUGUUACAAUUUAAUCCGUAUACACGGAAUGCUAAUAUUUUAUUAGUACAUAUAUGUCACAUAUAAUCUAAAACAUACAUAAUGCGAGGGAAUUAUUUAUAUAUUGGUUUAUAUCAAUAUAAAUCACUCUGUGCAAAACGCAUAAAUUAAAUUUAAUAAGAUUUAAAAUGGAUUUUCUCAUUUUAGUACUUUAUGUUUUAAAACAUAUCACUUUCGUACCCUACGACUUUAUUUUUCUCUUUUCAUUAUUUAUCUUGGUUAAAUUUUUCGUUAAAUCAGUGACAAAGUUAAAACCACAGGAUAUUAAAGUAAAAAUUCGAUAAACCACCGGGUCCUCAAGUGAAUAUUCGAUAAACUACAGGUAAGGUAUCUGAAAUUUUUUUUUUUUGCAUAUUAUUUAACAAAGAGUUAACGAAUUGACGAAGAAAUAAAACUAUAUGGUACUAAAAUGAUACGUAUUAAACUAUAGGUACUAAAGUGAAAAAGUGUAAAACUAUAUUUGAGAAGUACCAAAAGGAGAAUUAUUUUCCUCCGUCCUUAUUCGUAAAUACGGGUAAAUUCAGGGGGCGUUUUCGUAAUUUCGGCGCCGGGGGGCGUAACGCUCCUUGUCGCGACUCGNGGUCACGCGAGCCGCGACGUCGGGCCGUGUCGGGAUUCGUGCAUUUUUUUAGAGAGAGAAAGUUGUAGAGAUAGAGAGAGAGAGAGAGAAAAUUAGAGAGAGAGAGAGAGAGAGAGAGUCGAGAAGAGCGUGUGCUCGGAGGUGUUUCAUGUUGCACUACUGUGGCUGCGUCAGUAGUAGCGGUUGCUGAGUUGGCACUUCCCCAACGAAUUAUCUCUGUCUCUUUUCAAAUAUCACAAUUAUUUUUUCAAAAUAUUUUAUUUUGUUUUAAAAAAUUAGUAUUAAAAAAUAGACUAAAUUACAGAAAAUUUUUCUGUCAAAAUUUGAUUUUUCACUUUUUCUCCUACCAUUUAAAAACCUACAUUUUGCCCCCUUAUAAAAUAAAAAAUAUUCAAAGGAAGGUACGGUAUGAACUGUGAUGAUAAAAUGAUCAUUUUGCCCCUCAUAUGUUUACAAAAGAGAAGGCUAAAAGUAUUUUUGGCAUAAAAAAUAUAUAAUAAUAUUUUAUAAACGGAACCCUAACUGAUUACUAACGGCAGAGGACGAAGUGAACAUUUUUCAUUUUACAAGGGAGAAAAGUGUAGGUUUAUAAAUAACAGGGAGGGAAAGUGAAAAAUCGGAUUUUGACAGGAAGGUUUUAUGUAAUUUAGCCUAAAAUAUAUUCAAAGAAUUAUUGGGUGGAGAUAAGAUUAAUACGUGUCAGCAGAUUGCAGGUCUGUUGAAAAUUUAGUUGGGCGCUUCUAAGCGAUGUCUUAUAUUUUUAUUGGAAAACUUUUUGAUUCGUUGCUACGCGUGAGUUUUGAAUAUAUUUAAAACCGUCUUAAAAAGUGUAAAUGUUUAGAGGCAAGUAUUUAUGGUCAAGUUAAGAGAAAUUUUAAAUACCACUCAUGUGGUUCUGCACUUUCUCACUUUAAUAUUCUGUAAUUUAAAGUGUAUUAUUUUCGUACCCUAUAAUUUUAUUUUUCUCUUUUUGUUAUCGAUUUUUACUAUUUUUUUUUUGUUAAAAUAGUGACAAAGUUAAAACUAAAGGAUACUAAAAUAAAUAUUUGAUAAACUAUAUGUGGGGUAUCUAAAAUUUUUUGUAUAUAAUUUAACGAAAAGUGGGCUGACGAAAAAAGAAAACUAAAACCACGUGAUAUUAAAUUAAUACACUUUAAACUAUACGGUACUAACGUGAGAAAUGGGUAGUAUUUGAAAUUUACCCAAAAAAAUACUCAACAAAUUAUUGGAUGGAGACAAAAGUAAUACGUGCCGGUAGAUUGAAGGUCUAUUGAAAUUUUAUCCAUUUUUAUUAGAAUAAAUUUUAAUUGGGAGCUUCUCAACUACGUCUUAUUGAAAAGCUUUUGAUUCAUUGCUACACGUUAGUUUUGAAUCUAUCUAAAAUUGUCUUAAAAACUCUAAAUAUUUAGAGGCAAAUAUUUAUGGUAAAAUUAGGCUUCGGUUGGAAUUGCGGGGAGAUAGCAUUACGUGCGGUGAGAAAGUACGUAGAAAAAAUAUCCUAUUUACUUUCGUAUGUAAUAUUGCGUUCUGCAUAUCGCGAUGAGUCGGUUACGAUAUAUUUUCUACGGUCCCACCGGAGAACGCAGAAGCAUAUCACUAUAUGCUUUAAUUUUUCCUCAACUCCAUUUCAUCUAAUAGCGUUUGAUAGGCCUCAAUACCAAAUUAAGCCUUAAUUAUUAAUAAAGUCAUUUCUUACAUGUGUUGAUCUUUGGGGGUAAAAGAAAUGAUACAAUGCAUCUAGUCAAAGUUAAGUGGGAAUGAUUAAUUAAAUUUAAUAAUUUUAUUUGUCAAUUUUUAGAUCAGCUUUUAAAACAACUUUAGCAAUAAUAGCACCUAUUGGAAAAAUGUAUGAAUCAUUUUAUAAAUAGGACAUUUUUCCUAUUCUAUUAACCAAAAUAUUAGAUUUUAAUUAUUAUUCAUUUGCUUGGAUUUAACCAAAUGUAACAAAUUUGAUCCACCCACAAUAAAUAUGGGGUAACAUACUAUAUAAGGGUAAGGUUGCAUAUAUUAUUAUUAUUUUUCCAAUUUAUUAGUUUGUGUGUUGGUUUUCCAUUUAAAGUUCUCAAAUAAAGUUCUACAUUCAUGAUUUUUGUUAUUUCUUUUUUUUUUUAUUAACCAAAUUUUUGUCUCUAAAACUUUAAUUUUUUAAAGAUAAACAGUAAUUUAACACGUUAAUCGAAAAAAAGUUCAUGAGUUCAAAUUGCACUGGAUUAUUAAUUUUUAAUAAUUUUUUCCAUUUAAUUCAAAUCCACUAGUUUGUAGAGCCAAUCAAAAAAUUUUCAAGUCUCAAUAUGAGAAAAGUGUUAAAUAUAAAUAUAAAACUAGUAUGAGCUUAACUUUUGAAUAUAAACUAUUAUUUCAUUCUUUCUAUUAUGUACAAAAUAAAAAAAUAAAAAAUAAAUAUUUGAAACUGAGGUUAACAGGGAAGAGAGAGAGAGAGAGAGAGAGAAUACAACAUGCAAAAUAAAAUAUGUCCAUAUGGUUCAUGGCACAAGAAUAUAUAUAUAUAUAUAUAUAUUGGAAGCAAUUUGUUGUUCACAUUAUCUUGUCACAGUUAUCUAUAGAAUUAAAAAAAAAUUAAUAAGAUAUAAAAUUUUUUAAUUAAAGCUUAAUAGCCAUUGGUGAAUUAAAAAGUGGAGCACAACCAUAUAUCUUUGUUAUUUUUUUUCUGUUACUUGUUAAUUAAUUAGCUAGGCAUAAAGUGCCCAAUUGAGUGUGGUCAUGUGAAGCCAUAUUUUGCUUUCUCUCUCAUUAAUUAUCUCAUAGAUUUCAUAAAAUUUUUUUAUUUUUUUUUAAUUUAUCACUUUUAUUGAGCAAGAGAUCUCAAAGAAGAGUCAAGGAAUCAUCAAAGUGGGGUAGAAAAAGCAAAGUUGCUUCCUUAGAAGGAGCAACAACAUAUGGGCAUUGUUUAGAUCAAACCCCACAUGGAUUUUUUUUUUUUCGGUUAAUUGAAUACAGGUCUCUACAAAUAUAGUGAAUUACAGAUAUAUUUUUAUAAAAUUCAACUUUCUUAAGUUAUCUCUACAAAAAUUCUAAUGUUUUCAGAUAUGUCCAUGCCGUUAGAAUUCAUUAGAAAAAUUUAAUUAAUCAUAAUUUAAAUACUUUAUCCGAAUUAAUUUUUGAUAUUUUUAUCCCUCUUAUAUUAUACUAUUAUAACUUUUGGAGGAAUAUAUUUGCAAAGGCAAAAUUGAAAAUAUAAACAGUUUUCUAACGGUUCUCUAACAGUAACAAACAAGAGGGAUGUAUAUAAAAAUAUUAUGACUUUUGCAGAGAAAACUUAUAAAAGUUGAAUUUUACAGGAAUAUAUUUGUAAUUCAUUAUAUUUGUGGGGACCUGUAUACAAUUAAUCUCUUUUUUUUAAUUAUCUUUGAUCAAUUGUUUGAAAAUUAAAUAGGUGUGGCCCAAUAUGCAUAACAUGUCUCCCUAGGCCUCUUGAUUCUUUUUAAAAUGUCUAUUUACCGCAGUUCUCGACAGUUUUAAUAGCAGCUUAAUUUCUUAUUUGAGAGAUUGCAAUCAAGAAUUUUACAAUUGACAUAUCCAGACAAAUUUUUGAAAUUCAAAAAAGUCUGAAGUCAAAUUUUAUUUAUUUAUUUAUUUAAUUAUUUUGCUUUUGAUUUUUAUUAGAAACUAUUAAGAAAAAGUUUAUAACACCUUUUUGAUGCAAUGCAGUAGAAAAAAUAUUGAGUCCGGCUGUGAUACUAUCAAUAGCACCUAACGAUUGAUGCUAUCAACUUUUCCACCGUUAGAUUUAACUCUUUGCCUAUUUUCAUCUGUCAGAUUAUACUAUUCAACCAAUAACUCACUCAACCCUGAGAGACCCACAUCGUUCUAACUGUACAUUUUUUUCAUCUAAAGGUCGAAACCUUAUAGCACCAAUAGUUUAGUACUAUUGAUAGUAUUCCAGCCUAGAUCAAAAAUAUUUUGAAUUAGCGCUUUUGGAGACAAAAGCUUGGUUCUUAACCUGUGCCUCGAGUUUUCCACCUCCGACGGGGAGUCAAACUCGUACUCUCACUCAACCUCUCUCGGUGCCUUCAAAAUCUCAAAAAUUUAGGCGCUUCCUAAAAGCUCAUUUUAACUUAGUACCUCAAUAAAAAUUUUAAAGCUUUUUUUUUUUUUUUGCUAAAUACUAACUACUACUUUUCGAGACGUAGAGAAACUAUUUGAGAACCAAACCAAAUUCAGAGCACCUACGUUGUAACAACACCACUACAAAAGUGUAAGUUGUUCGAAAAAGCACAAGCGAGAUCCAAAGGACCAAAAGACCAAAAUGCCCUCACAAUGUCCAACAUCUCUCUCACACACACAAAAGGGCAGUGUAGGGAGUCUCCAUCACCCUGCAAGGAAACUACAUAAGAGGGGCCACAAGAACACUUUAAUCUCUUAAUAUUUCAUGAUUGCCAUAACAUGUGAUAUGAACCAAAUUCAGAGUACAAUCUCAAAACUUUUUCUCUUUUCAACUAAAAGUAAUCCAACACUUAUUCCAUGCAUAUGUUGAGGCUUGUUUUAUUGUUCUAAAAUUGUUAAAGUAUAAAUGGUUGCAAUGGUAAAAAAAAUAGUAAGAUAUGUAAGAGGAUUUGGAUGGCCUUGUUGUCUAAGGUAUCAGGAGGAAUUUAUUUUAAUUUUGUUAGGAGUUUUGUGUUAAUGGAUCUUAUAACAGUGGGCAAAGGAUUAAUUUGCGGUUAAUUUUGAUGCCUACUGGGCGCUCGGACUAAUCCAAAACUUUAGGAUUAUCGUUUAAUGUCCUGAAUGUCGUGGUAAUAUUCUUAACAAUCUCAUGAAAUUUACUGUGCUCUGUCAACAAAAUCGAAUUGACUAAAACAGCUGAGAAUCGAUCGAAAUCAGAAUGCGACAUGACCACAUAUUAAAAGAGCUGAGAUUAAUUUAAAAGUUCAAAAGCUUCAGCUUAUAAUUCAAAAGAAGAAUUUAUUAUUGUAGCUGGUGCCUUUUUUCUACCGAAUAUAACAAUACUUAAAUUAGUGACACAUCGGUACCUAAGGCCAGAGUCGGCGGUUGCACUUGUCUCUGCGCCGAAUACUACAAGUGAAAAGUCUGCAGUGAAACCUGCCUCACCGCCGACUUCAGUGCUCCAUAAGGAAAUCAAAUUUAUUGGGAUUUGUCCUUUUUUUUUUUUUUUCCUUUCCUUCUAUACCAACAAAAAUAGCAAAAAGAAAACAGAGGUGUUGCUUAUCUUAGAAAUUAUUGUAUUUUUAAACUUAAAAGUAUGUUAGGUCACAAAACAUUUGAUAGAAAAAUAAAAAAAUAAAAAACAUAAUAGUAAUAAGUCACUUUGUUAGCGGAAGUGUCCGCAGAAGCACUAUUUUAAUACCAAAGCUCAAAAAAAAAAAACAACAAGAAUCUUAUUUUAGAAUCCUCCAACAACUUCUUGAUACGACGGAGAUCAGAGAAAUCUAAAUUAGAUCUUUUGCUUUUGAAGUGGUUUAGAUUCUAGUCUUAUAUAGAAACUUCUUUUUCGCUAAACAUCAAACUAUUAUUUUUAGAAAAAAGAAACUAAUUAUAUGAUAAUCACCAAAAACCUAAAAAAAUGAGAUUUUGUUUCCCUCUCAACCUUGAGAUCAUCAAAAGUCAUCAUACUUGCAAUAGGAAACCAUCAGAGAAAGGACAGUGGUGUUAGUAGAACUAGUUUUAUUAAAUCUGGUCACCAUUCACUAUAAUCUGAAUAUAACAAAAAAGGAUGAAUUUAAUUUGUCUUAGUAAAAGUAACUUUAUUAGUAACACUUCUCCUCAAACUAUAGUCUCAUGAACAUUAACCUCCAUUAUCACAGCACAUAAAACUAUGUCAAUUAAGCUUCACAAAAAGUGCUUCUUCACAAAUUUGAUUUUGACAGAAUCUAAGGCCUCCAAUAGUCAUUGUUAAAAGGUCAUGCUUUUGAUAAAAUUUCUUUUUUAGCAACAAACAAAGAUGGAAUAUGAUGAUGAUGCAAGGAGAAGUAGAAGCCAUAUUUUCUUUUUAAUAAAUAAAUCAUCAUAUAAGAAUUAUUGAGCUAGUGCAUAUAUCUUAGGGAUUAUUACAGCUAUUUGAUUCAUUUUGCUCCCCCUACACUCAUUUUUCUCUUUAUUCUAACAACAAAAUGAAGUAAAAGCAGAACAUGCUUGCAAAAAAAAGAGAAUUUAGUUUUACAUCCUAUUUCCAACCCCUCAAAUUUUCUUUUUCUUUUUCUUUUUCUUUUUUUUUUUUUUGUUUUUCCCUCCAACAAAUUUAUUACUUUACAUACCCCAAUCAAUAUAGAUGAAAAAUUACCCCACCAUUUAUCCUCCGAACCUGAAUCUCGCCGAAAUUUCCUCAAUUAUUUGUCGAGAAAGAGAAGUCAUCUUCGGUCAUUCCUUUAGACGAAUACCCUCCCUCUCCGUCGAACGACGAAUUCUCACCAUCGCUCUCCCUUUCUCGCAGCUCUUCGAUCUUGUUAAGCACGACACCCAACUCCCACCUCCUCUCGACAUCGGCCUCGCAACAACCGAGCCCGAUCUGCAAAAGCUUUAGCAUCUCCCCCUCACCAUUCUUAGUCCCCUUCAUCGCAGUAUCAAACACUUCACCGGUCCACUCCUCUCUUACGACGGAGUUAACCCAGCUCGCGAGAUCGGUACCUGCAUUUCCUUGUCUCAAAUAAUUGGCGGGGAACUUGCCAGUUAAUAUCUCAAGUAUGAGAAUGCCGAAGCUCCAUAUAUCGCUCUUUUUAGAUGGUUUUCCAUGUUGGGCGCAUUCGGGAGAUUUGAAAGCCACCAUGACUUGGGAAGCGUGGGAUCGGUUCAUGACCGGCAAAAGGGCGUAGUCGGUUAAAAUGGGCUCGAAGGAAUCGUCGAGAAGGACGUUCGAGGACUUGAGGUGGCCGUGUGGCACAGUUAGCAUUGGGAGUUCCUCGUAGAGGUACGCGAGGCCUCUUGCCACGCCUUUGAUCACUUUAAGCCGCGCCGGCCAAUCGAGCGGUGGGAGGUUCGAGCCGCGAUUGCCUACAGAAUUUUACAUGUUAGUGCCAAUGUAAAACCUAAUUGCAAUGUAUAUUGUAGACAGCAUAAUGAAUACACAAAACUUUCUUUUACUAGCUUCGAUCUCUUGUUCGAGUUUAACCAUGUAACUAAGUUAAAUCAAAUCAUGAAUAAAACAACAACGUUCGAUGAAGUGAGAGGAGUAUUAUACAAUGCAACAGAGCCUAAUAAACUUGUCAACAAAAAAAUAGCAAUGCACGGAUCCGGAUCGACUCUCUCACAUAUUUCAAAAUAAGAAGAACUGAUACCUUUAAAAUAAGUUGAAGUAAAAUCUGACGAGGAGAUUGAGAAGUUAAAAGUUUCAAACUUUUUACUAUUAACACAUGCAAGCAAUUGGCCUAGAUAUAAACCACUAUUUCAUGCAUGAAUAUGCUCAUAAAUUAUCACCAACAUAAAAAAUUAUAGAGAGAGGAAAAGCAUUUCAGGUUGUAGAAACUUACCAUGUAGCAUAUGCGCCAAGCUCCCAUUCGGAAUAUAAUCGGUAAUCAAAAGCUUCUCCUCCUUUCUAUACAAGUAGGCCACUAAAGGUAACAAAUUAGGGUGAGACAAUCUCCCGAGCCUCCUCAUAUGUUCUUGGAAAUCCUCUCUACCAACCCCGUUCAUCUCCCUAAACCUCUUCACGACUACCGACGGGCCAUCGAAUAAGGUGGCCUUGUAGGAAGACCCGAAAUUUCCACUCCCGAGAACUUCAGCUGAAGCCCUAAGCAAAUCCUCAAUCCCAAAGCUCUGGCUCCCCUCCCUGACAAAUGACAACUUUCCAUGAUCUUCCUUAUGGGCCUUCUUCGCGGCACCCCCGCGGUACUCUGCUGCCCCCCGAUCGACCUUGUUGGCCUCUGGGGCGUCGAACUUUUUGGUUUCGGCGGAUUGGAGGUGAACCAAAUUGGCUUCGUCGAGUUGGCGGCGGCGGCGGCUGCUGAGUAUGAACACGAAUAACCCUACAAUUGAUAGUAGUGCCAAGACGCCUAUUACAAUGAUUACCACUAGCAAGGUGGGCGAUAUCUUCUUCUUCGCUGGUGACCGUGGCGAUUGUGAUUGUGUAAUAUCGCAGGACACAUCGAGCGGCCGGCCACAAAGAUUUUUGUUGCCUACAAAGUUAAGAGAGAGAGUUAGAUAUAAAAUUUAAUAAACAAAUCAAUCCAGGCAUUUAGGCUCAAAAUUUCAAGUACUAAUGCCCUAAAGUAUUGGAUUUGAAGUAUUUAAUGGCAUUUAGCUAAACUAUCAGUUCUACCUUUUAUGUAAUUCUCCUAUUCUAUUUUUUUCUUUGUAUUUUUUUUUUUUCUGUGUUCACAUGGUUAAUUUAUUUUUUACCAUCAGAGAUGAGAACAUUUCCUAUUAUUUAUCUUAAAAAUCCACGAUUGAUUCCUUCAUACGGCAAUCACCAAUUAAUUCAUAUUAAAUUUCUCUGAGUGUCCUUAAGAGCUAAAUACUACAACUCAUCUUAAAUGUAUAGAAUAUUCAAGUAAUAUGUUAAUGUUUCGCCAAUGAAUUAACAAAAAUUUCUCUCUUUCACAUGAUUUUUUUUUUUUUUUUGCUUUUCCCUGUAUAAAGAUAUAUUUUCUCUUAAGAAACAAAACUUGGGGCCACCUGAAUUUCACCAGAUACCAAAUAAUCAAUACAUCUCAGUCAAUUAACUGUCGUCAGCGCGCAACUUUCACAUUUAAAAUAUAUUCUGCGAGAUUUUAACUCUUGAUAACAUAUUCCUCAAAGAAACUAAUCAUUUUGCAUAAUUGAUUUUUUUUUUUUUUUUGAGGGGAAGGCAUAAUUGAAUUUAUUUCUAAAUUUCGAGCUGCAGAAUUGAACAGUGGAAAGAAGAAAUAGGGCUUGUAUAUACCUUCAAACAUGCUUGCAUUAAACCUACUGAGGCCCUUCGGAAUCGGCCCCUCCAAUUGAUUGUGGGACAAAUUCACGAAAGUGAGCCCCUUUUGCUCCAAAUCCGGGAUCGCCCCCUCGAAGGCGUUGUCGUCCAGCCCUAGCUCCGAGAGCCCCGCCACGGACGAGGGGAUGGGCCCGGAGAAGGCGUUGUGCGAGAGGUGCACCUUCCUCAGGCUCCGCAUUUUGUCGAACAACUCGUCGGCGAUCGGGCCCGAGAAGCGAUUCCGCGAGAGGUAGAUCAUCUUGAGCGCCCCCAGUUUGGCCAGGUCGGGGAUCGGGCCCGCGAAGCUGUUGUUCUUGAAGCUCAGGGUGCGGAGCGCGGGGAGGUCGACGAGGGGGUCGAGGGUGAGCGCUCCCGAGAGGGACAUGUUCUCGAGCUGGAGCCCCAGGACGCGGCCCCCCUCGUCGCAGAGCACCCCCCUCCACAGGGUUCUGUUGCCGCUGCAAGGGCUCGUGCCCGGGACCCAGUUGGCGAGCGCGGCGGAGGCGCCGGCGCCGGCGCCGGAGAGGGUGGAUUUGAAGGCGAUGAGCGCGUCGGCCUCCGAGACCGCCGCGGCCGCGAGGGACGGGGCGAGGAGGAGGAAGGGGAGGAGGAGCCACGGCGCGGCGGGGACCGCCAUGGCGGGGAGGAGAUGAGAGGAGAGGGGGUUGGGAGAGCUAGGGUUAGGGGAGGUGGGAGGAGGAGGAAGAGGAGGUGGGUUUUGAUGAGGACAUGGCGAAGGGAGAGGGAGAGAGGGAGAGAGAGAGAGCGACGACGACGUGAAGGUCUAAGAAUAGAGUGUGCGUACGUUUCGAGGGAGGAAGGAGAUUGUCCGCAUAUAAAAAUCUUCUGCGGAUGCCACUCCCGAUGCUCGCCACGUGUUCACUGGGCGAGAUGGAGGGUGCGAGAUUGCCCCGCAUAUAGAGUAUUCGCGGGGUUGGGGGGGAGGGAGUUGGCGGAGUCCACUUUGGCGCGUCCACGUCGUAUUUUUCCCGCAAUAUUUGAGCUGUACACAGAGAUAUCUAAGGCCGGCCCACAAAUUAUUAAAAAAAAAAAAAUUCAUACCUUAAAAAAAUAUUUUAGAUAACUUUGUUAUCACCAUACACAGUUUAAUUUAUCGUUCAUCACAUUCCUUCUUUUUAAUGUUUGAAUUUAAUUGUCAUUUUAGUUGCUACAGAAUACGUCUCCAUAUUAUUUAUGAUUCGAUUCUUCAUCAAUAGCUGCAGUUGAAAUUACACGCAGCGGCAAUUCAAUCUCCUCGUACAGGUUUAGUUGUAAUAGUUAGAUUCAAAUGACACAUUUGCUAUAGUAUAUCUCACAAUGAAGAAGAGUUUAUUGCUCAUCACGUACAAUACUCAUAUCUAAAUUAUCUUUCUAAGAACAUGACAUAGCAAAUAUGCAAUGUAAUUUUUUAAGACUCGUUCUCCGCAGGAGGCUACGAGGCCGAGCUUGUUGUAUUUGUUUAGAUUUAGUUUUGCAUGAUGGUUCGGGUAACAAAUUACUAAUUUAUUUAAUAACUAGUUUUGGUUUGUAUAUGGAGCUGGGAUGGUUUGUGGCGUCCACGUCUCCUAUGCUUUGGGCACUACAUUGCACGAGGAGCAUCCGAGGAUGGUAUAAUAAUAAGAUAUAAUUACUACUUAAUUCACAAUAAUAAUAUUAAGCAUGAUGAUGUCGAUAAUGGUAAUGUGUGGAAAUGGUAUUUUAAGUUCAAAAAAGCAACAAUUUGCUUUGGUUAAAUUCCUUCAAAAGCGCCUAACUACGAGAUAAAACUUAUUCCAACUUUUCACUACAGUAAUAACAUAACCCUUUUUUUCUAUAAAUAAGUUGUCGUUCUCAAAAAGCCAAAUCAUUAUCAGGCAUAUUACUAUUCUAAUGAUUAAAACCUGUACCCUAAUAAUAAUACCAAAUGAAAAUGCUGUUAUGUACUUUAGCAACAUUAACACAGAUACAAACUAAGAAAAACAAAUUAGCAAAUACUACAUCAACGUUGUUAUCCAACUUUUUCUUUUAUUCAAUGAAUAAAAGACGUAGGAUGGUGCACCGACAAACGAAAAAAUCAACCACAAAAGAAGAUGCAUUACAGCUUCAACACAGUACAUAAUAAAUUGUAUUUUCUUAAACAUCUUUAGUUUUAUCACAAAGAUAUGCCGAAACCAAAGGAGGCUCUGCAUUUGCAUCAUAAGUAUAAAAAUCACUACACCUAAUCAUCUUUAAAUGGUGGGUUCCUUAUAACAAAGAAUUUAAUCACUUUCUUGAUCGACGGACGAGAUGAGUACAAUCAAUCAAAGAUGAAAGAGCUCAUGAGUGUUCGGACGAACACGGUAUUCUGAAACUCAUGUACCUGAACACAACAAAAUGGAGGUUAGCAUUGCCUGAUAAGUGGUUUCAAUUUGUUUCUGAACUAAAAAAUUGUUACAAAUAGGUUCCCUACCUCUGCAUUCCUUUCCAAUCUUAGUUCUUUGAUUAAAUUUCUCGGCAAAGGCCAUGAAAGGACAGAAAUGUCCAUGUAAUCACCUGCGCAAGUGACUUGUCGAGGUUAGGGACCCAAUUGUAUUAAUUUAGAGUUUAAGAACCAAACUACAGCUGCGGUAAAAGAAUAAAGAGUGCACACGCAAUUUACCUGCAGGGAGCGUAUUUGGAGAAGGUCUAAAGAUGUGCAGGUAAUUUGAGGAGACAAACAUCUUUUAGCAUUGUAACUUAGAUUGCUUAUCAGGAUUAUGAAGAGCUUGUUUAACUAAUGAACUUCUUCGAAAACUUCAAGUGAAAGAGAAAGUUUUACCUAAUUAAUAAUCAGACAGUUUUCUUGCUUGAAUUCUCCAUAGCCAACAUCAACAAGACAAAGGCCCUCGGGGGGAGCAGGAGGAGCCGUAGCGCGUCUACAUGUAGCAUCCAUAAGGUUCAGCAAAGCAUCGUCAUCUGCACCUGCAGCAGCCUCUCUUAUGGCGGUCGCAACCAACACUCUGACCAUCUACAAGGACACCGCAUGAAAAGACCUUAUAAGACUUAACUCAAAUAUUCUGAAGAAUCUGAGCUGAUUAUAGGAUUCGGGGAAUAUCUGGCCAGGCCUCAGCUUCUGAAAGACAUGCUGUUAGAGUAAAACUGUUUGGAGAAGCACUAACAGCUUGUCAUUAAAGUACACCAAACAGGUUACAGUGGAGCAGAAGCUUAAAAUUUCAGCUUUUAAUAUCUUCCAGAUAAAUCAAAGAUACAGAUUAAUCAUAUCAUUAUUUUAUUACCUUGCGUAAGAACCGGUUCCCAACCAAUUCAACACACAUCACUCUCAUGCCACCUCCAUCAUCCUACAAACAGAGAUCUAAUUUAGUAUCAAAGUGGUACUUCCGGUACAUUUUCCGCAUACAAUAAGCCUCUAUGUGCUUCUUCUAUAUAAAUACCAUCCCCUAAAAUAUCCAGGUUGGCCUCUUAUAUAUGCAGAUAAUGAAAAAAAAUUCUCCCUCCCUCCCUCCCGCUCUUGUAUCAAUCAGGAUAUAAGCAUAACCUCAUUGACACAAGGUAGCUUGGUUUCCGCAGCUCGAGAAUGAAACAUAAAGCACUCCGUGGGUGGUCCGCUGCAAAAGGGCCAUAAGAAAUAAAUUAUACUGUUUUGAGUACUGAUAUUGAUAUACUAGUUUCAAAACAUUUUCCAUUAAGACAGAUGAAGGAUCAUAGCCCUUACGUGCUUCUUGAAGCUUGUGUAUCACGUGCAAACAUUUUAUAGGACAAGGACUUCCCUUCAAGCUGCUGAAUAAGUCGGUUAACUUUGCUUACACAGAAGCUUUUGGGUUUCGUGCUGGUGUUAUCCUCAGAAUCGUCUCCAUUCCCAUUCAAUGAAGUAAUGGACUGUUCUUCUUGUUCUAAUCUAUGUCGUCCAUCCAAUUUAUCAUUAAUCGAACAAUCGGCAAUCUUUGAAAACUCCCUUCCAAUACUGUCAAUUUGGGGUUCUUCUUCAUCGAGAGGAAAGAUAUAAAAAUAUCUCCUCCAUUUGGCUACAAAGUUAGGAUGAAAUUCCCGUGAAACCUGCAGAGGCAUCCAACAUAAUUCAAUUGGACAAGUCAAAGAACAGAUAUUACUAACUAAAGGAGGUCAACCUUAACAUGAUGGAAAGAGUUAGCCCAAAUUCAAUUUUCAAAAUUUCACAAAACUAGCGAAAGUGCAUGAGGUGAUCAACGCCUGAAAAUUUAGAAGAAAGAGCAUUAGUCAAGUAAAGCACCACCUUUGAAACAAGUAAAGCUCUGAGCUUUUCUGGAGCAGCUUCGUUUACAGCGUCCAUUAUGUCUCUACUUUCUACAUCCUUUCUCCAUGUAUCUGAAAUCACAAAGUAGGACAUUCGGUUGGACAAGGCCAGAAUCAGGCCUGAGCGGAGCUCAGCCCAUUGACUUCUCUAAAAUGGCUACAUCCAUGACCUAGGCUAUUUAAAUCAGUAAGAAGUUUCUUCUCCAUAUACAUUUACGUGCUCAUUAAGAAGAAAAUGUUGGAAGUGAAAGUGACUAGUAGUGAUUCCCUAGGCUUAGCUCGAUGACAGCUUGCAUAUCCUUGCAACAUAUAGGGCCUAUUUGGAUGUCAGAACAAUUAUUCAAUGAUAACUUGUAGGCGUGGGAUUUCUCCAUCGCAAUUACAAACUAGGAGUUUAAAUUUUAGCUAACGUGAAAUCUAAGAUAUUCCAAUAGUGGGUUCCUGGGGUAAUCUACCAUUUUGUGAGAAAAAUGAUGUAAUAUGUUGUAUAUGCUAGUGUUGCAGACAUAUUUUCAAACUCCUAAUUAACCAAUUAGAACAUGCCUCUUUAGUAAACCAGAAAGACAUGUUGAAUAAGAUGAUCUUGCAUCCAAACAAGCUCUUAGACCACAUGCUUUAUUCCCAAUCCACUCACAUGAUUAAAGAGACCGCCAAGAUAAUUCAUCAUCCCAUAAAAUAGCAUAAUAGUAAUACUAAAUAUUUUUUAAAAAAAGUAGAAUAAGGCAUAGGUGGAAUGGAUAACAAAACACAAAAUGGAAAUAUAAUCACUUUCAACUGACAAAAUGAACAAACUUGCUGAAGAGCAGUCACCCCUUUGUCCGUGCGCCCAGCAACGACCGCACAACCUUCCACUGGCAGAGAUUUUUCCUUAAGUUGUUUAGCUUUCCUCUCAUCAACAAACUUUCCAAGAGAUUUUUCCACCAAUCUUUGCAAACAGAAAGAAGAAAAUCAGAAUUACCUUCAUAUACUAAUCUAAGCCAGUAAUUUAUUUAUUAUCAUACUUAUCUCACCCCUGAACAGUGUUGAGGCCGGGCUGCUUCUGCCACCCAUCAAAAGACCCACCAUGGUACGAAACAACAAUCUUAAACGUUACUCUUUCCCACCUCCCGCCCUUGCCAUUAGAAAUUACCGAUGCUUUCUCGUCACAACCCUGAUUAUUCUCAGUAGAUUCCAGAGACUCCAAGUUCUGUGGAUUAGGGAACAAAAUAAUUUUAAUUAUCAAACUUAAUGACAAAAAAAGUACACUUUAAGUACAAAAUGAUGUAUAAUUGUUUGAAUUAGUAUGUAUAUUAUUACAACAUUCAAACUGCAAAACACCUUAAAGUCGAGAAUAUGCGAGGAACAACAUAUGUCAUGUUAUAUUUUUGGGCUUUUAUUAAAUAUAGGAUAAUAUCUCAGUGGGGAAGCAUACAUGAUAAGUCUAUGAAAAUAUCAAGUGCAAAUCUAAACAUGGAGAUUAAGUUACAGUAGUCAAAUUUAAACCAAUCAUGGCAUUAAUCCAAAUUCUUUCAACAUUACCUACAACCAGAAAGAUGAAGAGCCACUAAAUCCUACAAACGACCAAAUUUAUCAGAAACCCUAAAACUCAAACCUUUUUUUUCUCCUAUUUCUAGUAAAAAUUCCUAAAAACUCAACGAAUACUAGAUUUUUAUGUAGCAAUCUAAGUAAAGCGAGCCCAUUGGAAGGAUUCAAUACUAACCUCAUUCGGAGACAACCUAGAACAAGCAAAAAUUUCUAAAUAUCUCAUCAAAAUCCAAACUUCAAUGCAGAGCGAGUUCAUUAGAAAGGGUUCUUCACACUCACCUCAUUCGGAAACAAGAUCGAGAGCGAAGAAGCCCCUUUUCCUCCGCGCACCAUCCGGGAGUAGAAACCCACCACCUUAUCCCACGGCCUCGCGUACAUGUAUUGGUAACUCUCCCUAUCCAAAUCCCCCAUUAAUCUCACCACAAAAACCCACACAAAGCCUACACACACCCACACACACACAUACACAGAGAGAGAGAGAGAGAGAGAGAGAGAGAGAGAGAGAGAGAGAGAGAACCUCGCGGUCCAACGAGAACGGUGGGAGGCGUCGGUGUGGUUGUAGUGGACGUAGGGUUUCGCGCUCUCCAUCGCGACGCCUCGCGCCGCCAUUCUCUCCGCCGCCGCCGACGCUACUCCUCUCAGCGCCGCCGCCGCCGCCGCCGCCGAUAGGGUUGCGAUCAUCUACCGCGACUCUCUCUCGCUCUCUCUCUCUCUAAAACACUUGCACCGAGAGGGAAGCUAAAUUUUGUGGGGACCAUCCCCAUAAUGAGGGGUUCCAUCCGCCGUCCAUCGUGCUUUGAGAUUCGUUCUUAUUCACAUGAUGGACGAUAGAUGAAAUAGUCUCACUACUGGGACCAUCCCCAUAAAAGCUUUGUCCAUCUUUUAACUCCAAGGCCCAUUACUUGUUGAGCUCGGCCCAAAUAAUACUGCAUCACGUGAAGUAAUAAGGCCCUCUAGUGGUUGGGUUUUUGUAAUCCGAGUCAUAGGGACGUAACACGGCCCAGCCCAGUAGUGGUGCUUUGAUUUGUUUUUUUUUGUUUUUUUUUUUUGAUAAUAGUAUAAGCUAUUUAAAUAUCGUAGUUACCCCAAAUUUAUUUCUAUGAAUAAAUAACAAAAAUUUAAACAAAUAAGAGUUGAAUAGAAAAUUAAUGAAAUGGAAAAGUACAGUGGCCAUGGUCCACGUUACAACCUCUAAUGCUCUGUUUCGACGCAAAGAAAAGAAAGGAAAAGAAAGUAAUUAUUUUUUCUCAUCCUGUUUAGAUUAAGAAAAGACCAUAAUGGAAACCUAGUGAGGAGCACAAAAUCAGGUUCCACCUACGGUUUCUUCAUCCAGCAAACAGAGCAAAUUAAACACAUUUACACCACUUUGAUCACACACACAACUCAUGAGGAGAGAGAGUCUCCGCUGCAACAUUCUAUACAGGACCAAAACAUCACUCAGCUGCUUCAUACUAAUAAUCAAAAGCUGGGAAUGGAAAUACUAAAAACUAGUUAAUGAGCUAAAACACAAUCAUGUUUAGUUCAUAGAUAUGAUUCCGUCGUAUCCGCCAUCCUUAAUCAGGUCGCAGAAUUGAUUCAGAUUGCUAACAAGUCCCCCGAAGGUUUUGAUCAGCUCGUCGGCUUGUCUCCUCACAAACUCGACCUCCGCAGAGUUGGGCCUCGGCAAAUCUGCCCGAGGGCGGUCCGGACUAGGAUUUUCCGUGAGCUCUCUUUUUAAAAUAGAAUGUAUGUGCUGAGCAUUUUCCUGCAGCAUAAUGGCUAGUUCUUGCGCCUUCUCUGGGUUACUCUGAGGCUUGACAUUUGUUUCGUUGUCGGAAUCUAGGAGGAAACAUCAAAAAGCGAGAGCAGCGGUCAAAAGUUUUACAAGAGAAACCAAAUAGAUAAUGCUAAGAGAAAGAUCCAUUAGUGAGAAAAACAUAAUUACGUUUACUUAUUUAAACAUGCAAAGAAAGACUUUCUUAUGAUCUCUCCAUCCAAGAAGAGAUCGGAGAGAAGACAAUACACUUUAUUAUCAAGAGGUUACUGCUCGGUUGCUCAUUAGGACUUGCCGUUAAUAUGGGAUUGAUAACUACUGCCCUUAUUUACACUAACUUAUAACAAGCCACAUGAUUAUUGCGAGUUUCAUUUCAAUUCGGCACUUAAACCACAAGUCCUAAAAGGAAACCACUAUGAACAAUAAAGUUCCGAACAACUAAGUGUUGUAUUCUGAAUUACAUAAUGGUCAAGUUAAACCGAGCUAAAACAAGUACGACUAAAUAUCUUACUACUUUUAAGCACCCUGCAAGAUCAACAACAGCAAGUUGUACACCCCAUACAUUCAUACAUGAUAUUAGAUUGCGAUGAUCCUGUUUGCAGGCAUAGGGUAAAUAAUCUCACUUCCGCUAUUUUUGUCAUGACCUCUUCAGUUUUCUUAAAAUAAGCUAUCGACUUUUUGCGUAAGCUCUUUUAUUCAACUUGCUGGUAGGAUUGUUCGUUUUUCUUCUACUUUUCUUUUUCAAUAUAUGAACGACCUGUCAAACGGAUCAGAGAGGGUAAAAAGCUCGAUCUAAAUAUAGAGAUAGAAACGGUUCGACGAUAGCAAGAAUUUUCCAAAACAUUUGGACAACACAUGAUCGCGCGCAUGCCCACCAUUCGCCCUCCUACAUACAAAGAAAUGUAUCAUUAGCAAAUGGAAUGAUCGCGUGCUGCGUGUAUGUAUGUGUGCAUGUGCGCAUGCACGCAACAUGCAACCGUAUUCCGCGUAUACAAAUGACGCACGUGGCAAUGCAAAUAUAUAUACAUAUAUAUAUACUUGCAGUUACUAUGUCUACACAGGUAUAACACAAAAGCAUCCAUCAUACUACCUAGAUAGCUGAGAUGGAUAUGAUUGGAUUCUCUACAUAUCCAAAUCUAAAAAUUUCCAAUCAUAGAAGUGAGCUGUGAACUAAUUAACAAUGCGGAAACCUAGUUACAGCACCAUGAAUCUAACAUCAUGCAACAUCAAACAAUUGAAUUCAAAGUGAAACAGCAAUCAUACCCAAAUCCUCAUCGGCAUCGGUGCCAGCGUCGGCCAUUUCCGCAUCCACCGCAUCGGCCGCAGCCACCGGAGCCUCCGAUCCCCCGGCGUUGCCAAUGAGCUCCUCCGAAUCGCUGUUCCCCGGCCCCGGAUGCGCCUCAUCGACCUUAAUAACGGCGUCCAUCGAAUCGAACACCUCACGAUCGAACGAAACCGGUAAUCCUAGCCCCUUCCUCCUCCCACCAUCCAACCCCCAAUAAGAACCCACCCCAUUCCUACACUCCCACCGCCGAAUCCUCCGAUACUCCAGGAGGAUCGACUCCCACCGCCUCUUGCACUGAUUCGAAGCCCUAACGACGCCGGAUUCGGCGCAGCUGUCGGAGACGAUCUUCCAUUUCUGGUAGGAGGAGAGGGAUUUGGACCACGCCUCGUCCAACGCGGCGACCUCGUUGACGAGGGCUAGGGUUUCGUGGGUGGUCCAGUUGGGGGCGGCUUGGGAGCGGGUGCAACGGGAGCUGCUCCCCCCAGGUCCAUGGGAGGGGGACGCUAGGGUUUCCCCCUUCGUCUUCGUCGUCGUCGUCGUCUUCUUCUUCGUGGUGGCUUCUAGGGCUUGGACUACGCAUAAUGGGUCGCUUUGUUGUUGGUGUUGCUGCAUAGCUUUGCUAAGCGAAGAAGAAGAAGAAGAAGAAAUUUAAAAAAUUAAUAAAUUAAUUACUGCAUUUUUCUCUAGAUAAUGAUUGGAAAAAAAAAAAAAGAUUUUUUCUUUAAAAAAAAAGAGAAUAAUAAGGGGCUUAACCUGUUGAGAAUGACUUGAUGAAUCUUUCUACUUCUUGUAGCUCUAUGAUUUUUUUUUUUUUCUUUUUUCUCUCCUUGUAUCUCUAUGAGCUUUUUUUUCUUCUUUUUCUUUUUGUGGGGUUCUUUUUUUUUAUUAUUAUUGUAGUGUUUGGUGUGGUGAAAAAAAUGGUUAGGAGCUGGAGAGUGAUGUGACUACACGUGUAGUCGCAGUGGUGGUGGUUCACGAGAAAUUGUGGAACUUCUUGGUUACUUUCGUUUCAAGUUGUAUGGUAAGUGCAUCUGCACACAAACCUAAAAAUUUGAUUUGAUCUGGUGCAGUUGUAUCUUUAUUUUUUUUUUUUUUUUAGAGAUAGGUAGUGCGAAACCGAUUUCGUUUAUUUUAUUUAAAAAUAAAUUUAGUUAAAAAUAUGAAUCAACUAUAAUUUAAAUUUAGAAUCUCGGAUACUAAUUAUUAAAUUCUUUACUACUUGCUUUAGGGACGGUCGGUAGUUGUAUCUGUAUAUAUCACAGUUGGAUUUGCAGUGAUAACUGUGAGUUCAACUGUUGAAGAUGCAGCAGCACUUAUUAGAGAAAAUAAUUUACUUUUUUUUUUUGUUUGUUGGAAACUUGGAAUGUAUGUAUGAGUAGCAUUUUUUAUAGUAACAUUAAGCCUCUGUAGCAGGCACAAAUCAAGCAAUUGCAUACUUUUCCAUUAAUUGAACUCAAGAGCAACUAGUAGAUUCCCUCAAGCUACAAUUGAUCAAACACUAAAAAAAGCCAUCUAAGGCAUAACACUCACAGAAGUUCAAACUAAAGUUGCAUUUAGCAUCUCCAUUAGCAUCCUUUCCAACUCUUCCAGAACUCAUGUAUCAGUACUUUGUAUCAGUACGUUAUACUAGCACCAGCGUCGUCGUUGCCACCGCAACUACUGCCACAACUAAAACUACCAUAGCAGUAUUAACAUAGAUCGCAAUCGCAGCCGCCAAUACCACCACCCACAAGCACCACCAAGUUCUAUUUCUAUCACCAUAAAUCAUGCCUAAUUAAAUCAUAUAAGAACUAUAGCAUUAACUGCAUUAUGAUUCUGUUGUUAACAAAUUGGAAUUUUCACAAGAAUGGAUAGGUACACUCUGAUCAGUGAUCACUCUUUGAUGUACAACAAUUAUUAAGAGGCAUAGAAUUACAAUAUGGUCCUCACAAACAGAGGAACAUGAUCUGGUAUGUCAAAGGCAGUAGUAGCUAAUAGCAAGUUGGUGGUGCGAAGGCAUUAUUUGACCAUGAAGGAGCUUUUACAGCUGCAUCCCCCAACAGCACUUGGGUUCGUCACCACCUGCGCAAUUAAAUCCACUGUUAUUAUAAGCUAUAGUUACUUUGACGAAGCGAGAGAAAAGAGUUUGACGAAUGUUUUACAGAAGAAACUUUCGAACGAUCGUACUUUAAUGGCGUCGACAAGGGAAGUAAAAGCAUAUUAUCAGGCAACAAAGAACAAGACUAAUAUAGCAAGUUUUAUUAAGUCAGCAGACGGGAAGUUGCAAGAGGCUGGCGAUCCUCAAAGAAAAAAGUAGAUCAAAUUUACACUAACUUUAUACUGUAAAAUCCCGUUUUGCAGAAUUGCAUCAUGCUUCAGCUAAUGGAUAUGCUGCGAGUUGAGGAUAACGUUUACUCUCCACUACUACCGUUCUGUUUGUCGCUUGUAAUAAUAUGAUUGUCAAGCAGUCGAUAUUUUCAUAAUCUUUUCUUAAAGCUCAUUGGACACCUCUUAAUAGAGCUCGUGCAAAAGCCAGUAAAUUCAAAGGAUAAAUACAUAUAUCUUUUUCCCCCUCUCAUGAAUAUCUGAAUGCCUCAGGCUCACAUAGUUUAGAAACAUAUUUGCUAAUAUGAGUAGUACUAAGAAAUAAAAGGAGCCAUAAUAGCCAAGAAAAGGGCUACAGAGUCCAACUCCACUGGCUUUUCAUUUACACAAAAUUUCAUCGCAAUUCAGCAAAACUCUCUCUUUUUUGUUCUGGACUUGCAGGUUUUUUUUAUUGAUACUUCACUUAUCAAAUAUGUAUCCUGCUAGGUACUAGCAGUAUAAUUAUGUUCCCCGCAACAAUCAGAACCAUGUAACAGUAAUUCUCUUGUAGGUUGAAAAGUUACUUCUCUCAAAGUUGUGUUAGAAACACAAACUUUUGGCUUCUAUGCUAAACUAGAUUCCGGAGUUUUCCGAUUCAAGUAGACCUAUGGCGUGCAUUAACUGUAUGAAGGUAUUUCGCUAAGAAUCAAUCCAACAUCAUCGAAGAGUCCACCGCAAUAAGAUUUUAUAUCACCACGAUACAUAGAAAAAAAAGGGGCCAUCUUAACCAGUUCUACAUCCCUUUCCUUAAGAUAUAUGGUGUUCCCUUAAGAUAUAUGGUGUUCUCUUUAAUACAGUUCUUAUCUGACAAAGCAACGACCACAACAUCAUGCUAGCGACAGGUAAUAGCUUUACAUUAACAUGCCAAAAUAGUGUUCCUUUAGCGUAAACAAGUUCUAGGCUCAUAUUAAGAGUGGAAUACAAUGAACUCACCAGGAAAGCAGACCGGAUCAACUCUUCAACAUAAUCUACAGUGGCACCUUUAACGAAAUCGUAGGAGAUGUUGUCGACAACUAGCUUGACACCGUCCUUCUCAAAAACCCUGCAAGUUUCAAAAAACGAAUAAGAGCCAAAAUAAUGACAAGAGAAGGGAGAAUAAAUCAUAUUUGCGGAGAUAGAAACCGACCUAUCAUCUUCAUUUUUCUUCUCAUCUAGCAAAAAGACAUAUUGAAAUCCGGAACAACCACCGGUUUCUACACUUAAUCGAAGCAUCUUCCCGUCAACGUAUGAAUCUUUAGAACACAACUCCUUCAGUCUCUACAAAUGAAGAAUAAACCACAUACCCAAAAAUUGUUACAGGUAGCGCCAAAUUAAUGUGUAUUACGAUGAAGAAUCCUUUAAGUGUGUGGUAGAGGAAGGAAAAAGUACUCAAAAGAAUCAGCUGUUUGAAUUAAAAAAAAAAAGUUAGCUUUUGUGGUAUCACCAUUGAAUCUAAAUCUACAAUUUAAUCUUUAAAAAUAACUUAAAUAAAACAAAAUCAAAAGUUACAGGGUGCCAAUCGAAGAUCGAUAAUUUAGAGGCUCAUUUCGAAUUGUUGUUUUAAUAAAUCUACCAAAUUAAACACUAAAAAGAGCAAAUAAAGAUGAUGACUUUUGAAUCGGAUGCAAUUCAUGAACUCCAUCAGAUGAUUCAAAUUACUCCUCCGUUCUUCUAUGGUUUUUUUCAAUUACAUAGAAUUUGAAUCAGGAACCUAAAGUGCUUCCAUAUAUGCAUUAACAAAUUUCCAAAAAUUAAAUAACAAAAAUUAGAGCUUUCCACUAUGUUUCCCACCCCUUCCCCUGAAUAGAAUCGCGAGUAAACAGGAUCUCAACACAAAAGCACACAUUAAAAACCGAAAAUGAGCAUCAAAAAGUGAGGUUUCGGUGGCUACCGUGCAUGAAACGAAAUCGAAAGAGGAAAAUUAGCAACUUUUAAUGAAAAAUUAAUCAAAUGAGGGGAGGAAAAGUUGCGGCGAAAGGAUCGGCGAGGGAAGAAGCUUACGCGGACGCAAUUCUCCGUCAUGUGCACGGCUUCGGCUUCAGCGGCGGCGCCGCGGCUGAGGAGGAGGUGAGGAGCCUAUGGUUAAGCUCUAUGCGGCGGCGGAGGAGCGGCGCCACGCGACCGAGGAGGGAUCUCGGCGUCGCCAUGGCUCUCGCUCUCGCGCGUGUUGAGGGAGUUUGAGGAGGAGGAAGAAGAAGAGGAGGGGGAACACAAGAGUUUUCGCGAGAGGUCGAAUGUCGAUCGAGCUUUUAUCGGGUCGGAGUGAAAUUAAUAAACUUUGAUCCGUUAAGGAUUCGGGUCGUGCGGAAGCUCCGAUUGGCAUUAGUUGGAUCCGAACACAAAAUUAUAAAACUAUGAAACUGUGAAACCAAAAAAAAAAAAAAAAGUUUUCUGUAGCCAAGAUUUAUUUAUUUACUUUAUCAAAUUUUUAAUACUAAAAACUCUUAAAAAUUUUAUAAAUUUUUGGAUUAUGAGUUGCAUUAACUUUGAAAUGACAUGGAAAAUUUUUAGUUUAAAUUUUUUUUCUUAUAAAUCUCGUGGGUGUUCUUAUCAUUUUCUUAAUUAACAAAAAAAGCUAAUCCAACCUGAAGAAUCAAAAUAAAAACAUACAUUUAAUUUAAAAAUUUUACUUGAUAAAUCAAAUUAAGUGAACUAUACCAAAUCAUCUUUAACAAUCCCUGUGUUCUGAGAAACGAAAUCGAAAUCAAAAUCAAAACAAAAUUUUCGGUGUAAUUUGUUUCCACUUUUCAAAUUGUUUGAGUAAAUUUUAAUUUUAAAAUUAAUUUAAAGAUCUGUUUUGAGCAUUGCGAUUUUUUUAAAAAAAAAAAACAAAUAAAAAGGGUCGCGAUCAGCGUGCGCUGUUUUUGUCGUUUGCUCUCCGAUUUCAAAUUGAAUCUCGGGGUUUAUCCUGCGGGAACGGGCGCAUGCGGUCGCGUCCGAUCCACCGUACAUCAAACCAAAUUCAAUCUACACCGUCGCGAACGCGUCAUCUCACGUGACAUAUAUUAUUUAGGUGGUUUUGGUUCACCACGUCAACAGUGAACCACCCAAGCGGAGCUACUCUUUUGCUUCUAACUCUUCCAACGAAACAAACAGAGAUGGACGGUUUACGGAUGACGUAGUGAACCGGUCUAGGAUGAUUUAUCUCUGAUCACACGUGGCGUACAUCUAACGGUCCUUUAGUGGACACCAAAUUUAAAUCCAACCGUCCGUGCUUUCCCUGUUUCGGAAUUUCGAAUCCUCUUCACAAAAGCGCGAAAGGAACCACAUCCCAAUACUCUCUCUCUCUCUCUCUCUCUCUCUCUCUCUGUCUACCUCGAUCUCGCUGAAGCAGAAGCAAAUACGAGCUCGUUUAGAGAAAAGCGCUUCUCUCCUCCUCCUCUCUCUCUCUCUCUCUCUCUCUCUUUCUUUCUCUCUCUCUCUCUCUCUCUAGUAUCGGGCUCCGAGCUUUUGCUUUCUUAGUACAAAUUCGAAUUCAAAGUGUCCAAAGAUCUCACCUUUUUCUUUCCCCAUUCCUUUUCUCUCGUAGAGGUGGAGGUGGAGGUGGAGGUGGAGGUGAUCUCUCUCUUUCUCUCUAGUUAAUCAGAUUCCAUUCUUAUUAUGAUUUUGCCUGUUUUCAGCACGCAAUCGACGGUAGGGUAUUGCUAUUUGGGGUUAGAUUGAUGCAUCGAUCGCGUUUUCCUUUGUUUUUUAUACUCGCCCUAGUUUUCAAUUCAUGUGAUUUGGUUACUUUUUCACUGAUUUAGUGUGUAUUUAUUUGUUAUCUGCAUCGGAGCAAUAACAAUUUAUUAUGAUUUUGCCUGUUUUCAGCACGCAAUCGACGGUAGGGUAUUGCUAUUUGGGGUUAGAUUGAUUCAUCUAUCACGUUUUCCUUUGUUUUCACACUCGCCCUGGUUUUCAAUUCAUGUGAUUUGGUUACUUUUUCACUGAUUUAGUGUGUAUUUAUUUGUAAUCUGCAUCAGAGCAACAACAAUUUAUUAUGAUUUUGCCUGUUUUCAGCACGCAAUCGAUGGUAGGGUAUUGUUAUUUGGGGUUAGAUUCAUGCAUCGAUCGCGUUUUCCUUUGUUUUCAUACUCGCCCUAGUUUUCAAUUCAUGUGAUUUGGUUACUUUUUCACUGAUUUAGUGUGUAUUUAUUUGUGAUCUGCAUCAGAGCUACAAUGGAUGGGUGGAUUCUGAGCAAUUUGAUGUACAUGGUUUACUAUCCAUUUUUCUGGAGAGAGAAGUAUAAAUUAACACUCAUGUAGUGGAUUCUGAGAGCAAAGUGCUCCUUUGAGCUCCAUUUAGGGUUUGAAGCUUGAGAUUUUGUAACUGGAUCGAUGAAUCUUUCCUUUUAGUAUAAAAAAAUCCAAUUUUGCUUGGAGUGGGGUUAGCAAUGAAGCCCAAUAUGAUGAAUCUGAAGGGCAAAUCCGGUGGAAGGAUGGUUACGACACAGCAGGUGAUCUUCGAAAUGAAGCACAAGUUGGUCCUUUCGCUUAAUAAGCUUGCGGAUAGAGACACCCACCAAAUCGGAGUGGAGGAGCUUCAAAAGGCCGCCGAGGGUUUAUCGCCUGAAUUGAUCGGCCCCUUCGUUUCUUGCAUUACCGAUACAGAUUCGGAGCAAAAGAGCGCGGUUAGGAAGGAGUGUGUGAAGGUUAUGGGAACCCUAGCAAGGUUUCAUGGGAGCCUUUUGGCUCCUCACCUGCCGAAAAUGGUGGCGAGUGUAGUUAAGCGUUUGAAGGAUUCAGAUUCAGUUGUUAGGGAUGCUUGUGUGGAAACUUGCGGUGUUUUAGCUAUGAGCAUAAGAAACUAUAAUGGUGCUAAUGGUGAAGGCGGUAGUGGAGGGUUCAUUAUAUUGGUUAGGCCGCUUUUCGAAGCUUUGGGUGAGCAGAAUAGAUAUGUACAGGCCGGUUCGGCUCUGUGUUUGGCUAAAGUUAUUGAUGAGAGCGGCGAUCUCUCUUUGUCGAUUUUGCCUCAAAUGCUGGCUCGUGUUGUUAAGUUGCUAAAGAAUCCGCACUUCAUGGCAAAACCAGCGAUAAUUGAAUUGAUCAGAAGCAUUAUUCAGGUAAUUACUUACUUGUUGCCCUUGUGGUGAAAAAUGGUUUCCCUUUUUGCUUCGCAUUUAUGACCAAACUGUUGAAGUAGAUUGUUCUUUUUCUUUUUCUUUUUCUUUUUGUUCAUGUGUUGAGUAAUCUCUGAGACUUUACUGACAUGUAUAUACAACAAAUGCACUUGUAUCCAUAUAUCUGUAGUGAAUGUAUAUCAAUAUCUGCCAACAGAAGUCGAAAGUUAGAAGCGCAACAUUCAUCGCUAGGAGUAAAAAGCAACAUUCAUCGCUAGGAGUAAAAUGCACUUGUAUUCAUCGCUAGUUUCAGCAGAACCACAUCUUUAUUUCUCUGCAUCCAUUUUUCUGAUUACUAUUCUUGGAACUCUUUACGUCGACAUAAAAUGGUUUCUUUUUAUAAGGGAUAACAGCUAAAGUAGAACUGGGAUUUCUCUUUAUUCUGGUGCAUUACGUGUUAAUCUAUAUGAAGACUGCACUAAUUAAUGCACGGCAUUUAGAAAUCGCUUUACUAGGUUUUGUUUUCAAGAUGUAAUACACAGUAAAAACUAGCUUGCUACUCUCUUUUUCCAUUGAGACUUCUUUUCUAUGAUUUUUGUAAUUCUUCUUUCUCCUUUUCAUGAUACUGCAUCUUAAAUUUUCAGGCUGGAGGUGCUUCUUCUCAGCAAGCUUUAUCUACUGCUAUAAACAGCAUUACAGAAGCCCUUAAAAGUAACGACUGGACAACACGAAAAGCUGCUUCUGUGGCUUUGGCAAGUAUAGCCAUCGGUGCUGGAUAUUUGUUGGGUUCUUUUAAAGCUUCUUGCCUUCGCUCCCUCGAAUGUUGUCGGUUCGACAAGGUCAGUUUGAACUAAUAAUUCGAUUGCAUUUCACUUUUUUUUUUCUUUUUCUUUUCAAUUGAUUUGAUGGCUUCUACUUUAUAGGUCAAACCAGUGCGUGAUGCAAUCUUGCAUGCCGUUCAGUGUUGGAAAGCUCUUCCAGGGCCUGGUUCUCCCGAACCUUCUGAAGUUGGAUCUUCAACAAAGGGUUUAACAAGCACACUACAUUUUUAGCAUCUUUUUUUAUUACUAGAACCACUUAAAGUCCUUCCUUUAUGAACAAGUGUUACUUUGUCCGCGCUGUUCCGUUGCAGCAAAUUUAGGUCAUUUUGAUGAUUCCUAAUAAUAUGCUCCUUAUGUGCCUAGGGUGAAUAUUUAUGUUGCACUUUGUGGUUAUUGUUAUGUCAAAAUUGGGAUAUAACACUAUUUUGGUCGAAGCAGGCAUUACAUGGGUAAUGAAUUCUCUCAAAAACACAGUAAAGAACGCCAGUUAGUUAUAUAUAAAAACAUAGCAUGAUCCCCAUAACACAAUUUAGAUGAAUUAAACCAAAUGUGACACAUUUAACCUACUAAAUCAUCAUUGCAAUGGAAUUUUUGGAUUGACAAUACAACCGGAGACUUGAUAUGAUGCCUGUUGUGUUAUGAUAUAUCUGUACUAUUUUGACAAGAACCACUUAAGAUAAACGAAAAGUAACUUCAUAUUGGGUACGAGUCAUGUUCGCAUGUCAUGUUUACAAGUUCCAUCCCUGAUGUGCUUGCUUGUGCAACAAUUUUUUUGUAUGUUGUUAACUGGUCGUCCGUGUAAACCUACGUGACAAUUAUAUAGGAUUUGUUUAGGCCUUUGUUAUAUCAUUUUCUUUUUAGGCUAACAAUCUCUUGACUAUAACUAAACUAGAGAUGCUUGUACCUAUGAAGAUAUCCAUCUUUAAUGUUUUUUCGGAUUUCUUUUUAUGUAUACUAGAUAUCACUUGUGUUCCCUUCUUAAUGCAGGUUUACUUACUUAUUUAUCACUUCUUUGUUGUAGUGUUUAGGUGCAUAUAUUUAUUUUGCCUUUAAUUCUUCUUAUUUUAGAAAAUUUUGGCGGAGAUUACCAUGAUGUCACUAGCGUUAGUGAUGGUGGAUGGAGAGAUUCCUCUUUUCGGAAGGCCACCCCUGUUUCUGUUCUAAGUGGUAAUUCUAUUACUUCGAUGAAGAAAAGAGCUCCAUUAUCCAUGAAGAGAACAACAUUAAACAGCGUGUCUAAUCACCAAGAAGGAAAAGCAAACGAUUGGCACAUUGAGAUAUCACUCCCAAAGAGUCAUAAUCCAAAGGAUGCUGAAAGAAGGGAAGCAAACGCAAUUUUAGAACAAGGAAUAAAAUAUGAAUAUGAUGCUGCAGAUUAUAAGCCAGAGAGCUCCUCAGUUUCGGAUUUAGCUAGCAGGAGCUAUGAGACAAAGCACAUAACAGUUACACAGGAGUGCAUUGAGGAUUGUGAUUCAGAAAACUUAAUAGGGAUAAAUGACAAGUUUGCCCGUCAGGAGAUUGAACCCGGAAGUUUUACAAGUCGGGAGCGGAAGAGUUUGGACUCAACUGUUACUGAUUUGGGUUCGCAAGGUAUGCAUGGUUGUUGUCUUCAUGCGGCAAAUGAACUGACCUUCAUCAAAAAGCAACUUGUCGAGAUCGAAACCAAGCAAGCAAACUUGCUUGAUCUCUUACAGGUACUCAAAUAAUUUUGCUGUCUAUUGCAAAUCUUUACUCAGACUUGAAAAUUGUCUGCUUGUAUUUGAUAAGGUAACUAAGGAUGAUGUUGGCUGUUUCGAUUGUUUAGUUCCUAUUAGAGGAUUUUAUAUUGCAUAUUAUGGAUUGGUCGCUUGCAUAUUUUAGUUGCAGUGCGGUUGUUGGCUUCUUUCUGCAGAUAAUUAUGACUAUUCUCCUUUUGUUUUAUCAUGUUCUCCAAGUAUCCUCUUUCAAGAAAAUAAUAGAGACAUUAAGUAGUGUCGAUGCAUGUACAAAAUUGCUUACGAGUUGCUGGUAUUAUCUGUUUUACUUUUUUGCCAUGAUAUGUUUGUUGAAUUUUCGCCUAUCAUUAUGGUGGUAAACUGGUAUGAACAUUUCCUCUCUUCAACAUGAGCCUUAAAAAACUGUAAAGCCAUUUCAUACUUCUCUCUCUCUCUCUCUCUCUCUCUCUCUCUCUCUCUUUGUGAUUAAAAUUGCAUUCACAUUCUUUCAGGUGUUUAUGGGUAACUCAAUGGAUAACCUUUCGACGCUACAAUCGAAGGUACAUAACCUGGAGCAUGCUGUACAAAAGAUAGUACACUGUGUUACUCCAAAUGAAAGUUGUUCGACCAUCGCCAUCUCAAAACUUUUGAAGAGCCAAUGUGCUUCUCCAUCCCCUAGACUCUCUAUUUCCACACCUAGGCCAUCCGUGGAAGUCAACUACAAACCGCCGCUUCUAUCUACAAAUAAUGGAGACCUAUGCAGGGAUAAUGCUUCUCCUAAAAGCAGAACAGCUACCUCAGUCAAAGUGGGAGUUGACCUAUGGAGGGAUCCUACUCUCAAUAUAGCUAAGAAUUCAAUAGACGGACGUCAAGGACGUCAGCGGAAAAUCCAUGAAAGGACUUACUGUUCAGCUAGUAAUGAAAGCCCUAGACAAAUGAAACUGGAAUCAAUGACAGGCAUUUGGAAGCAGAUUAAGGAGCUCCUUAGCACUGGGGAUGUGGAAUCUGCAUACACGGAGGCGAUUCAUUCUGGCGCUGAUCAUUGUGUUAUUGAGCUAAUGGAUAGAACUGGGCCUGUUCUUGAAAGAUUGACUCCUGAAACAACCAAUGAAGUUCUGAGGGUUCUUGCUACACAUUUUCUGGAUCAAAGGCUUCUUGAUUCUAGAUUACAUUGGUUGCAACAAGUGAGUUAAACAAUCUUCCAUUACCGCACAAAUAUAUAGAUAAUUUUCCAUACACACCCCUCAGAAGUGCAUUUUUUAUUUAGUGCCCUUAUCUUAAGUUAGGGAGCCACCCCAUUCAGGGGCAAGUUUGUUUCGUGAAAGAAAAAAGUGUUUUUCCAAAGAUAGACAUUUUGUACGUACAAAGCUAUAUAUUAAGUGAUAAAGUUUUGUAAGUUUACUUAUGAAAGGCGUAUAUAUUAUAGAUUUGUAAUCUUAAUCACCAAAUAUAAUCUGUUCAUUGUUGAGUUCUAGGUGGUGGACUUAUGCUCCAAUCAUGAACCAAGACAUAUUUUUCUGUCGCCAAGAGCACAAAUGGAGUUCCUGUCAGCAAUACAUGAAGUGACGACGAAGGGAUUCGUUGAUCCAGUCGACAGAAUUUUGAUCAAGCAGAUCACAACAAAGUUGAGCCAACUUUGCGGUGAUGUCUCGGGCAGGUUUGUUCAGCAACUAUGAGACUUAAAUUUUGUCAUCAUAAUCAUGGUUGAGAGCUCUUAGCGUCGUACCGCAUAUCAUGAUAAUUUAACCUGCUUUUGAAAAUAUCCGUAAAUAGUCCAAGUAAGAGGGGGAUUGUUAGUCACGGAUUAACCAAUAUAAUCCAAAUAUAUUAUUUGCAUUUUCUUGUCACAUAUUUGUGGUUGGCUCAUUCUUCAGCAAAUUAUCUUCCAGUGAUACUUACCUUAAGUCCUUCAAAUUUCGAACGUUCUUCGCCCUUCUAUAUAUAGUUUGUAUAGUAUCAUUUUAUACAAUUUCUUACACAAGCUCUCUUAUAGGAAACCUCUCCGGAAUAGAGGACCAGCUGGAACAAAAAUAUCAUUAAGCACAGCCAUGAGAUAACUCUGCUGCAGAAAAGUUGAAAAAUGAUAUCCUAUUUCUGCAUCUUUAAUAUCAUGCAAGGACUCCUUUUUUCCUUUUUGUUUCACCUUUUUCGGUGGUUGUAUGAAUGAUGAUUCUCAUUUUUAUCAAUCUUCUUAAUGCUUGUUUAGUUUGAGAAGAAGUUUUGCUAAAUGGCGAUGAUGAUUCACCAUCAUAGAUCGCGAGUUGGACUUGCAAAUUCAUUUGCGCGAAUCGCUGUUUAGGUGCUGCUCUGAAAGUAGAGCAAAAAUGUUCCAAGAAAAAUAUAUAGAUUCUGCAUAGGCUUGAAAAACCAAGGAAAACUGUUUUCUGAAAAAAAAAAAAGAAAAAGAAAAAGAAAAAGAAAGAAGUUUUCAUGGAAACACUUUUUUUCUGCAGUUUUUAUUCUUUUCGAAUAAAAAAUAAAAUUACUAUUUUUUUAUAAAUCUGAAAAAAGAUUUAAAAAAAAAAACUUUAGGAAACAAACAGAGGAAAUAUUUUUUUCCAGCGAGAAAACUAUUUUUCGAGAUAUUUUUUGAAAAGCGAAAGAUUUUGCAAAUCUUUUUUUACAAAAUCUAUGGUGAUUAAUGCGACUAUGAAAUGAAUAAAUAGGGUUACAGCCUCAACAUUCUUGCAAGUCGGUUUUUUUAACACAACAAAAGGGAGCACAUCAUGGAGUUUUUGGGCUUGGCCUACAAAAUCUUUUAAAGAUAAAAAUAGGUAUUCAAAAUUUGUAUUUGUAAAAAUAGAUCGAUAAAAAUAGUGAAUCGUUCAUCGCAUUCUAAAAGCAUUGAAUCAUUCACCAUUUUUAUUCUAAUUUAUAUAUUUUCUAUGUCCAAACUUCAAAAAAAGUAUAGUAUUAAAACACUAAAAAUAGUUUUAAUUCUUUAGAGUAAGCGGCAAAUAAUUUACCAUAUUUAAAAAGCAAUAAUUUAUUCACUAUAUAAACCUAGCUUUGUAAAUAAAUUUUUUAGUGGACUAUUUUUAUAAUAAAAAAAUUCGCACAUCAUGCUUACAAAAUUGAUCUUUAGUGUAUCUCCCAACUGCAUAUCUUUUCCAUAUGACCCCCCCCCCCCCCCNCUAUGUCCAAACUUCAAAAAAAGUAUAGUAUUAAAACACUAAAAAUAGUUUUAAUUCUUUAGAGUAAGCGGCAAAUAAUUUACCAUAUUUAAAAAAAAAAAACCCAAAAAGCAUUUACUGGAACAAAAAAGUUUUCCGGAGUUUGAAACUUUAAAGCUGAAAAGGUAGGAGCUUAGACUCAUCCUGAUUAAACUUUUCUCCAUAAAAUUAUCGCAUUAUAAUAUAACAAAAAUUCAAAAAAUAAAGUGAAGAGCUGUAUUACUAGUAUCUAUUCUUCUUAAUUCUUCGAAAAAAAAUGUGGUGUUACUACUUUGGCAAAUCGAUAUCUCAUGAAAAUUUCGACUAUUUGAGCAAUGAAAAUUGGGCAUUUUUAAAUGCUUCAAGGAUACAAUUUGAUUUGGUAUGAGAAAUGACCGGGGCAAUAAAUAAUCUAAGAAAUUCUGAUUAGGCGUACCCUUGAUGGUGUAUGGAAGUUAGCAGGUGAAAGCAUUAUUUUUCUGUUUCAGUAAUACGAAUCGGAGUCGUCACUGCGACGAGAGGCGCUCAGAUCUCCACCCAGUCUCUUGUUGAUACUUGUGUGCUGCACACACCGGACCAGCGCUUGCACCACUUCGGACAUCGGUGGACGGAACUCGGGCUCCGACUGCAUUAAAAGCAUUAAAAGAACAUUAGAGAAUUCAUGAGAAACUCUGAAAACUGUUUGGUGAAUGCAAACAUUGGUGCAAUCCAGACAAAAAUCAUGGAGAAUGCAUUGCAUGCCUACAAGAAAGCCAGUGAAUUUUGAUUCAACCAAAAAGGCUGGCAACAAGUUUUACCUGGACGCAGAGAGCGAUGACAUCGGCAAAUCGAGACAAGGAUUUGGGGGGGUAGAGGCCGCGGAGCGCAGGAUCCACCAUCUGCGCCAGGGCAUCGAUAUCGUGGAGUUGCGGAGUUGCCCACCGAACCAAGGAUUGCUCCAUUCUUGGCUUAGAACUGAAAAUAGAUACAGCAUCCACACACAAUGUGAGAUUCUUGCUGAGAAUAUAUUUCUUACAAUGCUGUUUCUACUAAGUAAAAAUAUGCAUAGUGUAUUAAUUAAUUAUCGUACAGAUUUGAUUGUGGGGGCAAAUGAGAACAGGUAUUUUACAAACAUGAUGCGGGAUUGUGAAAAGACUCAUUUAACCAAGUAAGCAUCAUCCAUACUAAGUAUAAAUAUGCAUAGUGUAUUAAUUAAUUAUCGUACAGAUUUGAUUGUGGGGGCAAAUGAGAACAGGUAUUUUACAAACAUGAUGCGGGAUUGUGAAAAGACUCAUUUAACCAAGUAAGCAUCAUCCAAUAGAUUGUGUUUGUUGCGUUGGAAGAUCCCUAGAAGCUAUCUGAAAAGGAAAAAUCAGCUUUGGAAAAAUGGUUACUCGGUGUUGCUGGAGCUUUGGCAAAAUAUGCUGUUUGAAUAGAGCUGGUCAAAGAAGUGAUAACAACUGUUUUGUUAAAAUCCCCUUAAUAGCUUCCAGUGAAGAAAUAAUAGGAGGAGAAAUUCAAAUUGGAGCAUCUGCCUUUUGAGCUCAACAACACACGGCUGGCUUUUCCUUCUUAAGUAGAGAUGCUACUUGAAUCCAGGCCAAACAGGCAUGGUAUUUGGGCAUAGCUAUUAUCUAAUGCAAAAAAAAGCAUCUUGCUGAUGUAAGAGUUCUGAAUAUAAUCUUUUACCUGUCAUAAGGCUUACGACCAGUCAACAGCUCUAACAUAACCACCCCGAAGCAGUAGAUAUCACUCUUCAUCGUAUAAGACGAUGGUUUUAUGCAUUCGGGGGCAUUAUAACCUGGUCCUAAGUUCUCACUGGGAUCCUGAUACAAUUUGAUGUGUAAUUCAGAAUUACAUCUUCAGAAUUGUAUAUACAGUUUCAUCGUAUAGCAAACAGCAAGGUGAUGAUACCUCAUAGAAGACUGUUAGACCACAUUCAGAUAAGUGGGGAUUGAGCUCUUCAUCAAGCAAGAUGUUUGCAGAGCUUAUGUUCUUAUGGGUCAUGGAAGGGGAGCAGACCUCAUGAAGGUACCUGAAUUGGGAAAAAGUGCUUAGUUUAUCAAGCAUCGGAAGGCUGCUGAUGGCACCGAAAAUAAAUUUGCAGUUAAUGAAUGUGGUAAUAACUGAAUAUGUAACAUAUAUACAAAUGGAAAAACAAAAAGAAAAAAAAAAAAGUAACAUGGAGCAAUUUCAUUGAUGCAAUUUCACCAAAACCAAAAUAGGUAGGUUGGUACAUCCUCCUUCAAAAGUGAUUUCCAUAGCUUCCAUCUAACGAAUUACAGUUGACCAACUAUAAAUUUCUAAUUUGAGGGAUAAUCAGUCAAUUUUCUGAUUAAUGUUUGGAGAUUAAAACUCAUUAUAAGUAAUAAAAAAAGUAGGAUAUGCAUUGACUGAGCAGUAGAUAUGUUAGGGACAUUUAGAAUGCCGUUUACUAUUUGUUUCUUUCUCCAAUUUCACUCGUUAACAUCCUAAGAAGUUAAUUAUAUAUUACUGCAAACAGUGCAAUCACGGUGUGAAUAAAAUUUUUGCAAAUCGGGAUCUGAGUAAUAAUAAGAUAGUGCAUUCAGUGCCCAGAACAAAGAAAGCAAUAUCAAGCAUACUAUCACAAAGUCGAAAUCAAUGCAAUUUAGCAUUCCAAUUGGAUCAACUUACUCUACAGCGCGGGCAGUACCGAGAGCAAUCUUAAUCCGGGUGUCCCAUGUUAAUGGCUUGCUGUAUUCAUCUGAGAGAUGUAGAAAAUCGUGAAGAGAUCCAUUUCUUUGGAAUUCAUACACCAACAAAGGAUGGCCAGGCUCCGAGCAAUAACCCAAAAGCUCAGAUAUGUUUGGGUGGUGCAGCUUGGAAACGCCAGAAACAAGUUCCAUGAAUUCGGAGGAGCUGCCUCCAGAAUCAUUUAUGGUCUCUAGCUUCUUCACAGCCAAAACCUAAGAGCAUGAGAGAGGGGAAGUGAGAGAUGCAAGGAAAGUUUUGUUACUCAUUCCUCAGCCAAAUUAAUAGAUAUGCAGGAGUCAAAAACAUACAGGUGCUCCCUGAGCUAUAGCGCGCCUUUGGAAAUGGUAUAACUUUUUUUUUGACUUUACUAUCUAACCUCGCAGUAUGUUUGAUUUAAAUUCCUCCAAUAACAACUUGAAGACAUCUUUAACUUCUUUGACUGAAUAUUCUGUAAGCCUAAUAGAAUGUUCUGUUGCUUGCUGAAAUGUUCUAUAAAUUUUUUGAUAGAAAUUGUAAGUUAUGACAGAACUUGGAGUUUUCUGAAAUCAAAAGUAAUUAAAGGUUAGGUAAUAAAAUCAAAAUUUUGAAGUUCAAAUACCAAUUCGGAAAUAUGGUAUAGUUCAGGUAUAUUCUAUACAUUUUUACCCAUUCAGAAUCGUACCUUUCCAUCAGCAUAUUUUGCCUUAAAGACACGGCCAAUAGUCCCCUGUCCAAGAAGCCGACCAGCACUAAAGCCUCCAGUAGCUGCACGCAGAUCUUCUAAUGAAUAUGAGGUCAUGGUAAUAGGGUUCGUGCUUCUUUUGGAGUGAACUUUGUUUGCAAACUCAUUAUCAUUAAAUGAUUUGCGUGGUUCGGAUGGCUGACGCUUAAGGCCCGUGGAAAGAGAUCUUUCAAAAGCCUUCAUGCUGAUCGAAGAGGAGUGCUUAAGCUCUGUACAGCGGUAGAAUGGUCACAGAAAGAUUAUAAGGUUAAAAGAUACAGGCACUACCUGAAGUAUAUUGUACUUCUAAAACGUAUCAACUAUUUAGAAGUUUCGAUUUAAUACCCGUCCUUUUCGUUGUUAUUAUUAUCUUUACUACCACUCUGUGAGGUUCUGUCAAAGCUUGACAUCUUCAUCAAAAAAAAAAAGUUGUAAAAUAUUCUGUCAUGUAGCAGGAUAAUAGCAUAUUUCGUUAAAGAAGUUACAUACACCAUUAAAUUUUGACGGAGAGGUAGUGAAAUCAAAACAACAAAAGGUUAGGUACAGAAAUUAAACCAUCUCAACUUUAGGUUCUCAACCAUCUAAAUUUUAGGUACUUAAUUUCCAGUUUAUUAUUGUAGUUCAGGCAGUGUCUGUAUAUUUCUACCAGAACAAACUAGUAAACCAAAACCAAAGUUUCAAAAGAGUUACCCUUCUGGUCAUCAGAAACUAGAGGUGUAAAAGUUCUGUUCUGACUAAGCUGUUCAUCAAAUCUUCCAUCCAAAUAAUGAGCAGAGGACGAAGAUCUCUUUUUCAUGAAAGUCAACAGGAUGAGAGCCACAACCAACACAGCAAUUACAGCAGCAGCAAUGGCUACUCCAUUAACAAUUGAGUUCCCUUUCAAUGAGUUUCCCCCACUGCCAGUGUUUGAAGCCUUAACCAUACCAGGAGGUGCUGUUCCGGAUGACCAAGAAUUUCCCCCCACCCUUUUAAAGUAAUAAGAGAUAUCAAAAUGUUUAGGGGAAAAAAUAAUAAUACUUGGGUUACCAAAGAAGGAAUGAUAGAUAAAUUACGAAAUGUGCAGUACUCACUGCAGGUUAUCUAUGCCCUUUAGUUUACUUGGAAUCCAUCCUGUGAACUGAUUGUUUUCAAGAUUCCUUGGAGCAAACAAAAGUAAUCAUAUGUUAGAGGUCAAUCGGAAAGGUUUUUGACAAAAUAUAUAAUUCUUCCAAAGACACCUAUAAAUAUAAUUCAAAUCCAUAGAAGUUUCAAAUAAUUUACUCAUAUAGUUAGAGUGGAGGUAUGAAACACUGCAAAAAACUGAAUAGCAAACUAGAUAACAAAUAACCAGCUUGCAUCCCCCCUCGACCCUGAAAUCCAAAAAAGGACAACACAUAUGCAGUAUAGCCAAAGAUUUUAGCAGAUGAAUUACGAGUUGAUUUUAGCCAAUGUCAUUCUCAGUAAGGGCAACUGGGAAUUUCUAGUUAACUAGUGAGCAGGCUCUGUUCUAUCAAAUAUAAGGUGCCUUAGAUGGGAGAGAAAGAUCAAAACUAACAUAAGAACAUGUGAUGGAAAAUAGUUCAUAUAGGAACUACAUCAAGGUCCGGCGGCUUCAUUCUUCUUAUUGUUGGAGGCAGUGACUGAUACUUCAUGUGAUUGUACAGAAAAUAGUUUUCGCAUCUAGUCAUGUGUUACUAGUGGCAAAUUUUACAAACUGGACAUAUUCAAGAAUUUAUACAUAUAAGGGCUGUGCACACUUACAGAUCCUCAAGGGGAAGAGUGCUGAGAACAUUGACUGUACUACUGAAUUGAUUGUUCUGUAAAUAUCUGUACAUGGACCAAAGAAAAAAAAUAAUUAACCAUUUUGUCCAGAAGAACUAGACAAAUAAUUUAGAUAAGAUGAAGUUGGUUCAUUACAGAGUUUUGAGGCUUGAGAGGGAUCGAAAACUUUGAGGCAGGCUACCUGAGAAGCGGUUGAAUGACAGAUCCCUGGUACCAUAACCUAAGCAUAUCAAUAGAGAAUACAUGCACAUACAAAUAAAAAAAGAAAAAGAAAGAAAAAUAACUAGAAAUCUGGAGUGCAAUAUCAUGACAGAAGACUAUAUAACUGUCAUAUACGUACCUGCACAUCUGUUAUGUUGGAGUGUGCCCAUACUAUCAGAAGAACUUGCAAGCAAUAAAGCAUGUUAUGCUAGUAGCCACUAGAUGCUUAUUGAUCCUAGAAAUGUUGGGUUCCUUAGGUAUAUCAUUCAUAAGGUCAGUUAAAUGGGUUAAACAACCAGGAAGCAAUAAGCGACAAGACUUAAUUCAGAUUAUUAUGCUACUUAAGCUUUCUGUAUCAAUACAAUUGACAUUGGGCUCUGUACUCCAUCAGAGAAAGAUUUAGGAAGAUCUUAAAGGUUUUAUGUAUGACUAAAAUAGGGAGAAAUAAAAUAUUUGUCUACUUCAGAUUCUUCAGAAUUGUCCAACAAUUUGAAGAUAGUAAAGAAAGCAAGUGAAGAAACCAAUUAGCAUAGAGCUAGCAAAUGCUAGAUUGGUUCUUUAUUGCAAGAUGUUCCUGUAAUAAACUUAGGGAAGGGAAAACAACUUACAGCACAGAGAGCUUUGGAAGCUUUCCAAACAUAUCUGUCAACUGUCCAUUAAGCUGAUUACUUGCAACAUUUCUGCAGUUCAAAAGCAUUCGACGUUUAAAAAGGCAGCAGUGUAAAAGAAAUAUUCAGAUAACAAAGCAGAAGUUCUUCUUACAGAUACUCGAGAUCAGUCAUUUGAGAAAUCGAAUAAGGAACACCACCAGUAAAAGCAUUCCUAGCAAGAUUUCUGAAAACAAGCAUCGAUAUCAUUGACGACAAUUUCAGGAUGCAGUUAAAAUUUUUCAGGCGCUUUUCCCAUCAACUACCAUAAUAACUAUGUAAAAAAGAUUUUAAAUUUGAUAAUUACAUGCAUCACAUAAGUGGCUUACAUAUGAACUGCAUUUGGUGGAAGUUGGUAUGGAAUAUCACCAUGGAUGUUGUUCUUGCUCAUGUCACUGUACUAAGAAAAAGAAACAAUUGGUCUAAGUUGCAAAACUGAGAAUGAUGAAAGUGAAUAAUAACGAAACUAACUCUCACAAGUUAGUUACUGAAGUCAAACUUGAAAGUUGAUAACCCAGUGUACCAGUCAGUCCAAGACCUGAUAGAUUGCUGCACAAUUAGCAUAAUAAAAUAUGCAAGUGAGUGACAUAUGAGCAAACAUCAUGCGUAGAAACAUACAGCAGAUUUGAAGGAUUCCUUAAGGUUUGAUGUUACAUGAGAUGGAAGCAACAACACAAACGGAAAAUGCCAGUGCAAAAUGCAGAAAGCAAAAUAAAAUCGAUCACCAGCUUAUGGCAAACAUUGUACAGAUACUUACAUAUAUAACCCUGUGAGAUUAGCCAACUACGUGCAUCCCUGGAAAAUCUGAAUUUUCAUACAUUUCCUCCGCUACCCCAAUUUCUUACAAAUAAUCACCUUCUUUCAAAAACUCUUCCAAUACAGAACCAACUAAAUCCAACCAUUUGGAUGACUAUCUAACUUAAGAUAAUGAUAUUAUUUUUAAAAAAAUGCGGUUCUGAUGAUAUAUAUGAAUUCAGAUAUUACGCUGGCCUAUAUGUAAAAUCGAUGAUAUUGCAAGGUUGUAUGUGUAACACUCCCAACAUUGUAUCAAAAUAUUCCCUUUCUUCUUAUCUCCGUAAUAUUCCUACAAAACUCCUCAUAAUUUCGCAAACAAACAUGCGGAUGUCACAGGCCACUUUUCUUUUCCACCAAAAGUGCAACAUUCAGAAUUGGUAAUGUUGUACUACACCGUGAUGAAAAGCCAGAAAAGCUAGAAAAGCCAAAGUAAUCAAACAAUGAAAAAGAUACUGAAGUCAAAUAAGAAGAUACAUCUCUGUUACUGAUGAGCCUGAGCACUUGAUUCCCUUCCAGCCUUUUCCGCAGGGAUCGCCGCCACUCGAACUCCAACCAGUCAGCUGAGAGGGGGAAUUUAAGCUGCUAUACAUGACAUUUAGGGCAGAAACUGCAAAAGCAAUUAACAAAGUAUACACCGUUUAGAGUACAAAGAUCGUUUUACUUAGAUUUACCCAUUUUAGACAAUAAAAAGUUCAAAUCUAAUGUAGCAGAUUCAGUUAUUAGAAUAAGAUACUUUCUCUAGAGAUCCAAGCAUUCUAGCUUCCAUCUACUAAGCAGGUUUUGGCCAUAAAGCACGCCAAGUGCUCAAUAUACCUAAUACUACCUUGCAAUCACCAGAAUAGUGCUCAAUUUUGCUAGAAACUAUUAAUUAAUACCACAAAUCAAGCGCAUUUGAAUCAAAAACAAACUUCUAUGAAUCGAAUUACGCGAACACUGACCAUCCGGCUGAUCCGUCUUGGCGAGGGCACCAAUGGCGAUAGAUAUAACCACAGAAAUAAUCAAGAGAACCGGCAGAGAGAGAUAGGGAGCCAUCUCUGCGAUCGGAGCCCUAGGGUUCGGGGAUCCUCGACGAGGGCGGUGCGCGGGGAAGCGGAACAGGAGGGGCCGCAGCGAGAGCCGAGGCUUCGGCUCGGUUCGUCUCGAUCCAAGGCGAGGGCAUUGGAUUCUAAAAUUAGGGUUUGGGAGCAGCUAAAUAAAGGAGGGGAGAGGACGACGAAGACGACGACCAGGGGAAGCGCCAUUGGAGGAGGCGCGAGAGUCGCGGGGAUCCUCUGGUCUUUAUAGCGCCUCCUCGUAGCAUGAAUUUAAACUCAAAAAGCGCUUUUGUACGCGUAAGUUCUUGCGUGCACCGGGUCCACCACGUCAUCCACGAGUGAUGCAAGUCAUUCGGACCAAAAUUUUGAGGGAAAACUUCAAAUACCCCCACGUGGUUUUGUACUUUCUCACUUUAGUAUUUUGUGCUUUAAAGUGUAUCAAGUUAAUACCAUGUGGUUUCAAGUUAGUACCUUAUGGUUUAAAGUGUAUCAAGUUGGUACUUUGUGAUUUUAUUUUUGUAUCAAGUUAGUACCCGUGGUUUUAUUUUUCUAUUUUUAUUAUCCAUUUUGGGGUAUUUUUUUUGUUAAAUCAGUGACAAAGUUAAAACUAAAAGGUGCUAAAUGAAUAUUCGAUAAAUCUAGAUAGGGUAUCUGAAAUUUUUUGUAUAUAAUAAUUUAAUGAAAUAUUAAACCACAUGAUACUAAAGUGAGAAAGUACGAAACCACAGGGUACUAACUUGAUACACUUUAAAUCACAGGGUAUUAAAGUGAGAAAGCGAAACCAUAGGGUACUAAUUUGAUACACUUUAAACUACAUGGUACUAAAGUGAGAAAGUGCAAAACCACAUGAUACUAACUUGAUACACUUUAAACCAUAUGGUACUAAAGUGAGAAACUACGAAACCAUAGGCGGGGUAUUUGAAGUUUUUUCAAAUUUUGAUGCAUCCUCCACAAAUUUUAAAGCACUUCCGCAACGAACACGACAGUUACAUCUUAAAUAUCGAUACGAUGAAUCAGACGGUCUCAUAUUAGGAAUAGUUCAUAUUAUUUUUUUCUAAAUAAUUUAGAAUUUAGUUAAAAUAAUCUUCAAUCGUUCAUCGUCUAUUACACAAACAGUCUUAAUUUGUAGAUCAUCUCCACUAAUAUUUUUACUAGUCCGAUAAAAAUUCGUUGGUGAAAAGAGUUCUCAAUAUCAAACUGCCUUAUUUACCGUCUAUUAUGUUAAGUAUAUGAAUUUCACACGUACAAAAAAUCGUAAAUAAGACGAUUUUACGUUGGUUUUAAAACACGAUGGUACAAAAUGAUUAAAAUUUUUUUCCUCCAAUAAAUAUGCACCUAUGUAUCUAAAAUCUAAAAUAUGUUGUAUAUAUUUAAAGGAGACAAAAUUUGAAGAGAAAAAUAAAAGAGGAUAUAAAAAAUAUAUGUAAUGUAACAAAAAGAAUGAUAUUUGUUCCUAUAAGUCACGGCGAUGGAACCGUAGUGAAGGGGACCAAAAUGACAAAUCAAAUUAUAUUGAGGGAGUUAAAAUAUAAAUUUUUAAAAUGUCAUAUGAUUAGUGUCAUACUAUUACUUUUUUCCAAACUCUAUUGUAUAAACAUAGACCAAACGGGCUUUUAGUGAUCAGAGCAAAUUAUCUACAAAAGUUUAAAAAUUGAAGUACGUAAAUAUAAAACAUAGGUGCCAAUUCAUAAAAUUGGCAAAGUAGUAGGACUAUUCAAAAAUUUUUACCCUAUUAAAUUAACUUUACCUAAUAAAUAAAUUUGCCAAAAAAAAAGAAGGAAAAACUUUUAAUACCACCCUUGUGGUUUCACACUUUCUCACUUUAAUACCAUGUGGUUUAAAGUUUAUUAAUUUAGUGUCCGGUGGUUUUAUUUUUAUUUUUUUAUUAUCGAUUUCACUAAUUUUUUUCGUUAAAUCAAUGACAAAGUUAAAACUAAAAGGUAAUGAAGUGAAUAUUCGAUAAACCUAGGUGGGAUAUUUGAAAUUUUUUAUAUAUAAUUUAACGAAAUAUUAACGAAAAAGUAAAAAUGAAACUAUAGGACACUAACCUGAUACACUUUAAACCAUAGGGUACUAAAAUGAGAAAUUAUGAACUUACAGGGUGGUAUUUAAACUUUACCAAAAAAAAAAAAAAAAAGUAAAUUCGAAAGGAAUCGUAAAACCUGAAACCGGUAAUGGUUCGGAAAAACCACGGCGAUAACUGGACCUGAGUUGUUAAGAUGCACGAACCAAGACCCCCGCGCCACGUGGAUUCCCGAGAUAAUUAGGCGCUUCGCGACGGUCAUCUCGUUGGGCACGAGAUUACCGUUUUAGCUUCAGUAAAAUAACCAAAUUAUUACCAUCAAUUACCGUAAAAUUAUUUUUGUAAAUAAUAUUAUACUUAGAACUUAAAUAGUAAUAAUAAUUACCGUAAUUGUUUUUACUCUCUUAUAUUUUAGUAAAACAAAUAUGGAAUAUUUGAUAACUAUAGUUUCAAAGUUAUUAACAGUUUUUUUUUUUUUNUUUUUUGAGAGAUAGAUAGCACAUUAUCCGUUUCGUUUAUUUCAUUUAGAAAUAAACUAAGUUAAAAAUGUAAAUCAACUAGGAUUCAACUACGAUUUGAACUUGGGACCUCGGGUAUCAACCACCAAGUUCUUUGCCACUUGCUCUAGGAAUAGUCGGUUAUUAAUAGAUAAUAGUUGAAAAAAAAAUUACUUUAUUUUAUUUUAAUUGAAAAUUAUUUUCAACUUAAAAAUCAGUUAUAGCAAACAAGUAUAUUCUUAAUCUUGUUAUGUGUUUUUAAGAAUCAUAUUCAAUUGAAGUUUUUCCUAAUUGGGAAAACUUCAAAAACCCCCUGUGGUUUCGCACUUUUUUAUUUUAGUACCUUAUGGUUUAAAGUGUAUUAAGUUAGUACCCUGUGGUUUCUCACUUUAUCACUUUAGUACUCUGUGGUUUAAAGUAUAUCCAGUUAGUACUCUGUGAUUUUAUUUUUGUAUAAAGUUAGUACCCUGUGGUUUUAUUUUUGUAUCUUUAAACUACAGGAUACUAAAGUGAUAAAGUGUGAAACCACAGGGUACUAACUUGAUACACUUUAAACCACAGGGUACUAAAGUGAAAAAGUGCAAAACCACAAGGUACUAAUUUGAUACAUUUUAAACCACAGAGUACUAAAAUGAGAAAAAGUGAAACCAUCCGGGAGUAUUUGUAGUUUUCCCUAAUUUUUUUUUGUCAAUAAUAAUGAUUACUUUAUUGCCUCUGUCCAUUUGAUAUUGCCAGAGUAAAUACAUUGUAUGAUUUGAAUGUUUUUAUUUUGAUGACAUAAAAUUAACUCAAUUUAGGCAAUAUAUUUUCGUAUUUACUUAGAAAUUAUUUAUAUUAGUAGCUCUUGUAAAAUGACUAAAUUACGUGCCUUCAAAGUCCCAAUAAAGUUUUGCUAAUCUUAAGGCAAGCUAUUUUUAUACACGAAAACAGCUCAAGUUGCAAUUCAUCUCUAUAUUUAUUGAAUUAGAUCACAUAUGUGGUGUCAACGAGCCGAAUACGAACUGACUCGUUAAAGUAUCGAGUUCAAAAAUUCAACUCAUGUUCGAUUUGUUUAUUAACGAGUUGAACACGAGUGGGCUCACGAACAAUAAGUAAAAAGAAUUAGAAAAGAUAUGUAUAGAAAAUAAAUUUUUGAGAUCCAACUCAUUAGACUUUAAUUCAACGGUUGAAACUUUACAUAUAAAUAUACUUUUUUUUAUAACUGAGUUGUAUUUUGUAUGUAGUUUGGACUAAAAGUUAAAUAAUAAAAAUAUAUAUUUUAUACAUAUAAUUAUUUAUUCAUAUAUAUAAAUAUAAAAUAUAUAAAUAUAAAUUAUAUAUAUUUCAUGUUGUUAUCGAGCCAAAUAAGAGCGAGCUGACUCCAACCCGUGUCCAACUUGUUUAUUGAACGAGCUGAAAAAAUCAAUUCGUGUUUAGUUCGUUUACUAAAUGAUUCGAUCUUGAGCAAAACACGAGCUAGCUCGUGAACAAUGAGCUGGAUUGCCACUCCUGCAUAUAUCAUAUUAAGCUGAUCAAAUUUAAUAAUUUUUUUGUGACUAAUAAUUUUUAUUCUAUUACCUCUACUAUCUGAUGACUCAAAGCAAUAUCAUUAGAUUUUUUUUUUUCUUUUCGCAUGGUAUUGCUGUACAUUCUAAUUUAAUUGUUGCUCUAUUUACAUUAUAAUUUAAAUUAUAUAUAUUUUUUAUUUAUGUCACUAAAUAAUAAUACAUUUUAUAAAGUACCAAUGAAAUUAAACUUACCCCUGGUCACGGCGUACAAUUGCGUUUAGAGGGCACGAGUCGUAAAUAUCGCGAUUUCCGAGGGCGAAUUAAUAUAGACAAACAUGUUUAACUCGUUUUAUCCCAUCACAUCUCGCGAAAAACCCGCGAAAACAAUGAAAACCCGAGCCAAUUAGAGCGUAAAACUAAAAUAAACACUAAUUAAGUGUAAUUAAUUAAUUAAUUCGCUCUAAAAUAAGUAGGGACUGUUUUUUUUUUUUUUUUCAAAUAACACCACUAUUUUGCUGAGAUUUUCGGGUUAGUCCAUUUUUUUUUUAUAAUCACAAAAAUAAAGUGGUUUUUGUUUUUGGGCUCCUUUGGUGAACAAUGGAGCUUUUCCAUCCUACAAAAUUAAUAGGAGACACAUUAAUAUUUUAGUGAUACGGUUCCGACACAAAUUUAUUUUUAUUUACUAUAGUAUUAUUUUAUAUUAUAUCAUUUUUAAAAAUAAUAUAUAAUAUAUUUUAUCAAUCUUUACAAUGUAGUUAGAUUUGUUUUUAUUUUCCUAUCUUGUGUCAUUAAAUAAUUUUUCUUGCAAAUUUUUUUAUUACUGUUAACAAAUCCAUUAUUUAGACCAGAUCUAUAAAUAAAAGAUUUAACUAAAUAAUAAAAAAGAUAAAAUAAAUAUCUAUGGUAGACUUAUUAAAAGAUUCUAUCAUGUUAUUUUCAAAAAUUUUUGUUAUUUUUAUAUAGUUUGUUAUUUUUUGCAUCAAAACAAGCUGAAUAUAUGCUCUGCCACUUCUAACUAAUAUUUUAAAACAAAUUUUAUUUAAAAUUAUAGAUUUAUUAUUUAUAGUGUAGGAAUUAAAAAAAAAAAGUUGAAUAAUGUCUUGAAAAAAAAUAGUACAGGGUUAAAAGUGAAAUUUUUUUUUGUAAAGUAUAAUAUAAUAUAAUGUAUUUAAGCCAAACUAAAUUGGAUUAAAAUUAUAAUUUACUGUUCUUUGGUAAUUUAAUCUUUUAGAAAAUUAAAUUACUUCUUUUGUUUCUCGGAAAUCCACUAUUAAGAUUCAGUUACAUAUAAAUAUAUGAAAUCAUAUAAUCAUAUAAUAAUAAUAUAAUAUAAUAUAUUCAAAAAGUAACCAGAGAUGGUACAAGAAUGGCAGUUUUGAUAAUAUAAACAAUUAGGAGGUUAUUAAAUAAGUUACUGGAAUAUUCCAAGAUUCCAAAUAGGGAAACUUUUGACCAUAAAGUGUGCAUAAGAUGCUUUAUGCAAAUUUAUCCAAUGACUAAUAAGAGGUUAAAAAAACUUAAAAUUAAAAUAAUUCACUUUAACUAGUACAUUAAUUACCUUUGACAUUAUUUUAUUUGUUAAAAUUUAAAAGAACUUAAAACUGCUGUAUUGUAUUUAGAAAAAACUUCUAAUACCACCCGUGAGGGACUUUUUUAAAAAAUAACCCUGUGAAAGUUCGUAUUUGCCAAACUAAUUCCGUAAAAUUUUUAUUUGUAAAACUAACCCUCCUUUCGCCACGUGGCUCUUUAGAAGACGGUAAACCAUUCACCGUCUUUAGUGCAAAAUUUUUCUUUCCGCCUUUUUCCCUUUCCGCUCUGUCAAGUCCGCUUUUUCUGUGCCCUCGAGAAGACAGGGAACGAUUUACCGUCUUAUUAAGGACACCAUAUUAUGGACUUGGAAAGAUUUACGCAGUAUAGGAAUUUGUACUAAAGACGGUGAAUGGUUCACCGUCUUAUGAAGAUGGUGAACCAUUCACCGCCUUCACAACAAAUAUCAAAGACGGUGAACGAUUAACCGUCUUUUUGAGGAAUCCCUGAUGUGGCGCCCACGUGGCGAGAGGAGGGUUAGUUUCACAAAUAAAAAUUUCACAGGGUUAGUUUGGCAAAUACGAAAUUUUACAGGGUUAUUUUCGAAAAAAGUCCCCCCGGGAGUUUCACCCUUUUUUACUUUAGUAUCCUGUUAUUUAAAGUGUAUCAAUUUAGUGCCUGUAAUUUUAUUUUUAUCUUUUUAUUAUCGAUACCACUAAUUUUUUUCGUUAAAUUAGUAAUAAAGUUAAAACUAAAGAGAACUAAAGUGAAUAUUCGAUAAAUCUAGAUGGAGUAUCUGAAGUACUUUGUAUAAAAUUUUACAAACUAUUAACGAAAAAGCUUACAAAAAGAUAAAAAUGAAACCGCAUUACACUAACUUGAUACACUUUAAACCACAGAGUACUAAAGCGAGAAAGUACGAAACCACGGGGGUGGUAUUUGAAGUUUUUCCUUUUUUUUAUAAUGUAAUAUAGUAUAAAUUAUAAAAAUUCUAUUAAUCUUGUAGCGCUAGUAAAAAAAAAAUAUUUUGAUUUAUCUAAUACGAGUAAGUAUUAGUAAUUAUUUAUAUACAAGUGUGAUUAUUAAGACAAGUAUCUGGACUGUUUUGUGAAUUUGCCCUACUCUUUUAUUAAUAAGUUGUUGUAAAAAAAAAUUUUAAAAAUCGAAUUAUAAUUAAAAAAUGAAUUAAUUAUUAAUUACUAAUUAAUUUACGAGCUUAAAAUACUUAAAAGGGGGAAUUAGGAGGGCAAAACGGGAAAUAAACACAAACGCCUCUCUCUCUAACUCUCUCUCUCUCUCUCUCUAAUUCUCUCUCCAACUCGUCGUCGUCUUCGUCUUCGUCUCCUCUUCGCUCUCCACGAGCUCUCCCAAUCCCCCAUUUCUCCGCCUAUUCCCCGCCGAUCUUCUCCCUCGCGCAGGCGAUUCCUCCUCGGCGUCGCCUUCGCCGUGCGAUCCCCUCCCGAUCGAGGUGCGUAUCGCAGUAAUCGGGGAGGUUUUUUGCUUCGGUCGGAGAAUUUGUUCGAUUCUAGGGUUUCUGUGCUUGUUUGAACCAUAGUUUGUGUUUCUUGAGCUUUGGAAUGGCUUUCUUAGCUCUGAAAUUGGUGUCGGCGUAGUGGCUGUUAAUUUGUGGUCUUAGCUGUGUGAUUACUCCGUUUUCGGAAUUUAUUGCAAUUUAGUUCCAAAUUUGUCGAUUGAGAACAAAUUGAGGUGAUCUGAGUUGGUAAUGCGUAGGGUUGUACGGUUCUAGGGUUCGAUUCUUAGGUUUCGUGUUGAUUCUAUUGAUAUAGAGAUAAAAGUUCUCGUUUUUCUCGAACCCAGUGUUGAGAGUUGGUUUCUGUUGCAGUGAUUGUUAAUCUGUGGUCUUUUAGGUGUCUGAAUUGAUCGUUUUUGAGGGGUUUAGUAGAGUUUGGCUCACAAAAUAGUCGUUUUAGAACACAUUGAGGUGAUUUUAGUCAGUAAUUUGGUACACCCGUGCAAUUCUAGGUUUCUUUCUCAGAUUUCGUGUUGACUCCAUUUUCUUCUGAGAUGAAAAGUUCUCAUUUUUCUCUAAUCACUGUAAAAUGCUGAUGACUUCCUUUUAGAUUCUUGCAGUUCGAGUCUGAGCAAUUGGUGGAGCUCGAAUGCUGCAUUUUGUCGAACGAAAGGGAGAAUUUUGAUCAAUAUAAAUCUUUUUAAAUUGGAUUUUCAAAGAUGUUAGAGGGCCCUAAAUUCCACGGAAUCAUGGGAGGUGGUGGCGGCGGCCAUGACCACAAUAGUAACAUAUACGACAUGGCUUACUACCACAAGCUUGGUGAGGGUUCCAACAUGUCAGUCGACAGUAUCAAUAGCUUACAAACCACCAACAAUGGUGGCUCGAUUGCUAUGUCUGUAGACAACAGCAGUGUCGGCUCAAGCGACUCACACACCGCCAUCCUUAACCAUGCCUCUGGGCUCCGCCCACACCCACCUGCCAACCAUUCGAUAGGAAACAGUGUGUUUCGCCCCAGUAGGGUUUCUCAUCCCCUUAACAAUGAUGCCUUAUCUCGGGCGUUGAUGGACCCGCAAUACCCUACACAGCCGCUCAUGGAUUUUGAGGAGUGGACGCUUGAUUUGGGGAAGCUUAACAUGGGAAUGCCAUUUGCUCAGGGGGCUUUUGGGAAGCUUUAUAAAGGCACCUACAAUGGAGAAGAUGUUGCAAUUAAGCUGCUGGAAAAGCCUGAGAAUGACCUGGAGAGAGCGCAGUUGAUGGAACAACAGUUCGCUCAGGAGGUUAUGAUGCUGGCCACUUUGAAGCACCCGAAUAUAGUGAGGUUUAUUGGGGCUUGCAGAAAGCCUAUAGUUUGGUGCAUCGUUACUGAGUACGCAAAGGGUGGUUCGGUGCGGCAAUUUCUAAUGAGAAGGCAGAACAGGUCGGUGCCGCUGAAGCUGGCGGUGAAGCAGGCACUUGAUGUUGCCAAGGGAAUGGCUUAUGUUCAUGGAUUAGGGUUUAUUCACAGGGAUCUCAAGUCGGACAACCUACUGAUCUUUUCGGACAAAUCCAUCAAGAUUGCGGACUUUGGUGUGGCCCGCAUUGAGGUGCAGACCGAAGGGAUGACUCCGGAGACAGGAACAUAUCGUUGGAUGGCACCGUAAGUUCAAUAACCUUUUGUAAUUAUCACGCUGUCAGCAGAUUUCCUUCGGAUGCUUGUAUCUUUCAGGGUGUGCCAAGUCAGCAAAUCUUCAGCUGGGACAUCUCUUCAUUGGUUUAUUAAUAUUGGUUAUGCUUAAGUUAAAUUGCAAUAUUCUAGUAUUUUACAUGCUUCAGGAAAUGCUGACGAUUUCUUAAACUUCAUUAGCUUCUGAUUGUUUCACCUGAAUAACAGUGUGCAUUUCUGAUAUGUUAAGUGCUGCUUUGGUAACGUUAGAUUAAUCAGAGCCAAGAAUUUAAAAUUUAGGAGUGUGGGACUCUUUUAAUUCACCUACCGCUAACUACCAUGCUAAGUUAUGCCAUAUUUUCUAAUUAUCUAGGGCGUAUAAAUUCACUGGGUGUUUCAAAGGCUUGUCACUAUAUUAAUCAGAACCAAAAUGGACAUUGACUCUGCUAGGUGUUGGGUCACUGGGUCAUUCUCAUCCUGUCAAGUAGCAUUAGCUGAUAUGUUAUAAAAUGAGCUUUCUUUAUAUAGCACAAGUAGUGGUUGGACAGGUAGUGCUUUAAACCUCUACCUAAUAGGUUAAGAGGUCCAAAGCCACCUAGCGUCAGCAACUAGUGAUUUUAUCGCCAAUUUAAUCUAAAAUGGUUUGGUUCGCUUAGAUUCAUCUACCCUGCUCGGUUAACUUGUUCAACUGCUGGUUCGGUGAGUGUUCGCAGGUCAGCUGCUACUCUGGUUUAAAGACAAUACUGAACCGACUUGGUUAAGAGUUCGCUCGUUGAGCCAGUUGGGCAACAGCAAUGUUUUUAGGUCCUGCUUAUUGUUUUGCUAGUUGAACCGGGUUGUCGAGCUCGUCAGUUUCCUUCUUGGCUUAUUGUUCGACCUGUGGUUCGACAACUGGUCAAGCCACUGACUCCAAGCAUAUCUGGAUUAUUUUGACAAUUUGACACUCUGAAUGAUAGGUAUUAUUAAGGUUGAAUGCCACUGUAAGCUACCUGGUUAAUGCCUUGAUAACCAAGACUGUUCGACCAAGGAUUUAAUUAUUGGAUGAUAGAUACUAUUAGGAUUGGAUGCCACUACAAGCUACUCGAUUAAUGCCUUGAAAACCAAGAGAGUUCGACGAUAGAUCAUAAGAUUUUAAUUAUUGAGUCAUGGUACCGUGCCGCUUAAGGGUUGGUACAGUUGAGCAUGUGGCCCGUAUUGUAGCAUUCAGUGCAUUAUUGGUCGUCAAAUUCACUAAUCUUAUAUUUUGUCUGGAAGGCUCAGAUAAAAUCUAGGUCCUAGGAUACCUCUUGGAUGCUAUUAGGGGAGGACAAUAUGGUGGCAAUGUUAACUCCUGUGAGUCCCUUUGAGCGGGAGCUUUUAUUAUUUGUUUGUAAAUGCAUGAGAAGUUUCUUUUUUGAUGAAUGUUUACCUUCUCAAUAAUUGCCAAUUUCGAAUUAAUAAUGUAGAUAUCAUGCUUACUCUUCCUGAUCUACUGAACUUAACACCUGCAAGCUUCAGAAUUAGAUGAAGUGCAACGAUUAUCUUUUUUAUAUUAUAAAAUGGAAAGAAAAUGCAAGAUGUCAUUACUUCAGAUACAAUUAUAUUAAUCUGUAAUGCUUCCAUAUUUAUCUUUCGUAUAUAUAAGUUGCUAUUUAUAAAGAAGACAGACAUUUGUUGUGAUUUGUCCACCUUCAUGUUCCUACUUGCCAAAAAUUGUUAGUUGCGCUACUUGUUGUUCAGGGUAAUAAGAUUUGGUUUAGUUUGGCAACAAACCAACUAUUGUUAGAUCAAAUAGCAUAGUCAGUCAACUGUGACCAACUUACAGUUAUCUUAGCAUAUCAAGCUUUUCUCUUUUAACCCAUGGUCGCCCUUCUUUGUUUUUCAUAUGCAGAGAGAUGAUCCAGCACAGACCUUACACCCAGAAAGUCGAUGUGUAUAGCUUUGGUAUUGUCCUGUGGGAGCUCAUAACUGGCAUGCUUCCCUUUGCAAACAUGACAGCUGUCCAGGCGGCAUUUGCGGUUGUGAACAAGGGUGUCCGUCCUAUUGUACCGCCGGACUGCCCACCCUCCCUUGGCGAGAUCAUGACCCGCUGUUGGGAUGCGAAUCCCGAUGCACGUCCCCCUUUUACCGAAAUCGUUGCUAUGCUCGAGAAUGCCGAGAUGGAGAUCAUGAGCACCGUCCGGAAGGCUCGAUUCCGGUGUUGCAUUUCCGAGCCUAUGACCACAGAAUGAAACCCUAGAGAGGGGAAAAAGUUGAAAAGAAGAAAAAGGAAAAAAAGAAAAGAAAGAGUAGUGAUUCAUGUAUCUCCGAACGUACUCAGAAUAUUGUCGAUGAGUCAACUUGAUAUAUAUACAGCGGCCACCGAAUGUUUUAACUUUUCAGAUUGCGUGCCAGUUUUGAAAUGUAAAAAAGUUAAACCAAUCACUAGCCGCCGCAUAUGUACAACCGACUCGAACAAUAUUAUACGGUACCGUCUGAGGUACAUGCAGCAUUACUUAAAAGGCGAAGGAAGAAAAAGAGUAAGGCAGCCCAAGUAUGUUCUAUCUAUCAUUUUAAUGGACUGAUUUAUUGGAGAAAAAAAGAAUUUGUUGUGUUUGUGGGUUUCUAGUUGCUUUUCCUCUACGAGAGGUUUACUUUUCUAGGGUUUUCCUCCUCUGGGUUUCUUUCUUUUCUUGUUGGAUCUUUUAUGAUGUUGGUAAGCUUCAUAGCUUAUUUUGUCUUUGUGAAAUAUAUAUAUAUAAUAUAUAUGUUCUUCUCCUGCCUGUUCUGUGAGAUACGUGAAUUUGCUGUCUCUGACAGACCUAUCCUCUCUGUCAUAUCUCCAAUGAUAUAUAACAUAGUAGUCAUCCAAUAAAUGCUUCUUUAGUACUGCAUUAUCUGGUUUUAAUGUAUUUUAUUAUUGCUUACCUGCCUUUAUUGUUUAUAAAAUAAUAUUGUGGCGUUUCUUGUUGUGGUGUUUCGUAGACAAAAAUUUUGUGGGCACCGGGGACUGCGGAUCGGCGCCACGGCGCCGAUGGGUGCCCUUCUCAAGUUGCUUUCUCUCUCUCUCUCUCUCUCUCUCUCUAAAAACACAAGGCUUUUUUUUUUCUUUCCAUUCGUGGCCGUCAGAUGGGCCACAUGGUGCCCAUCUCCAUAGUCCCAAACUAAUUAGUUUGAAGAUUAUGCUCAUAAAAUUUUUGUCCGUGUUUAGUAAAGGCCUGUCACAAAGCACUAAUAAAUUAUUUUUGGAAAAACAUCAAAUGAUUUUACAUUUUUUCAUUUUAGUACCCUAUGGUUUAACAUGUAUUAAUUUAGUGCCCUGCGAUUUCAUUUUUAUUUUUUUAUUAUCAAUUUUACUAAUUUCUUUUCAUUAAAUCAGUGAUAAAAUUAAAACUAAAGGAUACUAAAGUAAAUAUUCUCGAUAAACCUAGGUGGAAUAUCUGAAGUUUUUUGUAUAUAAUUUAACGAAAUAUUAACGGAGAAAUUGACGAAAAAAUAAAAAUGAAACCAUAGGAUACUAAUUUGAUACAUUUUAAAUCACAGGAUACUAAAAUGAGAAAGUACGAAACUACCGGGGUGGUAUUUGAAGUUUCCCCUAAAAUUUUUUUGUUUGGAGCUUUUUGUUACUAAGAAGAUCAUUUUCAGCUUUUGGUCGCAGCAGCAGUUCUAUAAUCUCCUCAAUUUGCCAAACAACUGGAUAGAGCACCGCUCCUAAAACCUGGUCAAAUAGGAAAAAACACCUCUUGCAUAGAUAUUACUAUCAUUGCGAGUAUCAGUAGUUAUAUAUCUUAUGGCAAGAGGAUCAUUAUAUAUGCUAAAAGAAUUUGGGAUCAUUACAUAGAUAUUACUAUCAUUGCGAGUAUCAGUAAAUAUAAGAAAUUAGUCAUAACACUUCUCGAAGGAGUCCAGCAUUUCCAGUUUUAUUCAUCCAACUGCAAAUGAGACGAGGAAUGAUGAAACAAAGAAAUUUAGAAAGAAGAGGAAAAAAAAAAAAAAAAACAACAAAAAAAAGAACUUAUUCAUUUGGGAUCCAACCGGGAACUUUACAAAGGCUUGCAAAAGGACUGCAGCUCUUCUUAAAGGCUACCCAAUAUGAGAAGGGAAUUAAAGAGGACUACAAUUAGAGCCCGAGAAUGGUGGAAAGGCUAUGUGUAGUAUACAAACUGAACUGCCACUGCAGCUGCCGCCACCCUUUGAAGAAACUAGUCCUACCAUCAUUUGCUUUCUCUCACAAACUCGCGCAACCACCGCCGAUUUUAGCUUCCCAAUUCUCUUCCUAAGAAGAUGAAAGAAAGGCAUUGAUGAAAAAAAUAAGCUUCUGAGGCGACUUCUUCUCUAACUGCUUUCUUUCGGAGCAGCGGCAUUCGGCUUCUUGGCUUCUUCGGGCGUGGCAGCCGAAGCGGAAGUGUUUAGCGAGGCGCUUUUGUCGGCUAACUGGCCUCUGCUGUUCGCCUCUUCUAACCGGACAACUUGAGCAAAGCUCUUGGUGAUGUGGCUUAUGCGGUCGCCAUGGCCCGCGACUGAGUUGGCUGAUAUCUGCUGCUGCUGGUGCUGCUGUUGCUGCUGCAGCAGCAGCGCCUUGUUCUCUUGCAUGGCUUUCUCCCGCUGCUCGUAGAACUCGAAGUCGUCAAGGAUAGACAUCUCGGCCUCAUGGUUCUUGAAAAUAGUCAGCAUCUCUAGACCCUGUUCCAGUUUAACCUGAAUGAUUUCGAUCCAGUGUGUUAUAUAUUGCAAUAUGCCCAGAAAAAGAGAGCACCGAAAAAAAAAAGCGCAUAAUGCACAAGGUAUCAUCGGAUAACUUGUUCCGAUACCAAAUAGGCCCUAAAGGAAGAUGAGAUACGAGAAGAAGAAUAAGGAAAAGAACAAUAAAGCAAGAAAUGAAUUGCAAUGAAAUUCUUAUAUUAACUGAAAGAACUUCACCUCCUGCGUAUCUCUGCUGUUGGUUACAGGCUUAUUCUCAUUAUUCUCGAGAAUGAUAUGACGGAACAGAUUAUUCGGGACAUCUUUCACGAUGUGCCACUUGACGGGGAACUGGCCGGUCCACUUGUCUUGCUGCCAAUAGUCCACGCUCUUCUCGAAGUCAACGGGUCCAACCAUCUCGGCGACACCGCAGAACUGACCACUCGCGUUUACCUAUCAAUGUUGUUUCUACGUUAAUUACAUGAUGUCAAUCGAAAAAAUAAAGUGAACAAAAAGAAAGGGGCUGUUGCAUGAAUAUGAAAUUUUACAUAUAUAACCCUUUACAAAAGUGCCCUUAUCUCCGUACGGGAGAGUUGGUUUUCUGUCCCAAAAGGUUUUUCAAAAGAGGGACAUUCUUGCAAGAAGAUCGGAUUAUAUGUAAGAAAUUAAGAUUCAAAGGGCAUAUAUGAAAAUUCAAUUCUGUACGGAUAGAUAAUUGUACGAUAAUUGUAUGGUAGUGUGUAUGCAAAUUUCGCAACAAUAAAGUUUUCUCCAGCGAAAUUGUAAAGGAGACAAAGGGCCUCAAAAUUACCGAGAAAAACAAAAAAAUGGGGUAGGGAUCUUCUCUCUCCUUCGCCUCGUGAAAAGCAGAAUCCAACUUCUUGUUCCCGUUGGCCGUGCUGGCCCAAACACCAUACUUGAUGCUCUUAUGGACAUUAUCCUCACUGUAUGAUUUUAUUAUGAAAAACCUGGCAUUCGUAUACUCCGUAGGAAAGUCCGGACUAUUGUACAACUCUUCAUUUACUCCCGUAAUGGGCUUGUCCCUUUUAUUCUCUGGCAAGGAAUCCUGUUCUGCAGCUUGCUUCUUGGGUCUAGUGGCCCGUGGGCCUCGGCUUUGCUCAUUGAGAAAGUCGAGAGGCCCAUUGCAGCUGCAUACCAAAGCACUCCCCUUUCCUCGUCUCCUGCCUUUGUCGACGGCAAUUGAAUUUCGGUUAUUCAUGCCCAAGCUUGGAGUGGACCCCACGAAAUUACCGACAUGCUGAUACAACCCACUGUGAGAAUACCCUCUUUCAUAGGAGCUAUUGGAGGAUCCGAAACCAUAUAAAGAUUUUUGAUGCUGUGAAGCCUGAAGGUUAUUAGAAAGUAAAUGCUUUGGGAAAUUUAGAUGAACCUUACUGGGGUUAAGACUAAUAAAUCAUACUGAACCAGUAGAAAAUUAAAAGAGAAGAUAAGAACCCUGUGUUCGAAACCAUUGCCAUAGUUCAACACAUUUUAGCGGUUUCCACACCACCAAACUGGUAAAUUCCAAUUAAACAUAAGCACACAAAAAUAGAGCUUUUCUUCUGCCUAGUUUUAUAUUUCUGACCAUUUACCUUAGGACAUAUUGAAUGGGAUUGAAAUAAAGUUUCAGCACAAUUCCAUCUCUCAUCUUGUCUAUUGUUUAGCACGAUAGUGCAGGUAAGUGAUCAUUUAAAUUAGAAAUUCUUGAAGAAACACACAUACUUGUAACAGAGAAAGAAAGGAAAUGAUUACCAUUCCAGAAGCCGCAGGAAUGGUACUCUGUCCAAAUGAACCAGGAGCACCAAUUGGCUGCGGUGAAGCUGCAGGUGACGGCAGUGUAGUUACAGAACCAGAACCAUCCGAUGGUUUCGACCAAUCUAAUAAAAGGCAGUAAAAAAACAAAAAGCAUUAUCAGAGCUUUCCCACAAACCCUUUAUCGCUAAGGAGAAAUUGUCGCCGACACCAGGUGCAGCAUGUCAGCACUCGACAGUGCACUUCCCAGUGAUCCGUCACACGUCUCAUCUCAUACUUAAAUGCUCACCACCAAGUGGAUUGCAGCCUUUUCUUGAUUUAAAAAUAAUUUUUGUUGGAUGGUGGGCUUAGAAGUAUGAGACAUAAUGGAGGACAGACAUGGUGCACCACGUGCAAGCAAUGAUUUCUUCUUGAAGAGCCAAAACUACCAAACAGAACUACCUCUACCAAAAGAACCAUAGGAUAGAUGAUAACCCGGUCUCGGCCCGAAAAGCAAGCUACUUGAACUCAAAGCAUCAGUGAGAAAAGCUCCUUGAGGAUCGACGGGCAUCAUUGGGUCAGCUUGUGACAUCGGAGAUGGAGGAUUCAUAUACGGCAUGCCCGGAGGCUGCUGGUAGUAAGGAGCUGUGAACGGGAAGUGCUGAGGAGAGUAGAGCUGGCCAUCUCCACUUAUUGAAGGUAGCGGAGUUGUGACAGGCGAAUAGGGCCCAUAAGGCAUUUGUGGGCUGAAUCCGAAGCCGGUAUGGAAGAGAAGGGAAUGAUUCUCAUUGUACAUACCCUUCAAAAAAUAAAAAGAAAGAAAAUAGAAAAGGAAAAGAGAUUUAAAAAAACUGAAAAGGAUUUGUUAAAAGAAGAUGAGAAAAGGCCAGUGCAUAUUAUGUUACUCACAGCUGAUCCAAUUUCCAAGCCCUCAACGCUCAAAUAAUGGGGAUAGUCUUCCCACUCGCCUGCAGGGUUAGCAUAUCCUGAAAAGAAAAACACAAGAUUAUUUUGAUGCUAGUAAAACAGACAAUAAUGAAAAUCCUGUGAGGACAUGAAGGAAUGGAAGUGGACAGAUGCAACAUCAAACCAUUUGUCAAUCUUUUACCCACAUAUAAGAAGCCAAAAAAUAACAUAAAGUUCUUUAAUAUGAGGAAAAGCAUAAAAUAAGACAUGCAAAAUUGAGAUACUAAAUUAUCAGUCACAAUAUGAGAACUUCAUACUCCGACAAGAAAGGGUUAGAUUAAUAGAAUGUAAUACAUAUUAAAAUCUUGAUCAGAAAAGUAAAGAGCUGUCACUGUCACAUUUUGAUUUUGGUGGGUAUUCAUCAUAUAAACUACCAUUCAGAAAAUUGAAAAUAUAAAGAAAUCUAAUCCGUAUCAGUUACCAAGUCAUCUGUGCAGCCUCUAUAGACUUCUAAUUGGACUAAUUAGACACUCAAAAAGCAUUAGUAGUAAUAAGAUAUGAAUCAAAGUUAAAAAUCAAACAGUUAAAGUACAACUUUUCGAGAGCAUAACACAGUUAGGUUUAACAGUAAGAGAACAUACGUGAUAUGGAAAAGAUUCUUCAAACAAUAUUCUUAAUACGAUAGAAAUAUGUGAAGCAGAAAAAAAAAGAAAAGAAUCUGACCUGCAUAUAGGACCGUUUGCACCUGAGAAGCACUAACAUUUGGUAGUUGGACAACACUACUAUGUUCUCCACCUUCACUGUGAGACCCAAUCUUGAUUUGGGAAUCUCUAGAUAGAUCGAUUGUAUUUGCUUCAUGUGAAGCAUCGGAUGUCCUUGUUUGCUCAUCUUGAUCAGAAAGAGGCUGAUAGAUAAGUAAUGCACAAUAUCAUUAGCUAAGAUUUGAGCCUAAAAGAAGGAAAAAGUUGAAGAGGUAAUGACCUGCUCUUGAGAGCUCGCAGCAUCAACAGCUUUCUGAUUAGAGUCUAUAGAUAAUGGUUCCGCUGACCCUUUCACAUCUAAAAUCGAACAACAAAGAAUCAAUGAGCUCCGAAAAAACCAAAUUUAAAAAUAAAAGAAAUCCUUAUACUUUCAACGUAAUCAAACGAGAUCUAUAAGUGAAUCGUUCUGCACAAUAUGAUAGGUUGGCUUCCUCUUGUUUGUCCCUUUUUGUAGUUCAAUAACAUUUUAAUAGAAAUGUUUCAUCUAUGAUCUAUCAAAUGCACUUUACACAAUAACUAAUUAAAAAGUACAAUAAACUAAUGAAUCUGGAUAAAUAUCUAAAGCUACAAGAGACAACAAGUUGAGAAAGGCCGUCAAUUCGAACUUCUAAAUCCGUGCUAUAAAUUAUGAUGAUUGGAUACAACUGACUAACAAGUUCCUUAAAACUUCUACACGUUACAAAUCUUCCUCACAGAUUACCUUAACAGGUCUGUCCAAUUAAGGACAAUCCUGCACCUCUGAGCAACCAACAGCAUCCUGCUUAAAGGUCAAUUUUAGCACAACCACCUAUAUAAUAGCUACAGUUUCCCUUACCUUCCAAGCAUUAAAAUCCAACUCAUAGACCAAACUAUUCAAAACUCCACAAUGCAAGGUAUUCCUAAAUACAGGAUUGGGUAUUACAGUACUCUGACCAACUGUGCGCUGGCCCACAAAUCUCAAACAGUUGCCGAAAAAAUAACACAUAACAAGGAUACCCAAAAUGCAUUGCAGGAUAACCCUGAGCUGCAAAGGAGAAUCAAAUAGUACUUGCAGAAGUUCUUAUGCCUAGAAUACUAUAUUCAAUAUUCUCCGAGCAACCAUGAAUACAACACAGUUAAGUCACAGCAUGACCAAUAUACAUCUCCCAAUUUCCUCUUCAAGCAUCCAAAUAUGAGGAUUUCAAACUACUUUCACAAAAAUAACCUAUUGGGAUUGUCAGUUUUCGGUUAGAUUUGUAGUCAUCUAAAUCAGAAUCAAAGUCAUCUUGAUUAAUCAGAAGUAGGCAAGGAUUCAGAACGAGAUCUAAGAAAGCUUCUUAGAAAGAACAUGGAGAUCGCCAAUAAUUACCUACAGAUUCUAUCACUAAGCACAAUAAACAUAAAAAAUACAAGCAAGAAACGAGCUUAAUCCAAUUCCUGCUCGCCGAUCACAGCACUAAACAUCAGCAACACGCCCAAAUCCCGAUUCACACCUCAACCAACGAGAUCUUUCCAUUCCUCGCAUAAACUCGACACUCACAACGCAGCCACACCGCAAACCGAAUCGAAACAACGAGGAAACUCAUCCCCGAUCCAAAUCAAACAUCACAAUGCGAGAGCCCCGAACACGACGCACCAAUCGAUCUACGGAUUAAUCCAACAAAACAGUAAGAAUCGAUCGAAAAACUGCUCAUUACCAGCUUGAUCCGGCGCUUGCUGCGGAGUCGCCAUCGGAGGCUCAGAUCCGGAAAGUCGUCGCCGCGGAUCGCGACGGGAUCGACGAAAUCCGGAGAAAACGAAGCCCUAGCUCCGAUUACACCUACCGCAUCGUCUCCUUCCCCUCUCCUUGGAUCGGAUUCGGCGUUGGAUUCGUCGUGAUUGGAGAGAGAGAGAGAGAGAGAGAGAGAGAGGAGGGGGGGUUUAGAGGGGAGGAGAGGGGAAAACGAAGCUGAUGCGCCUUUAUGAAUUUAUUUAUACUGUGGAGGAAAAAAAGAUAACGGAGAGAAUCGAGAGAAAGAGCGAGGGGUUGUGUGCAAAAAGGUUGGGGGAAAUAUGUAACGAAACCCCUCAACUAUUAGUUAUUUUGAAAAAAAGGCAUUUUAAUAAUUUUAUUUGGUUUGAUUUUGAAUUAUUUUAGUCAAUUGAAUUGAAAGUAUAGCUAAUAAAAUUUUUAAUAUUAAUCUAAUAUAUUAACUUUUAAAAUUAUUUAAAUUCAUAAUAAUUAAAAGUUGGUGGGUGCUGAGAAAAAAAGAGAUAAAAUUUUUUUGUCUAUUCCAAAACGGAUUUUUCGAGGAGUUUUUCAUAUAUUUUUAUGCAUAUUUCAAUUUUUUUAUAAACCAUAAAAAGACAUAUAAUCAUUAAAAUAUGUAAGAUUAGGUAAAUUAUUAUUUUUUUUAUGAAACUUAUCAUAAUAUAAUUAACUUGAGCAGUAUACAUUUCCUGAAGUAUUAAACAUAUUAGAAUGUAUUAAAACUUUUGCUGGAGAAGUUCAAUUAUUUAUAUAGAUCAAAACAUUUUAAAUUUUAAAAAUAAGUCUAAUCCAGGUCAUUAAGGAUCUUUGUAACAUCAAAUUUGCACAUUGAUAAAAAUUAAAAAACUCAUUUCUAUUCUAAUAAAAUGAAUCGUCUUUUUUUAUCCUUUCGUAAUGACUCAUCUACGUCAAUUUACUUUAGAUUAAAUUGGUUAUAAUAAAAUUGCGUAGUUAGUGUUGGAGUGCAAAUAUAUAUAAAAGUUUGAAAAUUAAAAUAAUAAUAAUAAAUUUAAGGACCAAGUUACAAUGAUGAGGUAGUGCAGGUACUGUGCAUGCAUUUUUAAGCUUAAUAUUACAAAUAAUAAGUAUUUUUUACUGCAAUUAUUUAAAAUUUUAUUUAUUUAUUUUUGGGUAGGGCGUUUUUGAGGUUAUGGUAUUUAUCACUAUUAAUUUUGGAUAAUUUUAUCCAUUUAUAAAUCCAAUUCUACGAACAUAUGAUAGACAGAAUAAAAAAAAGGAGUAAAUAAAUAUUCCCUGCAAAAGCUUAUAAUCAAUUUAUUAAAAAAAUAUUUUAAAUAUAAACGAACGGUUAUAAUUAAUCUGUUAGAAAAUAACAUUUCUAUGCAUCUAUAAAUCCAAUAUACUAUGAAUGGUUACGAUCAAUUUGUUUAAAAAUAUCUCAAAUAAAAAUAAAUGGCUAUGAUCAAUCUGUUAAAAAAAGUAUUUCUAUUCAUUUAUUUUACAUUAAAAUUAAAAUUUGAGUUUAAAUCAUGAAUUAAAUUAAAUUUUAGAUAUCAAAUUUUAAUUAACAAUUUAAAAAAUUUAAUUAUAGUUGAUCAAAAUUAAAUUUUAAAUUUUAAAGUAAAUGUGAAUUAAAUCUUGAUGUUUUUAGUUUAAAACAUAUGCUUCAAUUUUAGAUUCAUCAUAUUUGGAAAAAUAUAUAAAAAUAUUCAAUAUCUAUAUUAAAAAAAUAUUACAGAUAUUUUCUAAUAAAAUAUAACAUAUAAAUUUAUAAAAUAUAAUUUUUAUUGUAAAUUUAAUUUAUAUUGAUUUGAGAUAAAUAUUAAGUAAUUGUUACGUAUAUUUGCACAUACACUCGACUAGUAAUAAUAAAACUUAGUAAUAAUAAAACUUUUUACAUUUUAGUAAAUUAUAUGGACCAAAUUUAUCCAAUAUACAUGAAACAAUUUACUAAUUAAUUUAGUGGGACCUGAGAGUAAUAUUUUUUUAGACAAAACUAAGCUAUUGUUUAGACUAAGAUAUUUUAGAAUCUCACUGUUUAAACUAAAUCAAAUCUCUUGUUGUUUUCUUCCAAAAAUUUAAAACUAAUUAAAUCAUCCAAAAAAAAAAAAAAAAAAAGAUUGGUGAGAGAGAGAGAGAGAGAGAGAGAGAGAAAAUUAUUUAGUUGUGAUUUUUGGUUGUUUGUUUGUUUUUUUUGUUUUUUUUUUUUUGGUCGGGAAAAGUGAAGAGAUUCCUUAAGUUGUGAAGAGAAAAGGUGUAAGAGAUGACUCAGAAAUCCAAAUGCGGGAGAAUCACAAAGUUUUACAACUUUUGCAUUACACGUUGGCUUUUGGAUUUACACGAACUAGAAAUGGUCCAGAUCCAAAUCCAAUCCAAUCAUGGGCCCAAACUAAUUGGGUUCGGGUUUAAAUUAUUUCGAGUUUAAUCUGAGUUACAUCCGAGUUAAGGGUCUGUUUGGUCUCGCUGAAGGAUUCAGUAUCAUUUGAGAAAGUACUAACUCAGUAGUAGUACUAUUAUGAGAAAUACUAUAUGCAGCAGUAAAACUAAGAGCCCGUUUGUUUUGGUGUAAGUAGAGUGAUGGAACUCAAGUUCCAUCACUUUCGUUAUUUGUUUUGAUGUAAGUGAAAAAUAUAAUGUAACUCAAGUUACGUUAGAGCUCCACUUCACCUACUCUCGACUUCCUCCUCUAAAGUGUCGAACUCGACUUUCACUACACUCAACCUCCUCUAAAAAAUUUAUUAAACAGUAAAACCUAAACUUUACUUUCUUUAUAAUGAGUUAGAAUUACCUUAUUUAUAAUAAAUUAGAAUUAUCUUUAAAUAAUAAAAAAAAAAUUAAUUAUAUAAUAGAUUAAAUUUUAUAGUGGUAAAUUUACUACUAUAUUUAGGAUAUAAUGAGAUCCACUUACUUACAUCAAAACAAACAACGGAACUCAAAACACUAAUUUUAUCAGCACCAAGUUACGUCAAAACAAACAACAGAAGUGAUUGAAUUUAACUUUCAAGCGGUACGAGUUACGUCAAAAUAAACAACAAAAAAAUAAUCAUACUUCAGAAAAACUCAAACACCACUACACUUGACUUAUGUUGAAUCUAUAAGUACGUCAAUCCAAAGAGAAACUAAAUUGUAACUUUUGAAUCUCUAUUAUUGCUUCACGGCGAAGUCGCAAUGUGGAGAUAGUACAGAGAUAUAUAUAGUACCCAUGCAUUUGACCUUUGUUUGUUUUUUUUGUUUUUUUUGUUUUUUUUUGUUUUUUGGGGUUCUUUGUUGCUAAGACACAACUCUGAUCCAUGAAAACGACAACAUGCCACAUAAGACCAUAGAUAGAUUGAAAUGUGAAUUAAACAAGAAAGGUAGGGAAAACUUCAAAAACCCUUCCUGUGGUUUCGUACUUUUUUAUUUCAGUACCCUGUGGUUUAAAGUGUAUCAAGUUAGUACCCUGUGGUUUCGCACUUUCUCACUUUAGUACCAUGUGGUUUUAUUUUUGUAUCAAGUUAGUACCCAGUGGUUUUUAAACCACAUGGUACUAAAGUGAAAAAGUGCGAAACCACAGAGUACUAAUUUGAUACACUUUUAACCACAUGGUACUAAAGUAAAAAAGUGCGAAACCACAGGAUACUAACUUGAUACACUUUAAACUACGGGGUACUAAAGUGAAAAAAAGUGAAACCACAUGGGGGUAUUCGAAAAUUUUCCCAAAAAGGUAUUUUGAAUUGUUGGUUAAUAAGAUUCCCCUACUCUUGUUUUUAAAUUUCUUUAGAACCUCUGGGAUAAACACUAUGAAAAUAGGAAGUUUCAUGUUUUGUAGUAACCCGCAUGUUACAGCGGGUAGAUACUGUUUAAGUAAAAAUUUGUAAAAAUAAAAUAUUAUUUUAGUAAAAAAAAAGUAAAUAUAGUUUAUAUUAUUGACAAACAUUUUUUUUAACAAAAAAACUAUAAUGAAAGAGAAUCAAUCAUUUCAAUAAAAUUAUUAAAUUUUGUUCAAAGGAAAUCACAUAUCAUGCAAAUGGAUGAUUAAAAUUAUUUUUAUAACACAAUAAUAAAAAAAAAAUUAUAUUGCAGUUAAUAUGAGCCAUGACUAAAGAAAGACCCACAAUAAUAUAUAAGACAAUUUAUAAGUAUUAUAUAUAUAUAUAUAUAUAUAAUCAAUUAAUUGACUCCGAAUAUGAAACACAACAAAGAUUCGAAUUUGCAAAUUUAAGGAAGAGGGUGGAAGACCAAAAGGUAAAGGAAAGAGGUAAAAAAAAAAAAUUUAGGCCUUAGUAAAUCUAAAGAAAAUGAGAAAAAAUAAUAAAAAAAAGCCCCACUCCUCAAAUUAAGAGGGUAGGUACAUGUAGAAUUUAGUCAUAAAGAUUAAUGUAUAGAUAUAGAUAGAUUGUUAAGAGGUUAAAAAUAUUAUUAAGUUACUAAAAGUGAGAUAUUUCACUCAACCAUAGUAAUAGGUUAAAAUGUAUAGACCUUAUCUAAACUAUAGACUAUUUUUAAUUAAUUAUUUUCAAUAUUUUAAAAUUUUAAUUUUACAAUCUAAUUUUUCAAUUUAUUUAAUUUGAAUGAGUCCACAACAUUAUGCAUCAUUUAUCUUUACAUGUAUGAUUAGUAUUAUAAUACAAUUUUUGUAUUAUAAAUUUCUUAAAAUAAUUAAUUUAUAUUUUAGCAUCAAAAUAAAACAAAUUGAAGAUGGUAUAGAAAAAUUAAAUUUUUUUAAAGACUGUAUAGCCAAUUCAAAAUGAUUCAUAAUUUAGAUAAAUUCUGUAUCCUUUUAGCAAGGUAAUAUAAGAUUUUUGACAGAAAAAUCAAACUUUCCAAAGUUACCAACACUGGUUUCAAAGUGGUGCUAUAUUUCAAGUUUUCUUUCUAAACAUUUUACCUGUUAACACAAGAACUGCAACUAAAAAUCAUAACACCAAUUUUUGUUAAACAAAGUUUGAGGAAAAUGACUUGAUUGAAAUAAAAAUUCAACUUCCGUGCAUCAAAUGCAUCACACCACAUCAAGAAAGAAAAUAAACUUAAAUAGAACAUACACAGCUGCGAAUUCCAAAUGUCGAGCAAUUUAACUUAAACAGGAUCAUUCGCUCGAGUACUAGGGUUUUCGAGUACGAAGACAAAUGUCAAAAGCACAACACAAAGCAGUUACAACAGCAGAUUCAUAAAAACUAAAAAAAGUCGUACAUUACAAAUUCUUCUAACAAAAUAAACAUGUCAUAGGAUCGAAAGUUUACCUGAGAUCUUAUUUCAAUCUGCAAAAGCACUCGAACUAAUUCGGACUUCAAUGUAUCCGACCAGUAUCGAAGAAGCUGGUCUCGUAGGGAGACUUGAGAAGUUGAAACUCCUGCAGAGGACUAACAUUGCUAUUGGCAGCGAAAGGAAUUUCUGGCUGCUGCUGAGCCAAAAGCGGUUUAUCGUGCCAGUGAUAAGCUGAAGUAGAGUUUCCCAGGUAAGAUGGUGCGGGCUGAGAAGCGCUUAUUUGGUUAGUGUCCACAAACUGGAUGAGAGAAGCCGUUCCAGGGUCUGGAGAGCCCCACGAGCUAGAUGACAGAAGAGAGAGAGCACGCUGAAGAUCCGGUGCUCCACCUAAGUUUGAAGCAGUUACAGAUGCUUCCGGACCUGUAUAAAUUACGGACAUAUGAAGCAGAGUCAACUAAAACCAAAAGCCCUCUUCGGAAUCGCUGGAGCACAGUACUUUUUUGAGUAAAAAAUUUUGAUCAAGCGCUAGCAAUUUUUUCACAAAAUAUGCCCAGGAUGGCAGCUACCCUUUGCAGACAGAAGCUUCGAAGUGUAAUUUCAGCAUCCAUCGAUGGUGAAGCUUCAGAACUAAAUUAAAAAAACACAUGGAUACUGCCAAUAUACAAUUACAGAGCGUAACUGCCCAUCUCAUUUUAAAGAAUCAGGUUCAAUUUGGCUGUCACAACUUGCUUGACUAGCAUCUACGGAAGUUUAAAUAAGGAAAGUAGACUACUGAUGACGCAUGAUCUGCAAAUAUCUUAACUAAAUGUAAUUAUGUUAAUAAGCUAAGAAAAUCAGCAAGCAAAAAGUUGAGAGUGAAUGAUCAUCCAUAGCGAAAACUUAAUGAUUGCAGUUCUCAGGUGAGAUGCAUUAGUUUUCUACUUCUAACUUCGAAUGCAAGAUUUGUAGAAACAAAACAAAUACAAAUAAUGCCUUGUUAUCUUUCUUUCCUGAUUUGGUUUUAUUUUCCUAAUGCUAUCCUCAGCAACAAUUUUCUCAUUAGCAAAAAUACCACACUAAGAAAAGAAGCAUAUCACACUGAAUCACAUAGAUGAGAUGAUCAUGGUAAAUCAGAUGAAGGUACUCUUGUGAAAGCAGUAUCGAGCCAUUGGGUAGAAGCAGAACAUAAUGGAGUUUCAUAAGUUUAACCCAACAGAAAUAUAUCACCUUGUUUGAGGACCUUGGCUACUUUACCUUUGAGAGGCAUGAGCCUGUCCACGUCAUGACAAAGAGUUGAGAAGGGGCUUGAUAGCUUCGAGUUACUCAUUUGCAGUUGUUGUCCAUCAACACCUCCUGCUUUUGUUGAUUUGAUCCAUGAUUCUUUCAUUUGCGACAGCUUGUCAGAUGAGCCUCCCCAUGCAGAGCUUGUUAGGGGUCUCAUCUGAUCUGUCGGAGGUUUACUCCACACGAAACUUAUCUGCCGUCCCUCAUCUGCACAGGCAACAAAAAUAUUAUACAAAAUCGAUCGAAAAUACAAAGUGAAAGUAUUAUCGAACAUGGUGGGAGGUCUGGGAAGUGAUUUGUGCCCCAAGAAGGAAUAUGACAUAUUGCUCAAGCAGUAGGCAUACGGCUGGUCAUUCGAUGAAUUUGAUGGCUAAAGCAGUCUUCAUGAGAAGACAAGUAUACGAAGCAACAAUGAGAUUACAGACUAGGAUAAGCCUAAUUUUGUGAAACAUAGUCCCCAAACAACUUGCCAAAUUCUUUGAGUAACAGUAUAUCGCUUACCAAGAUAGGUAUUACCUUCUAUCUGUGAACAAGUGAAUGAUGUAUCAAUCACCAAGGAAGGUAAUAAAUGAUAAUUUCCCUAUCUGCGAUGCACAAGUAGUUAUCCUACAAGUAAAUUAAUUUUCUGAAAACAAUGACAAGUGGAAAUAGGACGAAAAGGAGAUCCUGCUUCUAAACAGAUUUAAACAUGAAGAGAUGACAGCCUGAAUUUCUUCUAAAGAUUAGCGAACAUAAUAAUAGAACCAAGAGUAUUUUUACGUCAAAACAAAAUGAUGAAAGACUAAUAUUAAUAGGAAGAAAAAAUAUGGCAAAUAAGAAAAUUAGUUUUACAGUAUUUACCUUAGUUAUUUCAUAAAAAGCAGAUAUUAUAUCCAAUCUUUAACAAAUAUUAUAUCCAAUCUUUAACAAGUUAAUGAAAACUAAACAUAAAAUUUUUUACAUAUUUACUCCAACAUGUCUUAUACUUUGCUAAAUUGUUUGCAAGAAAUUAGAAGAACCACUACAUGCCUACCAGAAUGAAUAAGUACCUAAAAUGUUACUUUUAGUUAUUAAUAGGUUAUUUUGGUCAAGUAAUAUGUGAGCCACAAGAUAGGCCAAGAGAGUUAGUCAAUAGGUAUAAUGGUAAACCAAGAAAGUAUCGAGGACGAUGUAUACACACAAAUAACAAGGAAAAACAAACUGGCUUAGGCAUCAAAGAAAAAACAAAAAGCAAGCAUUAAAUUUGAAGGUACAAAGUUCUAUCACACAACAGAGUACAAAAUAAGAAACUAAUACACUUGUAAAAUGACAUACUACUACAUUGAGAAGUAAAAUUUUGCCCAUUUCUUAGAGAAGUUGUAAAAGCUCGUUUAGAAAUAUUAAUUAAACUGAUCUAGAUCACAUCAUAAUGGAGGACAUCUCAAGAGAACAACGGCUAUAGCAGCAUGACAAAUCUCAUACUUCAUAUAGUAACAAAACAAGUGUUUGUAACAAUAAGAAGCCAAUAGAAACAAUCGUUUUAAUAGCAAAAAAGAUCCAUGAGAUACAACUACAAAAUUUACCAUAAAAUGAAGAAGAAAGCCUCGAAGAACUAAAUGAGAACGCCACGGGCUGUGGCUUACGGCGACGUGCAUUAUGAUCAGACAGACGUCUGCGACAGCUCCUCUUCUUCUGAUCAAACUCCGACAAAGCAUGGAACCUUAAACAAUACCGGAAAGAUAAUCGUCAUAUCAGAUAUAUGUAGGAAACUAUAAGAUGUAACUAUGCAAACAUUCUAAAUAUCAUGUGGAUUUGAACUGUUCGGCCCAGUAGAAGGUUCUACAAAAGUCCUAUUGAAUUAAAUAUGUUCGAAGAAGUACUAUCGCCUAGUUGACCCGGCUUCUCAAACACCACCUCUGCUCAAUAGGCAAAAGUUAGAUGUUUGACAGACAAUUAUGGAGCUCCUUGCUACUGCGAGAUGCCGAAGCUAACAUUUAAGCCUCAAAAGCAAAAACUCCGAUUUAGAGCUUCUGCUUCUAUUUUUUGUACAAAGAUACUCAUACUGCACUUCUGCAAAAGCUCCAGUGAGGCCAAACCAGCCUCCUGCCGUAGCUAGAAGUAGAAACACCAGAUUACAAGAGCCAAACCAGAGCUUCUGCCGGCCGUAAGCUCAUUUUAAUAGCCAACCACAGCCAGACGCACCCAACUACUGCUUCUUCAGCAGAGAAGCUACUCACUCAAUCAACGCCGAAUUACUCCCUAAAACCACUUCCGGAAAAGAACCACACCUGCUGCAUUGCUGACAAAACCGGCGCUCCAGGCCGUUGACAGUAACCUUAGGACAUUUGGAAUGGCUCUCGCAAACCCUAUGCUUCCGGUGGUAAUCCUUCGCCGAGCUGAGAUCGAUAUUACAGCCCUCUACCUGACAGAAACUACUCAAAGCGCUCGCCUGCGACACCUUCGCCUUCUUUAAAGCGGCGGCGGCUGCUGCGGCCGCCGCCGAAGACGACGACGACGACUGUGAUGCAUCCUCAAAGUAAGUCCUUUUCCCCAAUCUCAACCCAAUCGCCGCCACCCCAGCCCCCGCCCCCGCCGCAGGCGCCGCCGCCGUGUUCUUCGCGGUCGGCGAGAUCGCCGGCUCCUUCUUAAGCGUCGGAUCCACAACCGACGACGACGAUCCCCCGGAGGAGUAGAUAGACCCAUCGUCGAUCCUCUGCUGCGCCGCCGCCGCCGCCUCCUCCGCCGCCGCCGCCACUGGGUUAUCCCAAUCCCAAAGCAACGGGGUCUUCGCGCUCCACUCCAUCCUCAAUCCAGCAUACAGUAAAAUUCGCAGCAACUAUCGAGAUCUAGCUAGGGUUUCGCAGAUCCACUUCGGAGAAACCCCAAAUCCGCGGCCAAAUCACCCCGAAAACGCCCCGAAAACCCCGAUCGAAAGGCUAAAAAAUCCCAACUUUUUUAAACCUUCUACAAUCAAAAAAAGAAAAAAGUAAAAAGAGUCAACGGCGGGAGUAAGCAGCCCAAAACAAAAUCGAAAAAGAAUUUGGAAAAAAAAAAAAAAAAAAAGUAGGAUUGAGAUGGAGAGUGAUGGGGGAUUUGAAGGUGGAGAGCGAGGAGGGACAAACCCUAGAAGGGAUUUGGGGAGAGAGAGGAGCGCUUUUUGGGUAUCAUCAUGAUUUGGGACAAAAAAUGUGUGUGUGAGAGAGAGAGAGAGAGAGAGAGAGAGGGGGUGGGGUGUGUGCGCACACAAAUGAAUGAGGAGAUGAUGAGGAGAAGAGAUGGGGGGAUUGGGGGGAUAAAAAAAGAGAAAAUAAUAAUAUUUAAAAAAAUUUAGAAUGUGUCACUCACAUACACUAAUUAAUUUUUUUUUAGCUCGAUCAAUUAAAUUUACUCGUCACAUUAUAAAUUUAUAAAACAAAUUAUUAUAUAUUUUUUAAAAAAAUACUAAAUUAGUUCAAUAUAACUGAUGUGGUGCGACUGUUAUUAUACAUAUAUAGUUUUCUCGUAGAGGAGAGGAGAGCGUGAGAUACGGAAUAUCCCCGCACCAAUCUCUUUCUAGGGUUCCACUCACUGAGUCAUUCACCACCCACAUACCCAUGAAUCUCUCUAUCUUCUUCCUUUUUCUUUUUUUUUUCUUUUCUUUUUUUUUUUGGCUAUAUUGUGCUUUUGGUCCUCAAAUUAUGAGUCAUCGUGUGACAAUUUGAUCAUUAAAUUUUAAUUUAUUAUAGUUUAUAAGUUGAUUUUUUAAAUUAUUACAGUGAAGUUUUAUGGUCGAAUUUAGUUGGUUAAAUAUUGAUAUAUUACUGAUGUAAAAAUAAUAUAACAGUAUUGUAAUUGAUGAUGCGAUAGUAAUUAACAUGUUGCAUCACUUUCGUAUUAGCGACACAAUAAUAUUUGGUCAAUUAAAUAAGAUUGUAGGAUCUGAAUGCAACAAAUUAUAAAAUUCAACUAAAAAAUUAUAAUAUAUUAAAGUUUGAGAACUAAAAUGUCAGGCGCUCAAAAAUUGAGGACCAAAAGUGUAAUUAAGCCCCUUUUUUUUAUAUACUUUAACUUCCUCUCUCUCUUCCCUCACCCAAAAAUAUCGUAAGUUCUAGUACAGGAAGCGUAUCUUACAUUCUAUUUUUAGCAUUUAAAAAUUUAAAAAAAAAUAAAAAAUUGAUGAGACUAGUAAUUAAGUAAAUUUAAAUCCUUCAAAGCUUACGAUAUGCCAUUUACAUCCAAAUUAUAGGUGUACAAGUAGUAUUACUCAAAACAAAAAAAAAAAAAAAAAAUUGUUGAUUGUUGAUUAUACUAGUAUGAUUAUAUACCACACCCCAUAGAUGGAAUUACCACUCCCAUGCAUAACAGGAAAAAAAAAAAAAUCCAAUUUUAGUAAUUCUUACCAAUUAUGAUACCUUAAAUUAUAAAUUUAAAAUUUUGAUCAACAAUCAUAGACUGAACAAAACAAAGCUAUAUUAAAAUGAGUUUAAUAAUGUAAGUAAACAUAUUAUGUUCUUAAGCUUGACUUGUACUUCUCUCUCUUCUUAUAAUUUAUUACUCAUAUAAACCUUAAUAUUCACCUAUUUAUUAGAUUCAUUGACCUUUUUAUCAUAUAUGUGGGUAAAUACUUACAUAUAUACAUUCUACGCAAGGCAGUGUAACGACUACCAAUCGCAUUUUAUAUUUCAAUUCUUAUUAUUUUAUCUGCGAUGAUAAUUUUAUUUAAAAUAUAAAUUAAAUUAUUGAGACCUAAUGGAUGGUUAAUCAGUCAUAACUCAUACAUCAAAUUAGACCAAACUAAAUGUUUCUAUUCAUCUAAUUAUUGCUCUAUUUGCGUCACUAUCCAUUGAACUUUUUUGCUCAUUUAUUUAUAAAAGGGUCUCUCUCUCUCUCUCUCUCUCUCUCUCUCUCUCUUUCUCGACAAUGCUAUCUGUAAAUUUUAUUAUAGAGCGUAAAUUUUAUUCUCCAUCAUUUAAAAAUUUAAUUUUUUUAAAAAAAUUAGUAAUAAAAAAAAUUAUGAGACAAAUGAGUAAAACUAGGCUAUGAAUAAUUUAGGAUGUACAAUUUAUACAUAUAUUGAGUCCGGCCUUUACGAGUAUGAUCACUUUCACACUUAUAAGUCAUUUUCGAUGAUAGAGUUUUUGAAUCGGUGAUUCAUAUUAUUAAAUAUGAUUUAGAAUAUUUAAAAUUUUUAGAAAUUAAAUAUUAUAAUUUUUCGAUAUUAUUUGCCUUACAAUCAAAAGAUUUUAAAAUUAAUCAUUUUUAACGGCUGACAUGUGAUACUUACUAAUUUAAUAGUGUAAAAGAAUCGAAAUUGGUUGAAUUUUUAAUACAAAAUUUUAUUCAGCAUCUAUAUAAAGAUCAAUAACUCUGAUCUUACAUUGAAGGAUUCGAUUAUUCAUUUUUAGGGCAUCUUUCAAUUUUGACUAUUUAUUUUAUGCAUGUUUGAUAGAUCUUAUUAUGAUUUUGAAAAAUUACAUUUUUUUUUUUUAGAAGUUUCAAACACUCAAUAUCAUAAUUAACAUAAUUGAUCGUUAAUUCAGAAGCUUCAUCAUCGAAAACAACUUAUGAGUACGAAAAGGUCUAUACAAAUAAGAGUAUAAUAGCGCACUAGCACUGCUCUACAUAUAUUAUAGAUUUAUACAUUGCAUUGUUUUUUUUUUUUUGUUGGAUGUUUUCAAGAUCCUUUCACUAAUAAAAUAAAACACUAACUUAAGAUCAUUACCCUUUUGUUGACAUGUGAAAGCUUAACAUUGAUUGAAGAUCACCCACACAUCACUUGAUCUUUUUAUUUAUUUUAAUAUGAAACAAAACUUGCGUGGAUUUGAUCAAAAUUGUCGGUUGCCCAGUUGUCCUAUUUUUUAAAAGUGAAAUACACAAUUAAGGGGAAAAAAAAAAUCAUUAUAGGGGUAGGUCUCACUACCAUAAAAAUAUGACAAAGAAGUGGUAAGAAUAUAAAAGUAUAACAAUUAUGAGAUGGGACUUAAACAAUUAUGGUAUUAGAUCACAGUCACAAACGUUUUGUUUCAAAAAAAAAAAAAAAAAAAAAAAAAAAAAAAGAGAAUGGUGAUCCACUCAACCAUAAAGCCAUUUUGAAAUGGCCCAAAACUUUUUAUAAUGUUAAUUCAUUUAGUGUUUAAUCUGUUGAAUUAAUUUUCUUAUUAUUCUUUAUUAAUAAUUAACAGCUAACUUAGUAACUAUUUUAUUAAUUCGCACGCUCUUAAAUCUCAGAUACUGUAAAACAUUUCUUAUGGUUUAAAAUUGAAACGAAAUCCAAGUUGUAUAGUAUAAAAUUGAAUAUUUUGUUCCUAGAUAUAAAAAUAUGUUCUUAUAAUAGUAAUUUAUUAGUUAGGUACAUAUCAAAAUCAUUCUAUAAACAAACUAAUUAAAGAUUUUUUUUUUUUAUUUUUUCCAAGAUACUUUGCAGUGUUACCUCCUUUCUCAUUCUCACAUUCAUUCUUUUUCUUUCUUUCCUUUUUUUUUUUUUUCCACCCCACCUUUUCCUGAGCUUUUUUGACCAUCCUCAGUGGCAACUCAGAUCUUAUUGAGAUUUGCAUGGGCAUGCAUUAUGUUCUCCCAAAAGUAAAUAGUGAAAAAAAAAAAAAAGGAUCAGGUAUUGUUCACAAGUACUGAGAAAUCAUAACUUUUCGAUAAAUAAGUGUUAUAAAAUGUCAUAACAUAACAUUUAAUUAACCGCCAAAUCUUCUUAUUCACAUUUUCGAUUGAGCUUAUUUCUAAAUAAAUGAACGAAUCAAAUAGUAUGCUAUUUUUUUCUAAAAAAAAAAAUUAUUUCAACUAUACUGAAAGUGUGAAACAAUUAAGAUGCACUAUCUGCCUAUCAUGUUUACUUGUCUGUCUUAAUACAUAUAAUUCUGCAGCUCAUCAGCAGCAUCUUGACAUGCACUAUUUAGAUUGACUUGUACAGAUAAACCCCUAUCACAGAUGAGCUAUGAGAUUAGUCGUGUGCUCAAAAAAUUUUGUACACGGAGUUGUAGACAAACUCCGCCCUGUUUCUCUUUGACCUGCUCUGAUGGAUCUUGUUGAGCUCGAGUGCACCAAAAGGGUCGUACAGUUUCCACUAAAUCCAACCUAGAUAUGACCUAACACGACCCACAAGUACGACUCUCUGGAGCAUGAUCUUGUAUUAUAUCUUAUUGAACUUGUGCUAGAAAAGCAGUUCACUUCUGAAAAAAACAAGUGGCCUAUAAUUUACGGUGCGAUGCACCACUAUUUUGAGCAGUGUGUUGAUAACUUUAUCACCAGACGAAAGAGAUUUCGAGCUUAUAUUUUACAGAAACAAGUGCAUGUUAAAACCGUAUAGUCUUUUUGAUUGAAAUACGAAGGUGCAUUGGCGAAUUUUAUAAGUUUGUAAGUGGGACGGUGCGAUUACCCUAGAGAAGCGAUUUUUUAAACAGAUAAAUGGAUGUAAAUCGAGGUAUUCUAUUUGACAGUUGUAUUUUCAACUACAUGCAAUUUUGGACGGCUACCUAGUCUCCGCCUUCAUCUUUAGGUUCAAUUGCCGUAUUUGUACUGCAAACUAAACAGAAUUUUUAGACUCUUGUUGACGCAAAAUUUUGGUCGUCGGAUUGUCUUAGCAGUUUAGUAUUUGGCAAGAAAUAAUCAUCACGGAGUUUUUAGGAUACGAUCAAAAUUUCUAGGAUUCAAAUUUCAAAUGAGAUUUAGCAUUUGCAGCAGUCACGGAGUUUUUAACAUCUCUGGCGAAGCAUUUGCAGCAGUGCAUUUUUGUUAAAAUAUAUCGUGAAGCCAAUAGGGCCGCUGAUUAUUUAGCAAGUCAUGCACUUAAUUCAAGAAGUAAACUGGCUUUUGAUCCUACAAGUGACCUUCCCAUAGACUUUGUUAGGAUACUUUUUGAAGACUUUGCAGGUAGAGUCUUUUUGCACAAAGUGUAAUCGGUUUUUGCUUUUAACAAAUUAGCCUGUUGGCUCUUUUGACCAAAAAAAAAAAAAAAAAAAAAAAUCAAAUGAGAUUCCGACUUAUCAGAAGAGUCGGAUUCUAAUUAGAGAAAGGAACUCCCCUUCAACAAAAAUAAUUAUAUAUCUAACAAUUCUCAAGCAAUUUAGGAGUAGUAGUAGCUUUUGUAUUCAAGUAAUAGUUUCGAUAGGUUUAGUUUCGGCAGUUUCCUAUAGUAAUAGUUUCAAUAGGUUUAGUAGUAGUAGUUUCUACAGUAAUAAUUUCGACAGUUGAUUCACAUUUCCAGCUAAGUUUAUUUCUAAAUGAAAUAAACGAAGCGGGUAGCGUGCUACCUAUCUCUCUUAAAAAAAAAAAAAAAAAUUCCGACAAUUUCUCUUCCAGGAAUUUCAGCUAUUUUGUAAGAUUAGGCCGAGAUUUCGAAUUUUUAGGGCAUUUCAACUUCAAAGAAGCGACGAUGGAAUCCAAAUCAUCCAAGUUCGACCUGUUUCAAGUGGUCAAAUAUACGUGCUCUGAGAAGGUCAAAUCCUAACGGAGAACCCGAGCCAAAAAACAUGCAUUCCCAACUCUCCAUCCAUUAUAGUCAUUUGCUUAUCUAUAUAUAUAUAUAUAUCUAUACCUAUACAUUAUUUCUUCUAAAUUUAUCACAUGAUAACAUUCUCUUUAUUGUUCAGUGUGGGCUCCAUCUAGAACCGGUUCAAAUUCUUUCUCUUUCUUUGCUUAAACUGAAUCGAUCGUUAUUGAGCAUGGGCGUUCCUCCGAACCUUCUCAAGUUUUUUCACAUAUUUUUCUCUUUCUUUAUUUGAACCAAAUCCGGUUUCUCUCUUUCUCUGCUUGAACCAAAUCAAGUCAACUUAUUGCAUUGGACCGAACCGACCCACCUGCUCCACAUGUUUUUAUCUUUGACCCGAAUUUUUCUCUUUUUUAUUUGAACCGAAUCGAUCACUAUCGAGUGUGAGCUCCACCCCGAACUGGCUGAAGUUUUCUUCUUUCUUUUCUUGAACCGAACCGGAUUUUCUUUUUCUUUUUCUUUUUUUUUUUGUACCGAGCCGAAUCACACUUCUAUAUUAGGCUGAACUAUUCUUAUUUCUCUUCCUUUAGCUGUUACUUUCGUUCAUCAGUAAGAUGACUCCCAUCCCUCAUCAUCGCUUCUUUUAUCGCCAUUUUCUCUUUUUUUAUCGUUAUUUUUUAUUUUUUCUCCAAUUAUCUACACGUCAUGGGUUAUUUAUUUAUUUAUUUAUUUGGCUCAAUAGCUUGCUUUUACAAAUUGCAAAUUAACAUAGGAAGAACUAAAUAGUCCCUUUUAGUUCAAACAAGCAUUAAUUGUAACAGUUAAUGGCUUACCCUACUUAGAUCCGAAUCCGACCCAUUAUCAUUUUUUUUUUUUUUUAACUUCACCAUUACACGAAAAGGGCCUUUUACUUACCUCCUACUCCCCAGACCCCAAGGAUCCAUUUUUUUUUAUUUUAAUUAUAAAUUCCUCGAGCCUAGGCGUUUCCUACUCAUUUAAUUUAACACAUUAAUAAAAAAAAAAAAAAAACACAACUAACACCACAAGAGAGACACAAGAAUCUUUGACCCAAAAAGGAGAGUGGGGGGUGGCAAGAUAUGAAUCUUUUUUUUUAUAUUUUUUAAAAUUUUUUUAAAUUUUUUUUUAACUCUUCAUUACAGAGCACGUAAAGUGUAAGUUAACGGCGUAUAUUUUAGCUUUGAACCAAAAAGGAUACAAAGCCACUAAAGUGUUUGAGAUGUGUUCUCUCUCAAUCAUUUCCUCCACCAAAGGUGGAGUUACAAACAGGAGCUAAUAAUGAAAAUUGAUAUUGCCCAAGUACUUGGUAGUAAACCUAACUAUGAUUUGAAUACUUUUACUGUGACAAUAAUAAAAAUUACUUUAAUAAUAUUAAGUUUUUAUUAAUAAUUGGGUCAGAAUCUGAUCAUAAGGGUGAGUGAACCAAAUGGGAUCUGAAAUUUUUAUCCAGAUUUUUUUAUUUUUUUUUUGGAAAAAGAGUAGUACGCUACCUGCUUCCUUCAUUUAAAAAAUAAAUUUAACUACAGAGGUUGAGGCAAUAUAACCUCCAAAAAUACAAAUGAAAGUAAAGAGAAAAAAAUCGUAGAGAAUUUGCUAAUUCUACUCCUCACUCAAGACUAAGUCACUAAGAGCUGCAAGACUCAGCUCAUUUCUGGCUCACUUUCCGGAUUCGUUUAAUUGUCAAAAAAGGGUCAAAUGAUUGAUUCCUAAAAAUUAUGUCAUUUCUUUCCCGCCAGAUCAUUUACCAACAUGUUGCGAUCGUGAUUAGAUCCCUCACUGUUGCCCAUCAGGGACGGUCCCCAACCAGAAGCUCCUAGACACCCCUGACCUCCAUCCCAGGUUUUGGGAUGAUGUUGAAUAUUAAAAAUCUGCUGAUUACGCAUCCAACAAGCAGAUGAUCAAUAAUCUCAACAUCGUUGCCGCACAUCACAUACUGUUGAUUCUCGGAUCGGCCUCUUUUGAGUAAGUUGUCAAACGUAGAUAGGCAUUUCUUAAGUACUAACCAAAUAAAAAUUCUAACUUUAGAUGGUAUUUUCAACUCCCAAACCUUCGGCGAAAGAAAAUCUCGUACUUCCCUAUCUCGGAUCAGUACAUAUAUAGACUGAACGGUAAAACACCUUCCAGCAAUUGGAUCACCAUGGUAACUUUGUGGUUAAGGUUGGAUUUAGAAUUUAGGUCGGAGAUAAUUAGAAAUAAGUUGGGGUUUUGGGCUGUGCUUGUAUAUGUUGCUAAAUACGUAUAGUGUAGUGUUGUUUAAUAAAAUAUUAUUUAAAAAAAUAUAAUUACGAGAAGCAGAGUAUAGAAUAUUAGGAUAACUCCUCUUACUGGUAAGAUAUGGUUCAGAUAUAAGCUUCUGUUUCAGAUUAUCCAAAUAUUAUUUUUGUUACCUUCCUGUUACAAAAGCUCCAGAAUUUUCGGAUUAUCAACCUGAAGUAGAAAUUGAAGCAGAACCAACGAGACUCUUAAAGGGCGUUUUGUUUCGCCUAAAUAAUACCAAAAAAAUAAUCUUCUGGCUGAAAAAAAAAUAUUUUCCGUUCGUUUAAUUCCUAGAGAAGUUAAUUAUUCUCAAAAUUUUCAAAAAAAAUAAAAACUAUGUAAAGAUACAUUUUUCAUAAAAAAGAAUCUUAAUUCUUGGAAAAUAAUUUUUCACGCUUUUAUGAGAAACCGAACGCCCCCUUACAUAAAAGAAAAAAAGGCAAGAUCAUUUCUUCAAGAAGGUGCUAACCUACACCUGACCAUUUACAUAAAUUAAUCAAACCAAAAUUGAAAGUGACUAUUUACAUAAAUUAAUUAAAACCAAUUCGAUCCCACUUGCGUGUUUAUAGGUCUGGGUAGAGACCCAACCACUAUCAUGAAUGAUUGAAGCCAAGGAGAAAAUGGAAGUACACUAGGAAAGAAAAAAAGGAGAAAGAAAAAGAUAGUGUGAUAGAGACAGGGUUUAUAUAUAUGAUAAUAUUUUAUAUAUAUAUAUAUAUAUAUAUGAUAUGAUCUACAUGAGCUUAAGUUUAAGUUAGCUUUGAGCUCUUACUGUGGUGUGAAAUAUCAUAGAAUUAUUUAAUUUCCUUUAUGAAGCCUCAUGAUGCUACUUUGAUGCCCCACAACCUGAAAAUAAAUGCAUAUAUGGAAGCAUAGUGAUCAGUGGAACAAUGAUGGAGGAAUAGUGAGGCUACAGAGCCUUGGAUUUGAAAUGGUGAGAAAAUUAUUGGUUAUAAUAAUAUAAAAGGAGUUGGGUAACUAGAAGUGCAUGAUUGAUUCUUAUGCAAAGGUAAUACACCAUGUCACUCACAGAAUAAAAAGAUAUGCUAAUAUAUAUUAGGGUUAAUUGCAUACAGGUCCCCGCAAACAUAGUGAAUUAUAAAUAUAUCCCUAUAAAGUUCAACUUUUAAUAAAUUAUCCCUACAAAAGUCCUAACGUUUUCAGAUAUGUCCCUUUGGUUUGUUACCGUUAGAGAAUCGUUAGAAAACUGUUUAUAUUUUCAAUUUUGCCAUCACAAAUACGUCCCUCCAAAAGUUAUAACAGUAUAACAUAAGAGGGGUAAAAAUAUCAAAAAUUAAUCCGGAUAAAGUAUUUAACCUAUGAUUAACUAAACUUUUCUCACGGAUUCUAACGGCUGGGAUAUAUAUAUGAAAACAUUAGAACUUUUACAGGAAUAACUUAUAAAAGUUGAACUUUAUAAAGAUAUAUCUGUAAUUUACUAUAUUUAUGGGGACCUAUAUGCAAUUGACCCUUGGGGCUUAUUUGGAUGCAUUUUGAAUAUUUCCUUCAACAUAUAUUUUUAGUUUAUUGAAACAAGGAUAUAUUACUUGGUUGAAGAAUCCCGCUGCUAUACUAUUAAAAGUAUGAAGCCCUUCGUGCUAUAAUAUUAUUUUCGAUGAUGGAACAUCCAACUCGGCGAUUAGUUCCGCUAAACUUGAUCUUCACUAUUAAAAAUAUUUAAAAAUCAAAUUUUCUAAUUUUUCGACAUUAUUUAUCUAUAGAAUGAAUAGACUCAAAAUAAACAAAAUAAAAAUACCCUAAAAAAUAAUGAUAAAAUAUUUAAAUUUCAGAUCAGAGUAUUCGUCUUGCUCUAAAUAGUAAAAUAAAAAAAUUCUGUCAAAAUUCACUGGAUUUAGAUUGUAUCGUACCAUCAAAAUUACCAAUACAUCACAUUGGCUAUUAAAAUUAUUAAUUUUGAAUCAAAUGAUGAUGAAAAAAAAAAAAAAAGAAUUCUAAAUACUUCCACUAUCAUAGGAUUGUCGAUUCAGAUAUCACAUCAUCAAAAAUAAUUUCAUAAAACGAUAACCUCCAUACUAUUAAUAGUCCUGUAGCCCAGUUUUUUGAAAAAUAUCUACAUCAGCAUAAUAUAUACAACAUCCCAAUCCUUUUUCUCCCUGUAUAAUUAAGCAAAGUUGGCUUGUGAGGGUUAAGGUCAAAAUCUCAACUUACAAUUAUGGUAAAAAGUCGAUACCACAAAUAUUAUCACUGAAUAACUUAUUUCAACAUCAAGCCAAGCCCUUGUAAGAUGUGGGUUUAAAAUAAGCCACAACAUCUUAGCAUAUGACCCUAGAUCAUUACCUAAUGGCAUAGAAAUUAGAAAACAACUCCACAAGCUACAAUGGUAAUAAAUAUUAGUGAGGCAUAAAGGCUACAGGGGGAGCUAGCAUCAUGUGCAACAUAGAUAAAAAUUCACAAGUACAAACAGUUCAUGAGAACAUUUGUAUGGUGUAGCUUAACCAAGAAUAUCUUAAAGAACCUUCAAACUACAGGAAGAAGUUAAAAAGUAGGCGCCCCAUGUCAUAUGAGAGCAAUUAGGGCACCUCGGCGACGACACUUAGCCGAUAACCUCAUUUGCUUUUGCCUUUAAAAAAAAAAAGGCUUGUGCAGGUGUAAAAAAGCAAAAAAGCAAGACUAAUGACAUUAGUUAUGUCUCCACUUUUAGAAGAACCUAAUCCUAACACACAAAGGACGGGAGAGCCUUUAAUUUAAGUCCCUAACAUGAUUACCACUGUAUGUGGAGACUAUGAUGAGCAUCAAGUACCAAGAGAAUGUCUUUGGCUAAAAAAAAGGCCAUUGUGUUUGUAUUAAUGCUCAUGCAUGCCUAAUUCCUCAUCAUUUGGCCUAAUGGGGCCAUUAACAAAUCCUUAUUAUGGGAAUUAUGGAAAGUUCAGUUAAGUGAUAUCUCUUUAUGAGCCCCCCUAUAAAGAUGGUGAGUAGGGUACACCUGCAAUACCAAAAUAUUGUUUAGUUUCUGUAUGUACAGUGAACUAAUAUAAGCAUCAGGAUUGGGAUUAUAUUUGCAUGUCUCAGUGAUACAGUGCUUAUUUUUAAGAAUACGAAUGCAUUUAGGAGUGUGACAUGGUGAAGACGCAAUAAUUAUGUUGCAGUGUGGAAGUAGAUUUAGGCCAAGGUAAGAAUCUCAACUAACACAGAAGCAAGAAUUAGCGUAGGACAUGCAGAUAGAACCAAGAGAAUAACAAUGAUGCAAAAGACAGAAUAAAAACUUGCACUAGGUAACUGAAAAAGGAGAACAUGAAAAACUGAGCAUAUAUGCUUUCUUCAGAUGAUCUGUAAAAACCCAAAACCAAUCUGUCAACAUAGUCAGAUCUAUAUUUCAAUGAGACGAGGAAAAAAACAUCCUCUCUAUUCAACCUUUCUACUAGAGAUUCUUAGAACUCAUAGAAUUUGCCAAAAUGACAACAAAAAGGUCAUAACAUGACAUAAUCUAGGAGAACAGUGGGAAGUCAUAAGAGUGAUUGCAGGUGAUAGAACUUGGACCAGAGAAAUCGUUUAGCUCCAUCUUGAUGCAUGCAAAUGACAAAUAUUGACUCUGGUCAGUACAUUCUUCAUCCUGAUACAUAGAAUCGAAUGGAAUUACAAUUUAUUAAUAUACUGGGCAUGCUCGGAUGAACUCUAUCUGCCGCGAAAUUACAAAAUAUUUCUCUUUGACAUAUAAGAGAAAAAAUGAAAAAUGAGACAAUAGGAACAUACGUAUUAGAGUACCUGCCAAAGGAUAAAUGAAGGCAACAGCUUGUUUCUAAUUUAGUUCGAUACGAAUUGGAUAUCCAAGGCUCUCACUCUUUAGCUUGUAAAAGAUAGCAUAUAAGGAAGAUAAACAUACAUGUAGCACGAUCUCCAUCCAGUGAUUCUCCAGGUGAAAGGAACAUAUGCCAAAAAAACACAUAUUAGUGACGCUUCAUUUCCCGAAAAAUAUUUGCCACGUUUGGAGACAACCUUGGAAGGAACUUGAAUAACUGCAAAAAGAAGACAAAAUAGUUAGCAUAGAUAAUCUAAAAAGGCAUUAACUAGUAUGCAACAUUGUGGGUUUCUCUGAUGGAGUAUUUGGAGACAAUCCUAAGAUUCAACAGUUUUACAUGAAGUGGUUACUUUUAAGACUUCAAAGGAAAAACAGGGACUAAAAUAUAGGAUGUUAAUAUUGAACAGCUAUUAGCCCAUAUACUCAUAUCUAGACAAACCACUAUGUAAACAAUGUCAAAAGUUACUCAUUAAGUAUCGUACUUUUAACUGAACGAAUGGGUAGUAAACUGGUCUGGUCGAAAUGCAUGUUCAGUUUAAUCAUGCUAAGUUUCAGUAAAGAAAGUAUCAUACACCUGAAACAGCACUUACCCAAAACUUCACACAAGCAUCAAUAACCACUGGAACUGAGCAGAUAAAAACGGUAAUCGCAGCUUGAUCAACCUCAAGCCCAUAUCUCUCAAGGAUAAUUUCUAUCAACACCUGCCAACCCGACUCAGAAUGGUACCUGCAUUUCCAGAGUCAAAUAAUAGAGAUUAUCAUAAAGAAAAUAAUAUAUUUGCAUAGUAACCGCUACAAAAUUCUUUACAAUAUACUGCAAUAUCUGAAUUUUCAUUUACACCCUUCGAAGAAUUAUAUUCGCAUAUACAUAUCCUCGAGCUUAUAAAAAUUCCCCUUAUAUUUCUUCAGUGCUGCUUUGCAUGUGGUCGGAUAAUCUGUAUAUUUCUCUAAUCAGAUAUUAUCUUCCAAUUGCCAUUUAUAACAGGAAAUCUUAGAUGAUGCCUGCAAAGAUUCAGAUAACAUACCCCAAAAAAAUGUCCGUAAUUAGAAUGAUAAGAAAUGCCUUUCCGGUGUCUGAAAUAUUAUUUAAUAGCUUAUACCCUGUAAACUUGAGCAAAGCAACCUGAAAAUAGAAAAGAAAGCAAAAGAAUAAAUGAGCUGGCUGAGGAUUCAAAUAUAACAUUAAUUGCAAGGACUACGAAGCGUUUUUCACUAUAUACUAUAAAGCUUAUACAAUGUAGAGACGAUACAAUCUUUACUAAGUUCAGAAAUCAGGUGCAAAAGCAUAAAUGUUGACCAAAUUACAGUUUCCUAUUAUCUGAUGAUCAAUUAUCAGCAUAUUUUUCUUUGGUAUUAAUACAUUAGAUAAUUGUUGAGAGGAUAGUAAUAGUCCAAUUGCUAACAGUAUCUUACUCUGCUAUAUUACCAAAAAGGAAUUUUUAACAUGCAAAUUCUGGGGGAAACAAGAGUAACUGUAAACAAAAAACAAAAAGAAAAAAGAAGGUUGGCAAGUAUUAGAUGGAAGUCUUACCUUGCUCUGAUUGAAAUAAAUAAGAAUAAACAGUGCAAUGCCAUACACCAUAUCGGACCAGAUAUUUGCAAAUGCUUUUCGGUUCUCCAAUCUCCAUUCAUCUCUCAACUCUAUCCUGAUAAAGAGGUAGAACAGAGCACAAGGUUAAGAACGAUCUAGAGAGGUAAAUCUAAUUAGGCAUGACAUAUCAACUUAAAUUCAAAAGAAAAAUGAUAGCAGCAAAGAGGGCAUGAAAUUUAUUAUACCAACCCAUAUCUAACAAACAUGUAUGAAAACAUAUAAAAUAGGUAACUAUUAAUAAUAGCGUUUUGAUAACAAUGUACAGAGACCCCUUUAUAGGUUAUUUUGAAAUAGACGGGCCAUUUUCCUUUUUGAUGGAUAUCUCACUCAGCUGUUAUUGUUUUAAUUUAUGUUACUCAGUUGGAUUCAGGAUUUCAUCAAACUAACUGGUAUUCCAUAACAAUAAAUGAUUAACCCGAAAGAACUACAGGUGCUAUUAACAAAUAACGGCCCAUAGCAAAUGGAGUUGUCGAUUUUAGGCAUGUUUGGUUCAUGAUUGGAAUAGUGAUUGCCUUGGAAUUGGAAAUGGAAUGACGAAUCAUCCAAAAAUAUUUGGUUCAUUAUUGGAACGGAAAUCGGAAUGAGACUCUACGAUUUUGAGAGAGGGUUUUGAUUAAGAGAGAUGAAAGAAGAGGAGGGAGGUGUUUAUGAGAGAGGAUUUUGGGUAUUUUACUUUGGAAUGAGUCAAUCCGGGGUUCAAAGUCAGAUUGGGCCAUAUAUGAAUUUGACCAUCCCCAUUCCAGAGUGGAAUAGGAAUCGAAAUUUGAUUCCUAUAAAACAAACAACAUCUAUCGGAAUUGACGAAUCACAUUCCGAUUCCAUAGUCUAAAGUAGGUGAACCAAACAUGCCCUUAACGUAAUUCCAAAUCAAGUCGUCAAAAAUAGCUCAAAUCAAGACAAGUAGAAGUAUAGUGGUUCUAUUGGAAAAGUUGAGUGAUAAACUCCAAUGGCCUUAUAUUGAGGUGGCCUCCCAACAUUUUUACCAACCACUUUUGCCAGUUAAUUUUAGGAAAAAAGGCAUCAGAAAUCUUACGCUUUGUCCCGCAACUCUAACCAGACUUCUUCAUCAGAAAGAGGAGGAGCUUUACCAAUCUCUGCUUCAAAGCGGUAUCUUGCGCUUUCAACUUUUAGAGCCUUUAUCAUCUCAAGUUUUUGUUGUCUUCUAACAUCAAGCAUCUCAGCAGCAAGGGGCACGAGCUUCACAUACCUAUUUAACAUUAUGAACUCCUUGAAACGAUCAAUCAGGAGGUUUUGUUUAGAUAUAUGCACUGUCAAUGCACUAAAUGCGCCAUGAUCAAAUGCAACAUAUAUAAAGAUAACAGAAAAAUAAAUUAAAUAGAAAAAGAACUCCUAAUUGCAUAUAGGUGCUUUUCCAUUAGAGUAUAAUUCAACGCACUGCUGUCCUUACACAUCCUUUAGUGAUUAUAAGAAGGAUUCUGUACAGUUUUUACUUAAAAUAUCUUAGUGAAUAUUAAAAGAAUAAAAUAACAUAGUUUACGAUCUAACUCUCAUCUAUUUUAGAUUGUUGAUCUCUUGGUACUUUCAGCAAUGGAUACUGCCCAGGUGUCAUCCAUUAUUUCAUAACAAUAUAGAGAAAUAUUCGCUUUUCAGUUUUCACAUGAACUGCACCUUAGCAUUCAUUUGAUGUUUGUCAGUAUGAUUGCAACGAAAUAAAAAUUUAUAAUAGAGUAAUAGACAGCAGCCAAUAAUUAGGUAGCUUAACGCUAAAUAGAAUUAUCACAAAGGACCACAUCAAAUAUUUGAGAGUCCUACAGAUUUUUUUUUUUUUCCUUUUUCUUUCCUACAGCUUAUUGUUCUCUGAAGAUAUUGAAAGCUCUAAACAUCCAGAAAAGCACAGGAGGUAUAUUGCAAAAUGAUAGCAUAAAAAAAUAUACAUCUCAUACCGAUAGACAUCAAAGGAUUACCUAUCUAAAAAAGGCAUGAGAACAUAGUCAUGAACCACAAAGUCUAGAGCCCAUGGAAUCAAGACCAGCAAAGCGAUAAAUUUUGCCUGGAAAAGAGUAUACAUCAGAAAUUAAUACCAGCCCAAAAUUGGCCAUAUGGUUCAAUCUUAACAUUUUUGGUGCAUAUGUUGAGAUCACUCUGAAGAUCCUCAAUGCACAAAAAGCCUUAUGAAGUAAGAGAAUGCUAUGAUUCACCAUGCAAAUUCGUGAGCAUCAAAUCAUUCAAUUUAAAAAUCAAUGGCCAGAAUGAAACUCAACAAAGAGCUUAAGAGCGAAUGGAGCAAUGCAACAUUAGAAUUUGCACCCAUUUGAGCACAUACUACAGAACUCAGCACUGAAGCAUUCUCUUAAACUAUAAGCCAAGCAACCAAAAAAGCAAAAAGCAUACCGAGCUUGUGACCUUAACAUACCGAGCUUGUCGAAGCAUACUUGAAAACCCUAUCCUCGAACAACAACUCGUCAUCAUUCCCGUCAAUCGUAUCCUUGAUGGAUUUAACUAAACCCUUCUCCCACAUUAUCUUACUUGGAUCAUCAAACACCUCAUUUGAAGGUUCACCCCCUUCGCCCCAAUCUGGAUCCCGGGCCCCAAUCCAAUCCUCCCACGCCCGACCAUCUUCACUCCUCGCAUCCUCCUGCGCUUCCCGCAGCUCUAUAAUCGCCUCCGCCUUCCUUCUCCAUGCUUCGAACUCCUCAUUCUCCGUAAUCCCUUCUUCCCGACUUUCCCCCGCAUCACCGCCAAGCACAUCCUCGGCGCUCCACUCGACCUGACCCUCAUAGUCCUCAUCGGAGAACAAUCUCUCCCACCAAGCCCGCUUCUUUAAAUGCCUCUUCUUCCUCCUCUUCGCGAAAGACACCAAACCGCCAAUCCGAUUUCGUUGGGAAAUAAACACAGACAUGUGGUGGGCAUGAGAUUUCCUCCGAAAUCUCUCCCUGCUGUUACAACUGCUCAUCCUGCCGAAGGUAACCAUUAGAGUGCUCAUUAAUUACCUGAAAAAGACGCCACAUUUUUCAAUCUUUCCGUGCCCUAUGAUUAGGGUCUUCGCAUUGCCCUAGCACGCAAUCCACGGCAAAUUCCUCGUCGAGGGAGUAGGACGCAGCCGCGACCUUAAUCGCAUCAAAAGGAAUCGAGAAAUUAGGGUUUGAAGAUGAGGGAGAAGGACAAGGCGAACUAGGGUUUUAGCUCUCCAUGAUGGAGAGGGCGCGAGAGAUAGAGAGAGAGAGAGCGGGAGAGGAGGGAGAGGAGGCGAGAGUGGAUAAUGUACGAACGUAACGGCUCGGAAACUCCACGCAGGUUCGCAACCACGCGUGUUUCCUCGCGGCGUAGUUGAAUGACGUGGCGUUUCCAGGGGUGGGCAUCGGCCAUGCCUUUAAUGGGCCGGGUCGGGUUUUUACCCGGCCCAUUUUAGAUAGUUUUGUGGGCUCUAUAGGCCGGACCCGAAAAGCUUCUACUGCUUCGCGCCCGAAUUCGUAGUGGGUUGGGCUUCUGGGCACAGGACAUUGCUUAGUUUGGGGCUUGCAUGGAAUGGAUUUAAUAUUGCAUCCACCGGGUGUAUAACUACUACACAUACACCGCACCAGUGAUGCAAACGGGGCGGAUCCAUGGGUGCGAGGGGUUUCUGAUCUCACGCCCUAUUUUCUGGGCAGAUCGAGAUGGAUCUGGAGUUGAUAUUUAUCUUAUUUGUUGCCUCCGCUUACCACUCCAUUCAGAACAGGAUUGGAUAUCACCAGAUUUUUCAUUGAUUUUUGAUAAAUCAGGACGUAUUAAGAAAAAGAAGAGGGCUCAUAUGAGUGGUGUUUUUUUUGUUAACUUAUAUUUGACCCUUAUUUAUCGUGUCAUUCAGACGGAUCACAUAAAGCUCUAUCAAUCCAGAUCCAAUUGCAUCCCUACAUCGCAUUAUUACGGACCCGUUUGAUAUUUAGAGUUUCUAUUAGUUAAAAAAAAAAAAAGUUGGCAUGAAAAAUAUAAAAACAUAAUUCUCUAUUUUCUUAUUGGAACUCAAAAAUUAUAUCUUUGCAACUCAUUGCAAUAUAUAAAAUAUGAUAUUUUUUAGAAUAGUAACUACUUUUCUAUUGUACGCAACACAAAUUGCCCACAAACACUAAAUAAAGCCUGAAUCUCCAUAAUAGAGGAAUCAAAAUCAAAAUCAAAAUUUAAAAUCAAAUUGAUAUUUGGCCUAUAUUUAUUAAAAAUUAUACAUUUUGUAUUCAAUUUUUUUUUUUACAAAUCAAACAGAUAGCCUUUUCUCUACAUUUAAUUUUUUUAGGCAGCUUCGAUGCCUAAGUAAUAGCUUUUCAAUAUGCAUAAUAUUUUAUAUAUAGCCUCAGACGAGAAUUUGAUUUUUAAAUAUUACUCAUCAAAUAUAAAGAACGGUGUAUAAAGUGUACGUAUACACUCGGCGCAGGUAACUAUUUCCCCGCUGCAAGAGAGGUGCGUGCCGAGUCACUGCAGUUCCCACGUGUCGGCGUGCAUCAGCACUCACGUGCCACUACUUCCGCACGUGUCCGUGCGCUUUUCUUAUGGCCUUCAUUAUUAAUAAAAUUUUAACUUUUGAAGUUGGUAAUUUGAAAAUAAAUUAAAAUUUUAAUAUUCAAAAUUGAAAAUUUUAUAAUAUAAAAUUUUAAAAUUAUAUUAUACUAUAUAAUAUAUAUAUAUGAUAUAUAGUAGUAUAUAAUAUAUAUAAUAAAAUUGAGCUAGAAUACUUUUUAAAAGUAUACCAAUCGAUGAUGCUAUUAGUUUUUCGUCAUUGGAUCUAUUCCUUGAUUACUAUAGCCCUUGGAUCAAAACACAUCACUAGUACCACCUACACUACCUACCACAUCAUCACAACCUUUACAUUCCUCUCCCAUCAAUGGUUAAAAAACUCAACAAGCACCACUCCAUGGUGCUUUGAAUGCUAUUCUUGCUCAACUCCUCUCCUCUCUCCUGGAUCUCCUUCCGUCUGCUCUCUCUCUCUCUAAUAUAUAUAUAUAUGUGCCGGGAUCUAUAUACUCUUAAGAGAUAACCCCCUUAUACUCAUCAAAUUUUAAACACCGUUGAUUGAUGGCGGAUGUGUCUAGAGAUGAUGGUGUCUCCACAUUAAAUACAUAGUGUCUUCCCUAGGGUUGAGUGGUAGUUGUUUGAAUAGUAUGAUUCUAACGGAGUGAAUAGAUCAAUGAAAUAAAUCUAGGGCCAAAACUUAUGAUUAUAAGGGAGCAAUAUCAUAAACGUAUAGAGUUCCGACUUCAUAUAUUAUAUAAUAUAUAUAUAUAUAUAAUUAUAGUAUAUAUAUAUAUAUAUAAUAUACUAGGUCGACUACUAUUACUAUUAUAGUGCGAUCCGCCUCGUAGAUCAUAAGUUGUUUUCGAUGAUAGAGCUUUCCGUAUCAACGAUCCACACCGUUAAACGUUAUUUACAGCAUUUAAAACUUCUAGAAAUUAAAUUUUAUAAUUUUUCGACAUCAUUUACUUUACGAUCAAGAGGUCCCAAAUUUGACAAUUUUUAACGGCCGUUAUGGGAUACUUGCUAGUUUAACGGUGUAAAAGAAUCGAAAUUUGUUGAAUUUUUGAUAGAAAAUUCUAUUCACUACAUAGAUAAAGAUCAAUAACUCCGAUCUUGAAUUGAAGGAUCCGAUCAUCCUUUUUUAAGACGUCGUUCGAUUUUGACCGUUCAUUUUAUGCCCACUUGAUGGACUUUAUUAUGAUUUCGAAAAUUUACGAAAAUUUAUGAAUUUUAUUUUAUAGAAGUUUCAAAUACUCUAGAUCAUAUUUAACGGAGUGGAUCGUCGAUUCCGAAGCUCCAUCAUUGAAAACAACUUAUGAGUACGAACGCUCCAAUACUCAUAAUAGUAUAGUAGCCAUAGCCUAUAUAUAUAUAUAGGUAGGGAGAGGGAGGAAGGGGCGUUGGAAUACGUGUUAUUCUCUAAACUCUGAAAAAAGAAUAGAUAAAAAUAGACCAGAUGCACCUAAGAUUUUUCUAUAAAUUAUACAUAUGUCUACAAUCAACGGCACCAAAUAUACCGAGUAGUUGAGCCGGACACAUGUCAAUAAAAAAAUACCCCACGCAACUUUAGUAUAUAAUAAUAGAUAUAUAUUUCUCUAUUCUUUUUAUUUGAAAAUUUUGAAGAGCAAAAUAAAUUAAACUGCAAAACCGGUGGGUGACACGUUUGGAAGAAGACGUGGCACUGUUCUUCGCCGUCCAAUCAUUCUCCUCAUUCGAUCCUCGCCCUCAAAAUUUAAUCGCCUUUGCUACUCAAAUGCACGAAAUUUUUUCCAGGUUUGUUACUUAUUCAUCCUUUUUCUUUCAUUUAACGUGUUGUUUGAAUAGUACUAUUAAAAAAUUACAAAAGUAACGACUUUUUUAACAUAUAUUUAACUAAUUAUUACGUCUCUAAAAAUUUUAUAAUAUUCUUUUGAGAUGAUUGUAAGACCAAGGAAAGCACAAGAAGAGAGAGGAUGACGGAGACGAUAAAGGGCGCGGUAGAGAUGGUGGCGGAGGAGGGCGACGGAGGAGGCAUGGGAGGUUGCGAAGGAGAGACUCACCGGGAAGGGCGCGGUGAGGCGGCCGGCGAGGGAGGACAUGGCGGCCGCGAGGUAGAGUGCGGUGGAGGAGGAGAGGAGGAGAAAGGCAAGAGAUCAGGUUUGAAUAUAAAAUAUAAAAACACCGAUCUCUCAUCCUUGUUUAAUCCAAUAUAUACAUACGAAUGGGCUAACUAGAAUCAAGACCUGUAUGCGCAUUGUCUAAUUAAAUUAAUCGGUACAAUUGAAAUUGUAAAUUAAACUGAAAAUAAAAUUGGAUUAAGAUAAAUUUGACAUUGUUUCAUAAAUUUUUUUUUGUUGUCCCCAUCUUCAGGUUAGGAAUUUAAGGUCCCCAUGUGUAGUUAUCCCAGUGAGGAGGGACGUUCGAAUUUUUUAUAAGCUUAAAUUUAAACCUUAUGUGAUAGACAUUUAUUUCUGAAAUAAUAAGGCCAACAAUCUAAUUAAAAAAAAAAAAGAAUAUAUAUGAUAUUUAAGUAUUUAUACGAUCAAAUAAUUUGAUCAUACUAUAUAUAGUAGGAAAAUUAUUCACCAUUACAUAUUCAACCACCAAAAGGUGGAAGAUAAUGGAUCAUGGACACUUAUAUUUUGCAGCAACAGUACUGGUACAGUGGUGCAACACAUUCUCCUCCUUUGGGGUAAAAUUUCAAGCAGUAAUUGUUGCAAUCCCCAGGAAUGUCCUCGCACUUCCCUUGGCAUAUGUAGGUUGCUUUCCCUACAAUAAUAAAAAUAUCAUAAACAAAUAAAAAAUAAAAUCAAGAGAGAGGAUCAUCAUGUCAACCUUUCUCAUAGAAAAAGAAAUAUUUGGUAUAUUCAUAUGCAUUUCUUUUAUUAAUAUAAUAUCAUCAACAGCUAAGAAAUUUUUACAUACUGAUUAUAUAAAGAGAGAUACACAGAAAGAUGGAUUAGUCUAAAUUUUUUCAUUCACUAUUGAAACUAUAAUAAAUUUUUUAGCCGGUGUGUUAAGCUUGGAUCCUUUAUAUCAAAACAAAAUCUUAGUAAUCAGUAAUUGUUCUUGAAUCAAAGGGUUUAUCUUUGUCUAUUUUUAUUUGAGUCGAAUUCAUAACUGUUUGAAUUGUGUAAUCUCCAAUUAUUGAGAUUGGUAAUCGACCCAAAGCAAUUUGAUUAUAAUUCAAUUCGUGACGAUCAUAAGUAGAAAGUUCAUAUUCUUCGGUCAUUGAUAAACAAUUUGUUGAACAAUAAUCGACACAGUUACCACAAAAUACAUUAGUCGGUAUCAUCUCAACUACUGUUAAAAUCAGUAAAAAUAUUUUGGGCAUCAACUAUAUAUUCACGCGUAUUUACUUUUGGAAAAAAUUGUUGUAGUUUUUGCUGAGCAGAAAAUUUCUACUUACUGGCCAGAAUGCGCACACGAGAGAGAGAGAGAGAGAGAGAGAGAGAGAGAGAGAGAGAGAGAGAGAGAGAGGAAUUACCACCAUGAGCAAAGAGAAGAACAAGAAAUGUAAGAACCAUGAAGAGCUUGCUCCAAAUGGUGAGGAAAGUGAGGGACAUCUUGUGUUGUCACUUUGCUCUACUUUAGUCUUAAGCAUGGAAUCAAUUAAGAUUGCUACCAUUUUAUAUUUUCGGUUAAAGGUGAAAACAGUUAGUUAUACUUUUUUUUAGCACCACAACACAGUAAGUGACAGUUGUAUUAUAUGCUUUGGAGAUAUUAAUUAUAGUAUAUCUAAGGCACCACAUUUUCAAUAUGUUAUUACUAUAUGCGCGAAAUUUAAAAUCUAAUUUGAAAAUUAUAAAUUUUGAACACCUAUUUUCUCUCAGGCUGAUCGCCAUUCUUUCUUCAUCAUCGAUUAUUAAGUUUACAUGAUAUCUUAUACAAUAUUUUGUAAAUAUGAAGUGUGAUAAAAUGUCUAAAAUAAAUAUCACAUCCUUUCGGACCUUCUACGCAAUGUUUUUGUCCGGGUGUUGCGCUUUUUUCUGUUUUGCACAUAAAUGUUUCCGACAUACACGUGGACUGACGUGAUUGCGCCUUUAGAAAUUGCUUUUUCUUUUUUAGUUUUGGGCUGGGCUUUGUUGGGCUUUAAUACGGACCAAUCUAAUUGUGGACUUUUAUUUUUUUUUUUAUUUUUAUUUUUAUUUUUUGGUUCGGAAACUAUGGAAAAGAACGCAUAAACAAACUAUUAGUUGUAAAGUAUUUCAAUUUUAUCUACUAAAAAGUGAUUGAUACUAUAUAAUAUUCAGCGGAAUCACCAACGAAUCUGACAAAAUUUUUAAUUUAUUUGAUAAUAAUAACUCAAUUGUUAAAAAAAAAUAAAAAUUUGUGGAAUAAAUUGAUCCAAACUAUUUACAUUGUGUGCGUUAACGUACUAACAAUAUAUAAGAGGAAUAUUGUAGCGGAGCAUUAACAAUACUCAUCUCUCUCCUUUUUUUCUUUUUUUUUUUUGUGUUUUAACAACAAACUCGUGAAUAUGUUAGUGAACUAAGAUGUUACAAAAUUUUUUAAAAAACUUGAAACCUCGAGUACCAAUUAGUAAACCUUUUUAUCACUUAUAUUAAAAAUUAUCGAUAAUAUAAAGACAAUAUAUUAGGCGUACUAUUAUAAAUUUAUAUAAUAUUGUCAUUAUAUAUUGUUGACGUUGAUUGUUGACGUUGACGACGAAUUUGAUGCUAAAGUUUUUGAUUGGAUCACGCGCGUAGGCCGCGUGGCGUCGUUCGGCAACUGCGAGGUGUCGCUCCGUGGAAUGGUGAACGCUGUUUGUGGUGGCACAGCCAACACAGAGUGUACCCUCACGACACGGCAAAGCAACGGCGCCGUCACGGUGGGGCCCAAGCAGCCCAUUUUUUUAAUAAUAAUAAUAAAAAAUAAUAAUUAAGACUCGGGCGAUGACAACGUUACGUUCCUUUUUCUUUUUUCUUUCUUUUUUUUUUUUAUGUCAUACGUGAACGCACACGUGUUCCUUUCGCUCCGUACGAGAAUAUGCCAAGGAGAUAUCUGAUGCGUGCUCCAUCGGUUAAAAUAGUAAGAUUUUAUGGGCUUCGAAAUGAGAAAGAUAAUAUUUUUGUCAUUUAAAAAAUAAAUGAAUACUAUUUAAAUUAAUAAAUUUUAGAAAAAAUUUUAAAUAUCAUUCCUGUUGUUUUAGUUUUUUUUACUUUAGUAUCAUAUGAUUUAAAGUAUAUUAAUUUAGUGCAAUGUGAUUUUUUUUUAUUUUUUUAUUAUCAAUUCUACUAAUAUUUUUAUUAAAUUAGCGACAAAGUUAAAACUAAAAGAUACUAAAAUAAAUAUUUGAUAAACUAAUGUAGGGUAUCUGAUAUUUUUUUGUAUACAAUUUGACCAAUAUUAACAGAAAAGCUGAUGAAAAAAUAUAAAAAUGAAACACUAUUUGAUACAUUUUCAGCCACAGAGUAUUAAAAUGAAAAAAAUACGAAACUACAGGGAUGAUAUUUGAAGUUUAUUCUAAAUUUAAUUUUAAUUUUAUAGUCUGAAAUAGAUGAAGAAAAUAAGAUUUUUUUUUUUUUAACGUAUUUACUUACCUACAAAAGUGAUAUGUCCAAGAAGAGAGGUGUUAAGAUUGUGUUACUUUCGUUCGUAAUAUUAUAUUUCAUAUAUCACGAUAAAUUAUUGUUAUGAUCCAAUCGAAUAAUAUAAAAGCAUAUUGCUAUAUAUUUUUAUUUUAAUUUUAUUUUAUUUAACAGCAUCAUCAGAUGAAUUACCCAACUAAACUGUGCUUAAAUUAUACGUGAAACAAUUGGGAGGCGGCGAGACCUAAGCGCGUAGAUCUGGGAAAAUCUGGGCGUGGGACCCGCGAUGACAGGACAUGCCGCCCUACUCACAAUACCACGCGAUGACGUGUCUGCCGUCUGACAGCCGUGACAUUUUCUUCACUUUUUUUAAAAAAACUUUCAAAUCGCACUUUCUUAUUUUAAUACUUUAUGAUUUAAAUUGUAUAAGUUAGUACCCUAUAAUUUCACAUUUUUUCACCGUCUCACUUUAGUAUCCUGUAAUUUCAAGUGUAUAUCAUGUGGUUUCGCACUUUUUAACUUUAGUACCCCUAUAGUUUAAUAUUUCGUUAAAUUAAAUAUUUUGAAAUGGAUAAUAACAAAUAAAAUAAAAUUACAGGGUACUAACUUGAUGUAAAAAUAAAACCACAUGAUACUAACUUAAUACACUUUAAAUUAUAGAGUACUAAAAUAAGAAAGUGUAAAAUUAGAGGAGAGUAUUUGAAGUUUUCUUUUUUUCAAUCUUUCUAAAGUAUAUGUGUCGGUGUAUAUAGAACUAGAUUACUAUAUUUAUAGUGUCAAUAUUUGUAUGUUUUCAUCUUAUUUUCAAAUUUUUAAAAAUAAAAUUUUAUAUUUUUUAAGGAAUGGAAUUUGAUUUAGAGUAUUUUUUUAUUUUUUGACUGAGGUUUUGUUGUCUCAUUCUAUAAAUAGCUAAAUUUAUUUUCAAAAUGAAGUGAAUUUUUUAUUUUUCUCUAGAAAAUAUAUUUUUCUAGAAUGUACUAAGUUGUUGUUAUAUGUAGGGACUUGUUGGGAAAAAAAAAGAAAAAUGUUGCGCAAAACAAGUAUUUUCUAAAUGUAAUGAUAUUUUUAAAUAUAUUAUUAGUUUUAAUUUAAUUUAUGUGUGUAAUUUAAAAUACCAUAUGAAUCUAAGGCCAUGUACCUUAUAUUGCAUAAAUUUCUCAAAGAAAUUAAAAAUAAGUGCUUCUUUAAGAAGUAUCGAAGCACCAAAACACCACUCCCAAGUCUCCAACAACCACAGACUAUGCAGCUUUUGGAUCCUACCAAGAUCUGUAGCUCCAGUUCUAAAUUUAACAUAAAAUGAGUUGGGUCCAUUCAAAUUGUAGUGCCCCACAGAGAAAUUCUCUUUCUGAUCAAAUGAUUCUUAAUUAACUAAUCAAAUUUCUUUUUUCACUUUUAAUACUCUAAAUAAAACAGAACUAAUUAAUUAAUUAAUAGACCCUUUAUUAAAAUCUACAUAAUAAUAAAGCGAGGAACAAAAAUAGAAAAUAACAACUAACCAAGUCCAUCAUAUUAUUAUUAUUACUAUAUAUAUAUAUAUAAAUUUACAUCUUGAUUCUAUAUCUUUCAAAUCCAACAAAAAUAAAAAUAAAACAGUUAAAGUUAACCAAGUAAAAUUACAAAAUUAAUUCUUGGUCUGAUAUAGCCGGUGCCAAAUUUGUGUGCUGACUGACAUGACAAUCCUUAAUAAUUUUUACCAGGCGGCCUCCGACGGCGGAGGAGGGGGGAGGUUGAGGUCGAUAUCGAACGGGAACCCUCUCGACAUCGCUAUCGCCGCUGCCGACGACGACGAUGAGGAGUUGGAGUUGGAGUUGGAGCUGGAGUCGGAGUCGGAGUGGCGGAGGCAUGCGGGCGGCGCGGUGCGGAGGAGGAGCGUGAAUCCGGGGGAGGAGCAGACGGCAGCAGGGGGAGGGGGAGGGGAAGGGGGGAAGUUGGUCUUGGCCUUGGGGCCGCGGAAGCGGAGGGCGGCGGCGUCGUAGGCGCGGGCGGCGGCCUCGGGGGUGUCGAAGGUGCCGAGCCAGACGCGCCGCCGCUUCGCCGGGUCGCGGAUCUCCGCCGCGUACCGCCCCCACGGCCGCUGCCGCACUCCCCGGUAUCGCACCCCCAUUAUCACCUCGCCCCCCCUGCAGUUACACUUCUCCAGCUCCUCCUCCUCCUCCUUGUGCCCCAUUUUGUUUUGUUUUUUUUUUUAAGUUUUUUUUAAUUUUUAUUUUUGGGAUGUGGAGAGAGAGAGAGAGAGAGAGAGAGAGAGAGAGAUUAGAGUGGUGGGUGGGAUGUAUUGUUACCAAUUGAUUGAUGAGGGUGUAUAUAAAGGAGAGAAGAGGGGGAGGAGAGGGCGCGAUGAGUUUGACCGCGACGGUCGCGGGGCGGGGGGCGCCGCCCCGGCCUUUUUCAUUUAAUAAUAAUAAAAAAAAAAUAAAUAAAUAAAUAGCGGUUACAAAUAUAUAUUCUAUAUUAAUUCAAGGAAAAACUUCAGAAAUGCUCCCAGUGGUUUCGCACUUUUUUAUUUUAGUACUCUGUAAUUUAAAGUGUAUCAAGUUAGUAUCCUGUGGUUUCGCAUUUUCUCACUUUAAUACUCUGUGGUUUAAAGUGUAUUAAGUUAGUACUCUGUGAUUUUAUUUUUGUAUCAAAUUAGUACCUUUUGGUUUUUAAACUACGGGAGUAUUAAAGUGAUAAAGUGCGAAACCAUAGGGUACUAAAGUGAGAAAGUGCGAAACCACAUGGUACUAACUUAAUACACUUUAAACCAUAGGGUACUAAAGUGAGAAAGUGCAAAACCACAGGUUACUAAUUUAAUAUACUUUAAACCACAGAGUACUCAAAUGAGAAAGAGUGAAAUCAAAGGGGGGUAUUUGAAGUUUUUCCUUAAUUCAAUUAUUAUUUACAAAGAUUUUUUUUUUUUUUAAUGCACACACGCUCAUGCUCGCUAAAGGGGGUUAAGGGUGGGGACCGAAAAAUUAAUUUUCAGUAUAAAAAAUAUUUUUUUCGUUUAUUUAAUUCGACGUAAAAGUAUAAAAUAAUUUGUCUUAGCGGAAGAUGUGGACUUUGUUGGGGUCUUAAACACCUCUAUAAAUCAUGCUUAGUAAUUAAUUAAUUAAUGAAUUCAUUCUAAGUAAUACUAUUCUCUUAUCGGAAUAUGUGGAUUUUGCUCGGUCCACGUAUUACAGUAGUAGUAGUAGUACCGCGGCGUCGUCUCUGCUGGGCCCACAAUAAUUGUUGUCGCCAUAUUAAAGACCCUUAUCUUUGAGUUAGGCUUUUUUUUUAAAAAAAUAUUUAUUUAUUUUUUAUUUUUUUUUUGCGACAAGAGCACCGCAUUACUGUAUCUCACCUCAAUUAAUUUUUUUAAAUUUUAUUUGCUGUCAAAUUUUAGACUCUUUUCCUUCUCUUUACACGUGGCGUCCAGCGGUCGUAGGCGGAUCCUCCACCGUCCAAGAGAACAACUCUCACUGCACCACCAGACGUACAUGUAAAUUUUGUACAACUUAAUUUAAAAAUCUACCUAAUAAUAUUUUUAUAAAAAUAUACAAAAUCUGAUUAUUAAAUUAUAAUUUUAUAAUAUUAUUUAUUAAAAGUAAAUUAGAUACGCUGCAAGCGACUACUGGUGCAAGUCAUGAAUUUUCUCGACAGGUCCCCCUUAUGGGGGAUAGGGAGCGGUUAGUGGUGGCGUGUGGGCUCUCCCAUGACAUCUCCUUCUUUUAAUCCUGCUGUCUCGCGCUCUCGCUCUAUUUAUUUCUCUCUCUUUCACUCGUAUGGAAAAAGUCCAGGAUAUUGUGUCAAUAAAAUAUCUUAUAUAGAGUGUUGCAAUCAAUCAUAUAUAUUUUUUAAAAAUGAUCUAAUUCUAUAAUAAUUUAUAAAAAUAUAUUUUUUUAUAAUUUUUUUAAAAAAAUAUUAGUAUAAUAUAACUAAUGUAAUGUGAAUGCUACGAUGAAAACUUCCUCAGCACGCCGGCGCCCCACAGUGCGGGCAGACACGUGGGGAAAGAUCCUUCUGGCGCCACUGCCACGUGAGUGGCGGUGGUUGACGCGAAUCUACUGAUUGAUGGUAACACUUUUAUAUACAUAUAUAUAUGGAAAAACUUUAAAAACUCCACGUGGUUUCACAUUUUUUCAUUUUAGUGCCAUGUGGUUUAAAGUGUAUCAAAUUAGUAUUUUGUGGUUUCUCACUUUAUUACUUUAGUACUCUGUGAUUUAAAGUGUAUCAAGUUAGUACUUUGUGGUUUUAUUUUUGUAUCAAGUUAGUAUCCUGUGAUUUUAUUUUUGUAUCAAGUUAGUAUCCUGUGGUUUUUAAACCACAGGGUACUGAAGUGAUAAAGUGCGAAACCACAAGGCAAAACCACAGGGUACUAACUUGAUACACUUAAAACCACAGGGUACUAACUUUAUACACUUUAAACCGGGUGCUAAAGUGAGAAAAAGUGAAACCACAAGAGGGGUAUUUGAAGUUUUCCAUAUAUAUAUAUAUAUAUAUAUAUAUAUAUAUAUAUAUAUAUAUAUAUAUGGGGCAAUUGCUUAUAUACUCCUGAAAAGUUUCCGACUUUUCGAUUUAUCCAUCUUAGAAGGCUAAUAUUGAAGAUACCCUUUCUACGUUCCAACAUAUUUCUAAUAUACCCAUAGAGUUAAAAUCCGUUAAUUAACUCUGUUAUCUCUGUAAAAUUACUAUUUUACCCUUUCAAAUAUACUUUUUCACCAUCACGAACUUUCUUAUUUGCCCUUAAAGUCAAGGGGCACAAAAGUAUUUUGACUUUUGGUCUUUUCCGAUGUACCCCUCUACCGUCAUCAACAUUUCUUAUUUGCUUUCAAGUUAAGGGUAAAAUUGGUAUUUUAAUUUUUUUUUAACUGUGGUAGAUAUUUAACUCACGUUUAACCUAAGUUAACUUAACAGAAGAUAACUGCAGAGGUAUUUUGCAAUAACGGUGGAACAUAUGAGGGGUAUUUUAGAAAAAAAAAAAGAAGAAUAAAUUAGAUAUUUUCAAAUGUAUGAGAGGUAUAUAGGCAAUUAUUCCUAUAUAUAUAUAUAUAUAUAUAGAGUGAGGCUACUAUGCUAUCGGAAGNNNNNNNNNNNNNNNNNNNNNNNNNAAAAAAAAAUUGAUAUUUAUAAUUUAUAAUUUAAAAUUAUAAACUUUAAUUUAGAUUAUAAAUUAUAAAUUUUAAAAAUUUAAAAUUUAAUUUUUAAAAUUUUAAAAUAAGAAUAGGAUGGGAACAAUUAAUAAAAAUAAUUUAUUAUAAAUAAAUUUAUAGAUUUUUUUUAAAAAUUCUACUUAACUUAAAUUUAAUAAAAAGAAUUUAUUAUAAUACUUAAAUAUAAUUUAUUAUAAUUUUAUUAUAAUAUUUAAAUAUAAAUAAUAUUGUAUUAAUAUAGUAUAAUUAAAUUAUUAAAUAAAAUAAUGUAUUAUAAAUAUAUAAUAUUAUAUUUAUAUACUUUAGUUUUAAUUCAAUUUAAAUUUUAAUUAAGUUUGAAAUUAAGCAUUGGAAUAGCGCCAUUCCACUAAAAUGGUGGAAUAACAAAUUUCUUACUAUCCGGGAUAACCGGGAAUAGCAAGGUUUGACCGGAAUAAAAUAUUCCGGUCAAUUUUCAUCCCGUUUGGCGGAAUAGCGGGAUAACUUUCGUUAUCCCCGCUUAUUCCCCCAACAAACGGGGCAAGUGUAUAAAUAGGAUUUAGGGUUGCCUCCACUUUCAUUGACGCUUGACCUUGGUGAUUGAGUUUAGGAGACGCAACGACCUGUCAUAUCACGUACGACUCUACACCCUAGCUCCACAGUAGAAAGAAGAGAAAUUCUGUCUUGUGCAAUUUUUUUUUUCUUUUUUUUCCUCUUUAGAGAAUUUCUUUCAUUACAGUUAUUCGGUAUAACAUAUAGACAUUCUAUCAAAAUAUUUUAUAUAUAAUAUAAAAUAUAAAUAAUUAAUUUUUACAAAAAUAUUAUUUUUAUUACUUUUAAAUUAUUUUAUACAUUACAACUAAUUAAUUUAGAAUAUAUUCUGUAUCAAGUUAUAUUUAGAAUAUAUCCUGAAUAUAUAUAUAUAUAUAUAAUAUAUAUAAUAUAUAUAUUAUAUAUAUAUAUUAUAAUAUAUAAGUGAGACUAUGGCUAUCGGAAGCACAGAGCCUUCCGUGCUUCCAGCUCGUUUUUGAUGUUGCGACUUUCGAAUCGUCGAUCGGCUCCGUUAAACUUGAUCUAGAGUAUUUGGAGUACCUAGAAAAUAAAUUUAUUAUUUUUCGAUAUCAUUUGCCUAGUGAUUGAAUGGGCUCAAAAUCAACAAAUUUCAAUGGCCGUAUGAGCCGUUUGCAAUUUAACGUAUAAAAAUAUCCAAAUAACGUGAAAUUUUGAUAGAAAAUUUCUUAUACUAUAUAAAACAAGAUCAAUAUUUUUGAUUUAAAAUUUUAAUGUCAUAUUAUUACAUUUUGUAAGAUUUUAUUUUCAGCCGUUGAUUUUGAGCCCCUUCGUUCACUAGGUAAAUAUAUCGUAAAAUCAUAAAAUUUAUUUCCUAAGUACUUCAAAUACUCUAGAUUAAGUUUAACGGAGCCGAUCGACGAUUCGAAAGUCGCAAACAUCGAAAACGAGUUAGAACACGAAGGCUCCGGCUUAUAUAUAUAUAUAUAUAUAUAUAUAUAUAUAUAUAUAUAUAUAUAUAUAUGGGGCAAUUGCUUAUAUACUCCUGAAAAGUUUCCGACUUUUCGAUUUAUCCAUCUUAGAAGGCUAAUAUUGAAGAUACCCUUUCUACGUUCCAACAUAUUUCUAAUAUACCCAUAGAGUUAAAAUCCGUUAAUUAACUCUGUUAUCUCUGUAAAAUUACUAUUUUACCCUUUCAAAUAUACUUUUUCACCAUCACGAACUUUCUUAUUUGCCCUUAAAGUCAAGGGGCACAAAAGUAUUUUGACUUUUGGUCUUUUCCGAUGUACCCCUCUACCGUCAUCAACAUUUCUUAUUUGCUUUCAAGUUAAGGGUAAAAUUGGUAUUUUAAUUUUUUUUUAACUGUGGUAGAUAUUUAACUCACGUUUAACCUAAGUUAACUUAACAGAAGAUAACUGCAGAGGUAUUUUGCAAUAACGGUGGAACAUAUGAGGGGUAUUUUAGAAAAAAAAAAAGAAGAAUAAAUUAGAUAUUUUCAAAUGUAUGAGAGGUAUAUAGGCAAUUAUUCCUAUAUAUAUAUAUAUAUAUAUAGAGUGAGGCUACUAUGCUAUCGGAAGCACGGAGCCUUCCGUGCUUCUAACUCGUUUUCGAUGUUGCGACUUUCGAAUCGUCGAUCGGCUCCGUUAAACUUAAUCUAGAGUAUUUGAAGUACUUAGGAAAUAAAUUUUAUGAUUUUACGAUAUCAUUUACCUAGUGAACGAAGGGGCUCAAAAUCAACGGCUGAAAAUAAAAAUCUUACAAAAUGUAAUAAUAUGACAUUAAAAUUUUAAAUCAAAAAUAUUGAUCUUGUUUUAUAUAGUAUAAAGAAUUUUCUAUCAAAAUUUCACGUUAUUUGGAUAUUUUUAUACCGUUAAACUUGCAAACGGCUCACUACGGCCAUUGAAAUUUGUUGAUUUUGAGCCCAUUCAAUCACUAGGCAAAUGAUAUCGAAAAAUAAUAAAAUUUAUUUUCUAGGUACUCCAAAUACUCUAGAUCAAGUUUAAC